AAAUCCACGUCUGUGCAAACAGUAUAAUUAAUUAGUUGUAACAUAUACAUAUGCAUGGAUGCAAUGGGAAAUUAAAAGCUAGGCGUAGGCUUACCAGUGAUAAGAUUAAAAUCGCAAGGCACGAUAGCUUCAUCCAGUCUGAGAGGCUGACCGGGUUUCAAAACAGGAACAGCUGUUCCGUGUCCACUAAAGUAGAAGAACAGGACAUCUCCUGGUCUAGCAGUUCGCACCAUUUCAUAAAGUGCAGCCUUAAUUUUUAUACCCGUAGGCAUAUCCCAUGAGCCUUGUAUAUAAUUAUCAGUCAGCACCUUAAUAAACCGUUGAUCAAAGUUAAACCUUUUCAUAAUCAACAUUCUUAUGUUCUCCAAAUCAUUUAUGCAUCCUUUCAGGUUGUAAGGGGUCCUUGGGUAAUUACAACCCACAAGAACAGCUUUCUUUUUAGGCACCAGCUCGUUAAUCAUGGGUAAGGCUAAGGGUGUUGGAAUGGUGGCCAAGAAAGCUGUACCAGCAUUCUUAUCACUGCAAUAAAGGCAAGGGUGUUGCUCGUGAAAUCCAAGGCUGGUUAUUUCAUCCCUAACAUUCAUCACAAGCUGUUUAUUGGUUAAUGUACCAUUGGUCUCGUUGAUAAUCUUUUGAAGUGAAUAUGUAAAGGCCCCAUACGCCUUUCCUUGGGUUUUGUCACUCGGUUCCAAAUCAAGGGAUAGCUCAUCGGCUUGGCACCUACUUAAUAGAAUCCCCUCAUCCUCCGUUAAUGACCUUGGCUCCUGAGAGGGUCGGAAUUUUAAACUGACGUUGUCUCAAAAGAUUCCGGUCAAAAGAUGGCCAAUGUUGCUGACAAUAUCUAAUCCAGUAGUGCUGAAGGCAACUGUUGUGCCCAAUACGUCUGAUGCGGCGUUUAUGACGUUGGCUGCUGUUUGUAGGCCUUGGUGUAUUGAUUCAAGUGAAAUUCCCCUCUUCCGGGCGUCAACCGAUGGUGCUAUACCCCUUAGAGUACUAUGGGGUCCAAUUUGUUCUUUCUCUUUGUCGAUGAGACCACCGCUGUGGCACGAAUCUGAAACGAUUGUGAAGCUUGUUUCUUUUGGCAGCUGCUCAAUCAAGUGCCUGAUGUCCACGUCUGCACAGCCAUGUAUAUUUAUAAAAAAAUGAUAUGAUUAAUAAAGGAAAAUAUGUAGUUGACGAGUUGUGAUCCCAUUUUGGAAUCAUGAUCAACAUUAAUAUUUUAAAAAAAAAAAUUAAUUAUUAUUUUUUAAGAUUUAAAGUUAGAUUUAUAUUUUGACAUUUAAGGUUGAAUUUUUGAUUUGUUGAAUUUGAGUUUUGGAAAUUACGAAAUUGCGGGUUAAAACCCUACUAUGUACUAUAUUUCUAUUUUUUUAUUCAUAAAAAGAAUAAAAAUGACAAAAAAUUUCUUUAAAUUAAUUUAAUUUACUUUAUAAAAUAAAAUUAUUGUCCAAAUUCCACUAUAAGACACCAUUAAUUAGGAAGAAUAAAAAACCUACCAUAAAUGAGAUUGAGAUCACAAGGAACGAUCGCAUCAUCCUUCCGACCUGGUUUCAUGUCUGCCUCAACUCCAUGUCCACUGAAGUGGAAUAAUAGGACAUCUCCUUCUUUAGCCUCUUUCACCAUUUCUUCAAGUCCAGCCAUAAUGUUUGCACGUGUAGUUUUUUUUGGGGACCCUGGUUCAUCAGUUAUGAGCUCAACAUGUUGAGGAUCAAAGUUAAACCUUUUCAAAAUCACGUCUCUCAUGGCAUGCACAUCAUUUAUGAAUCCUUUCAACUCGUAGGGGGUGUUGGGGUAGUUGCAUCCCACCAGAAGAGCUGUCUUCAUUCUGUCUUUGAGUUUGCUUGUCUUCUGAUUUGGAUGUUGCAGGAAGAACCCAUAUAUAUACACACACACAAACAAGUUUACGUUAUACCAUGCAAUGCCAUAUAACUCAUAAGCUCACGACAAGAUGGCACCUACGAUAUUUUUAUUUCAAAAUUUAUGGUUGUUAUUUUUUUAGUUAAAUUUGAUCAUUAAUCUUUUAAUUAUUUUUUAAUAGAAAUGUUUGACUAGAAUAUUAAUUUUUUAACGAUGUUGGCAUGACAAUUCGUGUGGUAGUCCACAUGUACUUCAUGCUGACAUAAUAUUAUUUGUCAUAUAUGCCACAAUAAUAAAUAAUUUAAAAUUUAUGAAAAAAUAUUAAAAAAUGUUUUUAUAAAUUUAAAAGAAUAGCAUGAAGUACACAUGGAUUACCAUGGGGGUUGCCAUGCUGAAAUAUAAUGUUUUAGUUAGUAUUUUUAUUAAAAACAUCAAUUCGACUUUUUUUAAUGGACUUGUCCAUGGGUUGGGGCUUGACCAAAUUUUAGGCCCAUUUGAUAAGUUCGGUCUUGACCCGGCACGAAAAAUGGGCCGAAAAUUUUACCCAAGCUCGACCUGAAUAAAAAUGCUAAAACCCGAGCCUAGCCCAGCCUGCCCAUAUUAAAAUUUUUACAUUAUUUUUAAAAAAAUAUAUAAAACACUAAAAACAUUCAAAUAAAUGUUUCCCAACAACUUGAAAAUAAAUUUUAAAAAAUCUUUAUACUUAAAUAACACUAACAUAGGUGCAACUUAACAAGUAAAUGCCACUAAAAUAAUAACAUAAUUAACAAUAAAAUAAGACUUAUAUAAUAUCCAAAUAAUAAUAGCAAAAAAAUAGUAACAUAAUAAUGAAAUGGCAGGAAAACAGUGAAAAAACAACAUUUUUUUUCUUUUUCUAAAUUCGAGUCGGGCUGGAAAAAAAAACCUUACUUGAGGCCCUUAUCCAAACCUAUUUUUCGUGUCUAUAUUUUUGUUCAAGCCUUUUUACUUUUUGAGAGUCCAGCCUAUUUCAUGGGCAUGUCUAUUUUUAAAAGAUAGAUAAUUAAAUUUGAUUUUUUAAAAAGAUUAAAAGACGAAAUUUAACUAAAAGGGACCAAAUCAAUUUAUUAUAUAAUAAUUGCCUAUUUUUAUUUGUUUCUUUUGGUGUUCAAGAAUAAUACAUAUUAUACAUAUACAUGGAUAGAGCAAAUCAAGUGCACCAUUCAAAAAAUUGGGUUUAUAUGUACUAUUAGUUAAUUAGUUGACUAACUUCAAUAAAAAAUAAAAUUAUUUGGUCCAUAAAAAAAAUGUAUUUUUUACAAUUAGAAGUUACAAUAUUAACGAAACAUUAAUACAUUCAUGCUUUACUCAAUAAUUAAUUAAAAUAUUAAAUUAAUAAUCAAAAUAUAUCUAAAUUCGUAAUACAAUGUUUCAUACAAUAAUUACUCAAUCACUAUAUUGCAUUGUUUAAUUGUCGAAACAAGUUAUAACUUCCAUUGUAACAACUCAAAAGAAUAAUUACAAACCAAUGUAUUUUUAGACUUAAAUGUAGAACUAAGGCUUAGUUUAGAUGAGCGGUGCAUUUACCUAUGAUUAGUGUAAAAAUAACGGUGGUGGUGAGAUUAGAUAUUGUAACGACACUGUAAUUUGAGACAAAGAUAAAUUAAACGCACUGUACUAUACCAAACCAUCCAUCUAAACCUCACCUAAAAGUUGCUAAAGUUUCCUUCCUACCAUUAAACCAAUGUAUCAUCAACUAUUUGUACUUAUUUUUAAACACUUUUUAUUGGAGUUGCAUGAAAUGCUUGAUUGACUACGUGUAAAUUUAUACACAAAAAACCAAUAAUUUGAAAAGCUUUCCAUAGUACAAUUUUGAUAUAUUUGGCAUUUAAUAAGAAAUCAACAUAUGGAGUGGGUGAUGAAUCCGAAUUGGGGUGAGCACAGGUGUUGUGAUGGACAAAGCGUAAGACAAGGUGGUUCCCGAAAGAAGCAAGAAAGCUCUGACAAAAGGCAGCUAGGUAUUCCUUUUUCAGACAAAGAAGACAAAAGAUAGAACAUAAAGGGUGGUGGUCGAAGAUAAAUGAUUAUAACAGCACUGAUAUGAUCUGCUUCGCCUUCGUCUACCACCUCAUCUUUAUGUUUUUAUCUUGGUCGUGACUCACGUUGGCCUUCGUCUGCAAGUGCUGUCGGUCCUACUAUUGUGCUUGUGUUGCCUAGCUUCUGAUUUCUAUGUAUUAGGGUAUAUUUGAGUCGGGUGAAGUUAGAAAAAUAUUUUUAAGGAUUGAAGUUAAAUUAUAUAUUUUUAUAAGAGUUAAAAUGUAAUUUUAUAAUUAUAUUAGUUUAUAUUUUUAUAGUUUUUAGAGGUCUUAAAUCAAAAUUUUAUCAUUUUUUUGGAUAAAUUGUGUUUUUACAAUGUUUAACUUAUAAUUUUAUAGAUUUUAGAAAGGCCCAAAUAACAAUUUUCUAUUUUAGGGGUCUAAAAAGUAAUUUUCAUUUUAAGGGGGCCACUCCCCUUGCUUGCACCAGUCACCGCCUUAACGACAAGAUUAAUUCUAGUGAGAUUGAAAAUAGAUAUGACAGUGAGAUUAAUUAUUAUGGUGAUGAGAUUAAAAUCACUGGCGAGAUAUGUGUUAGGAUUUAAAUAUAUAGACUGUAGAUUUAUAGGAAGAAAGCAAAAUGACCAUUAUGGACAUUAAACUAAAAUUAAAAUAUAGUUUACACCCUUCCAUAUAUUUUUGUACAAUUAAUAUUUUCACAAUAAAAACAUUAUAUUUCAUAUUUCAUUUAUAUAAAUCAUGCAUGUCAAAUUUAACAUAAAUUAAAAAUUUCUAACUGUUUGUUUUAUGUAAAAAUACUUUUAACUGUUUAAUAAAUGUUAAUAUAUACAAUAUUUUAGAUGAAUAAGAUAGAAAUAUCAAAUCAAUUUGAAAAAUUGCAUGCAUGAAUCAUACAAUAAUAUCAAUAAAUUCAAUGGUUGAAUUGUUAAAUUAAUAAUCAUAUAAAAAUAUAUGGAAGCGUGUAAAAUUACUUUAGUUUCAUACUAGUGUAAGCGGAUCUCUCCCAUUUUAAUAUAUAAAGUUAAUUGUAUAAUUUAAAAUUAUGUAACUAAUAUUAUUUAUAAAUAUUAUAAGUAUAAAUAUAUUUCUUUAUACGCCUAAAAAAUGUAAAGAAAAUCCACAAUCAAGCUAUUUGUUGAGGGGAGGUCGGACUCUCUGUUGGGAGAAGUCUUCUAAGUGUCAUCUAUUUGGGAGUUGAUGGACCCCUCAAUAAGAGGUAUUGUUCUCGUGUCGGGGUUUUUUCCUUGGCCUCCACAAAAAGCAGCUAUACGAUUCUCUAAGGGGGGCUCGGUUGGUGGAGAGAGGUAUAAUGGCUCUUUGUAGAGGUUGAGGAAAAAACCUUGACACGAGGACAAUACCUUCUGUUGAGGAUUCUGUUGGCUCUCAAGGGGGCAAUACUUCGAAGAAUUCUUCUAAGAGAAAAUCUAACUUCCCCUCAACACUAUUCACACACCCUUAUCCCAAACCAACAACCAAAUAUCACUACAACCACAAUCAAUCAUACAAAAAUGCCAAAUAAUAACAAAUAAAAGCAGGAAGAAAGUCUCCUAUGUUAGCAUACUCAAAUAGGACUUAUGGAAUCAAAGAAAAGAGAAUGAAAAUAUAUAAAAAAAAUGAGACAUAAACGUACUAGAUUCAGUUAGGAGUUAAUCGGAGAGUUUUGGGUGUGGAGGCUCAAACAAAAGGUCAAGGAGAAAGUUUUAUUGAGAAGAUGAACAUAUUGGACUCAAGUGACCAUCUGAUGAUGGCAGACAAAGAUCAAAUAGCUUCCUUGUUAGAGUUUUGAGUUUGAAUCAACGAAGUUUUAGGCCAUUUUAAGGAAAAUUAAAUCAUAAAGUUGAAAGAGGAAGGAUAGGGCUAUACUUUUAUGUGUUUCUUUGCUGAAGGUGGAGGUUGGACAAUGGUGAGAUUACUGGAAUACAAUAGUGAAAGAGGUUCCUAAAACCCUAAAACUUUUGAAUAGUUUAGUGACCAGCUUAUAACUUUUCUGAAAUUGAGUGACCGGAGUGCAAACUUAUUAAUAUUUAAGUGACCUUGGGUGUAGUUUACCCUAUGAUGAAUAGUGAGUUAACGAUCAUGCCAGACAUCCACUAGAAACCUAAUGGUCCAAUGAUUUAAAUGAUAGAUUUUGAAUAGUUAAAUGACUAAUUUGUAACUUUUUAAAUUACUAAUAGCCGAGUAACCUUGAAUGUAAUUUACCCUCUCUUGUUUGACUUAAAAAAUCAAAUACAAGAUGGACUUUUCCACAAUAGGCUGACAUCAACAAUGUGGAAAUAGCACGGUCCAUACCUAUAAUAGUUGAUAUCAAAGGAAGAAGAAUUCAAUGACUAAAUGACAUGAAUAUAAUGUAGAAAAAGUUAUGGAAGAAAGAGUCCACGAACCCCUUUCUUUUUUGCCUCUAGAUUUUUAAGUUUGUGAAGAAAAACUAGUGAUAUUCUUUUUGUCCCUAUAUCUAGUAAACUACCCAUAAAAAUUAUCUCUGGAGUAGAAAUGGAUGACUUAGGGAAAAUUAAACAAAAGUAAUAAUUUUUUGGGAUAAAUUUUAAAAUUAUAUAAAUAUUUAUUCAAUGUGUAAUUUAAUACAUAAAUUUUAAUUUUAUGUAAUUAUAUAUAUAACCCCUUGUAAAAUGGGAAUCCAGAUGAAUUAACAAAUUCAUUUUAGGGGCUGGAAGGGCCCUAACCCUUAUUAAAAUGAGAAAUUUCGUUUUUAGUCUUUUAAAAUUUAUUUUUAAGUUAGUACAUGGUAAAAUUUUACUUUAGCUCUUAAAAAACGAUAAAAUUUUGAUUUAAUCGUUUAAAAAUUAAAAAAAGAUAUAAACUAUUAAAAUGAUAAGAUUUCAUUUUAACUCUCAUAAAGAAUAUAUAAUUUAAUUAUGACUUUUCGAAAAAAUAAAUUUUUGACUUCACCCUUAUUCGAACUUUAAAAAUUACUCGAAAAAAAAGGUUUUGCUGACUAAGGCAACAAAACAAAGGGAAACGAGAUUCACGAGGGGGUGAAGACGAAAUUCAAAACCAAAGUGAUACGAGCCAAGGAGGUGACAUUCAAAGGGUUGUUUUUCCUAGUGGUCCAAUCACUCGAAGCAAGACACGACAAUUAAAAUCAAAGAUGAAUGCUUUUGUCCAAGACUUUGUUGCUACAAAUUUAAUUCAUCAUGUUCGUGACGUUGACAAAUAUGGGAAUGCAAUUCACUGGACCAAUCUUGGAAUAGUGAAAGCCCAUAAAUUGGUGGAUUAAUCUUUUAUGUAUAUUAUUAUUAUUUACUUAAUUCUCAUUGGUUGGGACACAUCACUUAUGAGUUAAGUAAUUUUAUUGAUUAGGUUAUUAUUUAUUUAUUUUCCUAGAUAAUUUUAAAGAGUUUUAUUAGGAUUCAAUUACUCUUGAAAGAGUUUUAUUAGGAUUCAAUUACUCUUGUAAUUUGCCUAUAAAUAGGCUUGCUUUCUACACAUUGGAGGGGGAAUAAAAAGAAGAGUAUUUUGUUUUCUUCGAAAUUUGUGUGAGGCAAAUUUUUGAGAGUAGAGUAAUUCUUCUCUUGCUAUUUAGUUUGGAGUUUGUUACUUUCGAGGGUAUUUCGGAGUUACAAAUAUUCAAAUUUCUUUCCCGUUCAUCGGUGUUUCUAGAGGUUCUUCUUCUAGGGGUUUCGUAGGGAGCCGCUCAAUCAUUGGCGUUUUUGGUUACAAGUUAACCAAGGGUUCAAUAGGGCAAAUCUAUCCUUUUUAUUUAUUUAUUUAUUAUUAUUUAACUAAUUUUAUUUAUUCUCGUUUUAUUUCUAAUUUAUGUUUCUCUUGUGUCUAGAUCCGGGUUUCCGAAUCAAUUGGUAUCAGUUUCAGGCCAUUCGGUGUUAUUUUUGAAGCUAAAAUCAAAUCCGAAGCGAGUCAAAAUACCAAAAACACUUUUCAUCGGUUUCGUCGAUUCUCUUUUUUUUUGAAGUUUGUGUUUAUUCUCCUCUUAUUCUUUAAAAAAAAACCAAAAAAAGCAAAAAGUGCAAAAAAAAAAAGCAAAAAAAAGUUGCCUACCUUUCAUACGUAGGUUUCUUGUUUUCCUAUUAUUGUUAUUAAUUUUAUUUUUAUUUUUCCCAAAAUUGAAUUUCUUUUCCUUUUUCUUUUCUUGACUCAAGUAUAAUUAAAGCUUCAAUUUUUUAAAAUCUUAAGACACCAAACAUUUCCGAUUUUUGUUUUUUUUAAAAUUUGGGUAGAGUUUUCUUAAGUUUUUUUCUUAUUAAAGCUUUUCUUUGACUCUAGAGUUAGGGAUCGUUGCAGGUCUACGUUUUUUUUUGUUUCUCAUACGCUUUCUAACACUUUGUUUCUUCUUGUGUUAGCAGAUAUUAAAGGCACGCACAAUUCCUUCAUCCGUGUAGCCUCCAUUACAAAUUGCCUUAUCAAGUUUAUUGGCCUCUUAGAGCAAUUAGGGUCUUCAUUGUUUCUUGAAGUUUGCACCUCCGUUAUUUAAUCUUGAUUAGUAACCCUCUCCAAACUUAUUUACAAGUUUUGAAUCAUUCAGAGAGUUAUUCUUUUGAGAGCUAACGAGUGAGGUUAUUAUUAUUUUUUCUUUCUUGUUCCUGUUUGUUUGAUCUUUCACAGAUACCAUGCCUCUCACUAGAUCCCAAACUAGUAAAAAUGAAGAGGAUGAGCAAAAAAGAAAGAACGAUCCUUUGGUCGAGUUGUUACAAAAAGAGAUGAAAAAGUUGCAAACUCAAUUCGAACAUUGCGUGACCCAGAUGUUACAAGAGCAAAUGGAGUAUCUUGAUACAAAACUUACAACUCAAGAGAGAUACAUUGCCGAUAAUUACAAGAAGUUGAACGAAUCCUUUAUAAGCCGAUCAAAUUCGUGAGAUCGAACUUUUAAACGAAGGGAGGACCAUGUUUUUGAUGAUGACUUUGAGUCCGAGUAUGUACCUAGAGAAAGGUUGGAACGAAACAAUGACACCCCCAAACCAAAAUUUCCUUCUUUCUCAGGGAAGAAUGAUCCUGAUGCUUACCUUGAUUGGGAGGAAAAGAUGGAAGUAGUCUUUGCUUGUUACAAUUACUCUGAUGAGAAAAAGGUAACAUACGCUGUCGCUGAGUUCAUUGAUUAUGCACUAACAUGGUGGAAUCAAUUAUGUAAAAGCAGGAUUCUUUAUAGAGAGCAACCUGUUACUACUUGGGUUAAAAUGAAGCGCAUCUUGCGAAAACGGUUUGUUCCACCAUACUAUUAUCGAGAACUCCAUCAAAGACUCCAACAUCUUGUUCAAGGAGAUAGAUCUGUGGAUGACUACUACAAAGAGAUGGAGACUAUUCAGAUUAGAGUCAAUCUUGUUGAAGAAGCUGAGAUGACUAUGGCUAGAUUCCUUGCCGGCCUAAAGCUUGAGAUUGCAAAUCGAGUUGAGUUACAACACUACAUAGAUGUUGAAGAGAUGCUUCAAACCGCACUCACCAUUGAAAAUCAAUUACGAAAGAAAGGGACAACGAGGGGUGCUAGUUCAAUUUCUAAUCCUGCUUGGAGAGGAAAUUGGCAAAAACAAGAUGAUAGAUUGUGGAAUAGGAGAGAUGCACGGUUCAAGCCAAAUGAGCCUAGAACUUACUCUAAAGAUAGAGGUAUGCCUAAUUCAUUUAAAGGUUCUACUUCUACUAAUCGAGCUUCAUCUUCUUCUUCUACUUCUCCUAGUGCUAUUAAGCAGCCAAAAGAUAUUACCUGCUUCAAAUGCCAAGGAAGGGGUCACUAUGCUCAAGAAUGCCCUAAUAAAAAGUAAUUGGUGAUUCGAGAAGAUGGCGGGGUUGAUUUUGAGUCUGAUAACGAAGAUGAGAUGCCUCCUUUGGAAGAUGCUGAUGAUGUGCAUACUCAUGAUGAGUAUGAAGAAUACUUGGAGUAUGGUGAGAAAGCACUUGUUGCUCGAAGGGCUUUAAAUGUCCAAUUUAAAGAGGAAGGGCGCGAACAAAGAGAUAACAUUUUCCACACGAGAUGUUUGAUUGGUGGACAACCUAGUUCAUUGAUCAUCGAUAGUGGAAGUUGCACCAAUGUGGUAAGUUCUUCCCUUGUUGAGAAACUUGGCCUACCUUGUGUGAAGCAUCCAAGGCCAUACCGCUUGCAAUGGCUGAAUGAUAGUGGGGAGGUAAAAGUAUCUAAACAAUGCUUAGUUUCAUUUUCCAUUAGUAGAUACUCUGAUAAAGUUUUGUGUGAUGUUGUUCCAAUGCAAGCUGGGCACAUAUUACUUAGACGGCCAUGGCAGUUUGAUCGACAAGUAAAUCAUGAUGGUUUCCUUAACCAAUAUACCUUUGUGUUCCUUGGAAAGAAGUUUACUUUGGCUCUAUUUCCUCCUCAAGAAGUCUACAAUUUUGAACUCAAACUUGCUAGUGAGAUGGGUAAGGGAAGUGAGGUAAAAUCAUUAAAAAAGGCUGAGAGUAAAGAGGCCCUUAGUGUUAAAAGCCAACUUAAAGGCCCAACAUUGGUGAGUGAUUGCACACACAAGUCACGAGAUGAGAAAGUGAGUUUAUUCGCUAGGUUUCGAGAUAUCAAAUUUGCUCUUUGUACAAAACAAACAUUUGUAAUUAUUAGGUUUAGGGAAAAAUUUGUUUUGACUAACCCUAAUACACAUUUGCCUAGUUGUUUUGUUGAUCUUUUGCAGGAUUUUAAGGAUGUAUUUCCUUCUGAAAUGCCUAAGAGAUUACCUCCUUUACGAGGGAUUGAACAUCAAAUUGACUUUGUGCCUGGUUCGAGUAUUCUGAAUAAACCAGUCUAUCGAAGCAAUCCUGAAGAAACUAAGGAGUUGCAAAGGCAAGUUAAAGAUCUCUUAGAGAAAGGGUUGAUUCGUGAGAGUCUAAGCCCUUGUACGGUUCCUGUACUUCUCGUCCCAAAAAAGAUGGUUCUUGGAGAAUGUGUGUUGAUUGUCGUGCUGUCAACAAGAUUACGGUAAAGUAUCGAUAUCCAAUUCCUUGAUUAGAUGAUAUGUUGGAUGAGCUUAAUGGUGCAUGCAUUUUCUCUAAAAUUGACUUAAAAAGUGGUUACCAUCAAAUAAGAAUGAAACAAUGUGAUGAAUGGAAAACUAAUUUUAAGACUAAGUAUGGCCUGUAUGAGUGGUUAGUCAUGCCAUUUGGCUUAACUAAUGCUCCUAGCACAUUCAUGAGAUUAAUGAACCACAUACUUAGACCUUUUUUAGGAAAAUUUGUCGUUGUGUAUUUUGAUGACAUACUGAUUUAUAGCAAAACUUUGAAUGAUCAUGUUGGGCAUGUUAAAUUAGUAUUGGAUGUGUUAAGGCAUGAACGACUCUUUGCUAAUCUUGAAAAAUGCACCUUUUGUAUGGAUAAGCUUGUUUUUUUGGGUUUUGUGAUAAGUUCUACAGGAAUCCAUGUGGAUGAGGAGAAGGUAAAGGCAAUUAAAGAAUGGCCUAUCCCUAAAACUGUUUCUGAGGUAAGGUCUUUCCUUGGGUUAGCCGGUUUCUACCGCAGGUUUGUUCGUAACUUUUCCACAAUUUCUUCGCCUUUGACUGCACUUAUUAAAAAGGAUGUAUCUUUUCAUUUGACAGAUAAGCAAGAAUUAACAUUUAAUGAACUUAAAGAUAAAUUGUGUAAUGCUCCUAUUCUUUUUUUACCUAAUUUUGAAAAGACCUUUGAGAUUGAAUGUGAUGCUUCUGGUGUAGGUAUAGGUGCCGUCCUCAUGCAAGAUAGUAAACCACUAGCCUACUUUAGUUAGAAACUUGGUGGAGCACAUUUGAACUAUUCGACCUAUGAUAAAGAGUUGUAUGCCUUGGUAAGGGAAUUAGAAGUUUGGCAACAUUACCUUUUACCAAAGGAGUUUGUGAUUCACACUGACCAUGAAUCACUUAAGCACUUAAAAUGACAAGGUAGGUUGAACAAGAGACAUGCGAGGUCGGUUGAAUUCAUUGAAUCUUUUCCUUAUGUUAUAAGGUAUAAGAAAUGUAAAGAUAAUAUUGUGGCUGAUGUUUUAUUAAGGAGGUGCACUUUACUUAGUACUUUGCAUACUAAGUUAUUAGGUUUUGAGUAUCUCAAAGAUUUAUAUGCUACUGAUUCUGAUUUUACAAGCAUUUAUGACGCAUGUGAACAUGGUGCAUUUCAAAAAUUUUAUAAGCAUAAUGGCUAUCUUUUUCGAAAUAAUAGACUAUGCUUACCAAAGUGUUCAAUGCGAGAAUUGUUGGUUCGAGAGGCUCAUAGUGGUGGUCUUAUGGGUCAUUUUGGAGUCAUUAAGACUUAUGAUGUUUUACAUGAGCAUUUUUAUUGGCCUAACAUGAGAAAACUUGUUGAGAAAAUUUGCUCUACUUGCAUUACUUGUAAACAAGCUAAAUCCACUGUGAUGCCUCAUGGUCUAUAUACUCCUCUUCCUGUUCCUAGUUCACCUUGGACUGACAUUUCAAUAGAUUUUGUAAUAGGUUUACCAGGGACAAAGCGUGGAUGAGAUAGCAUCUUUGUGGUUGUGGAUUGAUUUUCUAAAAUGGCUCAUUUCAUUCCAUGCCAUAAGACUGAUGAUGUAACCCAUGUUGCCGAUCUAUUUUUCCGUGAAGUUGUGAGAUUACAUAGAAUCCCAAGGACUACCGUUUCUGAUAGAGAUGCAAAAUUUCUUAGUCACUUUUGGAAGGUGUUAUGGGGUAAGUUAGGUACUAAACUACUUUACUCUACUACAUGCCACCCUCAAACUGAUGGUUAAACCGAGGUGGUAAAUCAAGUUUUGGGAUCUUUGCUUAGAGCCAUAAUAGGUAAGAAUGUUAAAUCUUGGGAAGAAUGGAUACCCUAUGUUGAGUUUGCUUAUAAUCGUUCUGUUCAUUCUUCCACAAGUUUUACUCCUUUUGAGAUUGUAUAUGGCUUUAAUCCACUUACUGUUUUAGAUUUGUUUCCUUUACCUUUGAAUGAGAUUGCUAAUUUAGAUGGUGAAAGGAAAGCUGAUUUAGUGAAAGAGAUCCAUGAGAAGGCUCGUAAAGCCAUUGAGAAAAAGAAUGAGUCCAAUGCACAUCGAGCUAAUAAAGGGCGGAAGCAAGUCUUGUUUGAACCUGGAGAUUGGGUAUGGGUGCAUAUGAGGAAGGAACGAUUUCCUUCUAAGAGAAAGAAUAAACUUGAUGCACAAGGAGAUGGACCAUUCCAAGUACUCGAGAAAAUAAAUGACAAUGCUUAUCGCAUUGAUCUUCCUGGUGAGUAUAGUGUUAGUGCUACUUUCAAUGUUUCUGAUCUUUCUCCUUUUGAAUUUGAUGUAGGUUCAGAUUCGAGGACGAAUCUUCUUGAAGAGGGGGAGAAUGAUAGGAGCCAAGGAGGUGACAUUCAAAGGGUUGUUUUUCCUAGUGGUCCAAUCACUCGAAGCAAGGCACGACAAUUAAAAUCAAAGAUGAAUGCUUUUGUCCAAGACUUUGUUGCUACAAAUUUAAUUCAUCAUGUUCGUGACGUUGACAAAUACGGGAAUGCAAUUCACUGGACCAAUCUUGGAAUAGUGAAAGCCCAUAAAUUGGUGGAUUAAUCUUUUAUGUAUAUUAUUAUUAUUUACUUAAUUCUCAUUGGUUGGGACACAUCACUUAUGAGUUAAGUAAUUUUAUUGGUUAGGUUAUUAUUUAUUUAUUUUCCUAGAUAAUUUUAAAGAGUUUUAUUAGGAUUCAAUUACUCUUGAAAGAGUUUUAUUAGGAUUCAAUUACUCUUGUAAUUUGCCUAUAAAUAGGCUUGCUUUCUACACAUUGGAGGGGGGAAUAAAAAGAAGAGUAUUUUGUUUUCUUCGAAAUUUGUGUGAGGCAAAUUUUUGAGAGUAGAGUGAUUCUUCUCUUGCUAUUUAGUUUGGAGUUUGUUACUUUUGAGGGUGUUUCGGAGUUACAAAUAUUCAAAUUUCUUUCCCGUUCAUCGGUGUUUCUAAAGGUUCUUCUUCUAGGGGUUUCGUAGGGAGCCGCUCAAUCAUUGGCGUUUUUGGUUACAAGUUAACCAAGGGUUCAAUAGGGCAAAUCUAUCCUUUUUAUUUAUUUAUUUAUUUAUUAUUUAACUAAUUUUAUUUAUUCUCGUUUUAUUUCUAAUUUGUGUUUCUCUUGUGUCUAGAUCCGGGUUUCCGCAUCACAAAGGGAUAAUCAAAGGAGAAAAGUCGUAUAAAAUAUAUGUGGUAGCAGGGAAGAGAUGCUAAGGGAUUAGAUAUUUAUAAUAUUAAUUUAUAUUUUGUUAUUCAAUAUAUAUUUAAUUCUUUUCACUAUUUAUUGUUAUACAAAUAUUAGAUUUAUUUAAAAAUUAUGCUAUUUGUUUGUUGAAUUAAUCGUAUUUUUAGGCCGGAGCAAUAAACCUAUUUGAAGUGGUUCAUAUUGUCCUAGAAAAACCCAUGUACGAACAAUGAUUAAUUUUACUUUCCCACCUAACUACUCUUGGCUGGGAUAGGUCUUGGUGGAGAAGUUAUAGACACAUUUUCAUACUUUGUAUCUGGAAUACUUUACUUAAUUUCUUUUGAUGUAUUGAGUUUUGGUAGUAUUUAUCAUGCACUUUGGGACCUGAAACUUUUGAAGAAUCUUUUUCAUUUUUCGGUUAUAUAUGGAAAUGUAGAAAUAAAAUGACCAUAAUUUUGGGUAUUCACUUCAGUUUGCUUCGUAUAGGUACUUUCCUUCUAGUAUAUGAUAUUUGGGCUCGGUUCAACAUAUUGAUACUAAAUAUAAAUCUAACAUAAACCUAGUGGCCCAUGAAUGCUUUACAUGCUAAUAAAAUCAACUAAUAUUUUAUAAAUACUAUUAAACAUUUUCAGUUAAUAUAAAUGUUGAUCAAAUAACAUAAAAAUUCAUGUACAUUUUUUUACAUAAAUUUAGAAUCUUUUAUCCACUAUCUUAAAUCUAUUGACAUCGACAUUGUUUCUAGUGCAGGAGAAUGUGGAUUCGAGUACACUGAGACAUAUCCUCUUAUUUGAAAGUUAGGGAGAAAUUAUAGAUAAUUCUAAACAUUAUUUCAAAUUUUAUUAUAUUGGAUGAAUGGUUAUUUUAGAUCACAAGCUAAAUUUUGGGUUUUAUUUAGUAUGAGCUUUGUUAAUAAACUUAUUUAGGAACCUGAGCCAAAUGUAUAAUAUAUGGAUAUAGGUUGUAGUAUUUUUUUCGUAUUUAAAUGAUAAUUUUCGUUGUAGAAUCACCUUUGGUGAUUAUUGUGAUGUGGAUUUCAUAAUUAAUAUUGCACGUGAAAUUUAAGGUUUUCCAAAAACCUUAAUUGUUUUUGAAGACUUUUGUUAUUAUACCCCGAUCCAUAUGACAUCCAUCACCGUCAAAUGACAAAAAGUAAUUUAAUGCACAUGAAUUGUGCCUCUACUGGGGUAGUAGGUCUUGGCGGAGAAGUUAUAGACACAUUUUCAUACUUUGUAUCUGGAAUACUUCACCUAAUUUCCUCUGCUAUAUUGAAUUUUGGCGGUAUUUAUCAUGCGUUUUGAGAUCUGAAACUCUUAAAGAAUCUUUUUCAUUUUUCGGUUAUGUAUGGAAAGAUAAAAAUAAAAUGACCAUAAUUUUGGGUAUUAACUUCAUUUUGCUUGGUAUAGGUGCUUUUCUUCUAGUAUACGAUAGCUGAGCUCGGUUCAAUUUUAAAUAAAAUAAUCUAAUAUUUCGAAUUAAACCAAACUUAAACAAACGUAUUGAUAUUAAAUAUAAACCUACCGGCCCAUGAAUGCUUUACAUACUAAUAAAAUCAACUAAUAUUUUAUAAAUACUAUUAAAUAUUUUCAGUUAAUAUAAAUAUUGAUCAAAUAACAUAAAAAUUCAUGUACAUUCGUUACAUAAAGUUAGAAUCUUUUGUCCACUGUCUUAAAUCUAUUGAUAUCAGUAUUGUUACUAGUGCAGGAAAAUAUGGGUUCGAGUACACUGAGACAUAUUAUCCUCUUAUUUAAAGGUUAGAGAGAUUAUAAGUAAUUCUAAGCAUUAUUUCAAAUUUUAUUAUAUGGGAUGAAUGGUUAUCUUAGAUCACAAGCUAAAUUUUGGGUUUUAUUUACUAUGAGCUUUGCUAAUAAACUUAUUGCAUUAAUAUUGGGCUAUUUGGUUUAUAAGACUCUUCGACCUCUUUUUUUUUAGAAUAAAAACAAAUUGAGCUCAUUUUUUUUAAUUUCAAGUAUAUUUAUAUAAUAUUAAAUAUAUAAAUAUGUUUUAUUAUUUUGUUAUUAAAUAUUACAAAAAAUUACAAAUAAAUCAACAAAUUACAGAAAAAAAAACUCCUAAGUUUUACAGAUUUUAUGAUUUGAUCCUUAUGUUCUGAAAUAUUAACUGUUUAGGUGAUGAAUGAAUAUUUGUUACACGUUUUAAGCCUUUAUUUAUUAAAUUUGCUUUAUUUCUAUGGAUUUUUAAUUAAAUUUGAGGACAAGGCAUAAUGUUAAAUUUAGUUCUUAACAUUUAUAUAUUUUAUCCAUUUGGCCUUAAUUAUUUUUUUGAGAUAAAUUUUGGCCUUCAACCUUUUAGAAAAGAGUUAAAAUGAUGUUUUUUAAUGAGAAUACUAAUUAAAAUGUCAAAAAUUUAAACACGAUAGCCUACAUGACAAUCCCCGUGCACUCUGAGUUAUUUCUUUUGAAAUUUUAUGAACCUUUUAUAUUUUUUAAUUUUGAUUUUUAUAAUUUUGAAUUGUUUAGUAUGAUUGGACUCUUUUUGAAAAAGUUAAUGGUAAAAUUUAGCUCAAAAAAGAAUAAAAGCCAAAUUGAUAAAAAAAAUAUAAAUGUUGAGGGCUAAAUUUAUCAUUAUACCAUUUUACAACUAGUUAUAUUUAAGUUGGUACUAUUCAUUAAAAUCAUUUAAAAUAGAUCAUACAUCUAGACUUGUUCGUGGGUCAGGCUACUCGUAUAGAUCUGAAUAAAAAUAUUAGGCCCAAAAAUGGGUUUGGCCGAAAAAAAUAAGCUUGUUUAAAAUAGGGGCUAGACUCGAGCUUGAAUGUUUAAGGACCAAGCCCAACUCGACCUGCUUUUAAGUUUAUAAUAUUUUAUAUUAUGUAAGAUAGCUUAUUGAUAAAUAUAUUGAUAAGAAAUUUAAAUAUUAAGAAAAAUACGUAAAUUUUUCAAAAUUUUACAUCUUAGUUAAAUAAACUGUACGCUUUGGGUCUUAAAUCUUGUUAUAUAUAUGAUGUAUAUGAUUCGUUUAAAAAUUAAAUUAUUAGAGUUAUUUUCAAAAAUUUAAAUUAAAAAAAUAAAGAAAAGAAGAAAUAAUAUUAUAUAAAUAAAAAAGCAAGGAUAUAAUAGGAAAGAAAGACUUCAAACGAUUGACACUGACAGUACCAUUGACAGUAACACUAAACACUGUUACUCAAAGGAAGCUCCAGUACGUUUGAAAUCAAAGCAAGGGUAAAUGUUGCUUCAUUUCCACCCUUGUGGGGAUGUUUUCAAAUCUAAUUUGAUAUCUUUUAUACAAAAUAAUAUAUAUAUAUAUAUAUAUAUAUGAACCUAUUUCUCCCUUUUUUUUGCCUUCUGUUCUAUUUUGUUUGUUAUAACAUUGAAGUCAAUUUUUCUUAAGAAUAUUAUUCCAACAAAACAAAAAUAGUUUGAAUGAGUUUUUUUAAGAAUAAAUCUGCAUUAACAUUUUAACUGAAAUAGUAAAGAGACCAAAAUUUGUUAAAAAAAAAGUAUAAGAAUUAAAUAUCAAAUUUAAGGGAUCAAAAACAAAAUAUGGUUGAAGGCUCUCUAUACUUAAAAAUAAACUAUACCAAAUAAAAGUAUUGGGAUUAAAUCUCUUAAGCAUGUUGCACUUACAAGUAGCGAAAGAGAGGAAAAACAAACUUUCAACUCAAAUGAGAGAAUAUGAUAUUUAUUGAAUUGAUGAAUAAUUUCAAAUGGUUCUAGCCUUUUAUAGGCUAUAUAAUAGUUAAAAUUAGUAACUCAAAGCUAAAAAUAACAAAGCCGAAUGAGAGAAAAAUCCUCAAUAAUCUCUAAUUUCUAAGGAUUAUUUACCAAAAAAACCUCAACAAUCCCUCCCUUAAAUUGAAAGUACACUGAACUUUCAGUUUAAUAAAUUUUUGCUACUUGAUGUCAAAGACCAAGUAUUUUCCUGAACUUGACAAAUGAUGCCAACUUGAGAGGUUUAGUAAAUACAUCAACAACUUGAUUCUCACUUCUGCAAUACUUUAGCUUAAUUGCUCUUUCAUUGCUGAGAUAUGAUAGAAAGUAAUAUUUUACAUCAAUAUGCUUGCUUCUUCCAUGCAACACGAGAUUGUUUGACAACUUGAUGGUUGAGUUGUUAUCACACAAAAUUAUAGGGGCUUUUUCUGGCUUGAAUUGUAGUUGUUCAACGAUUCUCCUAAGCCAAAUAGCUUGACAAGCACAAGCUGUAGUCUCAAAAAAUAAGACAAUGGAUUGUUUCUUAGAUGACCACGAAAUAUCCCCUGUUCCAAGCAUAAAAACAUAACCUAAAAUGCUUAUUCUGUCAUCUUGUUCUCUUGCAUAAUCACUGCCAGUGAAGCUAAUCAUGUUUGGCUUUUCACCUUUCUUCUAGAAAAUCCCAAAUCUUUGGUUCCUUAUAAGUAAUAAAGGAUUAUAUUAGCAACUAAUAAAUGUUUUUCAAUCGGGCUCUCCGUGUCCCUACUAAUAAGACUCAUAGAAUACAUAAUGUUUGGCCUCGUAGCAGUUAGAUACAUCAAACUACCUGUAAUUUGCUUGUAAAUUAUGCUAUCCACUUUUUUUAAUAAGUUUUAAGCCAAACUCAGUUAGAGUGUUGGAAGAGUUACAAUUCGUCAUCUUGAAUUUGUCCAAAAUAUCUCUCACAUACUUUUUCUCUUCCUUCAAGUAUCCAUGUAAGAAUGUCGACUUGAUAUGUAACUGAAAGAUUGACCAAGAGUUCUGCGCUACUAAAGCAAUCACCAAUCUGAUGGUGUUAUGUCUUGCAACUAGGGCAAAAACUUUUGUGUAGUCCAGACCAUACUCUUGUUUGUACCCUUUAGCCGCUAAUUGCAUAUUGCACAUCUCAACCUCCCUAUUUUCAUUCAACUUCGUCUUGUAGAUCCAUUUGACACCAAUGGUUUUGUGCCCCUCAAGAAGAUCAGUCAUCUCCUAAGUAUCAUUCCUUUUAAUGGCUUCAAUUUUAGCAUCUAUUGCCUCUUUCCAUUUACCAAAUUGGCAACAUUUUCAAAACUUGUUGGGCCACAAUCUAUAAAUAAUGCAAAUUGAGCAAUUGUAUAAUGGUUUUCUCUAAUUUUGGUUAUGUCAUAAUCUUACAUCCAUGCUGGCCUUCGAACAUGACGAAGUGCUUCAACUAUUGUACUAGUUUCUUCUUCAUGUGUAAACAAUACUUUAGUGGCUAAUGGAGAAGUAUUCUUGAACAUUUCUUCAGCUUUAUUAUCACAAAGGACUUGGGUAGGUUGUGCUUCAUCCCAAUACCAAGUGUUCUCUUCAUGAAACACAACUCUUGGCUAAUCAUGACCUUCUUUGUCACAGGAUUGAACAAUUUGUAUGCCUUUGAUGUUUCACUAAUACUAAGAAAGACACAUCAACAAGCUUCUUCCAUUUCUCCUCCGAGACAUGUGUUUAGGUAAUGCACUUAAAAAUUUUGAAGUGAUCUACCACUGGUCUCCUUCCAAUCUAAGCCUUCUCUGGAGUCACAUAUCGAAGAGCAUUAAUAGGGCUCCUAUUCAAGAUGUGGAUGUUCCAAUUUAUAGCUUUUGACCAAAACACCUUUGGAAUUCUCCCUCUUGCUAGUAGGCUUCGAACCAUGUUGAGAAUGGUUCAAUUUUUUCUCUCUGAUACAUCAUUUUGUUGUAGUGUAUAAGCAGUUGUGAGCUUUCUUUGGAUGCUGUGAACAUCACAAGUCUUCAAACACCUCAGAGGAAUAUUCACCACCACGACUAGUUCGAAGAUCUUGAAUGGUUCUUCCUUUAUCAUUUUCUACACCAGCUUUAAAGCUUUUAAAUACAUUAAAAGCUUUUGAUUUUUCUUGUAAAGGUAAAUCCAAGUCCUACAAGAAUAAUAAUCAAUAAAGGUAAUAAAAUUCCAUUAGAAAUUGGAUUUAUUGGCCCACAAAUGUCUGGAUGCACCAACUCUAAUACCUCUUUUGCUUUCCAUGACUUACCUUUAGGAAAUUGAGAUUGAUGUGGUUUGCUAGCAACAAAUUCUUCACAAAAUAGGGAAGGAAAGAUAAUUGGAGGAAGACCAGUCACCAUAUUUUUCUUUUUAAGUAUUUUCAAACCACCAAAGUUUAAAUGACCAUAGCAAAAAUACCACAACCAAGAAGGAUAUUUAACUUUUGCUAUUAAACAAGAUUGAACAACCUCAAUCUUAAAUGGAAACAACCUAUUCUGAAUUAUUUCCAUAAUAGCGACAACUGUUCUAGAUGGAUCAGAAAUCUCACAAGCACCAUUCCUGAGAGUGACAACAUACCCCUUUUCCAAUAGUGGCAUCAAAGCCAAGUUUGUUCUUGUUAGCUUAGAAAAGGUUUCACCUAUGGCCUUGGAAAGUAGUUUUGUUCAAGUAGUUAUUCCUUAUUUUGAUGAUCACUAUGACCAUUGGAGUAUGCUAAUGGAGAAUUUCCUAUGGUCAAAGAAGUAUUGGCCAAUGGUUGAAGCAGGUAUCGAAGAGUCUGUAGAAGGAAAAACUUUGAUGAAUGCCCUGAAAGUAAAGUUUGAAACAAGAAAGUUGAAAGAUUUGAAGGUGAAAAAUUAUCUCUUUCAAGCUAUUGAUUGUCCCAUCUUGAAAACUAUUCUUUGAAAAAAAAAACUUCCAAGGAUAUAUGAGAUUCCAUGAAGAAAAACUAUCAAGACUCUACUAGAAUGAAGCAAUGACAUAUUCAAGCCUUGAGGACGGACUUCGAGACUCUAUAGAUAAAGGAAGGGGAUUCUAUCACUAGCAAUUGUGCUAGAACCAUGGAGAUUUGUAAUAGGAUGAAGUUCUAUGAUGAGAAAAUGGAGGAUGCCACCAUAGUGGAGAAGAUUUUGCGCUCUAUGAUGCCGAAGUUUGAUCAUGUCGUUUGCAUCAUUGAAGAGUCAAAAGACAUAGAUGAAUUGUCUCUUGAUGAGUUGUAAAACUCUUUAUUUGUGCAUGAGCAGAAGAUGAGUUGUACUUCAGCCUUCAAGAAACAAACUUUGAAGGCUUCUAUUUUUUUUUCAAUUUUAUAGGAUUGCGUAAAGGUUGAGGGAUAUAUUUGGAAAUGUGCCUAUAUUUUAGUAAACAUGUAACUGUUUUUUUAUUUAUUUAAACAGUGAAUUAAUAAAUAAAGUUAAUUUUACAUUUCACUAGUAUGUCUUUUGUAUUUUCUGUCUUUUAUAUUUAAAAUGCAUAGCAAAAUUGUAACAAGCAAAUAUUAGCUCAUUGAUUGUCUAAAGUUCAAACUAAAGAUAAGUGACAUUGUAAAGAACAUUUACAUUGUGAGAAAGAUGACUUAUUUUAGUAGAUAAUCUAAAUGAGUCCUUAAUCUCGUAAAAGAAUCAAAGUGAGCAUUUGAUUUAAAUACUGAGAAGGAUUAUUAUGUCGUCUACAAUUUCAAUUGGGGAUAUGGCUAGUCUUGGCUAUCGAAGCAGUUGACUCCAUUAGUAGAGAAAUAGAUGUAUUCAUUGGUAGAAUGAUACAUUGGAUUGGACCCAAUAUGAAUUAAUUCUGAAUCUAUUUGUGAAUUAAUUCACUUGUGACGUUUAUGGUGUUGUUUAUCCAAAUCUUGAGUUAGUCACGGACCAUACGUAUGUAACCCAUGUGCUUUGAUAUGAGUGGAGGCUUAUGCUCUAAAGAGGAUCGAGCCCAUACUCGGUAUGGUGGGUACAUAACUUGUAUAUGGCAUGACUUUACUAGCAACAGUGGAAUUCAUAGCUCAAUUAAAGAGUUAAUGAUAUCAUCUCAUUGGCAUUGUGUGGUGAAACACCCCUAACCCCUAUUCAUCGCCGAAUUAGGGUUACAGGGAAUUACCAAACAAAGCGUGAUUUACCACAAUCAUUAACUCACCACAGAAUAACUAUACUUUUAUUUUAUUAUCAGAGUUUAAAUAUUCACAGAUCAGUUAAAAGGCUAAUCAUAGCUUACGAAUCAACACUAUUUAAAAAUUUCGAAUUCGAACUUACAUAUAUAAACAAUAGAACAUGUUCCAUGCUUAAUAGUCAAUUCUAGCAACAUAUACUAAACCAUUCAAAACAAACAAUGUUAAAGCUUACCACCAUAAUUGAUUUCGAAUAAUCUAGGCAUAUUCAAUUAUAUAUUUAAUUCAUGUCAACCUACAUUCUUGCUUAAUACUAAAUUUGUGUAAAAACAACCAUUUCAUUUGAGCCAAUUUAAAACAUUCACAUUUCAUAAUCACUACUUAGCUAAUUUAAGCAUAUUACAUCAUUGCAUAUAAAUCAUUCAAUCCAUAAUAAAUUUAUAUAAUAUUAUGACAGAACCUAUUUUAUAUCAACUAGCAUACCCAAAUAUGAAAUAUAACCAUUCCAUAUAUGUCUCAUCACUUUAAUACAUCUUUUAUUCAAAUAUAUUAGAACCUUAUAACCAAUUUUUCUAACUACACCUAAGGCCGAACAUAUACCCACUAUUACAUUUUACUUAUUAAAUCUCUUAAGCAUGUUGCACUUACAAGUAGCGAAAGAGAGGAAAAACAAAUUUUCAACUCAAAUGAGAGAAUAUGAUAUUUAUUGAAUUGAUGAAUAAUUUCAAAUGGUUCUAGCCUUUUAUAGGCUUUAUAAUAGCUAAAAUUAGUAACUCAAAGCUAAAAAUAGCAAAGCCGAAUGAGAGAAAAAUCCUCAAUAAUCUCUAAUUUCUAGGGAUUAUUUACCAAAAAAACUCAACAAUCCUUCCCUUAAACUGAAAGUACACUGAACUUUCAGUUUAAUAAAUACUUACUAUUUGAUGUCAAAGACCAAGUAUUUUCCUGAACUUGACAAAUGAUGCCAACUUGAGAGGUUUAGUAAAUACAUCAACAACUUGAUUCUUACUUCUGCAAUACUUUAGCUCAAUUACUCUUUCAUUGAUAAGAUAUGACAGAAAGUAAUAUUUUACAUCAAUAUGCUUGCUUCUUCCAUGCAACACGAGAUUGUUUAACAACUUGAUGGCUGAGCUGUUAUCACAAAAAAUUAUACUGGCUCUUUCUGGCUUGAAUUGUAGUUGUUCAAGGAUCCUUCUAAGCCAAAUAGCUUGACAAGCACAAGUUGUAGUGUCAAAAAAUAUGACAAUGGAUUGUUUCUUAGAUGACCACGAAAUUUCCCCUGUUCCAAGCAUAAAAACAUAACCUAAAAUGCUAAUUCUGUCAUCUUGAUCUCUUGCAUAAUCACUGCCAGUGAAGCUAAUCAUGUUUGACUUUUCACCCAUCUUGUAGAAAAUCCCAAAUCUUUGGUUCUUUAUAAGUAACGAAGGAUUCUCUUAGUAGCUAGUAAAUGUUUUUCAACCGAGCUCUCUAUGUACCUGCUAAUAAGACUCAUAGAAUACGUAAUGUCAGGCCUCGUAGUAGUUAGAUACAUCAAACUACCUACAAUUUGCUUGUAAAGUAUGCUAUCCGAAUUCUUUAAUAAGUUUUAAGCCAAACUCAGUUGGAGUGUUGGAAGAGUUACAAUUCGUCAUCUUGAAUUUGUCCAAAAUCUCUCUCACAUACUUUUUCUCUUCUUUCAAGUAUCCAUGUAAGAAUGUCGAUUUGAUAUCUAACUGAAAUAUUGACUAAGAGUUCUGCGCUACUAAAGCAAUCACUGUGCAGCCCAAAUUUUACCCGGGCCUAAUAUUCAAAACAGUCCAGAAACCCAAAACCCAAAUAUCCAAACCCAACAACCCAAUAGGCCCAACUGUCUAAACCUAGCCCCAAAAAAAAUCAAAUCAGAAAUAACAAGUCAAACCUUAGGUGCGCCGCAUUUAGGGGUUCCUAGCUCUGCUGGCCGCCACAUCUGCCACUGCCAUUGCCGCCACUGCCACCGCCACUUGCACCUGCAAUAUCAAAAAGGAAAUGACAGCAAGCAAAAAAGAAUAAAAAAUGUAAAAAAUAUGGCUAUAUAGAGGCCAUUUGAACCGAUUGUAAUUUUUUUAUAGGGAAUAAAAAAAGAACUAAAAAAAAAACAACAAAUCAGAGAGAAAAAAACUUGGAAGGUGAUUUUCGUUUUUUCUAUUCUGCUAUUGAGUUCUUUUUCCUUUUCUAUUCAUUUAAUUUAAUUUUUACUUUAUUUUUUUAGUUUUUCUUUAAUCUAAAUUUUUUGAAAUAUAUAUAUAAACUAAUAUUGGUUUUAUUUUAAAAAAAGAGAAAGAAAUCAUACCUUUGAAUAUUUUUGCAACGGCGUACGGCAGACGGUCGCACCAUGGCCAGAGGAAGGGAAAGGUUGUGUGGAAAGAAGGGAAGAGCUUUGAUUUUUUUUAGGGAUAGUGGCAGAAAUGAUUUUUUUAAAAAAAAUUUGGGGCUUAUAUAGGGUGCCCCUUAGCCGCUAAUUGCGUAUUGCAUUUCUCAACCUCCCAAUUUUCCCUCAACUUCGUCUUGUAGAUCCACUUGACACUAAUGGUUUUGUGCCCGUCAAGAAGAUCGGUCAUCUCCUAAAUAUCAUUCCUUUUAAUGGCUUCGAUUUUAGCAUCCAUUGCCUCUUUCUAUUUUACCUCAUUGGUAAUAUUUUCAAACCUUGUUGGGCCACAAUCUGUAAAUAAUACAAAUUGAGCAAUUGCAUCAUCGUUUUCUCUAAUUUUGGUUACGUCAUAAUCUUACAACCAUGCUGGCCUUCUUCGAACAUGACGAAGUGCUUCAGCUAUUGUACUAGUUUCUUCUUCAUAUGCAAAUAAUACUUUAGUGGCUAAUAGAGAAGUAUUCUUGAGCAUUUCUUCAGCUUUAUUAUCACAAAGGACUUGAGUAGGUUGUGCUUCAUCCCAAUCCCAAAUGUUCUCUUCAUGAAAUACAACUCUCGGCUAAUCAAGACUUUCUUUGUCACAAGGUUGAACAAUUUGUAUGCCUUUGAUGUUUCACUAACACCAAGAAAGACACAUCAACAAGCUUCUUCCAUUUCUCCUCUGAGACAUGUGUUUAGGUAAUGCACCUAAAAAUUCUAAAGUGAUCUACCACUGGUCUCCUUCCACUCUAAGCCUUCUCUGGAGUCACAUCUCGAAGAGCAUUAGUAGGGCUCCUAUUCAAGAUGUGGAUGUUCCAAUUUAUAGCUUUUGACCAAAACACCUUUGGAAUUCUCCCUCUUGCUAGUAGGCUUCGAACCAUGUUGAGAAUGGUUUAAUUUUUCCUCUUUGAUACAUCAUUUUUUUUGUAGUGUAUAAGCAUUUGCGAGCUCUCUUUGGAUGCUGUGAACAUCACAAGUCUUCAAAUGCCUUAGAGGAAUAUUCACCACUACGACUAGUUAGAAGAGCUUGAAUGAUUCUUCGUUUUUCAUUUCCUACACUAGCUUUAAAGCUUUUAAAUGCAUUAAAAGCCUUUGAUUUUUCUUGUAAAGGUAAACCCAAGUCUUACAAGAAUAAUAAUCAAUAAAGGUAAUAAAAUUCCAUUAGAAAUUGGAUUUAUUGGCCCACAAAUGUCUGAAUGCACCAACUCUAAUACCUCUUUUACUUUCCAUGACUUACCUUUAGGAAAUUGAGAUUAAUGUGGUUUGCUAGCAACAAAUUCGUUACAAACUAGGGAAGGAAAGAUAAUUGGAGGAAGACUAGUCUCCAUAUUUUUCUUUUUAAGUAUCUUCAAACCACCAAAGUUUAAAUGACUAUAGCAAAAAUACCACAACCAAGAAGGAUUUUUAACUUCUACUAUUAAACAAGAUUGAACAACCUCAAUCUUCAAUGGAAACAACCUAUUCUGACUUAUUUCCAUAAUAGCAACAACUGAUCUAAAUGGAUCAGAAAUCUCACAAGCACCAUUCCUGAGAGUGACAACAUACCCAUUUUCCAACAGUGGCAUCAAAGCCAAGUUUGUUCCUGUUAGCUUAGAAAAGGUUUCACCUAUGGCUUUGGAAAGUAGUUUUGUUCAAGUAGUUAUUCCUUGUUUUGAUGAUCAUUAUGACCAUUGGAGUAUGCUAAUGAAGAAUUUCAUAUGGUCAAAGAAGUAUUGGCUAAUGGUUGAGGCAGGUAUCGAAGAGUCUGCAGAAGGAGAAACUUUAACGAAUGCCCAGAAAGUAAAGUUCGAAGCGAGAACGCUAAAAGAUUUGAAGGUGAAAAAUUAUCUUUUUCAAGCUAUUGAUUGUCCCAUCUUGAAAAUUGUUCUUUGCAAAAAAAUUCCAAGGAUAUAUGAGAUUCCAUGAAGAAAAUGUAUCAAGGCUCUGCUAGAGUGAAACAAUGACAUCUUCAAGCCUUGAGGAGGGGCUUCGAGACUCUAGAGAUAAAAGAAGGGGAAUCUAUCACUAGCAAUUGUGCUAGAACGAUGGAGAUUUGUAAUAGGAUUCAGUUCUAUGACGAGAAGAUGGAGGGUGCCACCAUUGUGGAAAAGAUUUUGUGCUCCAUGAAGCUAAAGUUUGAUCAUGUCGUUUGCAUCAUUGAAGAGUCAAAAGACAUAGAUGAAUUGUCUCUUGAUGAGAUGCAAAACUCUUUAUUUGUGCAUAAGCAGAAGAUGAAUUGUACUUCAGCCUUCAAGGAACAAACUUUGAAGGCUUCUACUUUUUUUUUUCAAUUUUAGAGGAAUGGGUAAAGGUAGAGGUAUAUAUUGUGAAAUGUGCCUAUAUUUUAGUAAACAUGUAACUAUUUUCUAUUUAUUUAAACGGUGAAUUAAUAAAUAAAGUUAAUUUCACAUUUCACUAUUAUGUAUUUUGUAUUUUCUAUCUUUUAUAUUUAAAAUGCAUAGCAAAAUUGUGACAAUCAAAUAUUAGCUCAUUGAUUGUCUAAAGUUCAAACUGAAGAUAAGUGACAUUGUAAAGAACAUUUACAUUGUGAGAAAGACGACUUAUUUUAGUAGAUAAUCUAAAUGAGUCCGUAAUCUCGUAAAAGAAUCAAAGUGGGCAUUUGAUUCAAAUACCGAGAAGGAUUAUUAUGUCGUCUACAAUUUCAAUUGGGGAGAUGGCUAGUCUUGGCUAUCGGAGAAGUUGACUCUAUUAGUAGAGAAAUAGAUGUAUUCAUUGGUAGAAUGAUACAUUGGAUUGGACCCAAUAUGAAUUAAUUCUGAAUCUAUUUGUGAAUUAAUUCACUUGUGAUGUUCAUGGUGUGGUUUAUCAAAAUCUUGAAUUAGUCACUGACCAUGCGUAUGCAACCCAUGUGCUUUGAUAUAAGUAGAGGCUUAUGCUUUAAAGAGGAUCGAGCCCAUAGUCGGUAUUUUGGGUACAUAACUUGUGUAUGGCAUGACUUUACUAGCAACAGUGGAAUUCAUAGCUCAAUUAAAGAGUUAAUGUUAUCAUCUCAUUGGCAUUGUGUGGAUUAAUAAAUAUAGAACAUGGCCACAGGUUGCUUGUUCUCGAAAGAGUAAUUUAUCACAGUCAUUUGUUGACAGUGAUCGUAUUAAUUAUUAAGAAGACACAAUGGUGAAAAUGAGAUAAAAUAAUAUUGUAUUGGGUGAACGGAUUUAACUCAAAGGAACCAAGGAUACCAUAUGAGGGUAACACACACGUAACGAGGUCAUUAGACAAAGUAGUUGGAUGAAUUGUUUUCGUAAAUAGUAUACAAUAAGGAGUUUUCAAUAUUGACACUUCUUAUGGUCUGACUCCUGAUUAAGUAAUUGUGAAUUAUCGAAACAAUGCUUUUGAACAUAAUUGCAAUCACUAGAGCCUAAUUGUAUAUGUCCAAUUGGUCCCUUCGUUAGCUCAACAAAAACUCGAUCAUAUUACAUUUGAAUUAGAAGAAAAUUCUACGACUUUGGAAAUAAUUUAAUUGAGUCAAUUUAUUUAAAUUAGGUGGUCGUGAGAAUUGUUCAACUAGAGAAUUUGAUUAAAGAAUUUUCUUAAAAAAUUAAUUUGGAAAAUCUAAGUGAUUUUUGGGAAAAUUAAUUUUGAUCAAGUAAAAUUAAAUUAAUCAAAUCAAUUAAAAUUAAUAUGAUAUUUUUGAAAAUUAAUUUUCAAUUAAGACAAUUGGUCCAAUGGGUAAUUGAACUUAAAAAUUGGACCUGAGAUCGUGAGCGUGAGAGCCCAAAACCAAGACUAAGACCCAAAAACUAGUCGAACUGGGCCCGAUAUGUGAAACCGGGCCGACAUUUCAAUCGGUGACUAGAUCAAAUUGGUCGGGUCGUCAUUGACCCGGACCGAACCGGCUCAGCGUGCUGUAAGGGUGUCGCUCCUGCAUCACCAGACAUGUAGGUGUUGGUGCCUGCGACGGCAACGUCCUGGUGACUGGCGGCAGUUGGUCAUCGGUGAUUGAGUUAUGGAAGGGUUACACUCCUACUGGGACACUACUAGAGAAUUUGAUUUCAAAUUAACUAUUUCAAAAGUAAUAUUAUUUUAAUAGUUUAACAUUAAAUUUAAUUUAAUACUUAUCUUAAUAGUAUUUUAUUAAUUUAAUAUUAAAGUGAUUAUGUUAAUAUUAAAUUUAAUUUAAUGUUUAGCUUGUAAAUAAAUAUUCUAUUAUUUUAAUAAGAUUUAUAUUAAAUUUAAUCUAAUAUUUAUCUUAAUAAAUAUUAUAUUAUAUUAAUUUAAUUUAAUAUUAAAAUGAUUAAGUUUAAUUAUAGUUGAACUCUCUAAACUCUCCCUAUAUAAAGAGAGCAUUGAGUCAUUAUUUACACACACUUGAGUUCAAGAGAAAGUUGUAGAGAGAAAAUUCUUUGAAGAGAUUAUUCUAAAAAAUUUCUAGAGAUAUUUUUUUUAUUUAUAACUUGACUUAAAAGUUUAGAGAGAUUGCAAAAUUACCCCACUGGUAAUUUUAAGAAAAAUUUUCUAAUUCGAAGCGAGCUCACGCUUGGCAGACAUGAGCUUGAGGAUUGUGGAGAAGGCUACUCGGUCGAAGCGCUAGUCCUAGACGAAUAAAAAAGAUAUGAUUUUGAUUAAGUGUUUAUUACUUUAGAUAUCACAACUUAAAUUUAUUUUUCUCUACGUUUUCCAAACCCGUUUUUCCAACAAUAAGGGGAGAAGUUUGAGGUAAUAGAAAUGGUGGCAACAGAAAUGGUAGCAAGAAUUACAAAAUAAAUGAUGACCAAAGUAAAGAUAAAUGACGAGAUUUUGAUAAAUCUAAAAUAAAAUGCUUCACAAGGCAAAUCAUUUUGAAUGUUAUUCUAGGCUACUAAAUGUUAAGGAUGAAGAAUCACACUGAAAAGGAAGCUGAGCCAAAUGUAUAAUAUGUGGAUAUAGGUUGUAGUAUUUUUUUCGUAUUUAAAUGAUAAUUUUCGUUGUAGAAUCACCUUUGGUGAUUAUUGUACUGUGGAUUUCAUAAUUAAAAUUUCACGUGAAAUUUAACGUUUUCUAAAAACCAUAUAAGAUCCAUCACCGUCAUGACAAAAAGUAAUUCAAUGCACAUUAAUUGUGCCACCCGCUCCAAGCCCAUUGAUUUCACUAUAAAUUCCAUGCUUUUAGGUAAACCAUCUUCACACAAUCAAAUCAAGCUAGUUAGCAAUGGCUUCCACUACCAAUUCCCCAUCAACCCUCCUCACCCUUCCUAAUUUCUCCAUUCAAACUUCAACAUUCCUUCCCAAAACAUCUCAACGUUCCAUAUUUAAGAAGAAAAAGCCUUUCAACUUUAACUCCAAAAGAGUAGUGUCAUGCAAAGCCAGCAAUGGGAAGCAAAACGAUGCAGACACUUCUAAUUUUCUCAAUAGGUUCGAUAGAAGGGACAUCCUUCUUGGCCUUGGAGGAGGUCUCUACGGUGCAACCAGCCUUGUUAGAGACCCAUUCGCAUUGGCAGUCGUCCCAAUCGAGCCUGACCUGUCCAGCUGUGGGGAAUCAACCGUAGAUACCGGUAAAACCUGCAUGAAUGUCCCUUGCUGCCCACCAAAGUUAAAAGAUUCAAAGAUCAUAGACUUCGAACCACCUUUAGGUUGCAAGAUCCGUUAUCGGCCGGCAGCACAUUUAGUUGAUCGUGAUUACCUGUAUAAAUUUGAAUCGGCAAUGGAGAGAAUGAAAGCUCUCCCUGUGGAUGAUCCACGUAAUUUCAUGCAACAAGCCAAUAUUCAUUGUGCCUAUUGCAAUGGGGCUUAUAGUCAAGUGGGGUUCCCCGAUCAAAAACUUGAAGUUCACUACUCGUGGCUUUUUUUCCCAUUCCAUAGGAUGUAUCUGUAUUUCUUCGAGAGGAUAUUGGGCAAGUUGAUUGGUGAUCCAGAUUUCGCAAUGCCAUUUUGGAACUGGGAUUCUCCCUGUGGGAUGACUAUGCCUCAGAUAUAUUUAGACCCUUACUCUCCAUUGUACGAUGAAAACCGCAAUUUGGAGCAUCAGCCUGACGUUUUGGUUAAUCUUAAUGACGGUAAAUCUUUUGUAAAACCAAAAAAAAAAGAUGAUUUUUAUGAAUUAACAAAGAGGGAACAAAUAAAGAGUAAUCUCUAUGUGAUGUAUCAGCAAAUGGUACGGUCCAGCAAGACCGCUUCUUGUUUCCAUGGAGCGGCGUACCUUGGCGGUUGUGCAUCCGAAACCGAUAUCGGUUGUACUCCCGAACCGAGAGGUGGUACCAUUGAGAACGGUGCUCACAUCGCCGUUCACAAGUUCGUUGGUGCCAAGAAUCCACCUUAUAACGAAGACAUGGGGAAUUUCUAUUCUGCUGGUAGAGACCCUUUGUUCUACGCUCAUCAUGGCAAUGUUGAUCGAAUGUGGAACAUUUGGAAGACAUUGCCAGGGAAGAAGCGACGUGAUUUCGACGAAAAUGUUUGGCUCAAUUCUUCGUUUCUUUUCUACGAUGAGAAUGCAAAUAUGGUUCGUGUUAAAGUUCGCGAUUGCCUUGACUCUAAAACUUUGGGGUACGAUUACCAAAGUGUUGAUAUUCCGUGGCUUAGAAGCAAGCCAACAUCUCGAAGGAGUCGUCUUGGUGUGGGGCGGGGUCAGGAUCAGGGUCAGGAUGUAGCAGCCAGACGAAAGAGUAAAAACCGCAGGAGCUUUCCUAUAGUUUUAGACAAGGUGGCCGUGCGCAUUGAGAUUCCAAGGCCAAAGAAACCAAAGAAAAAAGAUGAUGAAGAAGUAUUGGUUCUUCAAAACAUACAGCUAGACAGAAAUGACUCAGUGCAAUUCGAUGUCUCCAUUAAUGACGAUGAAGACGACGACAACCCUUGCAAACCGGAAGAUGCGGAGUUCGUGGGGAGCUUUUCGAAUUUACCGCACGGAGAUAAUUGCCACUCCGAGGCGAUGCUUAGUACAAAUCUGUAUUUGCCAUUAUCAGAAGCGCUGGAGGAUUUGAAGAUUAAUCCAUUUGAAGAUAGCAUUGUGGUGACUUUGGUGCCUAAAGAAGGGGAAGUUUCGAUUGGUAACAUUAAGAUCGACUACGUUUGUUGAUUUGGGGGUGAAUAUUUUGCUUCAUCCUUUGUGUUCUCGCUAGAUCGGAUUGAUGGGGUUCAUUAAUUUGUUUCUUGCAUGUGUCUCUCUUUUUUUUUAAUAAAAAUAUCAAGCUAAAUGAACAAAAGCAGCGGCAGCUUUAUCUUGCUCAAGAAGAUAAUCAACUCCUAAACGCGCCUGAUAUUUUCUGCCUAUCAUCAAUUCAAUCACGAGAUAUUUUAGUUAACAGAGUAACAACUUGAUUUCUUUAACUAUCCAAUACUUCUUGCACUGUAACAUCUAUUUAAUUCGUCCAACCAAAACUAAAUUUGAUACCUCCAAAUAGCCAUCUUGAAUAGCAUUGAAUGCUUCCAAGUAAUCUGUUUAAAUUAAGGCUUUGACAUAUCUUAUAAGAUUAACUCGUCUGAGAUACUCUAGAAUUCAAUAUUAAAGAUUGAACAAACAUCUAAAUUAUGAUUGAACCCGACAAUCCAAUCUUGCCAAAUUUUAUUAUUAAAUUUUACCAUUUACUUUUUGUAUUAUUUAUAAAUUUUAAGUAUAAUGGUUUAUUUGAUCUUUCAGCUUUAUAAAAAAAAUAUCAUUUUAGUUCUUCAUUUAAUUUUGUCUCUUUUUAACCCUUAAAUUUAUGUUGUUUAUCAAAUUGUCCCAAAAUAAAUGAAAAAAUUAAUAUCUAUUAACUUUGUUGACACAUCCACGUGUAUGCCACAUCAACAUUUACUUAAUUCUUUUUACAAAAUUAAAAAGCAUUAAAAUUAUAAAAAAAUAUUAUAAAAUUAUAAGUUUUAUUUAAUAAUAAAAUUAUAAUAAAAUUCUAUAAAUUUUAGAAUUUUUAAAAAUUUUAAUCAAUUAUUGAUGUGACAUACAUGUGGAAUGUCACAUAAACAAAAUUAUUAAGCGUUAAUUUUUCUAUUCAUUAUAAAGUGUUUUGACAAAAAAAACUAGUUUAAUAGUUAAAAGUGGCGAAGAUUAUAUGAAGGGUUAAAAUGACUUUUUUGUUUUCUAAAGUUGGAGGACUAAAUAAAUCAUUAUGCUUAAAUUUUAUCAUAUUUAUAAAUAAAAAUUUUAAUUUUACUAAAAUAUUUUAUUAAAUAUAUUUACUUUAUAAAAAAAUUGUCAUACAUUUAUAAGAAUUUCGAGUCAAUUAAAAUACUUUAAUUAAAUUAUUAUGUUUUCAUUAACCCAAAAAAGUUAUAUUACUUAUUUUUAAAUGAAUUUUUUUAAUUAUUUAUAUGAUAGGUAGCUUUAUAUUUUACAUGCAAUAUUUUAUAAAGAAUACAUUUAUAUAAUCUAAUCUAAUAUAUUAUAAUUAUAUGAAGGCUUGAUUCGUAAAUUGGUAUCUAAGUUAUGUUAUUUUUUUCCAUCUUGGUAUCUAAACUUUUUUUUUUAUCAGUUAUCCUUAAGCUAUUUUUUCCCCAAAUUAGUAUAUCUGUUAGUUAACCCAUUAAAUCUAUUUUUAAAAAAAAAGUUCAACCCACAAAUUAGUACCUAAGCAGUACUCUUUUUCCCAAAUUGGUACCUAAUUUUUUUUUUAUCAUAAGUGAUACCUAAACUAUUCUUCCAUCACCAUUUUACACCAAAAUGUUAUAUUCGUUAAAAAAAUUACAACCAAUUAUAGAUUGUCACUUCAUAUAAACUUUUAAUUGUUUUAACUUUUUUUAUUUAUUUUACAUUAUUUCUCUCUUUAUAUAUUUUAUUUAUUUAUUUUUCUUCUUUUAUAAUGCCUAGUAAUACCAACAAUACUUAAAAUUGAUUCGCUCGAGGUUGAGAUGCCGGUAAUUAAUUGUGUUUUGAAAUUUCACCAUGUUGAUUAUGUGAAUUAUAUUUAAUUUGAGUUGGAAUCACAAUAAAUAAUUAUAUAUAUUUAUGCAAGAAAUUAAGAAUUUUAUAUAGUUCAUGAAUAAUAUAUAAUUCAUAUAAGGCUUAAUCCAACAUUCACCCUUGGGCAUUUCCAGCAUACUUCAACAUCUACACCGUAUGAUCAGUUGGCAGCCCAAUCACUAACUUCUGUCGACGAACAGCCUUACACUCCGCUGCAAACAAUCCCAUCCACUCCAAGCUAGGGGCCAUAAAUCAACCCCAACAAUCGCCCCACACCAUCCUUGAACACUAUUGGAACCCACCAUUGUUUGAAAAGUCAAAUGGGGUGGGCACCAAAAGUAGAAAGUAAUAUUGGUUGGCAAGUUGGGUUAAAAUUUGGCAUGGGAUAAUUGCAAUUUUGGUCCCUAAUUGUAUAGGGACAUUGCAAGUUGAUCCUUGAACCUCAACUAUAAAUAGGCCUAACCAUUGCUUACUUUCUUCAUCCCAUAAUUGCCAUUCUCUACUUAAGGCAUUAUUCUCUCUCUCUAUUUGUAAAUUUCACUUGUAAUUUUUGGAGUGAAAUAUAUUUGGUAGUGCCCGAGGACGUAGGUAAAAUUUGCUGAACCUCGUUAAAAUUCUGGUGUUCUUUAUUAUUUGUUUUGCAUAUUUUGUGAAUGUGAUUGUAGUGAUUUAUUGUGCUAUUAAAUUACGAUAGAGGGAUAUUCUGGCUAGGAAAGACUUGGUAUUUAAGUGAUCUUCGUGAUCUACCUCUCUUUCCUGGGAAUUGAACUUAGUGUGAUUUUUCAGUACAAUAAUUUUACUCUUUCACACGCUUCCGCGCAACAAUUGGUACCAGAGCCAGGUUCGUACUUGGGGAAUACGACCGUUUACGGUACUAUUCACGUAUACAGCACUAUUUACGUAUACGGUACUAUUCACGUAUACAGUACUAUUCACAUAUACGAUACUGUUCACGUAUACAGUAGUUGGGAUUGAGGAGAAAAAUGGCAGCAGCAUCGUCAUCAGCAAGGACUACUGUGACAAAUGCAAAAUUUGAAGUAGAGAAAUUUGACGGUACCAAUAAUUUUGGUAUGUGGCAAUGUGAGAUCCUGGAUGUCUUAUGUCAGCAAGAGCUAGAUAUAGCCCUUGAAGAAAAACCUGACAAGAUGGAUGACAAGGAGUGGGCCAAGAUCAAUAGACAGGCGUGUGGUACAAUCCGCCUAUGUUUGGCCAAAGAGCAGAAAUACUCUGUCAUGAGGGAGACAUCAGCGAAGAAGUUAUGGGAUACACUGGAAGAAAAGUUUCUAACGAAAAGUCUUGAAAAUAGGCUUUAUAUGAAAAAGAAACUUUAUCGAUUCACGUAUGCACCCGGUAUGUCGAUGAAUGACCAUGUGAACUCAUUCAAUAAAAUUUUAGCAGACUUGCUAAAUUUGGAUGAGAAAUUUGAAGAUGAAGACAAGGCAUUAUUGUUGUUGAAUUCCCUUCCUGAUGAAUAUGAUCAUCUUACCACCACAUUGCUUCAUGGGAAGGACACGAUCACAUUUGAUGCAGUCUGUAGUGCGUUGUAUAGAUCUGAGACUCGAAAGAAAGAUAAAAGAGAUCACAGAGAUACAACCGCAGAAGUCUUAACAGUAAGAGGUCGUUCACACAGCAGCAAAUCUGGUAGAAGGGGAAAGUCCAAAGGGAGACCCGCCAAAGAUGAAUGUGCCUUUUGCCUUGAAAAAGGGCAUUGGAAAAAGAAUUGUCCUAAGCUACAAAAGGGCAAGGCUAUUUCUAAUGCAUGUGUAGCGGAGCAUGAUGAGGAGUCAGACUUUAGCUUGGUUGGCAUGGCAAUGGCAUGUCAAACGGAUGAGUGGAUUUUGGAUUCAGGAUGUACUUACCAUAUGUGUCCUAAUAAGGACUGGUUUUCUAGUCUUAAAGAGCUAGAAUGUGGAAUUGUUCUUAUGGGCAAUGAUAGUGCUUGUAAGACAAUGGGAGUGGGUACAGUCCAAUUGAAGAAUCACGACGGCUCAAUCCAAGUCUUGACAGAUGUUCGCUACGUACCUAGCCUGAAGAAAAAUCUCAUCUCAUUAGGUGCCCUAGAAUCUAAAGGGCUCACAAUCACUUUGAGAGAUGGAUUACUAAAAGUAGUAGUUGGGAAACUGACGGUGAUGAAAGGCAUAAGAAGAAAUAACUUGUAUUUUUUAAAUAGAAGUACAGUUAUUGGAUCAACAUCAACAGUUUCUACAAAAGAUGUAGAUUCAGAGGCUACCAGAUUAUGGCAUAUGCGAUUGGGACAUGCUGGUGAAAAAGCUUUGCAGACAUUGGCGAAGCAAGGCUUAUUGAAAGGUGCAAAUUCUUGCAAAAUGGAAUUCUGUGAACAUUGUGUUCUGGGCAAGCAGAAGAGGGUAAAAUUUGGUCCAGUAAUUCACAAUACGAAAGGAAUUCUGGACUACGUUCACAGUGAUGUGUGGGGACCUACCAAAGUAGCUUCUUUGGGAGGUAUGCACUAUUUUGUUACUUUUGUUGAUGAUUAUUCAAGAAAAGUAUGGGUGUAUCUAAUGAAAAGAAAAAGUGAAGUUUUGGAUGCAUUUCUGAAAUGGAAAAAGAUGGUGGAGACUCAGACUGGUCGAAAGGUCAAACGACUUCGAUCAGAUAAUGGUACUGAGUACAAAACGAUCCAUUUCUACAAGUAUGCCAAGAUGAGGGCAUUGUGCGACACUUCACUGUUCGGGAUACACCACAGCAAAAUGGGGUGGCAGAACGAAUAAAUCAAACUAUACUGGAGAAAGUUCGAUGUAUGUUGUCCAAUGCUGGAUUGGGCAAAGAAUUUUGGGCUGAGGCAGUUACAUAUGCGUGCCAUCUAAUUAACCGUUUGCCAUCAGCUGCAAUAAAUGGAAAAACUCCUAUGGAGAUGUGGACUGGUAAAUCUGCUACUGAUUAUGAUUCUUUGCAUGUAUUUGGUUCCACUGCAUAUUAUCAUGUAAAAGAAUCUAAGUUAGACCCAAGAGCAAAGAAAGCAUUAUUCUUGGGUAUAACUGAUGGAGUAAAAGGAUAUCGUCUCUGGUGUCCUGAUACAAGGAAGAUUUUUUUCAGUAGAGAUGUGACUUUUGAUGAAUCAACCAUGUUGAAGUACAAGGAUUCACAAAAGGAUGACAAAACCAGUAGUACUUUGCAGCAGGUGGAGCUUGAAAAGGUUAACGAUGAUCCAGCUAAUAUUGAAGGGACAAAUGAUGAAGAGGUUCCUACCCAAGAAACUCUACAGCAACAAGAUUCAAUUGCAUAUAGAAGGCCAAGAAGAGAGAUUCGUAAGCCUGCUCGCUUUGAUGAUAUAGUGGCCUAUGCACUUCCAAUUACAGAUGAUGAUGUUCCUUCUACUUACACAGAAGUAAUAAGUAACCCUGAUGGUGUAAAGUGGAAGCAAGCAAUGAAUGAAGAAAUGCAGUCUCUUCAUAAAAAUAAGACCUGGGAGUUGGUGACACUACCCAAGGGAAAGAAGGCAAUUGGAUGCAAAUGGGUAUAUGCAAAGAAGGAAGGAUUUCCUGAUAAAAAUGAAAUUCGAUACAAGGCUAGAUUAGUAGCAAAGGGUUACGCUCAGAAAGAAGGAAUAGACUACAAUGAAGUGUUUUCUCCAGUUGUGAAGCAUUCGUCUAUUCAGAUUUUGCUAGCCUUGGUUGCGCAAUAUGAUCUUGAACUAGUUCAGCUUGAUGUGAAGACCGCGUUUUUACAUGGUGAUUUGGAAGAGGAAAUCUAUAUGACUCAGACAGAUGGAUUCAAGGUUGUUGGAAAAGAAAAUUGGGUUUGCAAACUGACAAAGUCGCUUUAUGGAUUGAAGCAAUCUCCGAGGCAGUGGUACAAGCGAUUUGAUCAGUUCAUGAAAGGGCAAAGGUACACAAGAAGUAAAUUUGAUCAUUGCGUGUAUUUUCAGAAGCUACAAGAAGGAACUUUCAUAUACUUGCUCUUAUAUGUUGAUGAUAUGCUAAUAGCAUCUAAGAGCAAAGUUGAGAUUGAAAGAUUGAAGACUCAACUCAAUCUCGAGUUUGAGAUGAAAGAUCUAGGAGAAGCUAAAAAGAUUCUCGGCAUAGAAAUAUGGAGAGAUAGAGCUCAUGAUAGAGUUAGCUUGUCUCAGAAGCAGUAUUUGAAAAAGGUACUACAGUAGUUUGGCAUGAACGAGCAAACAAAACCUGUAAGUACCCCGUUGGCUUCUCAUUUCAAGCUUUCUGCACAACUAUCUCCUUCGACGAAUACGGAACGAGAAUACAUGUUGCAAGUUCCGUAUUCUAAUGCAGUGGGUAGCUUGAUGUAUGCAAUGGUGUGUACAAGACCCGACAUUUCACAGGCAGUUAGUAUAGUGAGUAGGUAUAUGCAUAAUCCUGGAAAAGGACAUUGGCAAGCUGUGAAAUGGAUUCUACGGUAUAUUCAGAAGACCGUGGAUGUUGGAUUACUGUUCAAGCAGGAUAAUACACUUGGUAAAGGUGUUAUUGGGUACGCUGAUUCUGACUAUGCCGGUGAUUUAGACAAGCAAAGAUCAACCACCGGUUAUAUGUUUACACUUGCUGGAGGACCAAUAAGUUAGAAGUCUACACUACAGUCUACAGUUGCAUUGUCAACCACAGAAGCCGAGUACAUGGCUGUAACAGAGGCUGUAAAGGAGGCUAUUUGGUUACAAGGUAUGGCUAAAACCUUGGGGUUGGUUCAGGAGCAUAUUAACGUGUAUUGUGAUAGUCAAAGUGCUAUUCAUUUAGCAAAGAAUCAAGUCUAUCAUGCACGUACAAAACAUAUCGACGUACGAUUCCAUUUUGUGCGGGAAAUUAUUGAAGAGGGGAAAAUUUGUCUUCAGAAGAUCGAGACUGCAGAUAAUCCCGCAGAUAUGAUGACCAAGGUGGUAACAAGCAACCAAUUUCGAACAUUGUUUGAACUUGAUUAAUAUCCUGCAAGUUUAACAGUUGAAGAAGGCACUAUCAAGUAUUGUUGUCAAAAGCAGAAAGAAUUGUGUGAAGAUAAGAUUAUCGUAAUCAAAUCUUCAAGGUGGAGAUUAUUGGAACCCACCAUUGUUUGAAAAGUCAAAUGGGGUGGGCACCGAAAGUAGAAAGUAAUAUUGGUUGGCAAGUUGGGUUAAAAGUUGGCAUGGGAUAAUUGCAAUUUUGGUCCUUAAUUGUAUAGGGACAUUGCAAGUUGAUCCUUGAACCUCAACUAUAAAUAGGCCUAACCAUUGCUUACUUUCUUUAUCCCAUAAUUGCCAUUCUCUACUUAAGGCAUUAUUCUCUCUCUCUCUAUUUGUAAAUUUCACUUGUAAUUUUUGGAGUGAAAUAUAUUUGGUAGUGCCCGAGGACGUAGGCAAAAUUUGCUGAACCUCGUUAAAAUUCUGGUGUUCUUUAUUAUUUGUUUUGCAUAUUUUGUGAAUGUGAUUGAAGUGAUUUAUUGUGCUAUUAAAUUACGAUAGAGGGAUAUUCUGGCUAGGAAAGACUUGGUAUUUAAGUGAUCUUCGUGAUCUACCUCUCUUUCCUAGGAAUUGAACUUAGUGUGAUUUUUUAGUACAAUAAUUUUACUCUUUCACACGCUUCCGCGCAACAAACACCCCACUCCAUCCCCCAAGCCUUUCUUCACUCUGAAUACAAUACAUAAAAUAAAAAUAAAGAGACGACUCCUCCAUCUGCAAGGAAAGGAUGUUGCCCCCUUUCAACCAACCGUUCUCAAACCAUGGUUCAUGCCACCAACCAAGCUCACUUACCACCAAUAAUGGCUCUAAUCCAACAAACAGAUCGUAUUUUGCAAAGGAAAAUGAUCUCUUCAGCAAUCCAGUCUUUUCCAUUAAGUAUUAAUUCAUUCCUAGCUAGCCACAAUGACCAUAACAUAGCGCCACAAGCAACAAGCCACUUCCUCUUAACAUUCGAUCUUCCAAACAUGCAGCAACGUACGCAAAAUCACUGACAUUCCAAGGAAUCACCCACAUAUAUAACACCCCACCAUUGAAAAAACAGUCCCUAAGCUUUCCAAGAGGAAGAAAGAAAGAAAAAAAUUAUCACAAUUCUCUUCAGCUUCAUUGCACCAAGAACAAUUAACACAACCAUUAACUGUGGGAAUACCUCGAUUCCUUAAAAAUGCAUUUUGAAGGUAUGCCAUUUUGGAAUAACAACCAUAGGAAGCAUUGCACCUUUGUUGGAACGCAUAGCUUCCAAAUGAAAGAAAACCACACCUUUUGAUGCGCCAAAGAACCUCACAAUCAAGAGAAAACACAACUUCCUUCACAGUACAUUUCCCUUUUCUGUCCACCUCCCACAUCAACUGAUCUGCCUUGUUCUCAUUUAAAGAGACCCCUUUGAAAAUCUACCACAACUCCAUUGCAGACACCCUCUCCUGUUCAAACAAAUCUCUUUUGAAAAAUCUUUCACCCUUGUGAAGUCCAUCCCAAGCCUCGUCCACCGUGAUAUUUUUCUUCAAAGCCAAGAAGAAAGUCUAGGGAAUCUGUCUUUCAAAGCACACAAUCCAAUCCAAUGAUUCAUCCAAAAUGAAACUGAUCUCCUACUGCCGACGCACCAUAUAAAGCUUCCUUCACCUAACAUUUUGUCCAUCCCUUCGUGUCUUCUAACUUCCACAACUCCUUUCCAAGCCUUCGACACUGUUGAGAAUUCACCACAUUAGGCCUCCAACGGUAGUUGCCAAUACCAUAUUUUUCGUCCCAAUUAUUGAUGUGGUGAUUGUCAAUUUAAUUCUUACACAUUAAAAGUACAUAAAAAUAUUUAAAAAAAUAAAAAAUAAAAAUUUUUCUUAUUUCCAAUAAAAAAUCGUAAAAGUUUACUAAAAAUUAUGAAAAAGCAUUAUUUAAAAUUCAAAAUUAAAUAAAAAAUUUAAAAAAUAUAUAAAUUAUUUCAAAAAUUCAAAAAAAAAAGAAAAUAGUAAUAAGGUCUAGACUUAUCCAUAAAUUGGUUUGGACAAAGGUUUUAUGUCUCGAGACCAAACCAAAAUAGAAUUUAAGUAAUCAAAAUAUUUUUAAAUUUAAAUUUGAUUAUAAAAAUUAAUAUAAAAUAUAUGUUUAAUAUUUUAUUAUUUUAAACAAUAAAACAAGUUUUUUAGACGAGCUAAACCUAAAAAAAGCUUAACUGCAAUUUGACCUGAUCAGGCCUAAUAAGAAGCUUCAAUCUUCUAUGGAUGACGACUCAACUAUUAGUAUUAUUGUAAAGGAUAUUAAGGGAAAAAGCAAUAGGUCCGAGAACUUAACUUUUCGAUUUGUACCGUGUCGAUUUAACAACUCUGCACAUGUGAUGUGCUCGUUAGUAUAGGCUAGUCAUAUUCUUGUUCCACGCACUAGAUGGAGGAAACUUUGGUGGCUGUCGAAAACGCUGCGUGUUAAUAUCUAUGGUGAGUUUUCAAUAAACUGAACAAGAACUAUACUGAAUAUGAAGAGAAUGUAUUAAACAAGAAAGAACUCUUUUGUAUUUAGACUAUUAGCUUGAUAUGUACAUUGUAAUCAUGGUAUUUAUAGAACAUAUGAUUAGCUGUUACUACUUAACAACUUAACUAUUUUGAAUAACAAACUAACAGCUAGGCUAGAUGAAUAACACUCUUAACAUUCACCUAUCUUCCCGACAGGUAAAACCCGAAGAAGAUCUCAAAAUCUAGCAAAAGACGAUAUAAAGAGUGGCUUGGUAAGAAUAUCAGCAACCUGUUCACAGGCAGGAACGUCACCAACAAUAAUAGAUCCAUCUGCUACCUUCUCACGAACGAAAAAUAGAUCGAGCUCAAUAUGUUUGAAUUUCAAAUGUAAGACAGGGUUAUCAGCUAGAGCAACAACAUUAGAAUUGUCACGCCAAAUGGUUGGAGGAUCAAUAUUGUGAAGAUGUAACUCUUUUAGUAACGAAACUAACCAAGUAACAUCACUGGUAGCUGCAGUAAGACUCCGAUAUUCAGCGUCAGCCGUAGACCAUGAAACUACCUGUUAUUUCUUGAAACACCAUGAGAUAGGUGUGUAACCAAAAUACACACAAUAUUCCAUUGUAGAGCGUCGAUCAUCAAAAUCGAGCCCCUAGUUAGCAUCUGCAUAGCAAACUAACGAAAGCCGACAUGACGAAGGAAAAACAAUCCUAUAGUCAAGCGUACCACAUAAAUAUCACAGGAUUCGUUUUGAAGCAACCAUAUGAAUAGUAGCAGGCGCAUGCAUGAACUGGCAAACACGAUUCACAGCAUUAGCAAUAUCAGGACGAGUCAAGACCACAUACUGUAAAGCACCUGCAAGACUUUUGUACUCAGUAGGGUUAUCAAGACAAUCUCCGUCAUUCUUGGACAAAGUAGACGAGCUAAUCAUUGGAGUAUGAACACUUUUUGCAUGAGUCAUAAAACUUCUAUCAAGUAAAUCGUGAAUGUACUUCCUCUGAGAAAGAUGAAGACACCCUGUGGAGGAACGAGUGACUUCAAUCCCUAAAAAAUAGUGUAGAUCUCCCAUAUCUUUAAGUGAGAAUUUGUCAUUCAAUCAGACAUACUGCCAGUAAUUAUAAUGUCAUCCACGUAGACAAGCACAUAAAGGAUGGAGUUAGUCGUGACUUCAACAAGCAAAGAUGCAUCAGAUUUGGACAUAGUAAAGCCAACAGAAAGAAGAUAACACUUCAGUUUAUCAAACCAAGCACACGGAGCUUGACGAAGCCCAUAUAAAACUUUCUUCAGACGACAGACUAAAGGCUUGCUAGUUGAGCCAUAUUGAACAUACCCUAGAGGUUGUUGCAUGAAUACCUCGUUAACAAGAUCGCCAUUCAAAAAUGCAUUAUUCACAUCUACCUGACGAAGUUCCCAUCCUCUAGAAACAACAACAUAUAAAAUGACACGAGUAGUAGCAAGUUUUAUCACGGACUGAACGUUUCUUUGAAAUCAUACCCAGGCACUUGAGAACACCCUUUAGCUACUAAGCGAGCCUUUCGACGGGCAAUUGUACCAUAAUGAUUUUUCUUAACUUUGAAAAACCAUUUACAUCCAAUUGCCUUACGAUUAGAUGGUAAUUGAACAAGAUUGCAGGUGGAAUUAGUGAUGAGAGCAUCAUAUUCAACCUAAGCCGCAGCUCGCCAUUCUAUGGUAAAAAGGCUUCUUCAAUCAUGAGGUGCAAGAACUUCAACUAACAAUGCCUUAGCUUAAAAAUGUCAGCCUUAGACCGAGUGACCAUCGGAUGAGUAUUUGCUGGAGGCAAAGAUGAUGACGACGGAGAGAAAGAAGUAUCAGCAAUAGGUACAACAACAGACAGAGUAUCAACAUUAUUGUGUAAAGAAUGUGGCUUAUCUACCUCAGGCUGAGGAUUGGUAGAGAUAGAUGGCGAAGGGAAAAAACCAAUAGGUGAAGAUGAUACACGUGGUAGAACAGAUGAAGACUCCAGAUGCUAAGAAGGAACAACUCGUACAAUUGGAACAAACGUUGACUCAGUACCAGACGAAGCCAUGAAAUCCCUUAUAGCAGGUAAAGGAGCCAAGAACCUUUGUUCAUCAAACACAACAUGACGAGAAAUAACAAUCGUACCAUCCGGCAUAAGACAUUGAUAACCUUUGUGUUGGGGCCUAUAUCCCAAGAAUGUACAGGGUUGAGAACGAAAAUCCAACUUAUGAGACAAAAAUGGUCGUAAGUACAGAAAACAACAACACCCAAAUACUGUUGAUGAUCACACGUGGGAUCUUGUCCAUGAAGAGCCUUAUAAGGAGUCUGGCCAUACAGAACUGAGGUAGGGAGACAAUUGAUGAGAUGAACAGCACAACAAAAUGCAUAACCCUAAUAUUUCAUAGAAAGAUUCGCUUGAGCCAAAAGUGUAAUACCCAUUUCAACAAUAUGCCGAUGUUUGCGUUCAGCCACCUCAUUCUGUUCAGAACUAUGUGGACAAGACAACCGAUGAACUAUCCCUUGAGUUGUUAGAAUAGACGUGAAAGUGCGAAAUUCGCCACCCCAAUCACUCUGAAAUUGUUUGGUAUUUUUCCCGUAUUGAGUUUUGACAAGCUGCUGAAACUAAGCAAAACAAUCGACUACUUGAGACUUUUGGCGAAUAAGAUAAAUCCACGUAAAUCGAGUGCACAUCUCAACAAAGGACACAUAACACCAAUUAUGACCACAUGCAACUGAUGCAGGCCCCAUAGAUUAGAGACAACCAAAGCAAACGGUUCACUAUAGCUUCAUCCAGACUGAGAGGCUGACCGGGUUUCAAAACAGGAACAGCUGUUCCGUGUCCACUAAAGUAGAAGAACAGGACAUCUCCUGGUCUAGCAGUGUGCACCAUUUCAUAAAGUGCAGCCUUAAUUUUUAUACCCGUAGGCAUAGCCCAUGAGCCUGGUAUAUAAUUAUCAGUCAGCACCUUAAUAAACUGUCAAUCAAGGUUAAACCUUUUCAUAAUCAACCUUCUUAUGUUCUCCACAUCAUUUAUGCAUCCUUUCAGGUUGUAAGGGGUCUUUGGGUAAUUACAACCCACAAGAACAGCUUUCUUUUUAUGCACCAGCUUGUUAAUCAUGGGUAAGGCUAAGGGUGUUGGAAUGGUGGCCAAGAAAGCUGUACCAGCAUUCUUAUCACUGCAAUAAAGGCAUAAGGGUGUUGCUCGUGAAAUCCAAGGCUGGUUAUUUCAUCCCUAGCAUUCAUCACAAGCUGUUUAUUGGUUAAUGUACCAUUGGUCUCGUUGAUAAUCUUUUGAAGUGAAUAUAUAAAGGCCCCAUACGCCUUUCCUUGGGUUUUGUCACUCGGUUCCAAAUCAAGGGAUAGCUCAUCGGCUUGGCACCCACUUACUAGAAUCCCCUCAUCCUCCGUUAAUGACCUUGGCUCCUGAGAGGGUCGGAAUUUUAAACUGACGCUGUCUCGAAAGAUUCCGGUCAAAAGAUGGCCAAUGUUGCUGACAAUAUAUAAUCCAGUGCUGAAGGCAACUGUUGUGCCCAAUACGUCUGAUGCGGCGUUUAUGACGUUGGCUGCUGGGCGUCAACAGAUGGCCUUGGUGUAUUGAUUCAAGUGAAAUUCCCCUCUUCUGGGCGUCAACAGAUGGUGCUAUACUCCUUAGAGUACUAUGGGGUCCAAUUUGUUCUUUCUCUUUGACAAUGAGACCACCGCUGUGGCACGAAUCUGAAACGAUUCUGAAGCUUGUUUCUUUUGGCAGCUGCUCAAUCAAGUGCCUGAUGUCCACGUCUGCACAGCCAUGUAUAUUUAUAAAAAAAUGAUAUGAUUAAUAAAGGAAAAUAUGUAGUUGACGAGUUGUGAUCCCAUUUUGGAAUCAUGAUCAACAUUAAUAUUUAAAAAAAACUAAUUAUUAUUUUUUAAGAUUUAAAGUUAGAUUUAUAUUUUGACAUUUAAGGUUGAAUUUUUGAUUUGUUGAAUUUGAGUUUCGGAAAUUAUGAAAUUGUGGGUUCAAACCCUACUAUGUGUACUAUAUUUCUAUUUUUUUAUUCAUAAAAAGAAUAAAAAUGACAAAAAAUUUCUUUAAAUUAAUAUAAUUUACUUUAUAAAAUAAAAUUAUUGUGCAAAUUCCACUAUAAGACACCAUUAAUUAGGAAGAAUAAAAAACCUACCAUAAAUGAGAUUGAGAUCACAAGGCACGAUCGCAUCAUCCUUGCGGCCUGGUUUCAUGUCUGCCUCAACUCCAUGUCCACUGAAGUGGAAUAAUAGGACAUCUCCUUCUUUAGCCUCUUUCACCAUUUUUGCAAGACCAGCCAUAAUGUUUGCACGUGUAGGCAUUUUUGGGGACCCUGGUUCAUCAGUUAUGAGCUCAACAUGUUGAGGAUCAAAGUUAAACCUUUUCAAAAUCACGUCUCUCAUGGCAUGCACAUCAUUUAUGCAUCCUUUCAACUCGUAAGGGGUGUUGGGGUAGUUGCAUCCCACCAGAAGAGCUGUCUUCAUUCUGUCUUUGAGUUUGCUUGUCUUCUGAUUCGGAUGUUGCAGGAAGAACCCAUAUAUAUACACACACAAACUAGUUUACGUUAUACCAUGCAAUGUCAUAAACUCAUAAGCUCACGACAAGUUGGCACCUACAAUAUUUUUAUUUCAAAAUUUAUGGUUGUUAUUUUUUUAGUUAAAUUUAAUCAUUAAUCUUUUAAAUUAUUUUUUUAACAGAAAUGUUUGAUUAGAAUAUUAAUUUUUUUAAUGAUGUUGGCAUGAAAAUUCGUGUGGUAGUCCACAUGUACUUCAUGCUGACAUAAUAUUAUUCGUCAUACAUGCCGCAACAAUAAAUAAUUUAAAAUUUAUUUAAAAAAAUAUUAAAAAAUGUUUAUAUAAAUUUUAAAAAAUAGCAUGAAGUACACAUAGAUUACCAUGCGGGUUGCCAUGUUUAAAUAUAAUGUUUUAGUUAGUAUUUUUAUUAAAAACAUCAAUUCGACUGUUUUUUAAUGAACUUGUCCAUGGGCUGGGGCUUGACAAAAUUUUAGGCCCAUUUGAUAAGUUCAGUCUUAACCCGGCUCGAAAAAUUGGCUUAAAAUUUUAUUCAAGCUCGACCUAAAUAAAAAUGCUAAAACCCGAGCCUGGCUCGGCCUGCCCGUAUUAAAAUUUUUACAUUAUUUUUUAAAAAAAUAUAUAAAACACUAAAAACAUUCAAAUAAAUGUUUCCCAACAACUUGAAAAUAAAAUUUAAAAAAUAUUUAUACUUAAAUAACACUAACAUAGGUGCAACUUACAAAGUAAAUGCCACUAAAAUAAUAACAAAAUUAACAAUAAAAUAAGACUUAUAUAAUAUCCAAACAAUAAUAGCAAAAAAGUAGUCACAUAAUAGUGAAAUGGUAGGAAAACAGUAAGAAAACAACAUAUAUUUUUUUUCUUUUUGUAAAUUCGGGUCGGGAUGGGAAAAAAACACCUUACUUGAGGCCCUUAUCCAAGCCCAUCUUUCGGGUCUAUAUUUUUGUACAAGCCCUCCCACUUUUUGGGAGUCCGGCCUGAUCUAUGAACAUGUCUACUUUUAAAAGGUUGAUAGUUAAAUUUGAUUUUUUUAAAAGAUUAAAAGACCAAACUUAACUAAAAAGGACCAAAUUAAUAAACGAUAUAAUAAUUGCCUAUUUUUAUUUGUUUCUUUUGGUGUCAUGGAUAGAGCAAAUCAAGUGCACCAUUCAAAAAAUUGGGUUUAUAUGUACUAUUAGUUAAUUAGUUGACUAACUUCAAUAAAAAAUAAAAUUAAUUGGUCCAUAAAAAAAAUGUAUUUUUUACAAUUAGAAGUUACAAUAUUAACGAAACAUUAAUACAUUCAUGCUUUACUCAAUAAUUAAUUAAAAUAUUAAAUUAAUAAUCAAAAUAUAUCUAAAUUCGUAAUACAAUGUUUCAUACAAUAAUUACUCAAUCACUAUAUUGCAUUGUUUAAUUGUCGAAACAAGUUAUAACUUCCAUUGUAACAACUCAAAAGAAUAAUUACAAACCAAUGUAUUUUUAGACUUAAAUGUAGAACUAAAGCUUAGUUUGGAUGGACGGUGCGUUUACCUAUGAUUAGUGUAAAAAUAACGGUGGUGGUGAGAUUAGAUAUUGUAACGACACUGUAAUUUGAGACUUGGAUGGACGGUGCGUUUACCUAUGAUUAGUGUAAAAAUAACGGUGGUGGUGAGAUUAGAUAUUGUAACGACACUGUAAUUUGAGACAAAGAUAAAUUAAACGCACUGUACUAUACCAAACCAUCCAUCUAAACCUCACCUAAAAGUUGCUAAAGUUUCCUUCCUACCAUUAAACCAAUGUAUCAUCAACUAUUUGUACUUAUUUUUAAACACUUUUUAUUGGAGUUGCAUGAAAUGCUUGAUUGACUACGUGUAAAUUUAUACACAAAAAACCAAUAAUUUGAAAAGCUUUCCAUAGUACAAUUUUGAUAUAUUUGGCAUUUAAUAAGAAAUCAACAUAUGGAGUGGGUGAUGAAUCCGAAUUGGGGUGAGGACAGGUGUUGUGAUGGACAAAGCGUAAGACAAGGUGGUUCCCGACAGAAGCAAGAAAGCUCUGACAAAAGACCGCUAGGUAUUCCUUUUUCAGACAAAGAAGACAAAAGAUAGAACAUAUAGGGUGGUGGUCGAAGAUAAAUGAUUAUAACAGCACUGAUAUGAUCUGCUUCGCCUUCGUCCACCACCUCAUCUUUAUGUUUUUAUCUUGGUCGUGACUCACGUUGGCCUUCGUCUGCAAGUGCUGUCUAUCGUGAUUGUGUUGCCUAGCUUCUGAGUUCUAUGUAUUAAGGUCUAUUUGAAUGUGCGGUUUGCAGAGGUAAAAUUAGAAAAUUGUUUUUAAGUGUUAAAGUUAAAUUAUGUACCUAUAUGGAUUUGAUGGUAUAUAUUCCUCCUCCAGUGGAUCCAGCACCAUUAACCCAUCUACGUAGUGAGGAUAUGGAAUUUGAGACUCACAUCUUUAUAUAUACACACUAAUUUACAGCAAGUGUACUGACCAUAAGGACGACGACAUGUAGGUAGGUAGGUAGGUAGGCAGAUACAAACACUUUUGUUUGUCUUUUGUGUUUUGGAAAAUGCAUGCGGAAUCCAUGCAUAUGCAAACAUUUUGUGCAAGGAAUUUGCACAUCAGUACUGCAUAAAAGAGUGACUCUGGAGUUAUGGAAUUAUUUGAUAAUAUUGAAUACGAAAUAAAUUUAAAAUAAAAGAGUGGGUGAUUAAUCCGAAUCGGGGUGAGGACAGGUGUUGUGAUGGACAAAGCGUAAGACAAGGUGGUUCUCGACAGAAGCAAGAAAGCUCUGACAAAAGACAGCUAGGUAUUCCUUUUGCAGACAAAUUAAGAAGACAAAAGAUAGAAAAUAUAGGGUGGUGGUCGAAGAUAAAUGAUUAUAACAGCACUGAUAUGAUCUGCUACGCUUCGUCCACCACCUCAUCUUUAUGUUUAUAUCUUGGUCGUGACUCACGUUGGCCUUCGUCUGCAAGUGCUGUCGGUCCUACCAUUGUUCUUGUGUUGCCUAGCUUCUGAUUUCUAUGUAUUAGGGCACAUUUGAAUCGGGUUGAAGUUAGAAAAAUAUUUUUAAGGAUUGAAGUUAAAUUAUAAAUUUUUAUAAGAGUUAAAAUUUAAUUUUAUAAUUAUAUUAAUUUAUAUUUUUAUAAUUUUUAGAGGUCUUAAAUCAAAAUUUUAUUAUUAUUUUGGAUAAAUUGUGAUUUUACAAUAUUUAACUUAUAAUUUUAUAAAAUUUAGAAAGGCCUAAAUUAUAAUUUUCCAUUUUAGGGGUUCAAAAAGUAAUUUUCAUUUUAAAGGGGCCAUUUCCCCUUGCCUGCUCCGGUCACUGCCUUUACGAUGAGAUUUUUAACAGUCCGAUUUUGAGUCAAAUUAGAACAGCAGUUUUGAGACCACAAAUCUGACGAGAAAAAAUUAAUUUUAAAAUACAACAUGAGUUGCAUUAUGAUAGGAAAGUUGCAUGAAAAUAUUGAUAUAAAAAUUUUAUCGAUUUAGUGAUUAAUUAAGAAAAGGACCUAUUGUGUGUAGUCUGCUACCCUGGCACGUUUCUGUCUGCCGCAUUUGGCAUGAUAUUUUUAGGUUUUUCGUAGAUUGCUUUUGUUCUUUUUUCUUGAAAUCGACUUGAACACAAUUUUGCUCAGACGAUAGGGAGGAAGGGAGAGUUUUUCUGAACAUCAAUUCCUGCAAUCAUGGAAACAGAAUUAGUACAAUUGUCGCUCAAUGAAGAAGAGGAAAUUUUACAGAUCCAGACUGAUCCAUGCAUGCAAAAAGAACGUGAAGAUUUUCAGCUUGUAGGUUGUUUUUUAACAGCAAGCAUAAUACACUUUGCAGCUAUGAGAAGCACCAUGGCAAAUUUGUGGCACCCUGUCUGUGGAGUACAAAUUCGAGAUCUGGGAGAAAAAAGGUACCUUUUUAAAUUUUUUCGCAGUAUGAAUUUGGUAAAAGUUCUGAAGGGUUUACCGUGGACUUUUAAUAAUCAUUUAUUAAUACUCUGCAAACUGAGAAGGGGAGAAACUUGGCGAGUUAGCUGAAGCAACCAGAAAUGAAGAGACAGAUGAAUUGAUUGAUACAAAAAUAAACUUGAAUUUUGAUAUUGAGAAGGACGAAUGCUAUUGGGAACAGAGAGCUAGAUUUAACUGGUUGAAAUUAGAGGACAAAAAUACUGCUUUCUUUCAUAGCCAAGCUUCACAACGGAGAAAAAAGAAUCUCAUUCAUACGCUGAAAGAUGAAGAGGGUAGAGAAAUGGAGCUCAUUCAAGACAUUGAGGGUGUGGCUAAGUCUUUAUUUUCAGAAUUUAUUUUCGGCAAGAGAAAAUGGGAAUUAUGAUCAUAUUCUAUCAGGGAUAGAACGCUGCAUUCAUGCGGAUGACAACCGAAAUCUUACAGAACCAUAUUCCAGAGAGGAAAUUAGAGAAGCUGUUUUUGAAAUGGGACCUACAAAAGCUCCAGUGGAGGAUGGAUUUCCAGCAUUAUUCUAUCAGAAGUGCUGGCAGAUUGUUGGGGAUGACGUCCUAGCUUUUGUCUACAAAUUUUAAACGGAAAUAUGUAGGUUAUUCCAAUAAAUUCCACAAAUAUAGUGCUUAUUCCAAAAGUCAGCAAUCCAUCAACUAUGAUGCAAUUUAGGCCAAUUAGUCUAUGCAAUUUACUUUACAAAAUUAUUGCGAAGGUACUUGCAAACAGAUUUCGAAGUGUUAUUGGCAAAUGUAUUGAUGAAGCGCAAAGUGCUUUUGUGCCAGGCAGGUUAAUAUCAGAUAAUGUAUUACUCACUUACGAAAGAUUGCACAAGUUAAAUCAAAAGAGAACGGAAAAAAAGAUUUAUGACCGUUAAACUCGAUGAGUAACGCUUAUGACAGGAUAGAAUGAAUACUUAUAGAGGAGUUCAUGAAAAAGAUGGGGUUUGAUUUUAGUUGGGUAAAUGCCAUUAUGAAAUGUGUCACUGUUGCUUAUUCAGUUGUCAUAAAUGGGUACAGAGGAGAUAAAUUUGUACCAACCAGAGGACUUAGACAAGGGUGUACCCAUUAAGCCCGUUUCUAUUCCUGAUAUGUGGUGAAGGAUUAUCGAGCUUGCUGAGGUUAGCAAUGAAGAGAGAUCGUCUCAAAGGAGUACGGGUGAGUAGAUACGGUCCACAGGUAUCUCAUCUUUUAUUUGCUGAUGACUGCAUACUGUUUGGAGAGGCAACUAGGAGGGGUGCAAACAUCAUAAAGGAUAUUUUGUGUGAAUUCAAAGUUUGCUCGGGACAAUGUGUAAAUUUUGAUAAAUCAACGGUAUUCUUUAGUAAAAACACGUUGGAGGAGGAUAGGAGACAAGUGGUUGAUGUGUUGGGGGUACGUAGGACAAGAAAACCUGAACGAUAUCUAGGGCUACCGAAUAUGGUGGGGCGAAAGAAAAAAGAAGCUUUUCAGAGUUUAAAGGAUCGAAUCAAAACACAUAUUGAUAACUGGAGCAACAGAUUUUUAUCACGAGGGAAAGAAAUUUUUAUAAAGGCCAUUUUGCAAGCUAUUCCGACUUAUUCUAUGGCAUGUUUCUUACUGCCGAGAGCUCUUUGUGAUGAAAUGGAGAGUAUUAUAGCAAGAUUCUGGUGGCAAAAAGGAGGGGGCAAAAGGGGAAUUCAUUGGUGCACUUGGAAAAACCUUUGUUCGUUAAAAGAAAAUGGUGGUCUAGGCUUUCGAGAUCUUAGUCAAUUUAAUAUUGCGUUAUUAGCUAAACAAGGUUGGCGUCUCAUUAAUUUCCCAAAUUCUUUAUUAGCCAGAGUUUUGAAAGCUAAAUAUUUUCCACAGUCCAGUUUUUUAAACGCAGAGUUGGGGAAUUUACCUUCAUUUACCUGGAAGAGCAUCUGGGCGGCAAAAGGACUUCUUCAAAGAGGAUUGGGUUGGAGAGUUGGUAAAGGGAGUUGCAUUUCUAUCUGGGAAGACAACUGGAUUCAGGGGAUUGACAAGGUGGCUGAGCUUAAUAGCACAAACAGAAGAGAAUUACAGUUAGUUUCAGACCUCAUUCAAUUCAAGUAGAAAAUGGAAGUCAGACUUAAUUAAAAGUACCUUUCAAGAAGAUACUGCUCGGAAGAUUCUACAAAUUCCUCUGGCAGAGACCGAACAUGAGGAUAUUCAGGUGUGGAGUGGAGAACUAUCUGGUGAGUUUUCAGUACGUAGUGCGUAUAAACUACUACAAGAUGCUUCUACAGCUAAUGACUACUUAUUACAGACCGAAACAAGAAAUUUUUACAAAAAAUUAUGGAGCCUACAAUUGCCUUCAAAAAUUGCAAUUACAAUCUGGAGGAUUUCAUGGGAUAAUAUCCCUCACUUUGGUAAUCUCAGCUUGAGGAGGGUUAGUUCAACUGCCCGCUGUCCACGAUGUUAUUUUGGAGUAGAAGAGAGUCUUCAUGUUUUCCGAGAGUGUCCUUAUACAAGAGAAGUGUGGCAAGCAUUAAACUUAGCAUGGGUCAUGGAGAAUACGAGUCAAAAUACAUGGGAGUGGCUAACUUGGGUUUUCAAGAACAGCAACAAUUACCAGUGUCGGCUUUUCUGCUAUGCGUUAUGGUUGAUAUGGUCCUUUAGAAACAAACUCAUUCACGAGGGCAAAAAUUCAACAGGAAGGGGAUUAGCUCAGAAUAUUCAAAGACAUAUGGUAGAAUAUGAGGGAAUAAAUGCUGAGAAGAAAACUGAGAAAAAAAUUUUCAAGAGUCACAGUAUACAGGAAAACGUACCGAGAAUAUCGAUCAAAUUUGAUGCAGCACUGGAUAGUAGAACCUUCAAAUCAGCGACAGGACUAGUUGGUUGGGAUAUGAGGGGAAAUCUACUGGUGAUAAAAACGGUUAUCCACAGAAAUGUUCCCUCAUCAUUCGCUCAUCAUUCGCAGCAGAGGCAUAUGCAUGUUUAGAAGGCAUGAAAUUAGGGAUUGCUUUAGGAUCUCAGUCAAUUAGAAUUAUGGGAGACUCAAAAACCUUCAUAAAGAAGAGCAAGGCGAUGUCAACAGAUAAAUCGGUAAUAGGUGCAUUAUUAAAGAUAUUCAGAACAAGAAAUCCUUUUUUCAAGAUCUUACUUUAAAGCACAUACAUAGAUCAGAGAAUACACAUGCACAUGGUCUAGCAAAGAGAGCUCUCGCGAAAGAAGAAAACAUUUACCUGAUAGGAGAAGAACUGGACCGCCACAUUUCAACCUUGGAUGAAGAUUGGCAAAGAAAUCCGGAUUGAAGAAAUGGGUGAAGGAGCAGCAUCCAAACAGAUAGCUUAAUGAAGUUUAAAUCUAUGGGGAAGAGCUAUCGACAUAACAGAUGGGACCUUGGAAAUGACUCUUCAAUAGCCUUUAUGGUUUCCAGCUGUUUCUGAUUAAUGACUGGGAGAGGUUUCAUUCGGUAGAUUUUAAUUUCAAUUAAUGCUUUUGUCUUUUUCCUUUUAAUUUUCUAGCUUUUGGAUUGACGUUUCUUGGGGGGUGUAAUUUUAUAUUUGUUUAGGUUGAAAAUUAGAUUGGUUCUUUUCUGUUUGGUGCUUUGACUUAGGCCUUUGAUUUGGGCUGAUUGGAUUAUUAUUAUUAUUUUUUCUUUCAUAAUAAAUACCCAGCCAUUCUAUCAAAAAAAAAAAAAAAAAGGAAAUGACCUAUUUGUAUAAAAUGUAGAAUUUGAAUUCUAGAAGCUAGAAGGGUUAACUAGCUAUGAAAUUAUAGUACCCCGAAAAUUACUAUAGUAAGAAAGUAAUAUAAUAUCUCUGAUAUGGUAAAAUAAGGAAAUAAAGUGAUAAAAAGGGAAAUUGAGUUAUGUCAAUAAUGAAAGGUAUACUAUGACAUAUUAAUUCAAGAAAGGAUUAAAUCGUAAAAGUGAGAAAAGUUUUAUUGCUCAAGAGUAAAUACUCAAAAAUUGAGGGGUUAAAGUGUAAAUAUGAAAAAUUUGAAGGACCAAUAAUGUAAAUAUUUUAAGGGUGGAAUAAUCUAGAAACUAAGGAAAAUGGAUUAAUUAGGACCAAAUUGAAAAGGUAGAGAAUUUUGAGGGACUAAAUUGCAAUUUUACCAAAUCAAGUGAUGACUCAAGGAUGAAAUUUCAAAAGAUUAUAAAGGGCAAAAUGGUCAAUUAGAAGGAGAGAGAAUUCUAGAAGGUAAUGAUAUGUUUGUGAUAUUUUUAAUUAAUUAAUUAGAUAAAUGUUAUUUAAUGAAUAUUUUAUUAAGAGUUUUAGUAUUAUUUUAUUAUUAAAUGAUUAAUAUAAAAGGGAGGAAAGAUGAUGAGAAUGGAUCAUCUUUUUCAUGCAUCUCACGUUGAAGAGAAGGGAAAAAAAAGAAAGUUUUACUUUCUUUAUAAUUUGGUCUUUUUACCAAAAAUUCACCAUUUUCACUUAGAAAUCAAAAGAAUUUCUAUAUCCAUCAAGAGAGAAAGAUAACAAGGAGACUAUGGGGAGCUAGAAUAUCAAGUUAGAUUCAAGAAAUAGAAGCUGGAGGAGGGAGAAAAUCAAGUUAAAGAUUGAAAUCAAUGGCAUAAGUUAAGAACAUCAAUAUUUUUAUAUACUUUUGAGUUUGAUAUUAUUGAAAAAGUAGGAAAUUAAUGUUAAGAUAGAGUUUCAUUAUAUAAGGUUCUAUAUUCUUGUUAUGUUAGUAAAGGGAAAUAAGAGAAAGUGAUGGAAAAUAUUGAAGAGAAAGGAAAGGAAAGUGUUAUAAAUUUAGUUAUCAACAUUUUACACUAAAAUAGUUUUGAGACAGCAGCAGUAGUCUGAAUUUGAAAAUCUACCAAAAAUCGUAUAAAUUGAAUUAGAAGAUGAAAAAAAUAUUAAAUUAAAUCAUAUUGAGUCUAGUUUCUCAUAGAAGAAACGGUGUAAGCAAAGGAAUUGUAAAUUAUGAGAUACAAUAGGUUUUGUGAGAUAAGGUCAGAAUGAUUUCAGGUUCCCCUGUACUGACUUUUGAAAAUCAUAAAAAAUUGGAUAAAAAUAAUUAGAGGCUUAAAUUUAUAUGUUUAAAUCCUUAAUGAGUCUAUUUUCAAUAGAAACAAACGGUAACAUCAUUCAAAUUCUGUAUGAGGAGGUAAUUAAUUUUUAGUGAAGAAGGGUCGGAACUGUCAGACAGCAGAAUAGGGAUGAAUUUAAAGAAUAAACUGUGCUUAUUGGCUAAACCAAAAAUUCAGAAAAUUUUAUGGUAAGAAUAAAUGUGAGUCUAGUUUCAGAUAAAAUUUACGGAUCUUAAUUUGGAGUUCUGUAUCUCAAGAUAUAAAUAAUUUAGUGACUAUGACUCAAGUGAACAGCUUUGAAUGAAUAUAUAUAAGUAAAUGGUGAAAUUAUAGAUAAUGUUACCUAUAAGCAUGUUAUAUACAUUAAGGAUGUGGAAUGGAGAGGAGGAGGAGGAAAAUAUAUGAUUAUUUAACUAGCAUGAUUUUUCAUUAAAAAUGACCAAUUUACAUGUUUUAGGUUUAGGGACUAAAUUGAACAAAUGUGAAACUUUUAGGGUAAAUUUGUAAAAAUGUCAAAAAGUGACCAAAUUGCAUGAAAUGAAUUUUUUUAUUAUUUAAAUUAGUAAAUUGAAUGAAAUAUUAAUUUAGAUCAUGAUUGGGUUGAAAUUCGAGAAAAAAUAGAAAUUUUUCAAAAUGUCAUUGAAUUUUGGUAUUUUUGCAAUUUAGCCUGUUAAGUUCGUAUGAACUAUAUUUUGUAUAAUUUUAAUUGAAGUGAAUGUUAUUUAGUAAUGAAUAUUAUAUAUAUGUGUGUUUUAUUAUUGGAAUUGAAUUAUUAUUGGUAAUAUGUAUUGGUAGAUUAAAAAGUGGAAAGUGAAUUUGAAUUGAAAUGUGAUUAUUGAAUAUAAAUUGAAAUGGUUUGAAUUGAAUUAUUGAAUUAAACUGGAAUAUUGAAAUUGGUGAUGGAUAUGGAUUUUAUUGGAAUUGAAAUUGAGAAAGUGGAAAUUGAUAUGUGAGACUGAUACUGAACUGAAUUAUGGAAAACUGAAUACUGUUAUGUGUACUGCAUUGAACUGUGAAAAUACUGAAGUAACGAAUUACUGCAAUACUGUGAAACUGAUUGAAAUAAGAAAUUUGUAAUUGAUACUAAACUAAGAUGGAAAUUGUACUGAAAGGUAAAUUAAAUACCCUAUUAACUAGUCAGGCUAGUCGGAUAUAGUUGGCAUGCCAUAAGAUAUGGAAGAGUACGGGGUAUUUGCCGGCUUACUGAUCAGGCACUUAUGUGCCGACUACUGUUACUGUUACUGAAUCGGCACUUUUUGUGUCGAAUACUGUUACUGUUACUGUUACCGAUUCGGCACUUUGUGUGUCAAAUACUGUUACCGUUACUGUUACAGAUUCAACACUUUGUGUGUUGAAUACUAUUAUUGUUACUUCUACUGUUACCGUUACUGAUUACUGUUUACUGGUGUGUUUGGUUGGAAUCCGUGUAUCCGUCGAGUCCGAGUCAAGUUUGUUGACACCAUUUUUUUUUAUUGAAAACGGGGUCGACUUGGGUUUUGAAAAUGAAACGGGAGUCGCCACCAAUCCUUUUUUUAUGAGGUGUGAUUGGGUCACCUUGAAAAAUGGUUGUUUUUAAUAAAUGUUUUGAUUUUAUUAAAACAAUGGUUUUGAUCCACGAAAUUUAGAAAACGGGUUCGGGAGUCGGUUACGUACGAGGAAGGAUUAGCACCCUCGUAACGCCCAGAAAUUGGUACCUAGUUGAUUAACUAAUGUCUUGAUGUCGAAAAUUAAAAACUUGGAAAAAUAUUUAAAAAUACGAUCAUUGUAUUAAAACGUUGAAAAGUUUCAGGAAAAGGGGCAUAUUUUACGUUAUUCGAGAAAGAAAUUCAUAUCUAGUAAGUUAGGACACAAUGUCUCGAAUUCUCGAUACGCGAAUGAAAAAUGCUUAUUUAAAAGAUAUUUAACUAUCUUGGAUUAAAAAAUGGAUCAUGACCAGUAAGUUAGGACACGAUCCUUUUUUAAUUCCUGAUAUCGUUUAAAACUUAAGUUUGAAAAUAUUCACGUGUUUAGAUUUAUUGUGAAAAUCGAAACCCAGUAAGUUAGGGCACGACUUUCUCAAAUCUAAAUACAAAAUACUACAUUUAUUAAUUUUUAGAAAAAAAAUCCUCAUCUCGGGAAAGUAACGUGUCAUAUCCAAUGCGUUAGGACACAACAUAUUGAAUUCUCGAUAAUGAGCCUUUUAUUAUUUUAAAAAGAGUAAUCUCGAUUAUUUAGGUUCAACGAAGAAAAUCGGAACCCAAUACGUCAGGGUUCGAUUCUCUCAAGAUCCCAAAUAUCGAGUAUUACUUUUUCUUUUAAAAUUUUCCUUUUCAAGAAUCUGAGUGAAAAUGAAUAUAAUGGAUAAAUAAAUAAGUAAAUAAAUAAAUGAAUAAAUGAAUCAAGCAAAUAAAAUUAAAAAAUGCAAGAAAUGUAUGGAUGUAUACGUGUAUGUAUAUAUAUAUUAUAAGACAUAAUAAGCAAUGUAAAUAAGCAUGCAUGCAUAUAUUUAUGAAAACUAAAAGGUAUGUACAUGGGUAUGUAUACAAAUUACAUACUAUAAACGCAUAAGCAUAUAAAUAUGUAUACACAUACUUAUGAAGAUUAAAAAUAUACACAUAGAUAUAUAUAAUUGCGUAUGUAAAUUAAUUAUAGUAUAAAAAACAUAAGUAUAUAUAUAUAUAAGAAAAAAUAAAAUAUAAAGAUAAAUUUAAUAACCUUUAAAGGUAUACAUAUAUAUGUUACAAAAAUAUGUGCGUGUAUAUAAUAUAUAUAUAACAAACUUUUAGAAAAGAAAGAAAAAUAAAAUAAAUAAAUAAUAAAAAUAAAAAUGAAAGAAAACAUAAAUGAAAUAAGGAUAAUAAUAAUAAUAUUACUAAUAGAAUAAUAAAAUAAUCUAAAGUUUAAAUAUAUAUAUAUGCGUAUAUAUAAGUAAUUAAAAUAAUAAUAAUAGUAAUAAUAAAUAAUAAAAGAUGAUAAUACAUUAAAAUAAUGAAGAAAAUAAUAAAAAUGCUAAAAAGGGGACUAAAUCGAAAUAAAAGCAAACAAUACGGGGCGAAAUCGGAAUAAAAAAAAGAGGGAUUGAUUUGAAUGUGUGAAUAACAUAGAGGGGCUGGAAGGGAAAAUUUCCCUUCUCCACUAAAACGCACAGCUUCAUUGAGGACCAAAUCGAGAGAAAAGUGAAAUUUUGCGGCAAAAUUGAAAAAUAAAAACAAAAUAGGACCCAAUCGUAAACAGCCUCAAAAGUGGAAGGACCAGGAGCACAAAUAACCCCUUUUAUCCAAAAACACGCGGAUCCUUGGCGGUUCGGGUCGGGUCAGUCCAAUCCAUGUUAAAACGAAGUCAUUUUGAGGCUUCCUGAACUCCUUCAAAACGGCGCCGUUUUAAUAUCUUAUAUAAAUCAUUUUUUUCCUUAAAAUUUCAUUUUCUCCCUUUUCCUAAAAAAAACCCUAAAAUUCUCUCAAACCCUCUCCCCAUUUUUCGGGCACUGCCCAGAAGCCAGCGAGAAGAGCCGCCGUCGACGCCGUCGCGCCGGUCGCUGUACACGGUGGCCGAAAAAUCUAAAAAGGUACUUUUUUUCUCUUUUUUAUUCUAUAUGCGUAUAUACAUAUAUAUUUUACACAAAUCAAAAUAAUAAAAAAAUAAAAUAAAUAACAAUGAACAAAAAAAGAUUUGGAAACUAAAACCUUUUCUCCGUUUUUAUUUCUCUUUGUUUUUUGCUUUUUCAAAAGGAAAUCCCCCCUUUUUUACAAACAUAAAGAUCCGUCCCCCCUACAAUCUAUUUUUCAUCGGUUUUUAUACCGAAAAUAAAAUAAAAAACAAAGCCCCCUGUUGCUUGCUGUUGUGGUUUUUCUUUAUUGUUUGCAGGUGGAGUGGGUGGCGAUGGGACAGUGGCGGUGGUGGCAGUGUGGCGGCUAGCAGAGAUGGUGGCAGGGCAAGUGGGGUGCGGCGCUAGGCUAGGCUAGGGUUAGUUCUAGUUUGGGUUAGGCUAGUUGGGUCUGGGUCUGUCAUUGGAUUAAAGUUUGUAAAUGGGUUGUCUUGGUUUGGUUUGUUUUUGCUGGUACGGGCUCGGGCAAAAAUGGGCUUGUACAAAGUUAAUAGGGGUAAAUGAAAUAAAGAUACUGAUAAAACUAAAUCUGAAUGAUAUGACAUAUGUGAAAGGUAAGAAUUAUGAUUCAAGAAACAGAUAAGGAUAAAUUUUAUGAAAUAGAUUUUGAUAAUAUGAAAUGAUGUAAAAAUGAGAAGUGAAAAUGAAAUAAUUUGAAAUAGUGAAAUAAUACUUGAAUUUAAUUGAAUACAAGUUAUUGAAAUAUAUUUAAUGUAUGAAGUGAGCAUUUAAAGACUCUAACUAUAAAUUGAUUAUAAAAGAAUGAAUUGACGAUGGAAAUUGAUGAUGGAUAAAUUAUUAAAAUGGAAUGGGAAAUUGAAACAAAUGUGAAAUAGUUACUGAAAGACUAAUGUUGUAAGGUUUUAGAUAUGAAAUAGAAUAAGUUAUUGAAUUGAGAUGUAUAAAUGAAAUAUAUGAAAUAAUGAUUUUAUGAAAUGGUUAUUGAUGAAAUGCAUGAAAUAAAUACUGAUAUAGUAAGAAGAUAAAUAAGUUAAAAUAAAGAGAAGCUAUGUAAAAAAAAACAUACAUUUGAAAUAAAAUUAAAGUUUAAAUGCAUGAAUAAUAUAUUAAUGGUAAAUUAGUGGAAGAUUUAAUAUAUAUACAUCUGUGUGUGUGUGUGUUGCUUUUGCCUUAAGUAUUUGAAUUAUAGUAAUACCACUGGGUGUAUACUCAGCGUACGGUUUGUUUUCGUGCGCAGAUUAGGUAUAGAAAUUUUUGAAGAGUUGAAUUUGAGAUUACAAGUUUUCAUCUCAUCACAUCUUCAAGCAACAACAGGGUAUGCUUUAAAGUUUUGAUUAGAAUGGCAUGUACUUAGGGAAAAAAAAUAGGUAUGUUCCAAUUUUUAGUUUUUGUGUUCAAAUAUAUUAGAAAUUAGCCAAGAAUUAAUUUGGCACCACAUGUAACAUUCCUAUAUCAGGUUCCUUAAGUCGAACAUGGUAUAGGGGUGUUACAAGAUUAAUUCUAGUGAAGUUGAAAAUAGAUGUGACAGUAAGAUUAACUAUUAUGGUGAUGAGAUUAAAAUCACUGGUGAGAUGUGUGCUAGGAUUUAUGCAUAUAGAUUGUAGAUUUAUAGUAAGAAAGCAAAAUGACCAUUAUGAACAUUAAACUAAAAUUAAACUAAAGUAGUUUGCACCCUUCCGUAUAUUUUUGUACAAAUAAUAUUUUAACGAUAAAAAUAUUAUAUUUCAUAUUUCAUUUAUAAAUCAUGCAUGUCAAAUUUGACGUAAAUUAAAAAUUUCUAACUAUUUAUUUUAUGUAAAAAUACUUUUAACUGGUUAAUAAAUGUUAAUAUAUACAAUAUUUUAGACCGAUAAGAUAGAAAUAUCAAAUCAAUUUGAAAAUUUGCAUGCAUGAAUCAUACAAUAAUAUCGAUAAAUUCAAUGGUUGAAUUGUUAAAUUAAUAAUCAUAUAAAAAUAUAUGGAAGCGUAUAAAAUUACUUUAGUUUCAUACUAGUGUAAGCGGAUCUCUCCCAUUUUAAUAUAUAAAGUUAAUUAUAUAAUUUAAAAUUAUGUAAUUAAUAUUAUUUAUAAAUAUUAUAAGUAUAAAUAUAUUUCUUUAUACGCCUAACAAAUGUAAAGAAAAUCCACAAUCAAGCUAUUUGUUGAGGGGAGGUAUGUAAUUUUUAAUUUUAUGUAAUUAUAUAUACGACCCCUUGUAAAAUGGGAAUCCAGAUGAAUUUAUGCGCCCUGACCCUUCUUAAAACGAUAAAUCUUGUUUUUAGUCUUUUAAAAUUUAUUUUUAAGUUAGUACAUGGUAAAAUUUUACUUUUGCUCUUAAAAAAUGAUAAAAUUUUAAUUAAUCUUUUAAAAAUAAAAAAAGAUAUAAAUUAUUAAAAUGAUAAGAUUUCAUUCUAACUCUCCUAAAGAAUAUAUAAUUCAAUUAUAACUUUUUAAAAAAAUGAAUUUUUGAUUUCAUCCUUAUUUGAACUUCAAAAAUUACUCAAGAAAAAAAAGUUUUGCUGACUAAGGCAACAAACCAAAGAGAAACGAGAUUCACGAAGGGAUGAAGACGAAGUACAAAACCAAAGGGAUAAUCAAAGGAGAAAAGUUGUAUAAAAUAUAUGUGGUAGCGGGGAAGAGAUGCUAAGGGAUUAAUUUAUAUUUUGUUAUUCAAUAUAUAUAUUUAAUUCUUUCACUAUUUAUUGCUAUACAAAUAUUAGAUUUAUUUAAAAAUUAUGCUAUUUGUUUGUCGGAUUAAUCGUAUUUCGGGGCCGGAGCAAUGAACCUAUUUAAAGCGGUUCAUAUUGUCCUAAAAGAUCCCAACAAUGAAUAUUAAUUUUAUUUCCCCACCUAACUACGUACUCUUGGUUGGGUAGGUCCUGGCAGAGAAGUUAUAGACACAGUUUUAUACUUUGCGUCUGGAAUACUUCACUUAAUUUCCUUUGCUAUAUUGAGUUUUGGCGGUAUUUAUCAUGCACUUUGGGACUUAAAGCUCUUGAAUAAUCUUUUUCAUUUUUCGAUUAUGUAUAGAAAGAUAGAAAUAAAAUGACCAUAAUUUUGGAUAUCACUUCAUUUUGCUUGAUACAGGUGUUGUUCUUCUAGUAUAUGAUAUCUGGGCUUAGUUUAAAUUUAAAUAAAAUAAUUUAAUAGUUCGAAUUAAACCAAACUUAAACAAACAUAUUGAUACUAAAUAUAAAUCUAACAUAAACCUAGCGGCCCAUGAAUGCUUUACAUACUAAUAAAAUCAACUAAUAUUUUAUAAAUACUAUUGAAUAUAUAUGAUCAGGUAGUAUAAAUGUUGAUCAAAUAACAUAAAAAUUCAUGUACAUUCUUUACAUAAAGUUAGAACCUUUUGGGCACUGUCUUAAAUCUAUUGACAUCGGUAUUGUUGUUAGUGCAGGAGAAUAUGGGUUCGAGUACACUGAGACAUAUUAUCCUCUUAUUUAAAGGUUGAGAAGAAAUUAUAAAUAAUUCUAAGUAGUAUUUCAAAUUUUAUUAUAUUGGAUGAAUGGUUAUCUUAGAUCACAAGCUAAAUUUUGGGUUUUAUUUAGUAUGAGCUUUGUUAAUAAACUUAUUGCAUUAAUAUUGGGCUAUUUGGUUUAUAAGACUCUUCGACCUUUUUUUUUUUUUAAGAAUAAAAACAAAAUGAGCUCAUUUUUUAUUUUAUUUUUAAGUAUAUUUAUAUAAUAUUGAAUAUAUAAAUAUGUUUUAUUAUUUUGUUAUUAAAUAUUACAAAAAGUUACAAAUAAAUCAACAAAUUACAAAAAACCCUAAGUUUUACAGAUUUUACGAUUUGAUACUUAUGUUCUGAAAUAUUGACUGUUUAAGUGAUGAAUGAAUAUUUGUUACACGUUUUAAGCUUUUAUUUAUUAAAAUUUGCUUUAUUUCUAUGGAUUUUUAAUUAAAUUUGAGGACAAUGCAUAAUAUUAAAUUUAGCUCUUAACAUUUACAUAUUUUAUCAAUUUGGCCUUUGUUAUUGUUUUGAGACAAAUUUUGGCCUUCAACCUUUUAGAAAAGAGUUAAAAUGAUAUAUAUUUUUUAAUGAGAAUACUAAUUAAAAUGUCAAAACUUUAAACACGAUAGCUUGCAUGACAAUUCACGUGCACUCCGAGUUAUUUCUUUUGAAAAUUUAUGAACAUUUUAUAUUUUAUAAUUUUGAUUUUUAUAAUUUUGAAUUGUUUAGCAUGAUUAGACUCUUUUUAAAAAAAAUUAAGAGUAAAAUUUAGCUCAAAAAAAGAAUAAAGGUCAAAUUGAUAAAAAAAUAUAAAAGUUGAAGGUUAAAUUUAUCAUUAUACCAUUUUACAACUAGCUAUAUUUAAGUUGGUACCAUUUUACCGCAUAGGUCUGAAGGUCUGCUCGAAAUUUGAGAGGGUUUGAACAAAAAUAUUAAGCCCAAAAAAUGGGUUUGACCAAAAAUAUUAGGCUCGUUUAAAAUAUAGGCCAGACUCGAACUUGAACAUUUAAGGACCAAGCCCAACUUGACCUGUUUUUAAAUUUAUAAUACUUAUAUUAUGUUAUUUUUAUAUACUAUAUAAGUUAUCUUAUUGAUAAAUAUAAUGAUAACAAAUUUAAAUAUUAAGAAAAAUACGAAAAUUUUUCAAAAUUUAUUUCACUCUUCAAAAUUUUACAUCUUUCAAAAUAAACUGUCCGCUUUAGGUCUUAAACCUUGUAAUAUAUAUAUGAUUCAUUAACAAUUAAAUUAUUAGAGUUAUUUCCAAAAAUUUAAAUAAAAAAUAAACAAAAGAAGAAAUAAAAUUAUAUAAAUAAAAAGCAAGGAUAUAAUAGGAAAGAAAAACUUCAAACGAUUGACACAGACAUAGAGGUGCUCAUGGGCUGGGCCGAGCCCAAAAAAAUUUCGGCCUGCAUCCUAGGCCCGGGCUCGGUCCGAACCGAAAUAUGGGCCUGAAAUUUUGUCCAGGCCUGACUCGAAAAAAAAUUCCUAAGUCCGAGCCCGACCUGGGCCAAAAAAGUGGUGCUCGAGGCCCGGCCUAUUUUCUAAACGGGCCUUAUUUUUUGCCCAAAUCUAUAUUUUGAGCCUAUAUUUUUACCCGAAUCCUCUUAUAUUUUGGACGGGCUGUCGGGCUGAGCCGAACCACCCGACCCAUGAGCACCUCUACACAAACAGUACCAUUGACAAUAACACUAAACACUGUUACUCAAAGGAAGCUCCAGUACGUUUGAAAUCAAAGCAAGGGUAAAUGUUGGUUCAUUUCCACCCUUGUGGGGGUGUUUUCAAAUCUAAUUUUAUAUUUUUAUACAAAAAUAAAAUAUAUAUACAUAAUAAAAUUUAAACUUAAAUCUUUAUCAUUUUCAUCAUUUAUAUUUUAUCGCAUAAUCAAAUUCUCAUUCAUUAUUUAUAACAAUUUUUUAUAAAUAUAUUUAUUACGUAAUUCUAUUUUUUAUAUUUUUCAUUUUUCUAUAAUUUUAAAAAAGAAAAUGAAAUUUAUGAUUCAUACAAAAAAAUAAAAAUAAAAAAUAAAAAACAAAAGUACUCCAAAGUUGUAUUACUCGAAAUUAUGAUUCCAACAGUGUUAUAAUCAAUACCUCUGACUCGACGAUGGUGUCGAAGCGUCAGGGGUUAGACGAAGGUAUUGAUUAACUUUGUUGUGGUGCAGAUGAUGAGCAUAAAUACUGAAUUAAUUGCAAUUAAUUGUACGUAUACGGAGCUGUUUAUGGGUAGGGUAGUUGUUACCGACGAAUUAAUUAUAAUAUAUAUUAGAAAUUACAAAUUUAGAGUAUAAAUAUAUGUUUAGAAAUAACUUAUAAUAAAUAAUUAAACGUAUUAUUUAAAAUUAAUUAAUAAUGACACAUGAAAUAUGUAUGCUAUUAAAAUAAAAAAAAAUAGAUUAAUUUGUUUAUCAUAGUUGUUAGAGUUUGUGUGACUUGAAUCCUGUCACUUGUUUGACCUCUUGCCCCCAUAGAUUCUCAUUAAGCAUAAAACUAGACUGGGGUUGCUACCAGGAGUGCGUGACUCCCCGCGGUAUGAACCAUGCCGCACAAGUAGAAUAUGUCACAUCCCAAAAACUGGGUUAGAAGAAAUCGCGUUAGUAAAACCAAUAGUGGUUACGUCCUGCUUUUGAGUUAAGGUUGUGGAAAUUCUGUAAAGUGAAUUUUUUUGGUUCAAUGGUUAAGAGAUUGUGUAAUGACUCAAAUUUAAGGUUAUCGGAAUAGUAGUUUCGUAACCACAAAUUCGAUUUAAAGAGAAAUUUAUUUUAAUAUUUUUGCAUGAAUAUUGGUAUGAUAGGAAAACGUAUGAAAAUAUUGAUAGAAAAAUUUUACUGAUUUAGUGGUUAGUUAGAAAAAGAAAUUAUUGAAGAAAUUGGGUAAAAAUAAGGUAUUGAGACCUCAAUCUCGUAAAAAUGAGUCAAAAAUAUUUUUAUAAAUAUUUAUGAAGUGUUAGUAACAUGGUAUUAAAAUUUCGUUAGAAAAUUUUAAUGUUUGGGUAGUCAAUUAAGUGAAAAGGACUAAAUUGAAAGACUUAAAAGUUACUAGAAGGAUUAAAUAGCUCAAUUGUUAAAUGAGGAGGGACAUAAAUUGAAAAUAAGCCCAAAAGGAGAUAUUUUGGGUGGCAUAAGCUGAGAAAAAUCGGGAGAAUUGGAGAAUUAAGGGUAAAAUUAGAAUAUUGCAAAAUUUACUUUAAAAGUUAGGACUAAAGUGGAAUUAUCUAGAUUUCUCUUUAUUUUUCUGCAUUCUCAUCAGCCAAAAACAUUCUAAGGGUUUAUUAAAGCUGGUUUUUCAUAAUUUUUGCACCAAGUGAGUUAAUCCUUUCCUUUUUCUUGUAAUUUUUGUGUUUCUAAGACUUUUACAACUAGGUCCUAUUACUACAUUCAUUAGUUUUUGAUUUUAUGAAUGAAUUUGAAAGUUUCUAUGAAUAUUUUCUGGAAGUUUAUGAUGAAAUAGGAUGAAAUUUAAGCUUUAAUCUGUUUAUGAGAUGAUUUUAUUAGGUAAUUUCAAUAGAAAUUGAUUUGUAGGACCUAAUUGUGAAAAAGUUUGGAAUUAAAGUCUAGUGCUAAAAUUCUGAUUUCCAAAGGUUAUAAAGUAGUUUAAAGUGAUAGAAUAAAGUGUUGAUUGAGAAAAAUCAGCUCAAUUGAGAGGUUAAUUGAGCAGGGAUGAAAUUAACAUUUAUUGAAAGCUUAGGGAAAAAUGGUAAUUAACAUCAUGCACUAAAACAGUUUUGGACAGCAGCAGUAGUCUAACUUUGAAAAAUCACCAAAAAUUUUAUAAAUUUAAUUAGAGGAUGAAUAAAAUAUGAAAUUAAAGCUUAUUGAGUCUAGUUUCUUAUAAAAGAAACUGUGUAAGCAAUGAAAUUGUAAAUCAUGAGAUAUAAUAGAUUUUGUGAGACAAGGUCAGAAUGAAUUCGGGUUCCCCUGUUCUGACUUUGGAAAAUCAUUAAAAAUUGUAAAAAAAUUAUUAUGAGUUAUAAUAUAUAUUCUUAGAAUACUUAAUGAGUCUAUUUUCAAAAAAAAAAACAAGCGAGAACAUCAUCCAAAUUUUUUACAAUGAGAUAAUUAAUUUUUAGUGAAGAGAGGUCGGAACUGUCAAACAGUGAAACAGGGGAAAUUUUAGAGAAUAAACUGUACUUAUUGGCUAAACCAAAAAUUCUGAAAAUUUUAUGGUAAGAAGAUAUGUGAGUCUAGUUUCAGGAAAAAUUAACGGAUCUUAGUUUGGAGUUCCGUAGCUCAAGAUAUAAAUAAUUUAGUGACAUGACUCAGUGAGACAGCUUUGAAUGCACUAUAAAUAAUAAUGAAAUUAUAGAGAAUGUUACAUAUGAACAUGAAAUGUAUUAGAUUAAUGAUUAAAUUUAUUUAUUUAGAUCCAGAAAAUUCAAAUACAAAGAUAGAUCGAGGAAAAGAAAAAGUUCGGGAUUAGUAGAUUUUUGUUUACCAACAAGUAUCGAGGGAAGUUCGUGUAACUUGAAUUAUAUUCUUAAAUGUUUGAAAUGUUUGUUAUUGAUGUGAAAGUGAGUUGAAUGUUUAUUGUAUGAUAAUUGAUGAAGUAUUGAUAUUCUUGAUGAAAAGAGGAAAUAAAUCCCGGUUGAAUGAAGGAAAAAUUUGAUGGAUCUCUGAAAAGGAAUUGACAGUAAAAAGGAUCCAGCCCGGAUGAGUGAUCCUAUCCUGAUAUAGCCCUCCCGAAGAAUAUGUGGAAAAUGGAUUUAGCCCGGACUGGUAAUCCGAAUUAGGGUCUGAAUUUAGCUUGGACUGGUAAUUCAGAUCCAAGCUCAUUAGAGUAAUUGUCGUUGCAGGGGAUUUAGCCUGGACUGGUAAUCUUGACAAUACUCUAUGAGUUUAUAUUACAGGGGAUUUAGCCUGGACUGGUAAUCCCGCUGUAAGGAUGAGGUUCGCGGGAGUGUGCUUUCUGAAAUGGAAAUGUGCUACAUGAAUAUGAAUUGACGGACCUGGAUUUGUACACUUAGGUGUACCCCUAAAAAUCCAUCGAAAUUCCGAGAAGUUCAACGGGAUAAAUAUGGAAAAAUAACAAGGAAAUGGAAAUAAUGAAAUUGAUGAGCUCAUCAAUCAUGAUAUAUAUAUUAUUGAUACAUGAAAAUUAUUGGACUAAUUUGAAUGUUGAGUUUGUGCAUGAUAGGGGAAUAAUGUAUUGAAUGGAUGUAUGAAUGUUUAUUGCAUUGUAUUGAAAAUAUUAAGUAAGUAUAAUUCUUGUUACAUGAGCUUACUAAGCACAAAGUGCUUACCCUGUUUCCUUUUCCCCUAUUUUGUAGUGUUAAGAGCUCAGAGGUCGGAUUUGGUUGGAGACGCAUCACACUAUCAACCUUAAGAUCUCGGUAUAUAAAGAAACUUUAUUUUGGAAAUCAAUGGCAUGUAGAAGCUAGUAAAGUAGAUGUUAAUGUGAAAUGAAUGUAUAGUUAGCCAUUGGUAUGACUAACAGAUUUUGGUUUUGGUAUGUGAUGAGAUUAUCUUAUGAAUAUGAUAAAUCUAUCUUGAAAAUAUAUUGAAAUGGAUUGGUCUCGGUUUAAAAUUUGCAGGGAAGAUUAGAUAUUUAUAAAGGGGUUAUAUUGAGUUUUUUAAAAAAAAUAAUAUUUAUUCGGUAAAAUAUGGUAAUGGCCCAUACUCUAUUUCGGCGACGAAUACGGGUAGGGGGUAUUACAGAUUGUGCUUGUGUGACAGAGGUUCUAGGUUCACAUAUUUUCCCCUUGUAUUUUUUCCAAUUUUGUCUAAACCUUUAGCUUUGGGUAUCUGGCAGGCAUGACCUUGGGGGUUGUCUGGAGGUGCAGCACAUAGGGCCCAAGGCGGAAAGGGGUCCAAAAUAUUAUUUCUCAAUUUUUAAGGGGCCUAAAAAAACUUUUUUUAGCUUUAAAGGGCUCAAAAAUUUUUUAUCAACUUUUAAGGGACCUAAAUUUUUUUCUCUCCAACUUUUAAGGAACCUAAAGCACUAUUUUAUUAUUUUGCCUAGGGCCCCAAAAAUGUCAAGAAUGGGCCUAGUAUCUGGUUUAAGAAAUAUUUGUGUGCAUUUGUUGACAAGAAUGAAUUUGUUAGUCUAAUGGUAAAGUGUUAGUUAACCCUUAGGUCCUAUGUUCGAACCGUUGUGUGCAAAUUCUUGUUUUGAACUUUGGGGAAAAUCUAGUAAGGAUAACUAAUGAAAUUUAGUGGGGUUAUGGGUGGUUUAAUUGAAUUUUUUUAAAAAUGAUUCCCCAAAAACUCUCGCACUUCCUUUCCACGUUCUCACAUUCUUCCCUCCCUCUUUCUCUAUCGUUCCACUUUUAUUAUUUCUGUCAAUUUCUUCUUUCUAUUUGUUUUCCUCUAUUUCUCCCUUUUUUUUUGCCUUCUGUUCUAUUUUGUUUGUUAUAAUAUUAAUGUCAAUUUUUCUUAAGAAUAUUAUUCCAACAAAACAAAAAUAGUUUAUCAAAAUAAGUUUGAAUGGGUUUUUUUUUAAGAAUAAAUCUUCAUUAACAUUUUAACUGAAAUAGUAAAGAGACCAAAUUUUGUUAAAAAAAGUAUAAGAAUUAAAUAUCAAAUUUAUACAUACUAAGGGAUCAAAAACAAAAUAUGGUUGAAGGCUCUCUAUACUUAAAAAUAAACUAUACCAAAUAAAAGUAUUGGGAUUAAAUCUCUUAAGCAUGUUGCACUCACAAGUAGCGAAAGAGAGGAAAAACAAGCUUUCAACUCAAAUGAGAGAAUAUGAUAUUUAUUGAAUUGAUGAAUAAUUUCAAAUGGUUCUAGCCUUUUAUAAGCUUUAUAAUAGCUAAAAUUAGUAACUCAAAGCUAAAAAUAGCAAAGUCGAAUGAGAGAAAAAUCCUCAAUAAUCUCUAAUUUCUAGGGAUUAUUUACCAAAAUAAUCUCAACAAUCCCUCCCUUAAACUGAAAGUACAAUGAACUUUCAGUUUAAUAAAUACUUACUAGCUACUUGAUGUCAAAGACCUAGUAUUUUCCUGAACUUGAUAAAUGAUGCCAACUUGAGAGGCUUAGUAAAUACAUCAUCAACUUAAUUCUCACUUCAGCAAUACUUUAGCUCAAUUGCUCUUUCAUUGCUGAGAUAUGACAGAAAGUAAUAUUUUACAUCAAUAUGCUUGCUUCUUCCAUGCAACACGAGAUUUUUUGACAACUUGAUGGCUGAGUUGUUAUCACAAAAAAAAUAUAGCGGCUUUUUCUGGUUUGAAUUGUAGUUGUUCAAGGAUUCUCCUAAGCCAAAUAGCUUGACAAGCACAAGUUGUAGUGUCAAAAAAUAUGACAAUGGAUUGUUUCUUAGAUGACCAUAAAAUAGCCCCUGUUCCAAGCAUAAAAACAUAACCUAAAAUGAUCAUUCUGUCAUCUUGAUCUCUUGCAUAAUCACUGCCAGUGAAGCCAAUCAUGUUUGACUUUUCACCCUUAUUGUAGAAAAUCCCAAAUCUUUGGUUCCUUAUAAGUAACGAAGUAUUCUCUUAGCAGCUAAUAAAUGUUUUUUGUAACACCUCUUACUCGAGACCGUUGCCGGACUCGAGCACGAGGCAUUACUUAACUUAUCGUACUAAUUCGGAGCAUAAAAAUUUACUUUGCAUAUUAAUUUCACUAUUUACAGCAAAGCUGUCCAAUCGCGUAGCAGUUACUAAAUUAACUAUAACUCAAGCUAAAGAACUCGAAAUUUAACUCCGUAAAUUUUCCCUGAAACUAAAAUCAUAUAUAUAUUUUCCAUAAAAUUUUUAGAAUUUUUGGUUCAGCAAAUUAGUACAUUUUAUUAGUUAAAGUCUCCCUGUUUCACCAUUUGACUGUUCUGACCUCUUGUUACUAAAAAUAAGUUUUCUCAUUAUAGGAUUUUCAUAUUCUAUCCCCACUUGUUCCUACAGAAAAUAGACUCAUUAAGGAAUCUAAUAAUGUAAAUUUCAACUCAUAAACAUUUUUGUACAAUUUUUAAUGAUUUUCUAAACUCAAAACAGGGGACUCUAAAAAACAGUUCUGACCCUAUCUUACUAAAAUUCACAUAUCUUAAAAUAUAAAUUUCCUUUUGCUACACCGUUAUUUUUACAUGAAAAUAGACUCAACAAGAUUUAAUUCCACAUAUCAUUCACCCUCUAAUCCAUUUUAUACCAUCCUAGGUGAUUUUUCAAAGUCACAUCACAGUGCUACCUGAAUUCUGUUUCUUUGCAAAAAUUUAUCCUUUCAUGAUUUCCAUGCAUAAUUUAUCACCUAGACUUUCAUAACAACAAACACCUUCAUACUUAACCCUUUUAAUGAUCAUACAUCAUCAAAUGCUUACACAUCAUUCAUUAGCAAAAUCAUAAUCACAAACAUACAAAAUAACUAAAUCCCUAUACAUGCCAUAACUCAAACGUGUUUCAUCAUAAAAUACCGAGCAAUUGUGGUUGAUAGUGUGGACGAUCUCCGACUUCUUUAGGAUCCUUGAAGUAGCUUGCAAUACUAUACGAGGAAGAGAAAUAAAAGAAGUAAGCAUAAAGCUUAGUAAGUUUACUAGCAAAUAAAUAACAACAUUAAACACAAAUAAUUAAACUCAAGUGUCCAUAUCUCUAGUUUACUUUUUAGUUAAUCUCAUUCUAGUUCUCUUGCUUAUUUACUUGGAAUACUUGUGUACAUAACUUACUCUUCUCUUGCUGCAUCGUUGAAUACCAAUUGAUAAUAUAAUAAGUUUUUAGCUCUUAUAACUUACCUGAGCUUGCCUUUUAUGCUUUAAACUGAACUUUCAUGAACAUGAUUCGUUUAUUAGCCCGUUGAGCUACAUUGGAAUAAUAAGGAUACUCGAGUCUCUUCUGAUAAUAACAUGCCAAAGCCAUGUCCUAGACAUGGUCUUAUAGGGGACCUCUCAUCUCGGUGGACAUGGUCUUACAUGGGACCUCUCAUCUUGGUGCCAAUGCCAUGUCCCAGACAUGGUCUUACAUGAGACCUCUCAUCUCGGUGCCAAUGCCAUGUCCCAGACAUGGUCUUACAUGGGACCUCUUUACCCAAAUGUCAUGACAUUCGUAUCCAGUACCAUCCUUAUGUAUCAACGGGACUUUUUAAUUUUAAUUCUCUAUCAUUUCAUGCUUGGAUCAUCAUCAAAUAAAUUCAUGAAAUAAAUUCAUAGUUUUUGGAAAAUAAUAGCAUUAAUAAUAAAUAUUGAAAUAUUACAUUUAUUUACCGUAAACUUACCUCGGUAUCAAAUAUAGUCCAAUUCAACAACUUAGUCUUCAACUUUAUUCUUCUCUUUGUCUAACCUCGUGUUUCAUUCUUCUUGAUCUAAAAUAGAAAAUUUAACUUAUUUAAUACUCACAUUCAUCAAAACAGCCCUCGACUCUAACUUUUUCAAAAUUACACUUUUUCCCCUAAACUUUUACAUAAUUACAUUUUUCCCCAAGGCUCGGAAAUUAAAAUUUAUCCCUUAUUCUUAUGUUUUAUGACAUGCUGAACAUUUUUACCUUCUAUGACAACAUCAAAUUCCCACUCUAACAUGUACUUAUGAACAUUAGGUAUUUUUACCGAUUAUGUCGUUUUACUCGUUUUCAAUUAAAAUCGCUUAGCAAAAGUUGUUUAACAUAAUUUAUAACUUCAUAUUCUACUAUAAAACAUCAAAAUAAACACUUUUUACCUAUGGGUAUUUUUCCAAAUAAAAACCCUAGGUUAAAUUAUUGCUAAAAUAAGCUAAAUUAAGCUACCGGGAUCUCAAAAACGUAAAGAACAUUGAAAACGGGGCUUGGGAUCACUUACUAUGGAGCUUGGAAGCUUAAAAACCCUAACUAUGGCUUCCCCCCUUGCUGAUUUUGUCCAAAUGAAGAAGAUGAGCAUAAUUUGCCAUCUUUUUCCCUUUUAAUUAUUUUUAUUACUAGAUUACCAAAUUGCCCCUAACUUAAAAAUUUUCUAUUUCACUUAUCUCAUGUCCAUUUUUGUCUACCAAGUUACCAAUGGUCUAAUUACCAUAUAAGGACCUCCAAUUUAAAGUUUCAUAACAAUUGGACACCUCUAACAUGUAGAACUCAACUUUUGCACUUUUUACAAUUUAGUCAUUUUGACUAAAUUGAAUGCCCAAACGUCGAAAUUUUCGAACGAAAUUUUUAUGAAAUCAUUUUGUGAAAUCAUAGACCAUAAAAAUAUAAGAAAAAUAAAAUUUUUCUCAUCGGAUUUGUGGUCCCGAAACCACUGUUCCGAUAACCUUAAAUUUGGGCCAUUACAUUUUUCAACUAGGCUCUCCAUGUACCUGCUAAUAAGACUCAUAAAAUACAUAAUGUUUGGCCUCGUAGUAGUUAGACACAUCAAACUACCUACAAUUUGCUUGUAAAGUAUGUUAUCCAUAUUUUUUAGUAAGUUUUAAGCCAAACUCAUUGCAGUAUUGGAAGAGUUAUAAUUCGUCAACUUGAAUUUGUCCAAAAUCUCUCUGACAUACUUUUUCUCUUCCUUCAAGUAUCCAUGUAAGAAUGUCGACUUAAAAUCUAACUAGAAGAUUGAUGAAGAGUUCUGCGCUACUAAAGCAAUCACCAAUCUGAUGGUGUUAUGUCUUGCAACUAAGGCAAAAACUUUUGUGUAGUCCACACCAUACUCUUGUUUGUACCCCUUAGCUGCUAAUUGCGUAUUGCACUUCUCAACCUCCCUAUUUUCCUUCAACUUUGUCUUGUAGAUCCACUUGACACCAAUGGUUUUGUGCCCCUCAAGAAGAUCAGUCAUCUUCUAAGUAUCAUUCCUUUUAAUGGCUUCGAUUUUAGCAUCCAUUGCCUCUUUCCAUUUUACCUCAUUGGCAACAUUUUCAAAACUUAUUGGGCCACAAUUUGUAAAUAAUACAAAUUGAGAAAUUGCAUUAUCAUUUUCUCUAAUUUUGGUUACGUCAUAAUGUUACAUCCAUGCUAGCCUUCUUCGAACAUGACGAAGUGCUUCAGCUAUUGUACUAGUUUCUUCUUCAUGUGUAAACAAUACUUUAGUGGCUAAUGGAGAAGUAUUCUUGAGCAUUUCUUUAGCUUUAUUAUCACAAAGAACUUAAGUAGGUUGUGCUUCAUCCCAAUCCCAAGUGUUCUCUUCAUGAAACACAACUCUCGACUAAUCACAACAUUCUUUGUCACAGGAUUGAACAAUUUGUAUGCCUUUAAUUUGAUUUUUCAAUAAUACCAAGAAAGACACAUCAACAAGCUUCUUUUAUUUCUCCUCUAAGACAUGUGCUUAGGUAAUGCACUUAAAAAUUUUGAAAUGAUCUACCACUGGUCUCCUUCCACUCUAAGCCUUCUCCGGAGUCACAUCUCGAAGAGCAUUAGUAGGGCUCCUAUUCAAGAUGUAGAUGUUCCAAUUUAUAGCUUUUGACCAGUACACCUUUGAAAUUCUCCUUCUUGCUAGUAGGCUUCGAACCAUGUAGAGAAUGGUUCAAUUUUUCCUCUCUGAUACAUCAUUUUUUGUGGUGUAUAAGCAGUUGUGAGCUCUCUUUGGAUGCUGUAAACAUCACAAGUCUUCAAACUCCUUAGAGGAAUAUUCACCACCACAACUAGUUCAAAGAGCUUGAAUGGUUCUUCUUUUCUUAUUUCCUACACCAGCUUUGAAGCUUUUAAAUGCAUUAAAAGCCUUUGAUUUUUCUUGUAAAGGUAAACCCAUGUCUUACAAGAAUAAUAAUCAAUAAAGGUAAUAAAAUUCCAUUAGAAAUUGGAUUUAUUGGCCCACAAAUGUCUGAAUACACCAACUCCAAUACCUCUUUUGCUUUUCAUGACUUACCUUUGGGAAAUUGAGAUUGAUGUGGUUUACUAGCAACAAAUUCUUCACAAACUAGGGAAGGAAAAAUAAUUGGAGGAAGACUAGUCACCAUAUUUUUAUUUUUAAGUAUCUUCAAACCACCAAAGUUUAAAUGACCAUAGCAAAAAUACCACAACCAAGAAGGAUAUUUAACUUUUGCUAUUAAACAAGAUUGAGCAACCUCAAUCUUCAAUGGAAACAACCUAUUUUGACUUAUUUCCAUAAUAGCAACAACUGUUCUAGAUGGAUCAGAAAUCUCACAAGCACCAUUCCUGAAAUUAUCAACAUACCCUUUUUCCAACAGUGGCAUCAAAGCCAAGCUUGUUAUUGUUAGCUUGGAAAAGCUUUCACCUAUGACCUUGGAAAGUAGUCUUGUUCAAGUAGUUAUUCCUUGUUUUGAUGAUCACUAUGACCAUUGGAGUAUGCUAAUGGAGAAUUUCCUAUGGUCAAAGAAGUAUUGGCCAAUGGUUAGGGCAGGUAUCAAAGAGUCUGCAGAAGGAGAAACUUUGACGAAUGCCCAGAAAGUAAGGUUCGAAGCAAGAAAGCUGAAAGAUUUGAAGGUGAAAAAUCAUCUCUUUCAAGCUAUUGAUUGUCUCAUCUUGAAAACUGUUCUUUGCAAAAAAAAAACUUCCAAGGAUAUAUGAGAUUCCAUGAAGAAAAAGUAUCAAGGCUCUGCCAGAGUGAAGUAAUGACAUCUUCAAGCCUUGAGGAGGGACUUCGAGACUCUAUAGAUAAAGGAAAGGGAAUCUAUCACUGGCAAUUAUGUUAGAACCAUGGAGAUUUGUAAUAGGAUGCAAUUCUAUGAUGAGAAGAUGGAGGGUGCCACCAUAGUGGAGAAGAUUUUGCGCUCCAUGAUGCCGAAGUUUGAUCAUGUUGUUUGCAUCAUUGAAGAGUCAAAAGACAUAGAUGAAUUGUCUCUUGAUGAGUUGCAAAACUCUUUAUUUGUGCAUGAGCAGAAGAUGAAUUGUACUUUAGCCUUCAAGGAAUAAACUUUGAAGGCUUUUACUUUUUUUUUCAAUUUUAGAGGAAUGGGUAAAGGUAGAGGUAUAUAUUGGGAAAUGUGCCUAUAGUUUAGUAAACAUGUAACUAUUUUCUAUUUAUUUAAACGGUGAAUUAAUAAAUAAAAUUAAUUUCACAUUUCACUAUUAUGUCUUUUGUAUUUUCUGUCUUUUAUAUUUACAAUACAUAGCAAAAUUGUGACAAGCAAAUAUUAGCUCAUUGAUUGUCUAAAGUUCAAACUGAAGAUAAGUGACAUUGUAAAGAACAUUUACAUUGUGGGAAAGACAACUUAUUUUAGUAGAUAAUCUAAAUGAGUCCGUAAUCUCGUAAAAGAAUCAAAGUGAGCAUUUGAUUCAAAUAGUGAGAAGGAUUAUCAUGUCAUCUACAAUUCUAAUUAGGGAGAUGGCUAGUCUUGGCUAUCGGAGUAGUUGACUCUAUUAGUAGAGAAAUAUAUGUAUUCAUUGGUAGAAUGAUACAUUGGAUUGGACCCAAUAUGAAUUAAUUCACUUUUGACGUUCAUGGUGUGGUUUAUCCAAAUAUUGAGUUAGUCACUGACCAUGCGUAUGCAACCCAUGUGCUUUGAUAUAAGUGGAGGCUUAUGCUCUAAAGAUGAUCGAGCCCAUAGUCGGUAUGUUGGGUACAUAACUUGUGUAUGGCAUGAUUUUACUAGCAACAAUGGAAUUCAUAGCUCAAUUAAAGAGUUAAUGAUAUCCUCUCAUUGGUAUUGUGUGGAUUGAUAAAUAUAGAACGUGGCCACGGGUUGCUUGUUCUUGAAAGAGUAAUUUAUCACAGUCAUUUGUUGACAGUGAUCGUAUUAAUCAUUAAGGAGACACAAUAGUGAUAAUGAGAUAAAAUAAGAUUGUAUUGAGUGAACGGAUUUAAGUCAAAGGAAUCAAGGAUAUCAUAUGAGGGUAACACACACAUGAUGAGGUCAUUGGACAAAGCAGUUGGGUGAAUUGCUUUCUUAAAGAGUAUACAAUAAUGAGUUUUCAAUCAUGGCACUUCUUAUGGACUGACUCUUGAUUAAGUAAUUGCGAAUUAUUGUAAUGAUGCUUUUAGACAUAAUUACAAUCACUAGAGCCUAAUUGUAUAUGUUCAAUUAGUCCAUCCGUUAGCUCAACAAAAGCUUGAUCGUACUGCAUUUGAAUCAGAAGAAAAUUCUACGACUUUGGAAAUAAUUUAAUUGAGUCAAUUUAUUCGAUAUGGAAUUAAAUUAGGUAGUCGCGAGAAUUGUUUAACUAGAGAAUUUGGUUAAAUAAUUUUCUUAAAAAAUUAAUUUGGAAAAUCUAAGUGAUUUUUAGGAAAAUUAAUUUUGAUCAAGUAAAAUUAAAUUGAUCAAAUUAAUUAAAAUUAAUAUAAUAUUUUUGGAAAUUAAUUUUCAAGUAAGACAAUUGGUCCAAUGGGUAAUUGAACUUUAAAAUUGGACCUGAGAUCAUAAGCGUGAGAGCCCAAAACCAAGACUAAGACCCAAAAACUGGUCGAAUCGGGCUCGGUAUGUGAAACCGGGUCGACGGUCCAAUUGGUGACUAGAUUGAAUUGGUCGGGUUGUCAUUGACCCGGACCAAACCGGCUCAGGGUGCCGUAAGGGUGUCGCACCUGCAUCACUGGACAUAUCGGUGUUGGUGGCUGCGACGACGGCGUCCUGGUGACUGCUGGAGGUUGGUCAUCGGUGAUUGAGUUGUGGAAGAGUUACACUCCUACUGGGACUCUACCAGAGAAUUUAAUUUCAAAUUAACUACUUAAAAAAUAAUAUUAUUUUAAUAGUUUAACAUUAAAUUUAAUUUAAUAAUUAUCUUAAUAGUAUUUUAUUAAUUUAAUAUUAAAAUGAUUAUGCUAAUAUUAAAUUUAAUUUAAUGUUUAUCUUGUAGAUAAAUAUUCUAUUAUUUUAAUAAGAUUUAAUAUUAAAUUUAAUCUAAUAUUUAUCCUGGUAAUUAUUAUAUUAUAUUAAUUUAAUAUCAAAGUGAUUAAGUUUAAUCAUAGUUGAACUCUCUAAACUCUCCCUAUAUAAAGAGAUCAUUGAGUCAUUAUUUACACACCCUUGAGUUCAAGAGAAAGUUGUAGAGAGAAUUUUCUGAAGAGAUUAUUUAAAAAUAUUUCUAGAGAUAUUUUUUUGAUUUAUAACUUGACCCAAAAGUUUAGAGAGAUUGUAAAAUUACCCCACUGGUAAUUUUUGUGAAAAAUUUUCUAAUUCGAAGCGAGCUCACACUUGGCAAACGUGAGCUUGAAGAUUGCGGAGAAGACUACUCGGUCGAAGCGCUAAUCUUAGACGAAUAAAAAUAAAUAGUUUUGAUUAAGUGUUUAUUAUUUUAGAUAUCAUAACCUAAAUUUAUUUUCGUCUGCGUUUUCUCAACCUAUUUUUCCAACAAUAUAAGGAGAAGUUUGAGGUAAUAUAAAUGGUGGCAACAGAAAUGGUAGCAAGAAUUACGAAAUCAAUGAGGACCAAAGUAAGGAUAAAUGACGAGGUUUUGAUAAAUCUAAAAUAAAAUGCUUCAUGAGGUAAAAAUUUGGUCAUUAUCAUUUUGAAUGUUAUUCUAGGCUACUAAAUGAUAAGGAUGAAGAAUCACAUUGAAAAGGAAGCUGAGCCAAAUGUAUAAUAUGUGGAUAUAGGUUGUAGUAUUUUUUUCGUAUUUAAAUGAUAAUUUUCGUUGUAGAAUCACCUUUGGUGAUUAUUGUACUGUGGAUUUCAUAAUUAAAAUUGCACGUGAAAUUUGACGUUUCCUAAAAACCUUAAUUGUUUUUGAAGACUUUUGUUACUAUACCCCGAUCCUUAUAAGAUCCAUCACCGUGAAAUGACAAAAAGUAAUUCAAUGCACAUUAAUUGUGCCAGCGGCUCCAAGCCCAUUGAUUUCACUAUACAUUCCAUGCUUUUAGGUUAACCAUCUUCACACAAUCAAAUCAAGCUAGUUAGCAAUGGCUUCCACUACCAAUUCCCCAUCAACCCUCCUCACCCUUCCUAAUUUCUCCAUUCAAACUUCAACAUUCCUUCCCAAAACAUCUCAACGUUCCAUAUUUAAGAAGAAAAAGCCUUUCAACUUUAACUCCAAAAGAGUAGUGUCAUGCAAAGCCAGCAAUGGGAAACAAAACGAUGCAGAUCACACUUCUUUUCUCAAUAGGUUCGAUAGAAGGGACAUCCUUCUUGGCCUUGGAGGAAGUCUCUACGGUGCAACCAGCCUUGUUAGAGACCCAUUUGCAUUGGCAGGCGACGCAAUCAAGCCUGACCUGUCCAGCUGUGGGGAAUCAACCGUAGAUACCGGUAAAAACUGCCUGAAUGUCCCUUGCUGCCCACCAAAGUUAAAAGGUUCGAAGAUCAUAGACUUCGAACCACCUUUAGGUUGCAAGAUCCGUUAUCGGCCGGCAGCACAUUUAGUUGAUCGUGAUUACCUGUAUAAAUUUGAAUCGGCAAUGGAGAGAAUGAAAGCUCUCCCUGUGGAUGAUCCACGUAAUUUCAUGCAACAAGCCAAUAUUCAUUGUGCCAAUUGCAAUGGGGCUUAUAGUCAAGUGGGGUUCCCCGAUCAAAAACUUGAAGUUCACUACUCGUGGCUUUUUUUCCCAUUCCAUAGGAUGUAUCUGUAUUUCUUCGAGAGGAUAUUGGGCAAGUUGAUUGAUGAUCCAGAUUUCGCAAUGCCAUUUUGGAACUGGGAUUCUCCCUGUGGGAUGACUAUGCCUCAGAUAUAUUUAGACCCUUACUCUCCAUUGUACGAUGAAAACCGCAAUUUGAAGCAUCAGCCGGACGUUUUGGUUAAUCUUAAUGACGGUAAACCUGUUGUAAAAAAAAAAAAAUGAAAAAGAAGAAGAAGAAGAAGAAGAAGAUAGUUUUGAUAAAUUAACAAAGAGGAAACAAAUAAAGAGUAAUCUCUAUGUGAUGUAUCAGCAAAUGGUACGGUCCGCCAAGACCGCUUCUUGUUUCCAUGGAGCGGCGUACCUUGGCGGUUGUGAAUCGGAAACCGAUAUCAGUUGUACUCCCGAACCGAGAGGUGGUACCAUUGAGAACGGUGCUCACAUCGCCGUUCACAAGUUCGUUGGUGCCGAGAAUCCACCUUAUAACGAAGACAUGGGGAGUUUCUAUUCUGCUGGUAGAGACCCUUUGUUCUACGCUCAUCAUGGCAAUGUUGAUCGAAUGUGGAACAUUUGGAAGACAUUGCCAGGGAAGAAGCGACGUGAUUUCGACGAAGAUGUUUGGCUCAAUUCUUCGUUUCUUUUCUACGAUGAGAAUGCAAAUAUGGUUCGCGUUAAAGUUCGCGAUUGCCUUGACUCUAAAACUUUGGGGUACGAUUACCAAAGUGUUGAUAUUCCAUGGCUUAGAAGCAAGCCAACACCUCGAAGGAGUCGUCCUGGUGUGGGAAGGGAUCAGGAUCAGGGUCAGGAUGUAGCAGCCAGACGAAAGAGUAAAAACUUCAGGCGUUUUCCAAUAGUUUUAGACAAGGUGGCCGUACGCAUUGAGAUUCCAAGGCCAAAUAAGGAACUAAGAAUAAAGAAAAAAGAUGAAGAAGAAGUAUUGGUUCUUCAAAACAUACAGCUAGACAGAAAUGACUCAGUGCAUUUCGAUGUCUCCAUUAAUGACGAUGAAGACGACGACAACCCUUGCAAACCGGAAGAUGCGCAGUUCGUGGGGAGCUUUUCGAGUUUACCGCGCGGAGAUAGUUGCCACUCCGAGGCGAUGCUUAGUACAAAUCUGUAUUUGGCAUUAUCAGAUGCGCUGGAGGCUUUGAAGAUUCAAUUUGAAGAUACCAUUGUGGUGACUUUGGUGCCUAAAGAAGGGGAAGUUUCGAUUGGUAACAUUAAGAUCGACUACGUUUGUUGAUUUGGGGGUGAAUAUUUUGCUUCAUCCUUUGUGUUCUCGCUAGAUCGGAUUGAUGGGGUUCAUCAAUUUGUUUCUCGCAUGUGUCUUUUUUUUUUUUUAAUAAAAAUAUCAAGCUAAAUGAACAAAAGCAGCGGCAGCUUUAUCUUGCUCAAGAAGAUAAUCAACUCCCUAAAGGCGCCUGAUAUUUUCUGCAUAUCAUCAAUUCAAACAGGAGAUAUUUUAGUUAACCGAGUAACCACUUGAUUUCUUUAACUAUCCAAGACUUCUUGCACUGUAAAUAGCUCUGAAUGCUUCCAAGUAAUCUGUCUAAAUUAAAGCUUUGACAUAUAUAACAAGAGUAACUCGUCCGAGAUACUCUAGAAUUCAACAUUAAAGACUGAAUAAAUAUCUAAAUUAUGAUUGAACCCGACAAUUUAAUCUUGCCAAUUUUUAUUAUUAAAUUUUACCAUUUACUUUUUGUAUUAUUUAUAAAUUUUAAGUCCAGCUUUAUAAAAAAAUAUCAUUUUAGUUCUUCAUUUAAUUUUAUCUCUUUUUAACCCUUAAACUUAUGUUGUUUGUCAAAUUGUCUCAAAAUAAAUAAAAUAAAUUAAUAUCUAUUAACUUACUCUAGAAUUCAACAUUAAAGACUGAAUAAAUAUCUAAAUUAUGAUUGAACCCGACAAUUUAAUCUUGCCAAUUUUUAUUAUUAAAUUUUACCAUUUACUUUUUGUAUUAUUUAUAAAUUUUAAGUCCAGCUUUAUAAAAAAAUAUCAUUUUAGUUCUUCAUUUAAUUUUAUCUCUUUUUAACCCUUAAACUUAUGUUGUUUGUCAAAUUGUCCCAAAAUAAAUAAAAUAAAUUAAUAUCUAUUAACUUUGUUGACACAUCCACGUGUAUGCCACAUCAACAUUUACUUAAUUCUUUUUACAAAAUUAAAAAAAUUCUGAAACAUUAAAAAAGCUUUAAAAUUAUAAAAAAUUUAAAAAUUAUAAGUUUUAUUUAAUAAUAAAAUUAUAAUAAUAUUCUAUACAUUUUAGAAUUUUUAAAAAUUUUAAUCAGUUAUUAACGUGACAUACACGUGGAAUGCCACAUAAACAAAAUUAUUAAGCGUUAAUUUUUCUAUUCAUUAUAAAGUGCUUUGACAAAAAAACGCUAGUUUAACGGUUAAAAGUGGCGAAGAUUAUAUGAAGGGUUAAAAUGAUUUUUUUUAUAAAAUUGAAGGACUAAAUAAGUCAUUAUGCCUAAAUUUUAUCAUAUUUAUAAAUAAAAUUUUAAUUUUACUAAAAUAUUUGAUUAAAUAUAUUUACUUUAUAAAAAAAUUGUCAUACUUUUAUAAGAAUUUCGAGUCAAUUAAAAUACUUUUAUUAAAUGAAUUUAUAUAAUAAUAAAUAAAUUUAAAUUUUAUAUUGAAUUAAUUUAUAUUAAAUUAUUAUGUUUUCAUUAACCCAAAAAAGUUAUAUUACUUAUUUUUAAAUGAAUUUUUUAAUUAUUUAUAUGAUAGGUAGCUUUAUAUUUUACAUGCAAUAUUUUAUAAAGAAUACAUUUAUAUAAUCUAAUCUAAUAGAUUAUAAUUAUAUGAAGGCUUGAUUCGCAAAUUGGUACCUAAGUUAUGUUAUUUUUUCCAUCUUGGUAUCUAAACUUUUUUUUUUUUGUUAUCAGUCAUCCUUAAGCUAUUUUUUCCCCAAAUUGGUAUAUCUGUUAGUUAACCCAUUAAGUCUAUUUAAAAAAAAAGUUCAACCCACAAAUUAGUACCUCAGCAGUACUCUUUUUCUCAAAUUGGUACCUAAUUUUUUUAUCAUAAGUGAUACCUAAACUAUUCUUCCAUCACCAUUUUACACCAAAAUAUUAUAUUCGUUAAAAAAAUUACAACCAAUUAUAGAUUGUCACUUCAUAUAAACUUUUAAUUUUUUUAACUUUUAUUUAUUUAUUUUACAUUAAUUCUGUCUUUAUAUAUUUUAUUUAUUUAUUUUUCUUCCUUUAUAAUGCCUAGUAAUACCAACAAUACUUAAAAUUGAUUCGCUCGAGGUUGAGACACCGGUGAUUAAUUCUGUUUUGAAAUUUCACCAUGUUGAUUAAACCUUAUAUGAAUUAUAUUUAAUUUGAGUUGGAAUCACAAUAAAUAAUUAUAUAUAUUUAUGCAAGAAAUUAAGAAUUUUAUAUAGUUCAUGAAUAAUAUAUAAUUCAUAUAAGGCUUAAUCCAACAUUCACCCUUCGGCAUUUCCGGCAUACCAACAUCUACACCAUAUCAUCAGUGGGCAGCCCAAUCACUGACUUCUGUCGACGAACAGGCUUACACUCCGCUGCAAACAAUCCCAUCCACUCCAAGCGGCCAUAAAUCAACCCCAACAAUCGCCCCACACCAUCCUUGAACACCCCACUCCAUCCCCCAAGCCUUUCUUCACUCUGAAUACAAUACAUAAAAUAAAAAUGAAGAGACGACUCUCCCAUCUGCAAGGAAAGGAUGUUGCCCCCUUUCAACCAACCAUUCUCAAACCAUGGUUCAUGCCACCAACCAAGCUCACUUACCACCAAUAAUGGCUCUAAUCCAACAAACAGAUCGCAUUUUGCAAAGGAAAAUGAUCUCUUCAGCAAUCCACUCUUUUCCAUUAAGUAUUAAUUCAUUCCUAGCUAGCCACAAUGACCAUAACAUAGCGCCACAAGCAACAAGCCACUUCCUCUUAACAUUCGAUCUUCCAAACAUGCAGCAACGUACACAAAAUCACUGACAUUCCAAGGAAUCACCCACAUAACACCCCACCAUUGAAAAACAGUCCCUAAGCUUUCCAAGAGGAAGAACGAAAGAAAAAAAUUAUCACAAUUCUCUUCAGCAUCAUUGCACCAAGAACAAUUAACACAACCAUUAACUGUUGGAAAUACCUCGAUCCCUUAAAAAUGCAUUUUGAAGGUAUACCAUUUUGGAGUAACAGCCAUAGGAAGCAUUGCACCUUUGUUGGAACGCAUAGCUUCCAAAUGAAAGAAAACCACACCUUUUGAUGCGCCAAAGAACCUCACAAUCAAGAGAAAACACAACUUUCUUCACAGUACAUUUCCCUUUGCUGUCCACCUCCCACAUCAACUGAUCUGCCUUGUUCUCAUUUAAAGAGACCCAUUUGAAAAUCUGCCACAACUCCAUCGCAGACCCCCUCUCCUGUUCAAACAAAUCUCUUUUGAAAAAUCUUUCAUCCUUGUGAAGACCAUCCCAAGCCUCGUCCACCGUGAUAUUUUUCUUCAAAGCCAAGAAGAAAGUCUGGGGAAUCUGUCUUUCAAAGCACACAGUCCAACCCAAUGAUCCAUCCAAAAUGAAACUGAUCUCCCACUGCCGAGGCGCCAUAUAAAGCUUCCUUCACCUAACAUUUUGUCCAUCCCUUCGUGUCUUCUAACUUCCACAACAUUGGGAAUUCACCACAUUGGGCCUCCAACGAUAGUUGCUAAUACCAUAUUUUUCGUCCCUAUUAUUGAUGUGGUGAUUGUCAAUUUAAUUCUUACACAUUAAAAGUACAUAAAAAUAUUUUUAAAAAAUUAAAAAUUAAAAAUUAAAAAUUAAAUUUUUUUCUUAUUUCCAAUAAAAAAUUGUAAAAGGUUUACUAAAAAUUAUGAAAUGCAUUAUUUAAAAUUUAAAAUUAAAUAAAAAAUUCAAAAAAAUAUAAAUUAUUUCAAAAAUUCAAAAAAAAAAAGUAAUAAAGUCUAGAGUUAUCCAUAAAUUGGUUUGGACAAAGGUUUUAUGUCUCAAGCUGAGACCAAACCAAAAUAGAAUUUAAGUAAUCUAAAUAUUUUUAAAUUUAAAUUUAUUACAAAAAUUAAUAUAAAAUAUAUGUUUAAUAUUUUAUUAUUUUAAACAAUAAAACAAGUUUUUUUAGACGAGCUAAACCAAAAAAAAGCUUAACUGCAAGACCUGACCAGGCCUAAUAAGAAGCUUCAAUCUUCUAUGGAUGACGACUCAACGGUUAGUAUUAUUGUGAAGGAUAUUAAGGCAAAAAGCAAUAGGUCUGAGAACUUAACUUUUCGAUUUGUACCGUGUCGAUUUAACAACUCCGCACAUGUGCUCGUUAGUAUAGGCUAGUCAUAUUCUUGUUCCACGGACUAGAUGGAGGAAACCUCGGUGGCUGUCGAAAACGCUGCGUGUUAAUAUCUAUGGUGAGUUUUCAAUAAAUUGAACAAGAACUAUAUUGAAUAUGAAGAGAAUGUAUUAAACAAGAAAGAACUCUUUUGUAUUUAGACUAUUAGCUUGAUAUGUAUAUUGCAAUCAUGGUAUUUAUAGAACAUAUGAUUAUCUGUUACUACUUAACAACUUAACUAUUUUGAAUAACAAACUAACAGUUAGGCUAGAUGAAUAACACUCUUAACAUUCACCUAUCUUCUCGACAGGUAAAACUCGGAGAAGAUCUCGAAAUCUAGCAAAAGACGAUAUAAAGAGUGGCUUGGUAAGAAUAUCAACAACCUGUUCACAGGCAGGAACGUCACCAACAAUAAUAGAUCCAUCUGCUACUUUCUCACGAACGAAAAAUAGAUCGAGCUCAAUAUGUUUGAAUUUCGAAUGUAAGACAGGAUUAGCAGCUACAACAACAACACUAGAAUUGUCACACCAAAUGGUAGGGGGAUCAAUAUUGUGAAGAUGUAACUCUUUUAGUAACGAAACUAACCAAGUAACAUCACUGGUAGCUGCAGUAAGACUCCGAUAUUCAGCCUCAGUCGUAGACCAUGAAACUGCCUAUUGUUUCUUGAAACACCAUGAGAUAGGUGUGUAACCAAAAUACACACAAAUAUCACAGGAUUCGUUUUGAAACAACCAUAUAAACAGUAGCGGGCGCAUGCAUGAACUGGCAAACACAAUUCACAGCAUUAGCAAUAUCAGGACGAGUCAAGACCACAUACUGUAAAGUACUUAGAAGACUUUUGUACUCAGUAGGGUCAUCAAGACAAUCUCCGUCAUUCUUGGACAAAGUAGACUAGCUAAUCAUUGGAGUAUGAACACUUUUUGCAUGAGUCAUAAAACUCCUAUCAAGUAAAUCGUGAAUGCACUUCCUCUGACAAAGAUGAAGGCACCCUGUGGAGGAACGAGUGACCUCAAUCCCUAAAAAAUAGUGUAGAUCUCUCAUAUCUUUAAGUGAGAAUUUGUCAUUUAACUGCUUAACAAAGCUAUUUAUACAAUCAGACAUACUGCCAGUAAUGAUAAUGUCAUCCACGUAGACAAGCACAUAAAGGAUGGAGUUAGUCGUAACUUUAACAAACAAAGAUGCAUUAGAUUUGGACAUAGUAAAGCCAACAGAAAGAAGAUAACACUUCAGUUUAUCAAACCAAGCACGCGGAGCUUGACGAAGCCCAUAUAAAGCUUUCUUCAGACGACAGACUAAAGGCCUGCCAGUUGAGCCAUAUUGAACAUACCCUGGAGGUUGUUGUAUGAAUACCUCGUCAACAAGAUCACCAUUCAAAAAUGCAUUAUUCACAUCUACCUGACGGAGUUGCCAUCACUAGAAACAACAACAGAUAAAAUGACACGAGUAGUAGCAGGUUUUAUCACGGACUGAACGUUUCUUUGAAAUCAUACCCAGGCACUUGAGAACACCCUUUAGCUACUAAGCGAGCCUUUCGACGGCCAAUUGUACCAUAAUGAUUUUUCUUAACUUUGAAAAACCAUUUACAUCCAAUUGCCUUAUGAUUAGAUGGUAAUUGAACAAGAUCGCAGGUGAAAUUAUUGAUGAGAGCAUCAUAUUCUGCCUGAGCCGCAGCUCGCCAUUCUAUGGUGGAAAGGCUUCUUCAACCAUGAGGUCUAAGAACUUCAACUGACAAUGCCUUAGGCUUAAAAAUGUCAGCCUUAGACCGAAUAACCAUCGGAUGAGUAUUUGCUGGAGGCAAAGAUGAUGACGAUGGAGAGAAAGAAGUAUUAGCAAUAGGUACAACAGCAGACGGAGUAUCAGCAUUAUUGUGUAAAGAAUGUGGCUUAUCUACCUCAACCUGAGGAUUGGUAGAGACAGAUGGCGAAAGGAAAAAACCAAGAGGUGAAGAUGAUACACGUGGUAGAACAGAUGAAGACUCCAAAUGCUGAGAAGGAACGUUGACUUAGUACCAGACGAAGCCAUGAAAUCCCUUGUAGCAGGUAAAGGAGCCAAGAACCUUUGUUCAUUAAACAUAACAUGACGAGAAAUAACAACCGUACCAUCCAGCAUAAGACAUUGAUAACCUUUGUGUUGGGAGCGAUAUCCCAAGAAUGUACAAGAUUGAGAAUGAAAAUCCAACUUAUGAGACAAAAAUGGUCGUAAGUACAGAAAACAACAACACCCAAAUACUGUCGAUGAUCAUACGUGGGAUCUUGUCCAUAAAGAGCCUUAUAAGGAGUCUGGCCAUGCAGAACUGAGGUAGGGAGACGAUUGAUGAGAUGAACAGCACAACAAAAUGCACAACGCUAAUAUUUCAUAGAAAGAUUCGCUUGAGCCAAAAGUGUAAUACCCAUUUCAACAAUAUGCGGAUGUUUGCGUUCAGCCGCCUCAUUCUGUUCAAAACUAUGUGGACAAGACAACCGAUGAACUAUCCCUUAAGUUGUUAGAAUAGACGUGAAAGUGCGAAAUUCGCCACCCCAAUCACUCUAAAAUUGUUUGGUAUUUUUCCCGUAUUGAGUUUUGACAAGCUGCUGAAACUGAGCAAAACAAUCGACUGCUUGAGACUUUUGGCGAAUAAGAUAAAUCCACGUAAAUCGAGUGCACAUCUCAACAAAGGACACAUAAUACCAAUUAUGACCACAUGCAACUGAUGCAGGCCCCCAUAGAUUAGAAACAACCAAAGCAAACGGUUCACUAUAGCUUCAUCCAGUCUGAGAGGUUGACUGGUUUCAAAAUAGGAACAGCUAUUCCGUGUCCACUAAAGUAGAAGAACAGGACAUCUCCUGGUCUAGCAGUGUGUACCAUUUCAUAAAGUGCAGCCUUGAUUUUUAUACCCGUAGGCAUAGCCAAUGAGUCUGGUAUAUAAUUGUCAAUCAAAGUUAAACCUUCUCAUAAUCAACCUUCUUAUGUUCUCCACAUCAUUUAUGCAUCCUUUCAGGUUGUAAGGGGUCUUUGGGUAAUUACAACCCACAAGAACAGCUUUCUUUUUAUGCACCAGCUUGUUAAUCAUGGGUAAGGCUAAGGGUGUUGGAAUGGUGGCCAGGAAAGCUGUACCGACAUUCUUAUCACUGCAAUAAAGGCAUAAGGGUGUUGCUCGUGAAAUCCAAGGCUGGUUAUUUCAUCCCUAGCAUUCAUCACAAGCUGUUUAUUAGUUAAUGUACCAUUGGUCUCGUUGAUAAUCUUUUGAAGUGAAUAUAUAAGGCCCCAUACGCCUUUCCUUGGGUUUUGUCACUCGGUUCCAAAUCAAGGGAUAGCUCAUCGGCUUGGCACCCACUCAAUAGAAUCCCCUCAUCCUCCGUUAAUGACCUUGGCUCCUGAGAGGGUUGGAAUUUUAAACUGACGUUGUCUCGAAAGAUUCCGGUCAAAAGAUGGCCAAUGUUGCUGACAAUAUCUAAUCCAGUGCUGAAGGCAACUGUUGUGCCCAAUACGUCUGAUGCGGCGUUUAUGACGUUGGCUGCUGGGCGUCAACAGAUGGCCUUGGUGUAUUGAUUCAAGUGAAAUUCCCCGCUUCUGGGUGUCAACAGAUUGUGCUAUACUCCUUAGAGUACUAUGGGGUCCAAUUUGUUCUUUCUCUUUGACAAUAAGACCACCGCUGUGGCACGAAUCUGAAACGAUUGUGAAGCUUGUUUCUUUUGGCAGCUGCUGAAUCAAGAGCCUGAUGUCCACAUCUGCACUGCCAUGUUUAAUUAUACUGAUUUAAAUUGCAAGAGCUAAAUAAGUUAGCUUAAUAAAUAUAUUUUAUAUUUAUAAAAAAAUGAUAUGAUUAAUAAAGGAAAAUAUGUAGUUGACGAGUUGUGAUCCCAUUUUGGAAUCAUGGAUUCAUGAUCAACAUUAAUAUAUUUUUUAAAAAUUUAAUUAUUAUUUUUUAAGAUUUAAAGUUGUAUUUAUAUUUUGACAUUUAAGGUUGAAUUUUCGAUUUGUUGAAUUUGGGUUUCGAAAACUAUGAAAUUGUGGGUUCAAACCCUACUAUGUGUACUAUAUUUCUAUUUUUUAUUCAUAAAAAGAAUAAAAAUGACAAAAAAAAUUUCUUUAAAUUAAUAUAAUUUACUUUAUAAAAUAAAAUUAUUGUGCAAAUUCCACUAUAAGACACCACUAAUUAGGAAGAAUAAAAAACCUACCAUAAAUGAGAUUGAGAUCACAAGGCACGAUCGCAUCAUCCUUCUGGCCUGGUUUCAUGUCUGCCUCAACUCCAUGUCCACUCAAGAGGAAUAAUAGGACAUCUCCUUCUUUAGCCUCUUUCACCAUUUUUGCAAGUCCAGCCAUAAUUUUAGGCACAUUUGAUAAGUUCGGUCUUGACCCGGCCCCAAAAAUUGGUCUAAAAUUUAACCUAAGCUCGACCUGAAUAAAAAUGCUAACACCUGAACCUAGCCCGACCUGCCCGUAUUAAAAAUUUUUACAUUAUUUUUUAAAAUAUAUAUAAAACACUCAAAACAUUCAAAUAAAUGUUUCCCAACAACUUGAAAAUAAAAUUUAAAAAGUAUUUAUACUUAAAUAACACUAGCAUAGGUGCAACUUAACUAAUAAAUAUUACUAAAAUAAUAACAAAAUUAACAAUAAAAUAAGAGUUAUAUAAUAUCCAAACAAUAAUAGCAAAAAUGUAGUAACAUAAUAGUGAAAUGACAGGAAAACAGUGAGAAAACAACAUAUUUUUUUUUCUUUUUGUAAAUUCGGGUUGGGCUGGGAAAAAAAACCUUACUUGAGGCCCUUAUCUAAGCCCAUUUUCGGGUCUAUAUUUUUGUUCAAUCCCUCCCACUUUUUGAGAGUCCAGCUUGAUCCAUGGACAUGUCUAUUUUUACAAGGUUACACCAAAACAGACUUUUAGCGGUGCUUGGACAAAAAAUGCCGAUAAAAAUCAAGCAUUAGCGGCACUUUAUGGAAAUCGGCACUAAAGAUCUAGCAUUGGCGGUGUUUUUCAGAAAAAUGUCACAAAAAACCGAAGCCCAACGACGUUGUUUUCUUACCUUUUUGGGCUUUAGCGGCGUUUUUGAAAAAGCGCUGCUAAUGCUCGGGAUUUAGUGGCGUUUUUGAAAUGCGCCGCUAAUGCUCGAGGUUUUAGCGACGUUUUUGAAAAAGCGCAGCUAAAAAUAUUUUAUCUUAAUUGGUUUAUUUAUAUUAAUUAAAUAAAAUUCAAUUUAUUUCUAAUUGAAUAUUUAAAAUCUUCAGAAAAAAUAAUGACAAGUAGAAAUAAUUUGAAAUAAAACACAUGGAAAAAAAUUUUAAAGUUUUUUUGGGUACAUGAUUACUGAUUGUUUUUUAAUUUAUAUAUUAAAAAAUUUCUUAUAUAAUCGUAAUCGUAAAAGAGAUAGUAUUAAUUUUAAAAUAUUGAAUUAAUUAUCACUAUAGUUUAGGGUUUUUGGUUUAGGGCAUAUGAUUUAUUUAAGAUUUAAGGCCGGUUUAAGAGUUACUAUUUUAAGGUUUAGGGAGUAUGGAUUUAGGGAUUAUGGAUUAUGGUUUAAGGGUUGAGAUUUAAGAUUUAAGGGUUAGGGGUUAGGGGUUAAGAGUUAGGGAUUUAGGGGUCGGGUUAGGGUUUUGGGUUUAGAUUAAUUAUUUUUUUAAUUUAUAUUUUAAAGAUGUUCUUAUAUAAUUAUAAAAGAGAUAAUAAUAAAUUAAAUAUAUUGAAAUUAUGAGUAUAGUUUAAAUUAUUUAAGAGAUAUAUAAUAGAUAGACUUUAUAUGUAUUGAAUAAUUAAUUUAGGGUUUAAGGUUAAUGUUUACUUGAGAUUUGUUAAAUUAUAAAAUUUUAUACAAUUAAUUAAUGCUUUUAUAUUUAAAAAAGUUUAAUCUAAACCAUUUGAUAUAUUUAAAUAUUAAUUUAAAUAGAAUUAAUAAAUAAGUUAAAAAAAUAAUAGAUUGAUAUGGAUAUUUAGGUAUUAUUAUUUAUUGUAGAGAUGACCAAAUUACAAAAUAUAAAAUUAAAAUACAAAAAUAAAAUGAUUUUUAUUCAAAAUAAAAUAAUUUUUUACAACAUUUUUAUAAAAACGCCGUAAAAGAUAAAUAAUAACGACGUUUUACUCCAAAUUUUACUUUAAAAAAUCGCGCAUUUUACCCAAAUUCCCCCCUUUAAACUUCCUGUGGCGGACAAUAUUUUCUCAGUUGCCACUCUCUAACAAACACUCUGCACUCCCAUGGCUGAUGAGACACCACAGGCCACUCCACAGCCUCUCACUCCCUUCUCCGCUGUGGUGCCCACCCCUUUCAUCGCCGUAAAAAAAAAGUUAAAAACAACAGAAUGAUGGAAUAACUAAAUCCAAAUCCCAACUUUUCUAUGUUCUUAUAGAAAAUAUUUGAUUCUCCCUCCAUCUUACAAACUUUUUAGUUCCCUUCCCAUUACAAAUCAGUUUUCCAUUCCAAACCCUAACAAAUGGCACCUUUGGACCCUCACUCCUUCACUGACUCUCCCCACCCUUUAACCACCGACAUCUCCCUUUCCCCUUUAUUAGACUUCUCUUCUGCCACCAUCUACGGCGUCGCUUUCUUCAUCCUCAAAUCCCCUCAUGUAGGUCAACUUUCUUUUGAUACCCGUUCCCUUUCCAUUCACUAAGUCCUUCCUCCUAUUACCCUUUCCCCUCUCCCUUUCUCUCUUUCCUCUUCACCUGACCCUAUCAAAGGAAACCAGCUUUCCAUCUCGCUACCAGACGAUGACGUUUUGAACUCCUUCUUCAUCGUUUUCUCUACUUCCCCUUCUUCUUCUGCUCUCCAAUGGCUAUCCCCGCUGCAAACGUUUAACAAAAAAACACCCUUUUGUUUAUACCCAAUGCCAGUGUAUCCACGCGCGUUCCAUUUUCCCAUGUCAAGACACUCCCGCGGCGAGAAUUCGUUGCUCUGCUUUGCUCAAUGUAUCUCAGAAGUUAUCCGCCGUUAUGUCCGCCCGCCAUGUCGAUAGGAGGUCACCGGUUUCUGGUGAAGGACAUUCGCAUUUGCUGCCUGACGGGUUUAAUUCGUUGUGGUUCUUCUGCCUUUUUGCGCCUCUCCCUUUUUUUUUGGCUUUCUUGGUUCUCAGUUUCUCAAUUCUAUCCACAGUUGUAUGGGGAAACCAAAGCACUACCGACCGCCGGCAAGUUCUUUCGAACUUUAUUGCUUUCAAAUUGGCGAUUUAAAUUUUAAAAGUUGACUUAUUGUAAGGACUUUUUUCUCAUAAUUUAUGGUGAAAUUUUACAGGGAAAGAAAAAGGAAGGAAAUGCUGCGAGAUAUGUGACGAGGUCACAAGCUAUUAAAAUCCUUCAAGUUAGCCUUUCAGAUUUCAGGUUCAUCUCUUCUUUCUCACUUUUAUUAAUUUUUAUUAUAAUUUAAGCUUCCUUUAUUUGCCUUCUUUUGUCAUUUUUUUUCAUGUUGUUUUUAGCUUCGAAGAUUAAUUAGCUAAGAAUUUGAAACUAUUGAGCUUCGUUAAGCUGAGAUUAGUUCAUCAAGUAGCAGUUAGUUGCUACUUUUGCUCACUGAAGCAAAGAGAAGAAGUGUGUGUGGAAAAUAUUCUUAUUGCUAGCUUUUUACUUCAGCAUGAGUUUAUGACUAUGUUCAUUUUAUGUUAUAUUUUAAAGCUAUUUGUUUUUUUUAUUUGAUAUGAUUUUGCUAUUAUUAUUAUUAUCAUAAAAAAUCGAGGAUUUUAAUAAGAAAACAUAAAAAAAGCCUCAACCAAAUGAAACGCGUAUUGAUGGGGUUUGUUAUUUUUUAUUAAAUAUGGUUGGCUUCCUUUUGCUUUAAUGGAUUUAAUACUGCAGGAAACUAUGCAUCCACAAAGGAGUAUUUCCGAGAGAGCCAAAAAAGAAAGUGAAAGGAAAUCAUCAUACUUACUAUCACUUGAAGGAUGUCAUGUACAUUCUUCAUGAUCCAUUACUUGAGAAGUUUAGAGAAAUAAGGGCAUAUCAAAGGAAGAUAAAGAAAGCUAAGGCUAAAAAGAAUGAUGAGUUAGCAAAGCUUCUUAUAUCUCGUGCACCUUCUUACAGACUUGAUAUGGUCAUCCGUGAUAGGUUUGUGAAACAAUCUUUGUAUGUUUUAUUUCCUCUCGUUGCUAGUUGUAUGAAUUCUGUAAAACUUUUAUAGUAAAACUUUUGUAGUAAGCAGCAACAUAACUAAAUCACCAUAUGCUGAUAAUGAGAAGAUUUAUUGUUCCUAUUCCCUUGGCUCCAAUUUUUUUGGUUCAAAACUUGAUGUCUAAGUGCAUGCUUGAGUAUUUGGCAAUCAAUCCUGUGAAAUAGUUUCUAGUUAAGGUGGCAUAGAAGCAUAUAGUCCAGGCAUAAUCUGUUCUUAAAAUUUAUGAUUGUUUUUUGGUUUCUCCUCUCCACAAACUGUCUAAUGUAUUUGGCAGAAUGAGAUGAUGCUAUUUAUGCCUAUACAUGCAUUUCUCUCUGUGGAUGGGUAACCUAUAUCUUUGAUUUGAGGCAUAGUUUGAUGACAGCAUAACUUAUUGCUGAAGUUAUACAGCCACGUUGUUUGCAUGCUGAUGACCAGUUCUGACAUUUAAGAUUUCAGAAUUGAGAUGGAUUUCCAGCCUGGAGGAUGUAUAGAGCCUGGAGAAGGUUAUGAUAAAUACUGUGCUUAUUAUUGCACUUAUAUUAAAUAUUGUACCCUUCUUUGCGAAAUUGUUGUCUUUUGAAAUAUCUUUAAGAUUAAGGAACUAUACUAAAUGCGGUCACAAAACUUAUGGAGGGCAGUUAUACUUUUUGCUUUCAUUAAUGAAUAGCUUUCUUGUCUUUAUCUGCCCUUAUCAAAUAAGAUUUUAUUAGUUAAGGGAUGUUUUCUGGAUCAGCCUUCAAUUGAUACUGUAAACAAUUUUCUUAUGUAAUUCUAAUAUAGAAUGUAUCUUGUUUUAAUAGCUCUAAUGCAUGGCUAUAAGGAGUCAUUAGCAUUUUUAUUAAGUUGUUUGGAUUUGCAGGGGAAAAAUGAAUUGCAAGUUUAUUUCAGCUUCUCAGUAACUUACCUUGUUUGCCCUAAAAAGUUGUGGUAUUUAAUACAACAAAAGUUAGUAUUAAAUAUCCAUAUACUUUUAGCUACAGUUUUUGAAUAUGCAAAAAAUGCAUCGAUAAUAAUGAAAUAAGAUGGAUGAAUAGAUAAUAUGGAUUAUUGCUUGCAACUUCCUUUCUUUUUUUUCUUUUUUUUGGAAAUAUGCAACUUCCUUUCUUGGUUGUCUUUAGUUGGCAAUAAAGUUUGCUUUAUUUAUAUUGCAAUGUUAAUUACUCUUUUAUCUCAAACCUACUUCAUUGCUCAGAGAAUGCAUAUUCUUCUACAUCUGACAUGAUGGCCUUUUUAUCAUUACAUGUUAAGCCUUUUCUACAUCUGACAUGAUGGCACAUGUAGGGAGAUUGAAAAUGAGUAUUUAGGUCUGAGAAAUGGCAUACUGGAUCAAUCAGCCAUACUGCUUUCAAGCCAUGGUUGUCUAACUUGCAUGAACUGCAAAGUAAGUCAAACUUUUUGUAGUAAUUUCAGGAAUAACAUAUCCUUCUUUGUUUUGAAGUGUUCGAUCUAUUUUUGUUAGCUUGGCACUGCUUAUGCUUAAUUUAGUCUUCAUACAAUUGCUAUAAUUGGUUAUCAGCCAGAUUUAUGAUUGUUUUCCACUGACUCAUUUAUGAUUGUUUUCUAUUUUUAUUGAUUUAUGUAAUCAAUCUCAAUUUUGCUUUUUGCAAAUUAAUACUAUUGUUCCUUGUUAAAAAAUUGAAUAGUUUAGACAAUCAUUAGAAAGAAUGCCUAUUUAUAACACAUGGAAGUGCUAUGAUUGAGAUUGUUUGUUAGUAUGGUUCAACCUGCUACUAAAGUUGUACAUAAUUGUUUGUUAUAUAAUUUUUAUUUUUAACAUCUCUGUUGUUUACCAAGUUUGUUGGUUUAUCUGAUCAUUUGGUUUUGCAUCCUUUAGAUAUUGAAGGUGUUGUAGAGGAUUCAAUCUCUUCAAGCUAGAAAAGCCAAGGCUUAGCACUUCUUCAAGUGGUGGUCGUUUAUCUUAGUCGGAACUUAAAUUUGGUGUUAUUGAAACAGGGUUUUGUAGCUACCUUGUGUACUAGCUUCUUUAACCAUGAUUGUUAAUUAUUACGUGUUUUGUAGCUUCUUUUAUAUUUGGCCGAGUUAAUAUAGAUCAGAUGAGCUGUGAGGUAGAUUGCUCAUUUAUUUAAACAUAAUAUUUUAAUUCUAAAUUUAAAUUCAUUAAUUUUUAUAUUUAGCUUUAAAGUUCAAAUUUUAAUAGUAAUUUUAAUUUAAUAAAAUUUUUUAUCCUAUAUAGUUUAAAGUUUAAAUUUCAAAAAUAAAAUAAAAUAAAAUAUUUAUCAUAGAAAUAAAUAUUAUUUAAUUAAAAUAUAUUUUUAAAAGUCAUGUUUUUAGUGGCGUUUGUGAAAAAACGUCGUUAAAAGUUAUUCUUUAUAGUGGUAGAAGUGUCAUUAAAUGUCAUGAUUUUUAGCGGUGUUUGUGGUAGAAGUGUCACUAAAGGUCAUGAUCUUUAGCGACGUUUGUGAUAAAAGCGUCGCUAAAGAUCAUGAUCUUUAGCGGUGUCUAUGGUAGAAGAGUCACUAAAGGUCAUGAUCUUUAGCGGCAUUUUUUCACAUAAAUGCCGCUAAAAUUAGCGACGUUGUCUAUAGAGGAACUUUUUGCGGCCUUUGUUAAAGCGCCGCUAAUACUUUUAGCGGCGUUCUAAAAGCCUAAAAAAGUGCCGCUAAAGUCUAUUUUGCUGUAGUGAUUGAUAGUUAAAUUUGAUUUUUUUUAAAGAUUAAAAGACGAAAUUUAACUAAAAAGGACCAAAUUAAUAAAUGAUAUAAUGAUUGCCUAUUUUUAUUUGCUUCUUUUGGUGUUCAAGAAUAAUACAUAUUAUACAUAUACAUGGAUAGAGCAAAUCACGUGCACCAUUCAAAAAAUUGGGUUUACAUGUACUAUUAGUUAAUUAGAUGACUCACUUCAAUAAAAAAUAAAAUUAUUUGGUUCAUAAAAAAAUGUAUUUUUUUAAAACUAGAAGUUACAAUAUUAACGAAACAUUACAUUCAUUCUUUACUCAAUAAUUAAUUAAAAUAUUAAAUUAAUAAUCAAAAUAUAUCUAAAUUCGUAAUAGAAUGUUUCAUACAUAAGUUACUCAAUCACUAUAUUGCAUUGUUUAAUCGUCCAAACAAGUUUUAACUUUCGUUGUAACAACUCAAAAGAAUAAUUACAAACGAAUGUAUUUUUAGACUAAAAUGUAGAACUAAGGCUUAGUUUAGAUGAGCAGUGCAUUUACCUAUAGUUAGUGUAAAAACAACGGUGAUGGUGAGAUUAGAUACUGUAACGAUAUUGUAAUGUGAGACAAAAAUAAACUAAACGCAUCGUGUACAAGCCCAAUUUAUGCCCGAGGCCCCAAAACCAAACCUAAACCCAAAACCCUUACCCAUUAACUCGAACCAAGCCUAAUACCCCAAAUUAGGCCCAAACCCGAAACCCAACUAGUCAGACUAGGGUUUCAGAUACUGAAACCCUAGCACCACUUUUCUCACCUCAGCUCUCUGCCCUCCUGGCCGUAACCUACUUCUUUUGCUCUUCUGCCGUCGCCGCACCCUAGCCUCCAGACCUGGCGCCGUCCAUCAAUCUCCUGCAAAGAAGAAAAUCACGCAAAGAACUGUGGCAAACAGAGAAAAAGAAAAAGAAAACUAAAAUUGUAACAACCCGGUUUGACUCUAAUCGGAAUAGUGGUUUCGGGACCACACAUCCGAGUCUGAAAAAUAUUUUAGUAUUUUAUUUGGUGUUUAUUAUGUGUGAAUUUGCAUGUGUGAAAGUUUCAUGAAUUAAUAUUAUGGUUUGAGUGCUUAAUUAAAGAAAAAUGACUUAAUCGUGUAAAAAAAAUAAAAAGGCUAGUUAAUGUGUAAAGUUUUAAAUUGCUAAUGUCUUUUUAAUAUGGAGUCCUUAAUAGGUUAUUAGCCCACUAUUAAGUAAGUGGGUGGUAUUGGUCAAGAAUGACCCUGUUUUAUAAGGUAUAUAAAUUUAUAAACAAAGGUUAAAUAAGUAAACUAGUAAUAUGUUAAUAUAUGUUAAAUUAUAUCAAAAUAUAAUUCAUUAUUCUUCAUCUCCUUAUGACCGAAACUAAAGAAAACAAAAAGAGAAAAACAUAAGCUAGGUUCGGCCAAUUUACAAGCUUAAUUCAAGGUUAGUUUUGUUUUGAUUUUUAAUAAUUUUUACGUUUUUGAGAUCGUUGCUUUGUGUUCUUCAAAACCCAUGUUUUAAUUUUGUGAAUUGUUGAUGAUUUUGAAAUGUGCCAUUGAUGAAUGCUUGGACUUUUUGAUAGUUGAUGAUGAAAAAUGAAAGAUAUGUGAUAGAUUGAUAUGUUUUGUAUUGGAAUUUUUAGUGAAAUUGGGUAAAUAGGGCUAAAUUGUGAAAUUAAAUUUUUGGGGGACUAAAAUGUGAAAUAAAUGCAAUGUGUGGACUUGUAUGAGAACCAUGAAUAUUCGGCCCUUGUGUGGUAUGGGAAAAUUUUGUGUAAAUUGUGUUUUAUGCAAUAGGGAGUAAAUUGCAAAAAAGUAUAAAUAUUAGGGGCAAAAUAGUAAUUUUCCAAAUUAUGUGUUUUUGGACUAAAUUGAAUGUGUUAAUAAAUAAAUUAUCUUAUUUUUAAUAUAUUUAGAUCGAGAACCAAAGAAAUCGGAGUUAGAUCGGGGAAAAGCCAAAUUAGUCGAAUAAUCGUCCGACUUCGAUUUUCCAUCGUCCGAGGUAAGUCUAUUAGCAAUUAAAAGUUAUUAAGUUAACAUUUAUACAUGUAUACUAAUUGUAUUUUAUGUUGAGCUAUAAUUAAAAGUAUAUUGAUUGAAUAAAUUUUGAAGUAUGGAUGAUAUUUACAUAUAUAGCAUGUUCGAAUAUACAAGUAUAAUCUUGUAUAGAUUUAUGGUUUGAAAUAAAGGUAAGAAAUGUAUAAGAGUAUAGUUGAUAUUCGAAUAAGCAUGUAUAUAUAUAUAUGUAUAUAUAUAAUGCUAGAAUAUAUAUAUAUAAGUUAUUGAAAUUAGUUAAAGUAUGAAUGUUGCAUAGGUAUAAAUUCUUGAUUUUAAUUAAAGGAAUGUAUAAUAUAUAUAUAUAUGGUGCGAAUAUAUAUAUGUAGGUAUAUAUAUGUAUAAACACUUGGAUUUAUUUAAAGUUAUGUAACCCAUGAUUGUAUGAGAAGUUUUGAAUAGAUAUGUAUAUGUGAAUUGUAAUUUAUAUGUAUAUGCUAUAUUUGAAUAAGCAUGCUUACAUAUAUGUAUAUGUUCUUGUAAUGGAUUUUAAGUAUGAGUGUUAUAUAUAUAUGCAUAAAUGAAGUUCGAAUAUGUACAUAUAUAUAUAUAUAUAUAUAUAUAUAUAAAUGUACAUCUAUUGUAUAUUUGACGAGCUAAAAUUAAAAGUAUAUGUAUUGAAAAUUAGUUGAGUAUGAAUGUUAUAUAUAUGCAUAUGUGUGAGGUUCGAAUAUAUAGUUAAGUAUAUAUAUAUGUACAGGUAUAAUUUCUUGUAUUGAAAUUAGGUAUGGAAUUAUAUAUUGAUAUACAUGGUUGAAUGUAUAUGUAUAUAUAUGUUUAAGAUUUGCAUUGAAAUUAAAGUAUAAAUUUUAAAUGCUUGUAUGAUUCGAACAUGGACUACAAAUUUUCUUGGGAUAGAGUUGAGAUUGUGAAUUUUUUUUCAGACUUUAAGUCUAGCAGGCUAAUUGCCGGUGAUCUGAAUCAGGUUAUAAACCUAGCAGGCUACGUGCCGGUGAUCUGAAUCAGGUUAUAAACCUAGCAGGCUACGUGCCGGUGAUCUGAAUCAGGUUAUAAACCUAGCAGGCUACGUGCCGGUGAUCUGAAUCAGGCUAUAAGCCUAGCAGGCUAUGUGCCGUUGAAUCGGUUUAAUUAAGUGAUUGUAUACAUUGAAUAUAUAUGUAUAUGAUUUGGUUAUUUGUAUUGGAUUAAUAUAUGAACAUCUGUUGCUAUGUUUUUGAUGAGCAUAUAAAAGCUCGAAUCUUUGUGUCUGGUGAGUAUUAGAGGUGUUCAUGGGCCGGGCCCAUAGAAAAUUUUCACCCGCAUACUAGGCCCGGGCCUGACCCGGCCCGAAAUAUGAGCCUGAAAUUUUGUCUAGGCUCGGCCCGGGAAAAAAUUCUUAGGCCCAAGCCCGGCCCGACCCGUUUUUUUAAAAAUAAACACCAUUUUUAAAAAAAAAUUAAAAAAAGUAUUUUAAAAAUAUAAAAAAUAUUUUUUAUUAUAUAUUCGGGCCGGGCCCGGGCCAAAAAAGUCUUGCCGGAGGCCCGGCCCGUUUUUUAAAUGAGCCUCGUUUUUUUGCCCAAACCCAUAUUUCGGGCCUAUAUUUUUACCUGAACCCUCCCAUAUUUCGGGCGGGCCGUCGGGCCAGGCCGGGCCGCCCGGCCCAUGAACACCUCUAGUGAGUAUAUAUAUAUCUAUGCGUUUGGCAUAUGUGAACUAAAGUAUAUAUAUAUGUGCAUUCGGCACAUGUGGUUGAUAAGUAUAUUUGGAAUUUAUAUAUAUGAUUAAUGAUUAUGUAUAUAACUUGAUUUUUAAGUAUAUAAUGAUAAUACAUAUGAUCGUUUAUAUAUAUUUUGGAUAUGCUAUAAACUUACUGAGCUAUAGAAGCUUACUUUGAUUGUUUUUGUUUAUUUGUUUAUAGAUUUUGGAGACGCGUUACGAGCUCGGGGAUCAUCAGCAUAGUCCAUCACACUAUCGACUUCUUUUGGUAUUUUGUUAACAGUUUGAACUUGAUCUUAUGGCAUGUAUAGGUUUGAGUAUGAUUUUGGUUAGAUUUGGAUUGAAUAAUAUAAUUAGCCAUGUGAAUAUGGUUUAAUUUCUACUUUUGUGAUCAAUUUGGUUUUUUUUUUAAAAAUGGUUGUGUUUGUUCUGUAAUGCCUCGUAACCCUAAUUCGACGACGGAUAUGGGUUAGGGGUGUUACAAAAAUAGCAUGUAAAAUUGGCUAUAAAGCCAAGUAUCAUCUCUGUAAUAGGGGUUCCCCACCCUUUUCUUCACGAUUUCAAGAAAUAAAAAGAAAAAAAAAAGGGAUUCAAGGAUUCUUUUCUUCUUUUCGGCAUAAGAUCUAUUUUUCUUUUUUUAUUUAUUUUUAUUUUUCUCUUUAUUUUCCUUCCUUUUGAAAUUGUUUAUAUACAUACAUAUAUUUCUUUAGUUUUCUUUUUUAACUAUUUAUACACAUAUAUAUUGAAAAAAAGUUUAAAAAAGAGAGAGAAACUUACCUUCCUUUGGAUCGCCUGAAAGAGAGGGAUUUUCGACCUUCCGGCCGCCGCAUACGGCAGCGCCGGUGCCGGCACAGAUGGCCGUCGCGACGGUGAUUGGCCGAAUUUUGGCCGGACCCUGGCCGGAAAGGGAGAGAGGGGAGAGAGCUGUUGAAAGGUUUUUGGAGUUUUUUUUUUAAAAAGAAGGUUAAAAAUGAAUUUUUUGUCUGAUUUUUAGCUUAUAUAGGCCCAUUAAACGGCGUCGUUUUGGGCUUAAACAUCAAUGGCCAAAACGGCGCUGUUUUGCCUUAGACCAGCGCGCGACCCGACCCUCUCCAGGGAGGAUCAACGCGUUUUCGCAGAAUGGGUUAUUUGCAACCCUGGUCCUUUUGCGUUUAUGCUUCUUUUAAUUUACUCCCUUUUUGUUCAUUUUUGUUUUUUUUAAAUUUGGCCCCAGAAUUUUGUUUGGUUCUCGAUUAGGUCCCUGACCCACCAACGCGCUGAAAAUGGACAUGUGGCCUGGAAUUUGGGUUUAUUACCCAUUCGGCACUCCUCCCUUUCACGCUUUUCAGUUUGGUCCUUCUGUAUUUAUUUUUAUUUCUGUUUUGACCUUUAAAUUUUAUUUUUAUCCCUAAUUAGUCCAUCUUUGUUUAUUUUGUUAUAUUAUUAAUUAAUCUACUUAUUAUCUUAUUUAUAUUUUCUUUUUAUAUUUAUCUAUUCAUUAUUAUAUUAUAUUAUUAGUUUUGUAUUAUUAUUAUAAUCAUUAUCAUUAUCAUUAUUAUUAUUAUUUACUCAUUUAUACCUUUAGUUCAAAAUUAUACAUUUUUCUAAUAUAUAUGUAUAUACAUAUUUAUACAUAUUCUUUAUAUUUUAAAAUCUAUUUCUUCUUAUGUACUUUCUAUAUUUUAUAAUACAUAUAUAAAUAUAUUUUUAAUAUAUAUAUAUAUAUCAAUAUACAUUUUUAAUUUUUAUAAAUACACAUAUAUAUGCCUACAAUUACGCUUUUAUAUAUAUUACAAUUUAUAUACGUAUAUAUAUAUAUUUAUAUAUAUAUCCACAUACAUAUUUUAUACUUCAUAAUUUUAAUACACAUAUAUAACUUUAUAUUUUUAUAAAUUUUAUUCAUCUCUUUUAUUUAUUUAUUUAUUUAUUUUUCAUUAUUUUAAAAGAACAUUUUAACUUUACUUGCUUAUUAUAUUUGUUUUCGCAUGUUAUUAAUUUGUCCUUUUUUAUAUUCAUUCAUUUUUAUUGCUCCUAUUUUUAUACUAUUAUAUUCAAUAUCGCUUUGUAUGUGUAAUUAACCUCGUGUUUCAUUUCUACUAUUUCAAGUUAGAUUAAUUUAUCUCGACGCACAAGUUUCAACUUUCAAAUAAGCAAAAUUUCAUAUUUAGAUUUGAGAGGAUUGAGUCCUACCAUUAGGUUCCAAUUUUCUUCAUUGAAUCUAAAUAAUGGAGAAUGCUCUUUGAUAAAAAAAAACAUAAAUAGAAAGCUCAUUAUCGGGAAUUUAAUAUGUUGUAUCCUAAUACAUUGGAUAUGACACGUUUUCUCGAGACGAGGAUUUUUCUAAAAAAUAAUAAAGGCAAUAUUCAAUGUUUAGAAUUUUGAGAAAUUGUACCCUAACGUAUUGGGUUGCGAUUUUUUCAUCUAACUUAAACAAUUAGAUAUCCUUUUAAAUUUCAUUGCACAAGUUUUUUUGGACAAGCUCAUUUUUGAGGAAGUAAAAUAUCAUGCCCUAACUCAUUAGGUGUGACAUUUUCUCUCUUCGAAAUGAGAGGCUCUUAAUGGGUAAUUUGAUUUAUACAUUUCAAUAAAGGAUCGUACUUUAAAUCUCCGUAAAGUUUCUAAUUCUCGACACUAAGACACUAAAUAAUCAACUAGGUACCAAUUUUGGGCGUUACGAGGGUGCUAAUCCUUCCUUAUACGUAACCGACUCUUGAACCUAUUUUUUCUGAAUUUCGUGGACCAAAAUCGCUGUUUUAAUAAAAUCAAAUCGUUUAUUAAAAACAACCACUUCUCGAGGUGAUCCGAUCACACCUCAUCAAAAAGGAUUGGUGGGGACUCCCACUUUCGUUUUCAUUUUUUAAAUCCAAGUUGACCCCGUUUUAUCAAAAAAAUAGUGUUAACACACCGUACCACACUCAACCACCCAUCCAAACCUCACCUAAAAGUUGCUAGAGUUUCCUUCCUACCAUUAAACCAAUGUAUCAUCAACUAUUUGUACUUAUGUUUAAACACUUUAAUGGAGUUGCAUGAAAUGCAUGAUUGACUACGUGUAAAUUUAUACACAAAAAAAAACAAUAAUUUGAAAAGCUUUCCAUAGUACAAUUUUGAUAUAUUUGGCCUCUAAUAAGAAAUCAACAUAUGGAGUGGGUGAUUAAUCCGAAUCGGGGUGAGGACAGGUGUUGUGAUGGACAAAGCGUAAGACAAGGUGGUUCUCGACAGAAGCAAGAAAGCUCUGACAAAAGACAGCUAGGUAUUCCUUUUGCAGACAAAUUAAGAAGACAAAAGAUAGAAAAUAUAGGGUGGUGGUCGAAGAUAAAUGAUUAUAACAGCACUGAUAUGAUCUGCUUCGCCUUCGUCCACCACCUCAUCUUUAUGUUUAUAUCUUGGUCGUGACUCACGUUGGCCUUCGUCUGCAAGUGCUGUCGGUCCUACUAUUGUGCUUGUGUUUCCUAGCUUUGAUUUCUAUGUAUUAGGGUCUGGGGUGAAGUUAGAAAAAUAUUUUUAAGAAUUGAAGUUAAAUUAUAUAUUUUUAUAAGAGUUAAAAUGUAAUUUCAUAAUUAUAUUAGUUUAUGUUUUUAUAGUUUUUAGAGGUCUUAAAUUAAAAUCUUAUCAUUUUUUUUUGGAUAAAUUGUGAUUUUACAAUGUUUAACUUAUAAUUUUAUAGAUUUUAGAAAGGCCCAAAUAACAAUUUUUCAUUUUAGUGGUCUAAAAAGUAAUUUUCAUUUUAAGGAGGCCACUCCCCUUGCUCCAGUCACCGCCUUUACGACGAGAUUAAUUAUAGUGAGAUUGAAAAUAGAUGUGAUAGUGAGAUUAACUAUUAUGGUGAUGAGAAUAAAAUCACUGGUGAGACGUGUCUUAGGAUUUAAACAUAUAGAUUGUAGAUUUAUAGUAAGAGAGCAAAAUGACCAUUAUGAACAUUAAACUAAAAUUAAACUAAAUUAGUUUGCACCCUUCCGUAUCUUUUUUAUAAUUAAUAUUUUAACGAUAAAAACAUUAUAUUUCAUAUUUCAUUUAUAUAAAUUAUGCAUGUCAAAUUUGACGUAAAUUAAAAAUUUCUAACUAUUUGUUUUAUGUAAAAAUACUUUUAACUGUUUAAUAAAUGUUAAUAUAUACAAUAUUUUAGAUCGAUAAGAUAGAAAUAUCAAAUCAAUUUGAAAAUUUGCAUGCAUGAAUCAUACAAUAAUUUUGAUAAAUUCAAUGGUUGGAUUGUUAAAUUAAUAAUCAUAUAAAAAUAUAUGGAAGGAUGUAAAAUUACUUUAGUUUCACACUAGUGUAAGCGGAUCUCUCCCAUUUUAAUAUAUAAAGUUAAUUAUAUAAUUUAAAAUUAUGUAAUUAAUAUUAUUUAUAAAUAUAAGUAUAAAUAUAUUUCUUUAUAUGCCUAACUAAUGUAAAGAAAAUCCACAAAGAAGCUAUUUGUUGAGGGGAGGUCGGACUCUCUUUUGGGAGAAGUCUUCUAAGUGUCAUCUAUUUGGGAGUUGAUGGACCCCUCAAUAAGAGGUAUUUUUCUCGUGUUGGGGUUUCUUCCCUGGCCUUCACAAAGAGCAGCUAUACGAUUCUCAAAAGGGGGCUCGAUUGGUGGAGAUAGGUACAAUGGCUCUUUGCGAAGGUUGAGGGAAAAACCUUGACACGAUGACAAUACAUUUUGUUGAGGAUUCUGUUGACUCUCAAGCGGGCAAUACUUCGAAGACUUCUCCUAAGAGAAAAUCUAACCUCCCCUCAACACUAUUCACAUACACUUAUCCCAAACCAACAACCAAAUAUCACUACAACCACAAUCAAUCAUACAAAAAUGCCAAAUAAUCCCAAAUAAAAGAAGGAAGAAAGUCUCCUAUGUUAGCAUCCUCAAAUAGGACUUAUAGAAUUAAAAAAAAAAGAAUGAAAAUAUAUAAUAAAAAAAAUGAGACAUAAACGUACUGGAUUCAGUUAGGAGUUAGUCGGAGAGUUUUGGGCGUGGAGGCUCAAACAAAAGGUCGAGGAGAAAGUCUUAUUAAGAAGAUGAACAUAUUGGACUCAAGUGACCAUCCGAUGAUGGCAAACAAAGAUCAAAUAGCUUCCUUGUUAGAUUUUUAAGUUUGAAUCAACGAAGUUUCAGGCCAUUUUAAGGAAAAUUAAAUCAUAAAGUUGAAAGAGGAAGGAUAGAGCUAUACUUUUAUGUGUUUCUUUGGUAAAGGAGGAGGUUGGACAAUGGUGAGAUUGCUGGAAUACAAUAGUGAAAGAGGUUCCUAAAACUCUAAAACUUUUGAAUAGUUUAGUGACCAACUUAUAACUCUUCUGAAAUUAAGUGACCAAAGUGUAAACUUAUUAAUAUUUAAGUGACCUUGGGUGUAGUUUACCCCAUGAUGAAUAGUGAGUUAACGAUCAUGUCAGACAAACAUUAGCAACCUAAUGGUUCAAUGACUUAAAUGAUAGAUUUUGAAUAGUUAAAUGACUAAUUUAUAACUUUUUAAAUUACUAAUAGCCGAGUAAACUUGAAUGUAAUUUACCCUCUCUUGUUUGACUUAAAAAAUCAAAUACAAGAUGGACUUUUCCAUAAUAGGCCGACACCAACAAUGUGGAAAUAGCACGGUCCAUACCUAUAAUUGUUGAUAUCGAAGGAAGAAGACUUCAAUGACUAAAUGACAUGAAUAUAAUGUAGAAAAAGUUAUGGAAGAAAGAGUCCACGAACCCCCUUCUUUUUUGCCUCUAGAUUUGUAAGUUUGUGAAGAAAAACUAGUGAUAGUCUUUUUGUCCCUAUAUCUAGUAAACUACCCAUAAAAAUUAUCUCUUGAGUAGAAAGGGAUGACUUGGGAAAAAUUAAACAAAAUUUAUAAUUUUUUGGGAUAAAUUUUAAAAUUAUAUAAACAUUUAUUUAACGUGUAAUUUAAUACGUAAAUUUUAAUUUUAUGUAAUUAUAUAUACGAUCCCUUGUAAAAUGAGAAUUCAGAUGAAUUUAUGAAUUUACGUAUCAAAUUCAUUUUGGGGCUGGAAGCGCCCUUGUAAAUUUUACUUUUGCUCUUAAAAAAUGAUAAAAUUUUAAUUAAUCUUUUAAAAAUUAAAAAAAAGAUAUAAUUUAUUAAAAUGAUAAGAUUUCAUUUUAACUCUCCUAAAGAAUAUGUAAUUCAAUUAUGACUUUUUUAAACAAUAAAUUUUUGACUUCAUCCUUAUUCGAACUUCAAAAAUUACUCGAGAAAAAAAGUUUUGCUGAAUAAGGCAACAAACCAAAGGGAAACGAGAUUCACGAGGGGAUGAAGACGAAAUACAAAACCAAAGGGAUAACCAAAGGAGAAAAGUUGUAUAAAAUAUAUGUGGUAGCGGGGAAGAGAUGCCAAGGGGUUAAUUUAUAUUUUGUUAUUCAAUAUAUAUAUUUAAUUCUUUCACUAUUUAUUGCUAUACAAAUAUUAGAUUUAUUUAAAAAUUAUGCUAUUUAUUUGUCGGAUUAAUCGUAUUUCUGGCCAGAGCAUUGAACCUAUUUGAAGUGGUUUAUAUUGUCCUAAAAAAUUCCAUGUACAAACAAUAAUUAAUUUUACUUCCCCACCUAACUACUCUUGGCUGGGGUAGGUUCUGGCAGAGAAGUUAUAGACACAUUUUCAUACUUUGGGUUUGGAAUACUUUACUUAAUUUCCUUUGCUGUAUUGAGUUUUGGCAAUAUUUAUCAUGCACUUUGAGACCUAAAACUCUUGAAUAAUCUUUUUCAUUUUUCGGUUAUGUAUAGAAAGAUAGAAAUAAAAUGACCAUAAUUUUGGAUAUUCACUUCAUUUUGCUUGAUACAGGUUCUGUUUUUCUAGUAUACAAUAUCUGAGCUUAGUUCAAAUUUAAAUAAAAUAAUUUAAUAUUUUGAAUUAAACCAAACUUAAACAAACCUAUUGAUACUAAAUAUAAAUCUAACAUAAACCUAGCGGCCCAUGAGUGCUUUACAUACUAAUAAAAUCAACUAAUAUUUUAUAAAUACUAUUAAAUAUAUAUUAUCAGGUAAUAUAAAUGUUGAUCAAAUAACAAAAAAAUUCAUGUAUAUUCUUUACAUAAAGUUAGAAUCUUUUGCGCACUGUCUUAAAUCUAUUGACAUCGGUAUUAUUGUUAGUGCAGGAGAAUAUGUGUUCGAGUACACUGAGACAUAUUAUCCUCUUAUUUAAAGGUUGAGAAGAAAUUAUAAAUAAUUCUAAUUACUAUUUCAAAUUUUAUUAUAAUGGAUGAAUGGUUGUCUUAGAUCACAAGCUAAAUUUUGGGUUUUAUUUAAUAUUGGGCUAUUUGGUUUAUAAGACUCUUCGACCUCUUUUUUUUUUUUUUUUAAGAAUACAAACAAAUUGAGCUUAUUUUUUUUAUUUAUUUUUAAGUAUAUUUAUAUAAUAUUAAAUAUAUAAAUAUGUUUUAUUAUUUUGUUAUUAAAUAUUACAAAAAUUUACAAAUAAAUCAACAAAUUACAAAAAAACCCUAAGUUUUACAGAUUUUACGGUUUGAUCCUUAUGUUCUGAAAUAUUAACUGUUUAAGUGAUGAAUGAAUAUUUGUUACACGUUUUAAGCUUUUAUUUAUUAAAAUUUGCUUUAUUUCUAUGGAUUUUUAAUUAAAUUUGAGGACAAUGCAUAAUAUUAAAUUUAGCUCUUAACAUUUACAUAUUUUAUCAAUUUGGCUUUUGUUAUUUUUUUAGACAAAUUUUGGCCUUCAACCUUUUAGAAAAGAGUUAAAAUGAUGUUUUUGUUAUUAAAUGAUGUUUUUUUAGAAAAAUCCUCAAUAAUCUCUAAUUUCUAGGGAUUAUUUACCAAAAAAACUCAACAAUCCCUCCCUUAAACUGAAAGUACAAUGAACUUUCAGUUUAAUAAAUACUUACUACUCAAUGUCAAAGACCAAGUAUUUUCCUGAACUUGACAAAUGAUGCCAACUUGAGAGGCUUAGUAAAUACAUCAACAACUUAAUUUUCACUUCUGUAAUACUUUAGCUUAAUUGCUCUUUCAUUGCUGAAAUAUGACAGAAAGUAAUAUUUUACAUCAAUAUUCUUGCUUCUUCCAUGCAACACAAGAUUUUUUGACAACUUGAUGGCUGAGUUGUUAUCACAAAAAAAUAUAGCGGCUCUUUUUGGCUUGAAUUGUAGUUGUUCAAGGAUUCUCCUAAGCCAAAUAGCUUGACAAGCACAAGCUGUAGUGUCAAAAAAUAUGACAAUGGAUUGUUUCUUAGAUGAUCACGAAAUAGCUCCUGUUUUAAGCAUAAAAACAUAACCUAAAAUGCUCAUUCUAUCAUCUUGAUCUCUUGCAUAAUCACUACCAGUGAAGCCAAUCAUGUUUGUCACCCUUUUUGUAGAAAAUCCAAAAUCUUUGGUUCUUUAUAAGUAACGAAGGAUUCUCUUAGCAGCUAAUAAAUGUUUUUCAAUCGGGCUCUUCAUGUACCUGCUAAUAAGACUCAUAGAAUACUAAUAGAGUUAGAUACAUCAAACUACCUACAAUUUUCUUGUAAACUAUGCUAUCCACAUUCUUUAAUAAGUUUUAAACCAAACUCAGUUGGAGUGUUGGAAGAGUUACAAUUCUUCAUCUUGAAUUUGUCCAAAAUCUCUCUCACAUAAUUUUUCUCUUCCUUCAAGUAUUCAUGUAAGAAUGUCGACUUGAUAUCUAACUGGAAGAUUGACCAAGAGUUCUGCGCUACUAAAGCAAUCACCAAUCUGAUAGUGUUAUGUCUUGCAACUAGGGUAAAAAAUUUUGUGUAGUCUACACCAUACUCUUGUUUGUACCCCUUAGCCGCUAAUUGCGUAUUGCACUUCUCAACCUCUUUGUUUUCCUUCAACUUCGUCUUGUAGAUCCACUUGACACCAAUGGUUUUGUGCCCCUCAAGAAGAUCAGUCAUCUCCUAAGUAUCAUUCCUUUUAAUGGCUUUGAUUUUAGCAUCCAUUGCCUCUUUCCAUUUUGCCUCAUUGGCAACAUUUUCAAAACUUGUUGGGCCACAAUCUGUAAAUAAUGCAAAUUGAGCAAUUGCAUCAUCAUUUUCUCUAAUUUUGGUUACGUCAUAAUCUUACAUCCAUGCUGGCCUUCUUCGAACAUGACGAAGUGCUUCAGCUAUUGUACUAGUUUCUUCUUUAUGUGUAAACAAUACUUUAGUGGCUAAUAGAGAAGUAUUCUUGAGCAUUUCUUCAGCUUUAUUAUCAUAAAGAACUGUAUAGGUUGUGCUUCAUCCCAAUCCCAAGUUUUCUCUUCAUGAAACAUAACUCUCGGCUAAUCAUGACCUUCUUUCUCACAGGAUUAAACAAUUUGUAUGCCUUCAAUUUGAUGUUUCACUAAUACCAAAAAAGACACAUCAACAAGCUUCUUCCAUUUCUCCUUUGAGACAUGUGCUUAGGUAAUGCGCCUAAAAAUUCUGAAGUGAUCUAUCACCGGUCUCCUUCCACUUUAAGCCUUCUCCGGAGUCACAUCUUGAAGAGAAUUAGUAGGGCUCCUAUUCAAGAUGUGGAUGUUCCAAUUUAUAGCUUUUGACCAAAACACCUUUGGAAUUCUCCCUCUUACUAGUAGGCUUCGAACCAUGUUGAGAAUGGUUUAAUUUUUCCUCUCUGAUACAUUAUUUUUUUGUUGUGUAUAAGUAGUUGUGAGCUCUCUUUGGAUGCUGUGAACAUCACAAGUCUUCAAACGCCUUAGAGGAAUAUUCACCACCAGGACUAGUUCGAAGAGGUUGAAUGGUUCUUCCUUUCUCAUUUCCUACACUAGCUUUAAAGCUUUUAAAUUUGAUUUUUCUUGUAAAGGUAAACCCAUGUCUUACAAGUAUAAUAAUCAAUAAAGGUAAUAAAUUUCCAUUAUAAAUUGGAUUUAUUGGCCCACAAAUGUCUGAAUGCACCAACUCCAAUACCUCUUUUACUUUCCAUAACUUACUUUUAGGAAAUUGAGAUCGAUGUGGUUUGCUAGCAACAAAUUCUUCACAAACUAGCAAAGGAAAGAUAAUUGGAGGAAGACCAGUCACCAUAUUUUUAUUUUUAAGUAUCUUCAAACCACCAAAGUUUAAAUGACCAUAGCAAAAAUACCACAACCAAGAAGGAUAUUUAACUUCUACUAUUGUUGACACCAAUUUUUUAGAUGAAAACGGGGUCAACUUGGGUUUUGACGAAAACGAAAAAAACGGGAGUCACCACCAAUCCUUUUUGAUAAGGUGUGAUUGGAUCACCUUGAAAAGUGGUUGUUUUUAAUAAACGAUUUAAUUUUAUGAAAACAACGAGUUUGGUCCGCAAAAUUCAGAAGAAAAAAAUUCGGGUUCGGGAGUCGGUUACGUACGAGGAAGGAUUAGCACCCUCAUAACGCCCAAAAUUGGUACCUAGUUGAUUAGCUAAUGUCUUAAUGUCGAAAAUUGAAAACUUUGAAGAAUUUUAAAAAACGAUCCUUGUAUGUUGAGAUUUUUUGGGAAAAAAGGGCAUAUUUCACGUUGAUCGAGAAAAAGAAUCAUAUCUAGUGAGUUAGGACACAAUGUCUCGAAUUCCCGAUACGCGAAUAAAAAUGCUUAUUUAAAAGACAUUUUAGCUAUCUCGAAUUUAAAAGGGAGAUCACGACCAGUAAGUUAGGACGUGAUUUUUAAAACUUGAGUUUGAAAAGAUUCAUGUAAUAAAGUUUAAAAGGAUAUUCAAACGUUUAAAUCAAAAGAAGAAAUCACGACCCAAUACGUUAGGGCACAAUUUCUCAAAAUAUUAAACAUUAAAUAUUGCGUUUAUUGCGAAAAAUCCUCGUCUCGAGAAAAUAACGUGUCACGUCCAAUGCGUUAAGACACAAUGUAUUGAAUUCUCGAUAAUGAGCUUUUUAGUUAUAUUUUUUUUAUAAAAAGAGUAAUCUCGAUUAUUUAGAUUCAACAAAUAAAAUCGGAACCCAAUACGUUAGGGCUUGAUUCUCUCGAAGAUUCCAAAUACCGAGUGGUACUUAUAUUUUUAAAAUUUUCGCUUUUUACGUAUUCGAGUAAAAAUUAUAUAUGAUAGAAUAACUAUUAUGAUAUGCAAGUAAAAAUAAUACGAGCAGUAGCAAAUAAAAGAUAAAUAAAAGACAAACUAAUUAUACAAGGUAAUAAGCAGAUAAGCUUUUCAAAUAAAAUGAGCAUAAGAUAGAAAGCAAAUGUCGCACGAAACAAUGAAAUUAUAGAAGAAAUAAAAAGGAAUGUAUAUAAAAAAUGUAUAUGUAUGUAUUUGAAAUUAUACAAAAUGUGUAAGUGUAUAUACAUAUGUGUAUAAAAUUACGGAAAUAUGAAAAGUAUAUACAUGUAUACAUAUUUUAAAAUUAUUAUACAUGAAAAUAUAUGUAAGUAUGUAUUAAAAUAUGUAUAUAUGUAGGUAUAUAAAAAUUAUGAAGUAUAUAAAAAGAUAAAAGUAUGUAUAUAUAUACACAUUUAAAAAAAACUUAAAAAUAUGUACAUGUGUGUAUUUUUAAAAAAGAGUAUUGAUGUGUAUAUAUAAAAUAUAUAAAAAAAACAUAUGUAUGAAUAUAUACAUAAUUGUGAAUAUAAAAAGGGUACACGGUUAUAUACAUAUAGAUAUAGACAUGCGUAUGGAUAUUAAAAUAUAUAUAUAUGAGUAUAUGAGUAUAGAUAGAUUAUGAAAAUCUGCCCAUGCAAGUAUAUAUACAUAUAUAUAUAUUAUAAGAGCGCAUGUAUGUAUGUAUAUUUAUAUAUAAAAAAUGUAUGUAUAGACAAAUUAUAAAGUACAUAAAAAAAAAUAUAUAUAACAAAAUCUAAAAAUGGUAUAAAUGGAUAAAUAAAAUGCACUAAUAAUAAUAAUAAUAAUAAUAAUAAUAAUAAUAAUAUGAUGCAAUAAUAUAACAAUGAAUAGAUAAGUAUGUAAAUAAAAUACAAAAAUAACACAAAUAGACUAAUUAGGAAUAAAAAUAAAAUUAAAGGGUCGAAAUUGUAAUAAAAUAAAUACGGAGGGAUGAAAAUGGAAAAUAGCAUGAAAGGGCAGGGGCCAAAUGAGUGAAUAUACCAGACCUUGGACACGUGUCCACUUUUUAGGGCGCUGAGGGGUCAGGGAUCCGAUUGAAAUCCAAACAAAGUUGCAGGGCCGAAUUAAAAAGUGAAAAUAAACAAAGUUGCAGGGCCAGGAUUGCAAAUAACCUAUUCCAUGAAAACGCGCGGGUCAUGGGGCUAAACGGCGCCGCUUUGUGCAGGCUAUAAAAGCCAAAAAUUUGUCAAAACUUCUCAAUUUUCCUUUUUUCCCCAAAAAAACAAAAAAAGGCUCUCAAACCCCCCAUUUUCUGGUCUCGGGUUUGGCCAAGGGCCACCGUAUCGGCCGUCGGAUCGCCGGCGUCGGCGACGCCGUACACAGUGGCCGGCGAGUAUAGAAAGGCUUGCCCCUAUAGAUCCCGACCUUCUAAACUCGGAUCUGGCCUCAAAAUAACCAAAAACGAUGGGGAAAAGGUCGUUAGGCUUCCCUACAGUCGGUUUCGUCACCGGAGGAGUCUCCGACGAGGAGGAAACCAGUGACCCGCGGUGAGUUUCUCCUUUUUAUUUAUUUUUUAUUUUCGUUUUUAGAAAUCAAAAUAGAAAAUAAAAUAACCAAAAAAAAGAUUGUAAUCGAAAAAACUAGGAAAUCACCUUGAAGCUUGAUUUUUUUUAUUAUUCUGUUGAUAUUUGCUUUUUUGUUACAAAAAUCGGGAAAAUAAAAAAGAAAAAGCCCCCUCAAAGUUACAUGUUCUUCGGCUUUUAAAGUCAAUUUUUGUUACUGUUCCUGUCUUGUUUGUUUCUCUUCUUUGCAAGUGACGGUGCAAGUGGCCGAUGGUGGCAAGCGGUGGCAGUGUCAGAGGGCAGGUAGCUACGGCGCUAGGGUUUCAGAAAAGCUGAAACCCUAGUUUGACUUUGGGUUUGCUGGGCUAGGACAUUGGGCCUGUAAUUGGCUGUUGGGGUUUGGGUCAUUAGGUCAGUGAGCUGGUGGGCAAAAUUGGGCUGGUACAACUAUUAAACAAGAUUGAACAACCUCAAUCUUCAAUGGAAACAACCUAUUCUGACUUAUUUCCAUAAUAGCAACAACUGUUCUAGAUGGAUUAGAAAUCUCACAAGCACCAUUCGUGAAAGUGACAACAUACCCUUUUUCCAACAGUGGCAUCAAAGCCAAGUUUAUUCUUGUUAGCUUAGAAAACUUUUCACCUAUGGCCUCGAAAAGUAGUUUUGUUCAAGUAGUUAUUCCUUAUUUUGAUGAUCAUUAUGACCAUUGGAGUACGCUAAUGGAGAAUUUCCUAUGGUCAAAAAAGUAUUGGCCAAUGGUUGAGGCAGGUAUCGAAGAGCCUGCAGAAGGAGAAACUUUGACUAAUGCCUGGAAAGUAAAGUUCGAAGCGAGAAUGCUGAAAGAUUUGAAGGUGAAAAAUCAUCUCUUUCAAGCUAUUGAUUGUCCCAUCUUGAAAACUGUUCUUUGCAAAAAAACUUUCAAGGAUAUAUGAGAUUCCAUGAAGAAAAAGUAUCGAGGCACUGCCAGAGUGAAGUAAUAACAUCUUCAAGCCUUGAGGAGGGACUUCGAGACUCUAUAGAUAAAUGAAUGGGAAUCUAUCACUAGAAAUUGUGUUAGAACCAUGGAGAUUUGUAAUAGGAUGUAGUUCUAUGAUGAGAAGAUGGAGGGUGCCACCAUAGUGGAGAAGAUUUUGCGCUCCAUGAUGCUGAAGUUUGACAUGUCGUUUGCAUCAUUGAAGAGUCAAAAUACAUGAUGAAUUGUCUCUUGAUGAGUUGUAAAACUCUUUAUUUGUACAUGAGCAAAAGAUGAAUUUUACUUCAGCCUUCAAGGAACAAACUUUGAAGGCUUUUACUUUUUUUUUCAAUUUUAGAGGAAUAGGUAAAGGUAGAGGUAUAUAUUGGGAAAUGUGCCCAUAUUUUAGUAAACAUGUAACUACUUUUUAUUUAUUUAAACAGUGAAUUAAUAAAUAAAAUUAAUUUCACAUUUCGCUAUUAUGUCUUUUGUAUUUUCGGUCUUUUAUAUUUACAAUACAUAGCAAAAUUGUGACAAGCAAAUAUUAGCUCAUUGAUUGUCUAAAGUUCAAACUGAAGAUAAGUGACAUUGUAAAGAAUAUUUACAUUGUGAGAAAGACUACUUAUUUUAGUAGAUAAUCUAAAUUAGUUCGUAAUCUCGUAAAAGAAUCAAAGUGAGCAUUUGAUUCACAUACUGAGAAGGAUUAUUAUGUCUUCUACAAUUCCAAUUGGGGAGAUUGCUAGUCUUGGCUAUUGGAGCAGUUGACUCCAUUAGUAGAGAAAUAGAUGUAUUCAUUGGUAGAAUGAUACAUUGGACUGGACCCAAAAUGAAUUAAUUUUGAAUCUAUUUGUGAAUUAAUUCACUUGUGACGUUCGUGGUGUGGUUUACCCAAAUCUUAAGUUAGUCACUGACCAUGCGUAUCGAACCCAUGUGCUUUGAUACAAGUGGAGGCUUAUGCUCUAAGGAUGAUCGAGCCCACAGUCGGUAUGUUGGGUACAUAACUUGUGUAUGACAUGACUUUACUAGCAACAAUGUAAUUCAUAGCUCAAUUAAAGAGUUAAUGAUAUCCUCUCAUUGGUAUUGUAUGGAUUGAUAAAUAUAAAACGUGGCCACGGGGUGCUUAUUCUCGAAAGAGUAAUUUAUUACAGUCAUUUGUUGACAGUGGUCGUAUUAAUCAUUAAGAAGACACAAUGGUGAUAAUGAGAUAAAAUAAGAUUGUAUUAAGUGAACGACUUUAACUCAAAGGAAUCAAUGAUAUCAUAUGAGGGUAACACACAUCAUGAGGUCAUUGGACAAAGCAGUUGGAUGAAUUGCUUUCUUAAAGAGUAUACAAUAAGGAGUUUUCAAUUAUGGCACUUCUUAUGGACUGACUCUUGAUUAAGUAAUUGCGAAUUAUCGUAACGAUGCUUUUGGACAUAAUUACAAUCACUAGAGCCUAAUUGUAUAUGUUCAAUUGGUCCAUCCGUUAGCUCAACAAAAGCUUGAUCAUUCUGCAUUUGAAUCAGAAGAAAAUUCUACGACUUUAGAAAUGAUUUAAUUGAGUCAAUUUAUUCGAUAUGGAAUUAAAUUAGGUGGUCGUGAGAAUUGUUCAACUAGAGAAUUUGAUUAAAAAUUUUUCUUAAAAAAUUAAUUUGGAAAAUCUAAGUGAUUUUUGGGAAAAUUAAUUUUGAUCAAGUAAAAUUAAAUUAAUCAAAUCAAUUAAAAUUAAUAUGAUAUUUUUGGAAAUUAAUUUUCAAGUAAGACAAUUGGCCCAAUAGGUAAUUGAACUUAAAAAUUGGACCUGAGAUCGUGAGCGUGAGAGCCCAAAACCAAGACCAAGACCAUGACCCAAAAACUUGUCGAACUGGGCCCGGUAUGUGAAACCGGGCCGACGGUCCAAUUGGUGACUAGAUUGAAUUGGUCGGGUUGACAUUGACCCGGACCAAACCAGCUUAGGGUGCCGUAAGGGUGUCCCACCUACGUCACCGGACAUGUCGGUGUGGGUGGCUGCAACGGCGGCGUCCUGGUGACUGGCGGCAGUUGGUCAUCGAUGAUUGAGUUGUGGAAGGGUUACUCUCCUAUUGGGACUCUACCAGAGAAUUUGAUUUCAAAUUAACUACUUCAAAAAUAAUAUUAUUUUAAUAGUUUAACAUUAAAUUCAAUUUAAUGUUUAUCUUGUAGAUAAAUAUUUUAUUAUUUUAAUAAGAUUUAAUAUUAAAUUUAAUCUAAUAUUUAUCUUGAUAAAUAUUAGAUUAUAUUAAUUGAAUAUUAAAGUGAUUUAGUUUAAUCAUAGUUGAACUCUCUAAACUCUCCUUAUAUAAAGAGAGCAUUGAGUCAUUAUUUACACACACUUGAGUUCAAGAGAAAGUUGUAGAGAGAAAAUUUUCUGAAGAGAUUAUUCUAAAAAAUUUCUAGAGAUAUUUUUUUGAUUUAUAACUUGACCCAAAAGUUUAGAGAGAUUGCAAAAUUACCCCACUGGUAAUUUUUAUGAAAAAUUUUCUAAUUCGAAGUGAGCUCACAUUUGGCAGACAUGAGCUUGAGGAUUGUGGAGAAGGCUACUCGGUCGAAGCGCUAAUCCUAGACGAAUCAAAAAGAUAUAAUUUGGAUUAAGUGUUUAUUAUUUUAGAUAUCACAACCUAAAUUUAUUUUCCUCUGUAUUUUCUAAAUCUUUUUUCCAACAAUAUAGGGAGAAGUUUGAGCUAAUAGAAAAAGUGGCAACAGAAAUGGUAGCAAGAAUUACAAAAUCAAUGAUGACCAAAGUAAGGAUAAAUGACGAGAUUUUGAUAAAUCUAAAAUAAAAUGCUUCAUAAGGUAAAAAUUUGGUCAUUGUCAUUUUGAAUGUUAUUUUAGGCUACUAAAUGAUAAGGAUGAACAAGCGACAUUCACUGGACCAGGAGCGCCCCCUCUAGUAAAAGCUUCCACUGCCGGUUAACCAAUCACAUUGAAAAGGAAGCUGAGACAAAUGUAUAAUAUGUGGAUAUAGGUUGUAGUAUUUUUUUCGUAUUUAAAUGAUAAUUUUCGUUGUAGAAUCACCUCUGGUGAUUAUUGUACUGUCGAUUUCAUAAUUAAAAUUUUACAUGAAAUUUAAUGUUUUCUAAAAACCUUUGUUUUUGAAGACUUUUGUUACUAUACCCCGCUCCAUAUAAGAUCCAUCACCGUCAAAUGACAAAAAGUAAUUCAAUGCACUUUAAUUGUGCCAGCGGCUCCAAGCCCAUUGAUUUCACUAUAAAUUCCAUGCUUUUAGGUUAACCAUCUUCACACAAUCAAAUCAAGCUAGUUCGCAAUGGCUUCCACUACCAAUUCCCCAUCAACCCUCCUCACCCUUCCUAAUUUCUCCAUUCAAACUUCAACAUUCCUUCCCAAAACAUCUCAAGGUUCCAUAUUUAAGAAGAAAAAGCCUUUCAACUUUAACUCCAAAAGAGUAGUGUCAUGCAAAGCCAGCAAUGGGAAACAAAACGAUGCAAAUCACACUUCUUUUCUCAAUAGGUUCGAUAGAAGGGACAUCUUCCUUGGCCUUGGAGGAAGUCUCUACGGUGCAACCAGCCUUGUUAGAGACCCAUUUGCAUUGGCAGUCGUCCCAAUCGAGCCUGACCUGUCCAGCUGUGGGGAAUCAACCGUAGAUGCCGGUACAACCUGCAUGAAUGUCCCUUGCUGCCCACCAAAGUUAAAAGAUUCAAAGAUCAUAGACUUCGAACCACCUUUAGGUUGCAAGAUCCAUUAUCGGCCGGCAGCACAUUUAGUUGAUCGUGAUUACCUGUAUAAAUUUGAAUCGGCAAUGGAGAGAAUGAAAGCUCUCCCUGUGGAUGAUCCACGUAAUUUCAUGCAACAAGCCAAUAUUCAUUGUGCCUAUUGCAAUGGGGCUUAUAGUCAAGUGGGGUUCCCCGAUCAAAAACUUGAAGUUCACUACUCGUGGCUUUUUUUCCCAUUCCAUAGGAUGUAUCUGUAUUUCUUUGAGAGGAUAUUGGGCAAGUUGAUUGGUGAUCCAGAUUUCACAAUGCCAUUUUGGAACUGGGAUUCUCCUGUUGUUCCAAUAGGGUCGGAAGCGUGUAAAUUAUUGUACUAAAAAAUCACACAAAGUUCAAUUCCCAGGGAAGAGAGGUGGAUCACAUGGAUCUCUUAAAUACCAAGUCUUUCCUUAGACAGAAUAUCCCUUCUAUAGUAAUUUAAUAGCACAAUUAAAUACUACUAUUAUACCCUCAAAUAUUGAAAGAAAAAUAGGACAAGAAAGAACACAAGAGAUUUAACGAGGUUCGGUAAAUUAUACCUACGUCCUCGGGCACUAACACCAGAUGAUAACUUUACUAUCUCCAAAGUAUUACAAACAAAUAGAAUUCCUUAAGAAUUCUCAAAUGGGAGAAGAGAGAAAACUAAGAGAGAAAGAUUGGUUGGGAUGAAUUGAAAUGAGAAAUGAGAAGGCCUAUUUAUAGUUGAGGUUUAAGGAUCAAACAAUAAAUAGCCCAUUAUCUCAAGGACCAAAAAAAAAUUAUCCCAUGCCACUUUUUCAAAGUCAACUUUAGGGUGCUAAACUUGCACCACUUGGAUUGUUUUCCAUUAAAAUUGUCUGCCAUUAAUCAUAAUGUUAACAAUCUCCACCUUGAAGAUUUGAUUAGGAUAAUCACAUCUUCACACACUUCCUUCAACUCCCCAAAUUUGAUAAAGCUAUCUUUUGUAGUGCCUCCAAAUGCACUCUCGAGCGCAAUACACCUGAAGGUGCUCAAAUUCUCAGGAUGUUAAUCAAGUUCAAACAAUGAUUAAACUUGAUUGUUGUUACCACAUUGGUCAUCAUAUCUGCGGGAUUAUCUGCUGUUGGAAUCUUCUGAAGUAGAAUUUUUCCUUUUUCAAAGACUUCCCGCACAAAGUGAUAUCUUACGUCGAUAUGUUUGGUUCUUGAAUGAUAGACUUGAUUUUUCGCUAAAUGAAUAGCGCUCUGACUGUCACAAUAUAAACUUAUGUGACUUUGAACAACUCCUAAGUCUUUCAACAAUCCAUUAAGCCAAAUAGCCUCCUUAACAGCUUCUGUAACUGCCAUAUAUUCUGCCUCUGUAGUAGACACAGCUACUGUAGACUGUAAGGUAGAUUUCCAACUCACUGGGGCUUUCGCAAGAGUAAACAGAUACCCCGUAGUUGAACGACGUUUAUCUAAAUCACCAGCAAAGUCGGAAUCAACAUAUCCAACUACAAACUGACCAAGUGCUUCAUCCUGUUCAAAAAUUAAACCAACAUCUACGGUUUUUCGAAGAUACCGUAGAAUCCAUUUCACAGCUUGCCAAUGUCCUUUUCCAGGAUCAUGCAUAUACCUGCUCACAACUCCAACAGCUUGUGAAAUGUCAGGCCUCGUACACACCAUCGCAUACAUCAAACUCCCAACUGCAUUAGCAUAUGGGACUUUCACCAUAUAUUCUCUUUCAUCUUUAGUCUUCGGAGAUAAUUGAGCACUAAGUUUCAAAUGAGAAGCAAGUGGGGUACUUACAUGUUUUGUGUUUUCAUUUACACCAAAACAUUGUAAUACCUUUUUCAGAUAUUGCUUCUGAUUUAAACAGAACUUGCCUCUCGGUCUAUCUCUACUUAUCUCCAUGCCGAGAAUCUUCUUAGCCUCACCUAGAUCUUUCAUCUCGAACUCUUGAUUCAACUGAGCCUUCAGCUUAUCUAUCUCAUUUUGGCUCUUCGAAACGAUUAACAUAUCAUCAACAUACAAGAGUAGAUAAAUGAAAGAUCCGUCAUGCAGCUUCUGCAAAUAUACACAAUUGUCAUAUUUGCUUCUUGUGUACUUCUGCCUUCUCAUAAAGCUAUCAAAUCGCUUGUACCACUGCCUCGGGGAUUGCUUCAAUCCAUAUAGCGAUUUGUUAAGCUUACAAACCCAAUUUCUACCACCAGCAUCUGUGUAUCCUUCGGGCUGAGUCAUAUAGAUCUCCUCUUCUAACUCACCAUGCAAGAAAGCCGUCUUAACAUCAAGUUGAGCUAGCUCCAAAUUCAACUGUGCUACCAAGGCCAACAAAAUUCUAAUGGAGGAAUGCUUCACAACAGGGGAAAAUACAUCAUUGUAGUCAAUUCCCUCCUUCUGAGCGUAGCCUUUAGCUACCAAUCUUGCCUUGUAGCGAAUAUCCUUCUUGGUAGGAGAUCCAUCUUUCUUUGCGAAUACCACUUGCAUCCGAUUGCCCUUUUACCUUUCGGUAAUUGCGCCAACUCCCAAGUAUUGUUCUUCCGGAGAGACUGCAUUUCUUCAUCCAUGGCGCUUUUCCAUUUAUCACUUUCUAAGCUUUGCAUUGCUUCUUGAGAAGUGAUAGGAAUAUCAUCAACAACGGGAAGGGCGUAGGCCACUAUAUCAGUAAAUCGAGCAGUUUUACGAAUUUCUCUCCGUGGCCUUGCAACUGCAACUGGUUCUGGUGUACUUAGUGGUUCUUGGGUCAGAACCUCUUCAACCUCUAAUUCCUCCAUUGUGGCUGGAGAAUUAGACUUAUUAACUGGGCAAAUCCCCAUCUGCUCAAACUCCACCUGUUUUGGAGUACACUCCACCUGCUGUGGAGUAUUGCUCGUCUGAAUAUCUUUAUCUGCUACCUUUUUCAAUGUGGCAGAUUCAUCAAAGGUAACAUCUCUGCUACAGAUCAUUUUCUUUAUGCUUAAGCACCAAAGACGAAAUCCCUUCACUCCAGAAGUGAUUCCCAUAAAGAGAGCUUUCUUUGCCCUUGGAUCUAACUUUGACUUCUUCACAUGGUAAUAUGCAGUGGUUCCAAACACAUGUAAGGAAUCAUAAUCUGUAGCCGGUUUUCCAGACCAUACCUCCAUAGGAGUUUUUCUUUCUAAUGCAGAUGAUGGCAAAUGAUUAACAAGAUGGCCAGCGUAUGUCACAGCCUCAGCCCAAAAUUGCUUGCCCAACCCAGCAUUGGACAACAUACAUCGAACUUUCUCCAGCAAUGUUCGAUUCAUACGCUCUGCCAAUCCAUUCUGCUGUGGUGUAUCCCUAACUGUGAAGUGUCAAACAAUACCAUACUCUUGGCACACAUCGAAGAACGGAUCACUUUUAUAUUCCCCUCCAUUGUCCGUCCUAAGCCGCUUGAUUUUCUUGCCAGUCUGGUUUUCGAUCAUAGUUUUCCAUUUAAGAAAAACUCUAAGCACUUCAUCCUUAGUUCUCAUGGUAUACACCCAAACUCUUCUGGAAAAGUCAUCAACAAAAGUAACAAAGUAGUGUUUUCCUCCCAAUGAAGGUGUCUUGGAAGGCCUCCACACAUCUGAGUGAACAUAUUCCAAAAUAUCUUUUGUAUUAUGGAUAGCAGUACCGAAUUUCACUCUCUUUUUCUUUCCCAGAACACAAUGCUCGCAAAAUUUUAAUUUACAAGCCUUUGCACCUUUCAACAAUCCUUGCUUUGCCAGAAUUUGCAAGGAUUUUUCGCUGGCAUGUCCCAACUUCAUAUGCCACAACUGUAUUGAGUCCAAUUCUUUGUUGCCGAAAGCUACAGCGACUGCUCCAAUAACUGUACUACCUUGGUAGUAAUACAAGUUAUUUUUCCUGAUGCCCUUCAAUAUCACAAGUGCGCCAGAUGUCACUUUCAAAACCUCAUCUCUCAUAGUAACAACUGAACCAUUGGAUUCCAAGGCUCCCAAUGAGAUGAGAUUUUUCUUCAAACUAGGCACAUACCGAACAUCAGUCAGAACUCUGGUUGAUCCAUCUUUAUUCUUUAAUUGGAUUGAACCUAUCCCAACAGUUUUACAGGCAUUGUCAUUGCCCAUAUAAAUAACUCCUCCAUUUAGUUCUACUAAAUCAGAGAACCACUCCCGGUUAGGGGACAUAUGAUAGGUACAACCCGAAUCCAAUAUCCACUCAUCUGAAUGGAACGACGAUGAUGAUGCAACCAGUGAUAGUUCAGAGUCACUGGUAUCAUGCUUUGCAACACAAGCAUCUACAGCAGCUUUUCCCUUAUUCUUCAGCUUUGGACAAUUUUUCUUCCAGUGGCCUUUCUCAUGACAAAAAGCACAUUCAUCUUUCCCGAGUCUGGACUUUGACUUUGAUCUCCCCUUUUGAGUUUUCUUCCGAGUGUAUGAAUGACCUCAGACUACUAAAGCUUCUGUAUCUCUGAUUGAGUUUUUCUGUUUGUCAUUCUUUCUCUGUUCAUAACUGUAUAAGGCCGCACAGACUUCGCUCAGAGAUAUAUCACUCCUGCCAUGAAGUAGAGUAGUUUCUAGGAACUCAAACUCCUCAGGAAGUGACCCCAACAGCAUCAAAGCCAAAUCUUCAUCUUUGAAUGUCUCAUCCAUAUUCAGCAAAUCAGUGACUAACUGAUUAAAUUUGGUGAUGUGAUCAUUCAUUGUGGUACUUGGGACGUAUGUGAAGCGAAACAGUCUUUUCUUCAAGUGGACCUUAUUUUGACUGUUUUUCUUCAAAAAAUUUUCUUCAAGUGCCACCCACAACUUAUUUGCAGAAGUCUCCUUUGAAAAAGCAUACAUCUGCUCUCGAGAAAGGCAUGAUCGAAUUGUGCCAUAUGCCAACCGAUUGAUCGCCUUCCAAUCUUUCCCCUGUACAUCAUCUGGUUUCUCUUCAUCAAUGGCAAUGUCUAGACCCUGCUGAAAAAGGGCAUCUAGAACCUCACUUUGCCAUAUACCAAAAUGGCCCGUGCCAUCAAAGAUCUCCACGGCCAGUCUUGCAUUUGCAAUUGUCGGUCUUGUCCACAUGGACGAUGUUGAAGCUCCUACACCGACCGUUUUCUCCAUAAUCUUUCAAUAUACCUAAGGAAAUCUUUUCUGAUGUGGAAGAUCAGUUCAAACUGCAACCACAGAGCAUACUACGAUUAACCUUCGGCUCUUGAUACCACUUGUUGUUCCAAUAGGGUCGGAAGCGUGUAAAUUAUUGUACUAAAAAAUCACACAAAGUUCAAUUCCCAGGGAAGAGAGGUGGAUCACAUGGAUCUCUUAAAUACCAAGUUUUUCCUUAGACAGAAUAUCCCUUCUAUAGUAAUUUAAUAGCACAAUUAAAUACUACUAUUAUACCCUCAAAUAUUGAAAGAAAAAUAGGACAAGAAAGAACACAAGAGAUUUAACGAGGUUCGGUAAAUUAUACCUACGUCCUCGGGCACUAACACCAGAUGAUAACUUUACUAUCUCCAAAGUAUUACAAACAAAUAGAAUUCCUUAAGAAUUCUCAAAUGGGAGAAGAGAGAAAACUAAGAGAGAAAGAUUGGUUGGGAUGAAUUGAAAUGAGAAAUGAGAAGGCCUAUUUAUAGUUGAGGUUUAAGGAUCAAACAAUAAAUAGCCCAUUAUCUCAAGGACCAAAAAAAAAUUAUCCCAUGCCACUUUUUCAAAGUCAACUUUAGGGUGCUAAACUUGCACCACUUGGAUUGUUUUCCAUUAAAAUUGUCUGCCAUUAAUCAUAAUGUUAACAUCUCCCUGUGGGAUGACUAUGCCUCAGAUAUAUUUAGACCCUUACUCUCCAUUGUACGAUGAAAACCGCAAUUUGGAGCAUCAGCCGGACGUUUUGGUUAAUCUUAAUGACGGUAAAUCUUUUGUAAAACCAAAAAAAAAGGAUGAUUUUUAUGAAUUAGCAAAGAGGGAACAAAUAAAUAGUAAUCUCUAUGUGAUGUAUCAGCAAAUGGUACGGUCCGCCAAGACCGCUUCUUGUUUCCAUGGAGCGGCGUACCUUGGCGGUUGUGUAUCCGAAACCGAUAUCGGUUGUACUCCCGAACCGAGAGGUGGUACCAUUGAGAACGGUGCUCAUAUCGCCGUUCACAAGUUCGUUGGUGCCAAGAAUCCACCUUAUAACGAAGACAUGGGGAAUUUCUAUUCUGCUGGUAGAGACCCUUUGUUCUACGCUCAUCAUGGCAAUGUUGAUCGAAUGUGGAACAUUUGGAAGACAUUGCCAGGGAAGAAGCGACAUGAUUUCAACGAAAAUGUUUGGCUCAAUUCUUCGUUUCUUUUCUACGAUGAGAAUACAAAUAUGGUUCGUGUUAAAGUUCGCGAUUGCCUUGACUCUAAAACUUUGGGGUACGAUUACCAAAGUGUUGAUAUUCCAUGGCUUAGAAGCAAGCCAACACCUCGAAGGAGUUGUUCUGGUGUGGGGCGGGGUCAGGAUGUAGCAGCCAGACGAAAGAGUAAAAACCGCAGGGGUUUUCCUAUAGUUUUAGACAAGGUGGCCGUGCGCAUUGAGAUUCCAAGGCCAAAGAAAUCAAAGAAAAAAGAUGAUGAAGAAGUAUUGGUUCUUCAAAACAUACAGCUAGACAGAAAUGACUCAGUGCAAUUCGAUGUCUCCAUUAAUGACGACGAAGACGACGACAACCCUUGCAAACCAGAAGAUGCGGAGUUCGUGGGGAGCUUUUCGAAUUUACCGCACGGAGAUAAUUGCCACUCCGAGACGAUGCUUAGUACAAAUCUGUAUUUGCCAUUAUCAGAAGCGCUGAAGGAUUUGAAGAUUAAUCCAUUUGAAGAUAGCAUUGUGGUGACUUUGGUGCCUAAAGAAGGGGAAGUUUCGAUUGGUAACAUUAAGAUCGACUACGUUUGUUGAUUUGGGGGUGAAUAUUUUGCUUCAUCCUUUGUGUUCUCGCUAGAUCGGAUUGAUGGGGUUCAUUAAUUUGUUUCUUGCAUGUGUCUCUCUUUUUUUUAAUAAAAAUAUCAAGCUAAAUGAACAAAAGCAGCGGCAGCUUUAUCUUGCUCAAGAAGAUAAUCAACUCCUAAACGCGCCUGAUAUUUUCUGCCUAUCAUCAAUUCAAUCACGAGAUAUUUUAGUUAACAGAGUAACAACUUGAUUUCUUUAACUAUCCAAUACUUCUUGCACUGUAAUAUCUAUUUAAUUCGUCCAACCAAAACUAAAUUUGAUACCUCCAAAUAGCCAACUUGAAUAGCAUUGAAUGCUUCCAAGUAAUCUGUUUAAAUUAAGGCUUUGACAUAUCUUACAAGACUAACUCGUCUGAGAUACUCUAGAAUUCAAUAUUAAAGAUUGAACAAACAUCUAAAUUAUGAUUGAACCCGACAAUCCAAUCUUGCCAAAUUUUAUUAUUAAAUUUUACCAUUUACUUUUUGUAUUAUUUAUAAAUUUUAAGUAUAAUGGUUUAUUUGAUCUUUCAGCUUUAUAAAAAAAUAUCAUUUUAGUUCUUCAUUUAAUUUUGUCUCUUUUUAACCCUUAAAUUUAUGUUGUUUAUCAAAUUGUCCCAAAAUAAAUGAAAAAAUUAAUAUCUAUUAACUUUGUUGACACAUCCACGUGUAUGCCACAUCAACAUUUACUUAAUUCUUUUUACAAAAUUAAAAAGCAUUAAAAUUAUAAAAAAAUAUUAUAAAAUUAUAAGUUUUAUUUAAUAAUAAAAUUAUAAUAAAAUUCUAUAAAUUUUAGAAUUUUUAAAAAUUUUAAUCAAUUAUUGAUGUGACAUAUAUGUGGAAUGUCACAUAAACAAAAUUAUUAAGCGUUAAUUUUUCUAUUCAUUAUAAAGUGUUUUGACAAAAAAAACUAGUUUAAUAGUUAAAAGUGGCGAAGAUUAUAUGAAGGGUUAAAAUGACUUUUUUGUUUUCUAAAGUUGGAGGACUAAAUAAAUCAUUAUGCUUAAAUUUUAUCAUAUUUAUAAAUAAAAAUUUUAAUUUUACUAAAAUAUUUUAUUAAAUAUAUUUACUUUAUAAAAAAAUUGUCAUACAUUUAUAAGAAUUUCGAGUCAAUUAAAAUACUUUAAUUAAAUUAUUAUGUUUUCAUUAACCCAAAAAAGUUAUAUUACUUAUUUUUAAAUGAAUUUUUUUAAUUAUUUAUAUGAUAGGUAGCUUUAUAUUUUACAUGCAAUAUUUUAUAAAGAAUACAUUUAUAUAAUCUAAUCUAAUAUAUAUUAUAAUUAUAUGAAGGCUUGAUUCGCAAAUUGGUGCCUAAGUUAUGUUAUUUUUUUCAUUUUGGUAUCUAAACUCUUUUUUUUUUUUUGUUAUCAGUUAUCCUAAAGCUAUUUUUUUCCCCAAAUUGGUAUAUCUGCUAGUUAACCCAUUAAGUCUAUUUAAAAAAAAGUUCAACCCACAAAUUAGUAUAUUCUUUUUCCCAAAUUGGUACCUAAAUUUUUUUUUAUCAUAAGUGAUACCUAAACUAUUCUUCCAUCACCAUUUUACACCAAAAUAUUAUAUUCGUUAAAAAAAUUACAACCAAUUAUAGAUUGUCACUUCAUAUAAACUUUUAAUUGUUUUAACUUUUUCUAUUUAUUUUACAUUAUUUCUCUCUUUAUAUAUUUUAUUUAUUUAUUUUUCUUCCUUUAUAAUGCCUAGUAAUACCAACAAUACUUAAAAUUGAUUCGCUCAAGGUUGAGAUGUCGGUGAUUAAUUCUGUUUUGAAAUUUCACCAUGUUGAUUAAACCUUUAUAUGAAUUAUAUUUAAUUUGAGUUGGAAUCACAAUAAAUAAUUACAUAUAUUUAUGCAAGAAAUUAAGAAUUUUAUAUAGUUCAUGAAUAAUAUAUAAUUUUCUUAAUCCAACAUUCACCCUUGGGCAUUUCCAGCAUACUUCAACAUCUACACCAUAUCAUCAGUAGGCAGCCCAAUCACUAACUUCUGUCGACGAACAGCCUUACACUCCGUUGCAAACAAUCCCAUCCACUCCAAGGGGCCAUAAAUCAACCCCAACAAUCGCCCCACACCAUCCCCCAAGCCUUUCUUCACUCUGAAUACAAGACAUAAAAUAAAAAUGAAGAGACGACUCCUCCAUCUGCAAGGAAAGGAUGUUGCCCCCUUUCAACCGACCAUUCUCAAACCAUGGUUCAUGCCACCAACCAAGCUCACUUACCACCAAUAAUGGUUCUAAUCCAACAAAUAGAUCGCAUUUUGCAAAGGAAAAUGAUCUCUUCAGCAAUCCACUCUUUUCCAUUAAGUAUUAAUUCAUUCCUAGCUAGCCACAAUGACCAUAACAUAGCGCCACAAGCAAGAAGCCACUUCCUCUUAACAUUCGAUCUUCCAAACAUGCAGCAACGUACACAAAAUCACUGACAUUCCAAGGAAUCACCCACAUAACACCCCACCAUUGAAAAAACAGUCCCUAAGCUUUCCAAGAGGAAGAACGAAAGAAAAAAUUUAUCACAAUUCUCUUCAGCUUCAUUGCACCAAGAACAAUUAACACGACCAUUAACUGUUGGAAUACCUCGAUCCCUUAAAAAUGCAUUUUGAAGGUAUGCCAUUUUGGAAUAACAGCCAUAGGAAGCGUUGCACCUUUGUUGGAACGCAUAGCUUCCAAAUGAAAGAAAACCACACCUUUUGAUGCGCCAAAGAACCUCACAAUCAAGAGAAAACACAACUUUCUUCACAGUACAUUUCCCUUUGCUGUCCACCUCCCACAUUAACUGAUCUGCCUUGUUCUCAUUUAAAGAGACCCCUUUGAAAAUCUGCCACAACUCCAUUGCAGACACCCUCUCCUGUUCAAACAAAUCUCUUUUGAAAAAUCUUUCACCCUUGUGAAGAUCAUCCCAAGCCUCGUCCACCGUGAUAUUUUUCUUCAAAGCCAAGAAGAAAGUCUGGGGAAUCUGUCUUUCAAAGCACACAGUCCAAUCCAAUGAUCCAUCCAAAAUGAAACUGAUCUCCCACUGCCGACGCACCAUAUAAAGCUUCCUUCACCUAACAUUUUGUCCAUCCCUUCGUGUCUUCUAACUUCCACAACUCCUUUCCAAACCUUCGACAUUGUUGAGAAUUCACCACAUUGGGCCUCCAACGAUACUUGCCAAUACCAUAUUUUUCGUCCCUAUUAUUGAUGUGGUGAUUGUCAAUUUAAUUCUUACACAUUAAAAGUACAUAAAAAUAUUUUUUAAAAAUUAAAAAUUAAAAUUUUUUCUUAUUUUCAAUAAAAAAUCGUAAAAGGUUUACUAAAAAUUAUGAAAUGCAUUAUUUAAAAUUAAAAAUUAAAUUAAAAAUUCAAAAAAAAUAUAAAUUAUUUCAAAAAUUCAAAAAAAAAAGUAAUAAGAACUAGACUUAUCCAUAAAUUGGUUUCGGCAAAGGUUUUAUGUCUCGAGCCGAGACCAAACCAAAAUAGAAUUUAAGUAAUCAAAAUAUUUUUAAAUUUGAAUUUGAUUAUAAAAAUUAAUAUAAAAUAUAUGUUUAAUAUUUUAUUAUUUUAAACAAUAAAACAAGUUUUUUAGACGAGCUAAACCAGAAAAAAAGCUUAACUGCAACUUGACCUGACCAGGCCUAAUAAGAAGCUUCAAUCUUCUAUGGAUGACGACUCAACGGUUAGUAUUAUUGUGAAGGAUAUUAAGGCAAAAAGCAAUAGGUCCGAGAACUAACUUUUCGAUUUGUACCGUGUCGAUUUAACAACUCCGCACAUGUACGCUCGUCAGUAUAGGGUAGUCAUAUUCUUGUUCCAUGCACUAGAUGGAGGAAACCUCGGUGGGUGUCGAAAACGCUGCAGUAAUGGAUCGACGAUGGGUGGAUCCGCUCAAUUAGUGAUACUUGGUCUUGGUAGCGGAGAUACUAUCGACUCUUGAACUCCGAUUCUCUCUUUCUUGAUCGAUUAAAGUGAUUAUUUUCUGAAGAAUUGAAUAGAGACGUUUUCAGUUUGCUUGCUGGCAAUGGAAUUUAGUUGUGGAUUCAUCUGGUUUUAAUUUUGUUUCAAUCUUAAUAAAUACUUUUAAUUUUUUGUUUUGUUUUAAUGAAUUCUAUCAGGUUAUAUUACUAUUUUCAGUGGACGUAUCAAUAGUUGUAUAUUUAUUUAAUUUAUUUUUACUAGAAAUAAAAUUUCCAGCUUACUUUAAAAAAAAAAAAAAACCUUCAAACGUAGUGAGUUGGGUCCUGUUUAAUCUAUCUCCUCCUAAAAAUAAAAAUAAAAAAUUGCUCAAACUUGAGCCUGAAUGAGUGCUCAUCUCCAAGCGCCUCUUGUACGCUUCUUUGCUCUCUCCUUUGGAGAGUUUUUUCAUUAGGGCAUAGCCGUGCGCCUCUCGGCCCUAUUCUCGUGCUCUGCAAUAUCCUGCACAGUGGUCUUCACCACCUUGAUGUAAUAUGGUCUUUGACCUAUUUCUCUAAUUAUAUGGUUGAUGAUUUCCUGGAUUAAAAUAAAAAAGCCGAAAAAGUUCUAACAUAUUUAAGGCAUGGAAAAGGUAAGAAUUAAGGGCGUUGAUAGGAGACAAGAAGCAAGACAAAGGGGAAGGAGACGGAAACAGAUAAAUCAAGGUGGACUGAAAGUGGCAGGUAGCGAGCAGGUGGUACAAUAUGUUGAAAGUGUCGGUAGGCAGUAUACAUGUGGUAGUGGGGAAGCUAAUAUUGGUAAGGUGGUAUAAGGGAUUGGAUAUUUAUAAUAUCAAUUUAUAUUUUAUUAUUUAGGGUAAACUACACCAAAGAUCAUUAAAUUAUUAAUAUGUUUACAUUUUGGUCAUUUAACUUCAAAAAGUUACAAAAUAAAUCAUUAAAUCUUGAUUGAUCCUCCAUAUUCCAAGGGUUUAUUUGAUUCACUCCAAUCCAAUCUAAUUUUCAAAAGCUAAGAUUUAGUUUCCAUAGAUGGACCAAAAAAAUCUUCAAUUAAAUAGCACAUAACCAGGUCCAACUAUUUUCUUCGCUAAAUUACCAAAGCAAAUAAGGUAAUUAAGUAUUUAACCACUUCAAUGGCAAUCUGUAGUUGGCACUAUCGAGUGCCACUCAGCAAUUCUCAACACAUUUUGCCUCAACAAACAUAAUCAAAUAUAAUUUAGUAAUUAUUAUAAAUAACUACUAAUAACUCUUGGGUCUAGGUUUUAGGAUUUAGGGUCUUUUAAGUUUAGAGUUUAGGUUAUUAGUAUUUAUUUAUAAUUAAUUAUUAUUUAAUUAUGGUUUAAACAAAGCUACUCGGAUUUAUUUAUAUGUUUGUCACUAUUUUUUUAGGCAUAAUGAUUUUUUUGACCCUCCAACUUUAUAAAAAAAUUAUUUUAACCCUUCAUUUAAUUUUCUACCUCUUUUAGCCCUUAAACUUGCAUUGUUUGUCAAACCACCCUAAAUUGGAUGAAAAAGUUAACUUCUUUCAAUCCACAUAAAUGUCACGUUAGAAAUUAAUUAAUUUUUUAAAUAUAAAAAAGUAAAAAAAGUAAAAAAUUAUUAAAAAUACAAGAAAUAUUUUUUUAAUAUUUUAAUUUUUUAAAAAUCAAUUAAUUGCUUAUGUGAGAUACACGUGGACUUUCACAUGGAUGCCAUGUUAGCAAAGUUAACCGACAUUACUUUUUCCAUCUAUUUUGAGGUAAUUUGACAAAUAAUGCAAGUUCAAUGGCUAAAAGAGAUGAAAAAUUAAAUUGAGGAAUAAAAUGACUUUUUUUUUAUAAAGUUGAGGCCAAAUAAAUCAUUAUGCCUUUGUUUCAUUCAAUAACGAGGUUUGAUGUUGUAUUAUUAUUCACUCAAUAUUCUUGAUGAUCAGUCAUAUUUAAUUAUAAGAAACACUUAAUAUUAAUUAUAUGAAAAAUGUAUAUUAUUUUUAAAUUAAAAAUAAACACACGUGUAAAAUAUGUAAUUAGUAAAACAUGAAGUCAAUUUGCAUGUACAUCAAACUAUGCAUCAAUUCUCAAGUUCAGGUACAAUUUCUCCUUUGGUAGAGUCAAUAAUAUCCUUUCACACUAUCUUAUUUUGAUGCCACUAAACUUAAAUCUAACUUAAAAUAAUGUUAAAAAUUUCAUUUAUAGAAAACCAACAUAAGUGAGAAUUGAUUGAUUUGAUAAAAAAUAAAUAUAAUAUUAAAUUUAAAUAAAUAUUAAAAAUAAUUAAAAAAUAAUAAAAUUAUUCAUUUAAUUCGAUUGUGUAAUCUUUAACUUGUAACACAUACAAAUGUGCAUGAUAAAGUAUAUAGGGAUGGUAAUUAAGUUAGGCGGGGUGGAUAUUGUCAAUUCCAUCACCGCUCUACAGUUGGUAUGCUUAGUCCUAAUAUCUGCCAUGCUCCAUCAUGGGUGUAUGAUCUUGAACACUACCAUUACUAGCUCCAUAGAUAUUGGAUAUAUCUAUCUUCUCCCCGCUUCACUUAAUUUAAUUUUUUUAUUUAAAUAAUUUUAAUCUUUUAAAUAUAAUUUUUUGAAAAAAUAUAAUAUUUUAUUUUGUAAUAUUUUAAUUAUUGAAAUAAUUAAUAUUUUUAAUUAUAUUAAAUGAUUUGGAUGAUAUUAUUUUACAUCAAUUAUAUCAAAUAAAAAUAUAUUUUUAAUAAAUAAAAAGAAACACAAAAAAAUCAUUGGGGGCUAAAGUAUAAUUUUAUCUUUGUAUAUGCCUGUUAAUUUAGAAUUUUGAAGGGAUUAAAUUGGAAAAAUUUCAUCUUAGAGUGCCAAAGUGUAUUUUUACAAUUAAACUAACUUAUGAUUUUAAAAACUUCAAGGGACUAAAAUAAUAAUUAGCUUAGGGGUGAAGCCAGGAAAUUUCAUUUUUUGGGGAGGGGGUGGAAUUAAAUUGUUUAUUUUAACGAUAGUGAAAAUACAAUUUCACCAAUUUAAUAGCAUAUAUGUUUAUUGUAAUACCCAAUUUUAGCUCGGACUCACAAAAAAAUAAUAAACCCAAAAUAAUAAAACAAAGUCUAAGUCCAGUACAAAAUUAUAUCAUUUGGCCCGAUCGGAAUGGCCCAUUACUUGAAAAUGUUAAAGGUCCAUCUACAAGCUUAUGGAAACAUAAUCUUUAAGGAUAUGCAAUCUUAGAUAUGAUAUAUGCAAUCUUAGAUAUGAUAUGCAAUCUUAGAAGAUAUGAUUUUGUAAUCUUAGAGAUUUAAUUUGUAGAUACCAUUUAAUCUUAGCCGUUGAUGUAAUUGAUCUGUACCGUUGGAUUUGGGGAGGCUCAACUAUAAAUAGAGGCCUCUCCCUUCAUUGUAAAAGGGGGGAGUGGGAGUAAUAAUAAUUCUUAAAAGUAUUCACUUAAAUUUCUCUUUCUCUUGCGUUCUUAUUUUCUGUGGCUUGUUCUUAUUUUGUUGAUUUGUGUAUAAUUUAUCUAUUGAUUUGUAUAUUGUUCAUUUCAAAUCUUUUUUUUCCCUUUUUAUUCAUUUUCAAAUUCAUUAUUUUCAAAUUUGUUUACAUUUUAUUUUGCCUUAUAUUUUUUAUUUUAUACUCUUUGUUUUAAAUUCAUUGGUCUUUUAUUAUUGAUGCUAUUUAAUCCUCUAUUUAUUAUUAUUUUUUAUUAAAUUAAUUAUUUUAAUAUUAUUAAUACUAUUAUGUGGCAUCAUUAAUCUUGUAUCAUUAUUAUUUACUUUUUUAUGCCUUUAAAUUUCAAAAUUUGUUAUAUAUAUGCCUGUAUACAUACAUACGUUUUAUAAUAUAUACAUAUACGUACACAUUUUUUAAUUUUUUAUAAAUAUAUAUACACAUACUUUUAUAUAUUUUCUAUGUUUCAUAAUUUUAUAUACAUACUUAUAUUUUUUUACAUAUUAAAAUAUGUAUAUUUAUAUAUAUUUAUUUUUUUAUAAUUCACAACCAUAUAUAUUUUUCUUAAAUGUACAUAUAUAUAUAUAUAUUUAUAUUUUAUAAUUUUUAUCUAUUUUCUUUAUUAUUAUUAUUGCUUUACUUGAUGUUUAUUUAUUUCUUUAUUCACAUGACCAUUAUUAUAUUCUUUAAAUGUUUCGGUUUUAUUUGUUUAUUUACUUGAUAUUGUGUAUACAUGAUUGAUUUGUUUUUUUAUUUAUCUUUUCAUUAUUAUUAUUAUUAUUAUUAUUGUUCUUGAUCAUGCUAUUUAUAUUUAUAUUAUUACAAUUGUUAGUACUCCAUUAUAUAAUUGUACCCAAAUUUGUAUAAAGAGAAAAUUUUGAAAAAUAAAGGCAAUACUCGAUAUUUGGAAUCUUCGAGAAGAUUGAGCCCUAACGUAUUGGGUUCCAAAUCUUUCGUUGAAUCUGAAUAAUCGAGAAUGCUCUUUAAUCAAAACAUAAAUAAAAAGCUCAUUAUCGAGAAUUCAAUACGUUGUGUCCUAACGCAUUGGAUAUGACAUGUUGUUUUCUCGAGAUGAGGAUUUUUUUUUCUAAAAAUAAUAAAGGUAAUAUUCAAUGUUUAGAAUUUUGAGAAAUUGUGCCCUAACGUAUUGGGCUGCGAUUUCUUCAUCUGACUUAAACAAUUGAAUAUCCUUUUAAAUUUUAUUGCACGAGUUUUUUUUGGACAAGCUUGUUUUUGAGGAAGUGAAAUAUCAUGCCCUAACUCAUUGGGUGUGACAUUUUCUCUUUUCGAAAUGAGAGGGUUUUAUCGAGUAACUUGUUUUAUAUAAGUUAAAAAAAAAACAAAAGAUCGUAUUUUAAAUCUCUUCAAAGUUUUCAAUUUUCGACAUUAAGACAUUAAUUAAUUAACUAGGUACCAAUUUUUGGGCGUUACGAGGGUGCUAAUCCUUCCUCGUACGUAACCGACUCCCGAACCCGUUUUUCUGAAUUUCGUAGACCAAAAUCGUUGUUUUAAUAAAGUCAAAUUGCUUAUUAAAAAUAACCACUUUUUGAGGUGACCCGAUCACACUUAAAUAAAAAGGAUUAGUGGCGACUCCCAUUUUCUUUUUUUUUCUUUUCAAAAUCCAAGCCAACCCCAUUUUUCAAAAUAAAAAAUGGUUUCGACAUUUAUAAUUUUUAAAGGAUUAAAUCAAAAUUUUAUCAUUUUUGGUUGACCAAAGUACAAUUUUACCAUUAGUAAUUUAAAAUUUUAUAAAUUGUAAAGAGCUUAAAUAGAAAAUUGUCCACUUUGGGGGGCUAUUGGGGGUGUCAUCCCUAUAUAAACAUAGGGAUGAAGUCAGAAGUUUAUUUUUGGGUCAAAAUUCAAUUAUAAAAUUUUAAAAGGAUGAAAGUAUAAUUUUAUUUUUGUAUAUACUUAUUAAUUUAGAAUUUCAAAAGGACUAAGGUGGGACAUUUUUAUCUCUAGAGGGUCAAAAUGUAUUUUAUCAUUAACUUAUAAUUUUAAAAGAGCUUCAAGAAAAUCUAAAAUAAUAAUAAUUUUCCGUGCGGCCCGUCCCUGUAUAGACAGGGUGUAUAUAUAUACCGACGAUUUCAAACGUUUUUCACGUUUUGUCACCUUUCCAAGAAUGAUCCACGUGAAAAUUUGUUGCAUGAAAUCAUGUGAAUCCGUCUGCAACCAUAAAAUUUUACGAUUAUUUGCACUAAAAAAACCAAAUAAAAAUUGUGGAUAAAACACCACGUUAUCCAGAAUACUGAUUUGUUCAACGUUUUCUUUUUCCUUCCUUUUGCACAUGAAUAAUGACAAAGGAUCCAACCCCAUCGAUUUUCGCUACAAAUUCCAUGCUUUCUUAGUUUAAUCAUCAUCACACAAUCAAGUCAAGCUAUUUAGCUAUGGCUUCCACUGCCAAUUUCCCAUCAACUUUCAUCACUCUUCCCAAUUUCUCCAAAACAUGUCGAGGUUCCAUAUUUAGGAAGAAAAAGCUUUUCAACUUUGUUUCCAAGAAAGUAGUGUCGUGCAAAGCCAACAAUGCAGACUCCUCUCUCAAUAGGUUCGAUAGGAGGGAUAUCCUUCUAGGCCUUGGAGGAAGUUUUUAUGGUGCAACCAACCUUCUUGGUGGUGACCCAUUUGCAUUGGCAGCCCCAAUAGCCGCCCCUGACCUGUCUCAAUGUGCGGAAGCAACGGUUCAAAAGACGGGUCUUCCCACCAUGGGUGUCGCCUGCUGCCCACCAGUAUCAACAACUAUCAUAGAUUUCAAACCACCUUCCGUUCGUAAAAUACGGUAUAGGCCUGCAGCACAUUUAGUUUUUUCGAAUCGAGUUGAGUGAGAUGGAAUUCGAAUCGAAUCGAAUCGAAUCGAAUAUAUUUGUUCGAGUUAAAUUUUAAAAAAUAAUUUUGGGUCCUUGUAACCACUGUCACCCAUCCUAAUAAAAUUUGUCCACCUUAAUCAAAUUUUUUAUUAACUUUCAUCACCUCAUAAUUUAUUUAUUAAUUUUUUAUAUAUUAGUUAGCUUCUCUGCUUGCUUAGUUGUUUCAAUUAUCUUCAAAUUCUUGUCACGAUGUAUUUUGGAAUUAAAAAAAUAUAUUGAAUGUAAAAAUAUAAUUUUUUUUAAUAAAAGUUAUUUUAAAAAUAAAAUUUGAAAUUGAUACCAAUAUAAAAUUUUAAUACGAAUAUUUUAUGGCAUAAUUAAUAAUUCAAUUUUAAUAUAAAUAUUCAAUAUGACUAAACAAUUCAAUAAUAUAAAUAAUAUAAAAUGUGAAAUUUAAUUAUUAAUAUAAAUAGUAGAUAUAAAUAAAAAUUAUUACUAUUUAUGUUUAGUGAUUUUUUUUUGGAUAAUUUGAUUUUUUUAUUUGAGAGUAAAGGGUGAGAAGUAAAAGUGUAGGGGAAAAUAAAAGUUUGGGGAAUAAAAGUUUGAGGGAAAGUAAAUAGGGGGAGUAAAAUUUAGGAGGGAAAUAUUAAAAAAAAUUGGAGAGGGAGGGUUUGGGGUAGAUGGGAGGUGGGAUGGGAAGGGAAUAAAGUUUUAGGGAACCCGUGCGAGGUUGAGGUAACAAUUUUGGGGAAAAUACAAGGUUUGAGGGUUUUGGGGAGUACAAUUUGAGACCAUUAAUGGGCGCGUAAACCUUUUGGUGGGACACGGCUUUUGGGUCGCUUGCGAGGGUUGGGCGGGCGGCGCGUCCAGUUUUGGGGGGCACGUGGGAAGGCGUCACAGUUUUGCGGCCACGUCCCCACACGUUUGGGCGUUUGGGGUACACUGUACCCUUUCUCAUUUGAUCUUCGCCUUUUUGCGUUAUUCGAAUUCCACCCACUCAACUCGUUCGACACUCGAAUUUGCACACACCCCUUCGGUUGACUUUGAAUACUCGAUUAACUCGCCUACUCGAUUCGUUUAACUCGCAAUUCGACUUCUUUUGCUUUUUUCGAGUCGAAUCGAGUUUGUCUCACCCUACCUGGGACAAAGCUUCUAGAAAAAGGAUUAAAAUGUGAAGUACAGAUGAGGAGUGCAUGCUCGCUUAAAAUAAGAAGGGUGAAUUAAUUGUCCAAGUUGAUAUGACGCCGAACCGUUUGUUUACUCAUUGACAUUGAAUCUGGAGAGUGAAAUGUAUGAAGAACGCAAUUAAAAAAGGUAUCAUGGUUAAUGGCAUUUAAGGUUCGGGAAUCUUGGAUUUUCUGGUCCGAAGCUAUUGUUAAAAGAAAAUAUGGUUAACGGGCUGCAGAACUUAAUCCUCCUGAUCAACUGUGUGAAGCCUGCAUUAAAGGAAAACAACACAGACAGAGUUUUGAAGUCGAAAAAAUUCGACGAGCUAGGAGACUAUUGGAGAUCGUGCACUCUGACAUAGCAGGCCCUUUUAAUAUACCAUCACUUGGUGGAAACAGGUACUAUGUUACUUUUAUUGAUGAUUUUAGCGGAAAAAGUUGGAUAUAUCUUCUUAAAACAAAAUCAAAAGCAUUUGACAAGUUUAUCAAGUUCAAAGCCCUGGUAGAAAAACAAAGUGGACAUUUCAUUAAGAUACUCAGAACUGAUAGAGGUGAUUAGUAUACUUCAAAGCUAAUUGAAAGCUUCUGCAAGGAGCACGAAAUUAUUCACCAGUUGACAACUACGUACACGCCACAACAAAAUGGAGUCACUGAAAGAAAGAACUGCAUUAUUCUUGAUAUGGCAAGAAGCAUGGUUAAAUGUAAGCAUUUACCAAGAACUUUCUAGGCUGAUGCUGUUCAAUGUGCUGUUUAUUUGUUGAAACAGCGUCCAACAAAAAGUGCGAAAUACAAGACGCCAAACGAAGCUUGGAGCAAUCAGAAGCCAAGAAUCGAACAUUUUAAGAUUUUUGGAUGCAUCGUAUAUGCUUAUGUUACUGACCAGAUGAGAAAGAAGGUUGACACUAAAUGAGUAAAAUGUAUUUUCAUUGGUUAUGAAAAGAGAAGCGAGACAAAUAGGUUAUACAACACUCUCACUAAGAAAGUUAUUAUUUCAAGAGAUGUUGAAUUCGAUGAAGCUGAUUACUAGAGAUGGAGCGAAAAAGAGAGGAAAAUUGAAAGAUUAAUUUUCAGUGAUCACAAAGACGGCGACUUUAUUAAUCAAGAACAAGGAAACGAUCAAAGCCCUCCUCCAAGUCCUGUUGCAACAACUCUUACAACAUCAUCAUCACCAACCAGCAGCAGUACCAGCAACUUAGAGGAAGCACCUGCAAGAAUGCAUAGUUUACGCGAUAUUUAUGAUGUUACAGAACCCAUAGAAACAACACUCGAUUAUUCAUUAUUCUAUAUAAUGACAGAAUAUGAUCCAAUAACAUAUAAAGAUGCAAUUGAAGAUGUUAGAUGGAAAAAGGCAAUGGAUGAAGAAAUUACAGCGAUAAGAAGAAAUGACAUAUGGGAGCUAACAAGUCUACUAGAAGGACAUAGUCCAAUUGGAAUCAAAUGGGUGUACAAGACGAAGACCAACAAAGAAGGAAAAAUGGAGAAAUACAAAGCAAGACUAGUUGCAAAAGGCUACAAGCAAAGAUACGGUGUGGAAUAUGAUGAAGUAAUUACUUCGGUCGCCAGAAUUGAUACUAUAAGACUUCUCAUGGCAAUUGCAGCAUAAAAUAAAUGGAAAAUUUAAUCAGAUGAACGUGAAGUCAGCAUUCCUUAAUGACUACCUGGAAGAAGAAGUCUACAUUGAACAACCACCUGGAUAUAGCAAACAAGGACAAGAAGACAAAGUUUAUCACUUGAAGAAAUCUUUAUAUAGACUGAAGCAAGCCCUGAGAGCAUAGAACACAAGAAUAGAUGAAUACUUUUAGAAGAACGGGUUCAUGAAAAGCCCAUACGAGCAUGCUCUAUAUACGAAGAAAAAUAAAGUUGGUGACAUCAUGAUCGUGUGCUUAUAUGUGGAUGAUAUGAUUUUCAUAGGAAACAAUCCAGGUAUAUUCAAUGACUUUAAGAAAGUUAUGACUAAAGAUUUUGAAGUGACAGGUGAAAUGUCAUACUUUCUUGGAGUCGAAGUGAACCAAAUGAAAGAUGGAACAUUUGUGUCUCAAAAAAAGUAUGCGGAACAUAUUUUAAGAAAAUUCAGAAUGAAAGAUUGCAAGCCAGUAGCCACGCCCGUAGAACCAGGCAUGAAAUUAAGUGUUGGUUCAUCCAGAGAGUCAGUAAAUCCAACAUUGUUUAAAAGUAUCAUUGGAAGUUUAAGGUACUUGACUAUCACACGGCCAUACAUCAUGUACGUAGUGGGAAUAGUUAGCAAAUACAUGGAGAAGCCAAAACAAGAUCACCUGAUUGCAGCAAAGAAAAUUUUGAGACACAUCACAGGUAUGAUGGAUCAUGGUUUAUUUUAUACACACUCACAAAGUUCAAAAUUGGUUGGUUAUUUAGAUAGUGAUUAUGGUGGUGACUUGGAUGAUCGCAAAAACACAUCCAGAUAUUUAUUCCAUAUUGGCUCCGCGGCAUUUUCAUGGUCAUCGAAAAAGUAACAAACAGUAGCCAUCUCAACAUGUGAGGCAAAAUUCAUGGAUGUUGCAACAUGCACGUCUCAAGCAAUUUGGUUAAAGAAUAUUUUAGGUGAAUUAACUAUUAUACAAGAAGGUCUAAUUACAAUUUAUGUUGACAACAAGUCCAUAAUAUCUCUUGUAAAGAAUUCAGUGUGUCAUAGUCGAAGCAAGCAUAUCGAUACAAAGUAUCAUUUUAUUCGAGAGCAAGUGAAAAAUAAAAAUGUAGAGUUAGCUUACUCCAAAUUAGAAGAUUAAUUGGCGAAUAUUUUUACGAAACCAUUGAAAGCGGACAUAUUCUAUAAACUCAAAGAAAAGCUUGGAAUGAAAAGUUCAAGGGGAAGUGUUAAAAAACAAACCGACUUUCAAAGUCGGCAUAAAAAUUGCAGCCAAAGAAUUUCUAUCCAAAAUGGCUUGAAAUUGAAUUGCAAAAGUGGCUGCCACUUUGUAAAUUGGCCAGCACAAAUGAUAAAGGAUAAUGAUGACAGCAGCUUGAAUAGUCUUAGACGGCAAGGCUUGAUAAAGUUUAAGUCGGUUUACUAUGCUUAUAAAUAUGUAAGUAGAGUCUUAUGAAAUUAAAAUUAAAUGAGUGUGUGUGAAAACGUUAGUGAGCUUGAGAGGAAAAAAAAGAAAGAAAGGUGUUGUGAUUUGUAUAAAAAGGAAAAACUAGCAGCAGCUAGUAUAGAGAGAAAAAAGAGUUUAUAUUUGUAUUGUGUUUAUUUGUGUGUAAUAAAAAAUUAGUAUUUGAGUUAUGUUUAUUACCGUUCCAACAUAUUAUAUGUUCUAGUGUUGAUGGCAUUGGCAACUGAUGUUGUGUCCAAGAAGCUUGACGUCGUGCUCAUGACAUUGGCUGCUGUUUGUAGGCUCUAAUAUAAUGUUUCAAUGGAAAUGCCCCUAGUCCUGUAAUCAACAGAUGGUGCUAUACCCCUUAGAGUACUAUGGGGUCCAAUUUGUUCUUUACUUUUAUCAAUCAGACCACCACUGUGGCAGGAAUCAGAAACGAUUGUGAAGCUUAAUUAAUCUACUUGGUACUUGCUGAAUCAAGUGCCCCAAGUCGACGUCUGCGCAACCAUCGCAACCACCAUAUGAUAUGAAAAAUAGUUCGCUUCGAUUGAGGGUGUUUCAAUACUUUGAUAUAUUUGACCUCUAAUAAGAAAUCAACAUAUGGAGUGGGUGAUUAAUCCGAAUUGGGAGAAGGACAGGUGUUGUGAUGGACAAAGAGGAAGACAAGGUGGUUUCCAACAGAAGCAAGAAAGCUCUAGCAAAAGGCAGCUAGGUAUUCCUUUUCAGACGAAGAAGAUAAAAAUAUAGAACAUAUAGGGUGGUGGUCGAAGAUAAAUGAUUAUAACAACACUGAUAUGAUCUGCUUCGCCUUCGUCCAUCACCUCAUCUUUAUGUUUUUAUCUUGGUCGUGACUCACGUUGGCCUUCGUCUGCAAGUGCUGUCGGUCCUACAAUCGUGAUUCUGUUGCCUAGCCUUUGAUUUCUAUAGUUUUUAGAGGUGUUGAAUUAAAAUUUUAUUAUUUUUUGGAAAAAUUGUAAUUUUAUAAUGUUUAAUUUAUAAUUUCGUAGACUUUGAUCAAAAUAACAAUUUUUUAUUUUAUGGGGUAUAAAGAGUAAUUUUCAUUUUAAGGGGUCAUGACUAUAUCUGAUUAUGGACGACUACUUGAACAUUUGCCUAAAAAGUGAAAGGAUUUAGAUAAAAAUAUAGGCCUGAAAAAAAGACUUAGACAAAAAAUAAGACCCGUUUCUACACGAGUCGAGCCUUGAGUAAGAUUUUUCUGUUUGAGCUUAGCCUGACCCAGAUUUGCUUAAAAAGAAUUUAUUGGUGCUAUUUAAUGUUGUUUUGUUAUCAUUUUACUAUUAUUUUGGUGUUAUUAUCUGGAUAUUGUAUAACUUUGUUUUAUUAUUAAUUUUGCUACUAUUUUAGAGAUAUUUACUGGCUAAUUGCAACUACCUUAUGCUAUUUAAAUAUAAUAUUUUAAUUGGUUAGAAAAUAUUUAUUUUAAUAUUUUUAGUGUAUUUAUAUUUUUAAAUAAAAAAUAAUAUAAAAAAUUUAAUACGGGCGAGCCAGGUCGAGCUCAAGUUUAGCAAUUUUACCUAAGCUAGGCUUGGACAAAAUUUUAGAUUCAUUUUUCAAGUCAACUUGGUCCAUGAUCAGGUCUAGCCAUGAGCCCUACCUGCUCUAGUCAUUGCCUCUAGCAACGAGAUUAAUUCCAAUGAGAUUGAAAAUAGUGAUAGUGAUGAGAUUAAAAUCAAUAAUGAGAUGUGUUAACAAAUAUAUUUCUUUAUACACCUAAAUAAUGUAAACAAAAUAUUAAAUACUAUUUGCAAGUAACGAAAUAAAACAAAUAUUAUAAAUAAAAACAUUAAAUUAAAUUUGUUAACAGUUCUCCCAAGGUAAACAUUUUCAAUCACUCUAUGAAUGCCUCGAGCUUCUGGAACCUGCAUUCCAAACCUCCUCACCUAAUGAAUCCACUAUAAACACCUUGUUGAUUGGCUCAUAGUGAUGGAUAGGAGUGAGUAAAACUCGAUUGAUUUAGAAAAAUUAAAUUUCGAGUUAAUUGAAUUUAGUUAUUCGAGUUAUUUAAUUUGUUUUUAGUAAACUAGGAUAAGUAAUUCUAGUUUUGGAUUGAAGUCGGGUUAAAUUUUACAAUUUGAAUAACUCAAAUAGUAGAGUGGUGUAAAUACACUUUUGGCCCCUGUCAAUUUUGAAAAUGAGCAAAUUGAUCUCUCUCUCAACAAAAAUUACAAAAAAAUUCCAAAUGUUUAUAAAAAUUAAAAAAAAUCUAAAGAAUAUAUAAAAAAUUAAAAAAGAUUCUUAAAUAAUCAUUUUUGAGACCUAAAUAAGUAAAUUAAUUAUUCAAGUUUUUCAUACUGAAGUAUCUUUAUUUUCUCUUAUUUUUCUUUGAAUGAAUUUUCAAAAAUAUCUAAUUUUAAAUUUAUGUAAUGUAAUAUAGAAUUUAUUAUAUUGUAAAAAAAAUAAUUUUUUCACUCUAUUGGAACAAAUACACAUCCUUACUGGUUGAAAUUUAUCCGCAUAUAUCUUUUGUCUCUAACCGAAAAGGAUCUCUUCCAAAUUAAAGAUCUUGAAUUGGAGCGUGUCAUAUUUACCACAGACCGCUCCUAAUGCAUUCGGACACCCUGAGUUUCACAAUCUGGAACCUCCCUUAACCUUACUUAUAAAAUUAAAAAAAACUCUAAAUAAGACAAUAAAAACUUUUAUUUAUUUAUACACUAGAAUUUCACACAUAACAAACGCAGAGAUGCAUAAGAAAACAGCUGUAGGUAGAUAUAAGUCAACAGGCUGUCAAACUUAUUCUAGUAGUAGUGCAAAACAUAAGCACGUUAUUAUUGACGACACUGACAGCCUGAGCACCAGCAUUUUGAUCAGAAAUUUAAGCAAAGCCACCCAAGAAAAGUGUGUUUGUAUUCUCAUCACUGCAAUAAAGGCAAGGGUUCUGCUCGAAUCCAUUGUUCUUCAAAAUCUUGGCAGCCUCAACCACAAGGUUUCUGUUGCUUAUUCCAGCACCCCAGUGCUGAUUGAUUACGUUAACCACAGCAUCGGUGAACGCCCCAAAGGCUUUAUUCUCCAAGACCAGGUCAUAUGAUGUCUCAUUGGCUUCACACCCACUUAAUAAAAUCCCUUCAUCCUCCUCCAGUGGAUCCAACACCAUUAACCCAUCUACGUAGUGAGGAUGGAAUUUGAGACUCACAUCUUUCCCGAAGAUUCCGAAAAUCUUUUGGCCAACAUUUGCUGCGUCGUGUAGGAUGCCUGCUGCUGUAUCUAUCGCACUAUGUAUGAUAUCAAAAGUAAGACUCUUAGCCUUAGCCUUAGACGGUUUAGGCUUGUCGGUAUUUACUGUUGUCGUCAUAUGCUGACCACCAAAUUGUUCUUUCUCUUUUUCAAUGAGACCCCCACUGUGGCACGAAUCUGAUAGGAUUGUGAAGCUUGCUCCUUCUGGUAGCCGGUUAACUAAACGUCUGAAGUCCACAUCUGCAGAAACCAUGUAUAUAUAGGGUAUGAAUAUAUGUUGCUAAAAUAAAUAUAUAAAUUCAAACAAAAACCUACCGGUGACAAGAUUUAAAUCACAAGCCACGAUUGCUUCAUCUUGCUUGAAAGGCUGGCCAGGUUGAAAGAUUGGAAUGCGCGUUCCAUGUCCACUGAAGUAGAAAAAUAGGAUAUCUCCUGCUUUAGCCUUGUUCACCAUUCUAUUAAGUGCAUCCUUAAUGUUUGCACCCGUAGGCAGAACCGGCGACCCUGGCGCAUCGGUGAGGACAUUAACAUCGCUUUCCUUAAACCCAAUGUUCAGGAGGACACCACUUAUGGCGUUCACAUCAUUGAUGCAUCCAUGCAAGCUGAAUUGGGUCUUGGGGUAGUUGCAUCCCACCAGAACUGCUCUCUUCGUACCCUUACUCAUCUUGCUUCGCUAAUUUGACUAUUUUGUGUUGCUUGUACCGUUGAAUUAAUGUGCUUCCACUGUCUCACAAAGAACCUAUAUAUAUACACACUAAUUUACAGCACGUGUACUGACCAUAAAGAUGACGACAUGUAGGUAGGUAGGUAGGUAGGCAGGUACAACACUUUUGUUUGUCUUUUGUAUUUUGGAAAAUGCAUGCGAAAUCCAUGCAUAUGCAAACAUUUUGUGCAAGGAACUUGCAUAUCAGUACUGCACAAAAGAGUGACUCUGGAGUUAUGGAAUUAUUUGAUAAUAUUGAAUAUGAAAUAAAUUAAAAUAAAAGAGUGGGUGAUUAAUCCGAAUUGGGAGGAGGACAGGUGUUGUGAUGGACAAAGUGUAAGACAAGGUGGUUUCCUACUGAAGCAAUAAAGCUCUAGCAAAAGGCAGCUAGGUAUUCCUUUUUCAGACAGAGACGAUAAAGGAUAGAAAAUAUAGGGUGGUGGUCGAAGAUAAAUGAUUAUAACAGCACUGAUAUGAUCUGCUUCGCCUUCGUCCACCACCUCAUCUUUAUGUUUUUAUCUUGGUCGUGACUCACGUUGGCCGUCGUCUGCAAGUGCUGUCGGUCCUACUAUCGUGAUUGUGUUACCUGGCUUCUGAUUUCUAUGUAUUAGGGUCUAUUUGAAUGUGAGGUUGGUGUAGGGGUGAGGUUACAAAAUUGAUUUUAAGGGUUAAAAGUUAAAUUAUGUAUCUAUAUAGAUUAAAGAAUUGUUAAAUCAAAAUUUUAUAUUUUUUUGGAAUAAAUUGUAAUUAUACAAAGUUUAACUUAUAAUUUUAUUGAUUUUAGCGAGAUUUAAAUAAUAGUUUUCUAUUUUAGUGGUAUAAAGAGUAAAUUUUAUUUUAAGGGCACAAUUAGACUUGAUUAUGAGUUUGGUCACCCUCCAAGCCUAAUGGCCCUCUUGAAAAAUGAGAGUUUGGGCAAAAUAUAGGUCCGAAAAAUAGGCUUGGACAAAAAAUAAUGCCUAUUUUCCAAAUGGGCCGAGCCUCAGGUAAGAUUUUUUUGCUCGGGUCCAACCUGACUUGAAUUUGCUUAAAAAAUUUUCCUUCCUAUUGUUAAUUGUUGUUUUGCUAUUAUAUUGUUACUUAUUUGUUAUUACUGUUUGGAUAUUGUAUAACUAUUGUUUUAUUGUUAAUUUUGUUACUAUUUUAGAGACAUUUGCUUGCUAAGUUACAACUAUCUUAAUGUUAUUUAAGUAUAAACACUUUUUUUAAUGUAUUUUCAAUUUGUUGGGAAACAUUUAUUUUAAUAUUUUUAAUGUAUUUGAUGUAUUAUAUUUUUUAAAAUAAUAAAUAGUAAAAAAUAUUUUAAUAUAGGCAGGUCGGGCCAUGCUCAAGUUUGGCAUUGUUUUAUCUAGGUCGGGCUUGAACAAAGUUUUAGGCCCAUUUUUGGUUCGGGCAGGGCCUGAGCCUAGAAAAUAGGCCUAAAAUCCCAACUCGAUUGAGCCCAUGAUCUAGUCUAGCCACGACCCCUACCUGCUCUGGUCACCGCCUUUGGAGACAAGAUUAAUUCUUGUGAGAUUGAAAAAAGCGAUGGCGAUAAGACUAAUUACUAUAGCAGUGAGAUUAGUUACUACGGUGAUGAUAUUAAAAUUAGUGGUGAGAUGUGUGUUAGGAUUCAAACAAAGCAAUGGCAAAAAGAUAGAUUUUGGAUUUAUAGUAAGAAAGCAAAAUGACUAUUAUGGACAAAGUAGUUUACACCUUUUCGUAUAUUUUUCUAUGAUUAUUAUUUUAAUGAUAAAAACGUCAUAUUUAAUAUUUUAUUUAAAUAAAUCGUGCAUAUUACUUAACAUAAAUUUAAAAUUUCUAACUAUUUGUUUUAUUUAAGAAUACUUUUAAUUGUUGAAUAAAUAUUAAUAUAUAUAACAUUUUAGAUCGCUAUGACAAAAAUAUCGAAUCAUUUUAAAAUUUUGCAUGUAUGAAAAGUACAAUAAUAUUGAUAAAUUUAAAGGUUGGUGUCACAUCUCAAAAACAGGAUUAAGAAAAAUUGGAUUAGUGAAACCAAUAAUGGUCUUGUUCUGUUUUGAUUUGGGAUUGUGAAAAUUAUAUUAAGUGAAUUAAUUUAACUUAAUGAAUAAGUAAUUUAUUUGUGUGUUGAGGUCUUGUGCUCAAAUUCUUUUCUUUAAAUUUUUAUUAAUUUUUGUUUCAACCUUUGAUUUUGAACACCUAACUUAUAUGUUAUUUUUGCUGAACUAAUAAUAAGGAUGAGCCUGGGGUUCAUCGGCAAGGUUUCAACAUAUGGUCCUGUACUGUUUGAAUAUUGUAUCAACAAAGUUGAAUUUUUUUUUGUUUUAUUUUAAACUUUGGGAAAUUUUCUUAGGGUUAAUUAAUAGAUUUAGUGGUUGGUUUUAAUAAUAAUAAUAAUAAUAUUGAGAUUUUGGGCCAGUUCUUUAUUGUUUUUGAAAAUUACUUUUGAAAAGUAUUGUGGAGAAGUGCUUUUGAAAAUUUUGAGUGUUUAGUAUUGCUGUCAAAAAAUACUUUUGAAAAAUAAAAUGUCCAUUUUAGACAUGAUAUUAUAAAGUAACAAAUAUGUAUUUAAAUAAUGUUCAAAUUAAAUAAUAUUAUGAUAUUUUAGCAAAAAUAUAAUAAAUAAUUUAUUGUUAAUAUUUUAAUAUAUAAUAUUAAUUUUAAAUAUUUCUAAGUAAUUAAUAUUAAUUAUUUAUUAAAUUUAAUUAGAAUGUAUAAACUAUAUUUAAAUAUUUAAAUAUAAUAAUUAAAUAUUUGUAAUUAGACAUAUUAUUUUAAAUUUUUUUAUUUUUAACUAGUACUUUUAACACAUUUGUAUUAUUUUUAUUUUAAAAUGUAUUUGAAUAUAUAACUCAUAUUAGAUAUUAACAUAACAUAGAAAAUAUAAACCUAACAAAUUAAAAUAUUACAUAUAUUUAGAUUAAAGUUUUAAAAAGGGAUAAUAUUUAUAUACCAAAUAUAAAUACUAAAAAUUUUACAAUAGCAUUUACAAUUUAAAGUGAAUUCAUUAAACUAGAAGCUAUAACAUCUCUUGUUAAUUUCAUUUCAAAACCACUUGUAUUGUUUGAUUCACCGUCAUCAUCAUCACUUUCUCGACCAUGUGCAUUUUUUGAAUCAAUAAUAUUCUCAUAUGCCCAGUUAAUAUCUUGAUAUUUAAUCCAGGGAAUUGUUUGAAGGCGCAAGGAGUGCCUACAGUCCAUCAGACAAAAAAUUUCAAAAUUUAAUCCAGUGAUCAAUCUAAUAUCACCAAAAAGAUAAUGAAAAACCAAUAGACAAUAAUUUCUCAAUACAUACAAUAAUUUCAUAUUUAUAAAUAAUUUCUCAACGGUAGAUUUAGUGGUUGGUUUUAAUAAUAAUAAUAAUAAUAAUAAUAAUAAUAAUAAUAAUAAUAUAUUAGAUAUUGAGAUUUUGGGCCAGUUCUUCAUUAUUUUUGAAAAGUGCUUUUGAAAAGUGUUCUGGAGAAGUGCUUUUGAAAAAUUUGAGUGUUUGGUAUUGGUAUUACUGUCAAAAAAUAACACAAAAAAGAUAAUGAAAAAUCAAUAGACAAUAAUUUCUCAAUACAUACAAAUAGACGGUUGACUCCAGAAUAAAGUUAUCUCAAGGAGUCACAUACUUUUGCUACAAUAUCAGCACCAAUCUGUUCAUCUAAGUCUUCCAUUGAAUUCUUUAUUGUGUGAAUCUACUCUGACAAGUGUAUAUAAGUUGCACCACCACCAGGUACUAUCCCUUCAUCCAUGGCAGCACAUGCAACAUUCUUUGCAUCUUCAAUUCUUAGUUUACGGUCUUCAAGUUCCAUCUCAGUAUGCACUCCUACCUACAGUUGUGAUGCAAAGUUCUUAACAAUUUGAAGCAGAAAAAGAUGUGGGUAUGGUAAAACAUUGAGUUAUGCAUUUCAAUUUCAGUAUACACUGCGUCAUGAUUGCAAACCUUAAUGACUGCCACACCACCAGGGAGUUUAGCAAUUCUUUAUGAGAGCCUUUUUGACAAGUAUGUCUUGAGAGUUAACCAAGUCAAACUAGACUUGUUAUCACUCCUAUUCUUUAGGAUCUUAUUCUACUUAAAAUUCAAAUUCAAAUUGUGAAUAGCUGUAGAUAACACUCUGAUGUAAUCUUGUAUAUAUUUGCUAUCAAUAGUCGAAUACAAUUGAGCUGAAUUUACAAACCAAAAUCACUAUCUUUCAUGGUAUCAGACUGCCAGUAAAAAGGUUUCAAUCACCGCCUCCUCUCCUUUUUUUUUUCCUCAUGGCCAAUUCGACUGUUUCCUCUCCACCUUUCAUGCCAAAUCAAAUCACCAUCAAGCUUACUCCCUCUAAUUACCUCCUGUGGAAAACACAAAUGACCCCUCUCUUAUAUAGCCAAAAACUCAUGCAUCAUGUCGACGGCACAGCAGCUCCUCCCAAGACCAUUGACAAUGCUCCUAACCCGGCCUAUGAGCCCUGGUUUCUUAAGGACCAAAUGGUUAUUAGCUGGAUCCUUGGCUCGUUGUCUGAGUCAGUGCUAUCUCAGGUAGUCGGAGCCAUUACCGCAUUCGCAGCUUGGACAAAGCUGCAUCAAACUUUUGCUUCCGAAUCUCGGGCUCAAAUCUGGACCCUUAAAGGCUCUCUUCAUGCCUUAUCUUGUGGCGAUGAUUCAAUCGUCAUAUACAUGGAUCGUGUGAAAUGGAUUUUUGAUCAACUCGGGGCUCUAAAUGCGGCUAUUUUUGAAGACGAUCUUGUCGAUCAUAUUUUACGAGGACUUGGUACCGAUUAUCGACCAUUCGUUCGCAAUCUAGAGGCAAAACUACAGUCAACAUCCUUUGAUGAUUUGUUUGGCUUAUUACUUUCUGAGGAAUUACAAUUGAAAGCUGUUCAAGAGCCUCUUCAUCUUACUGCCGUUGCCCACUUUGUCGGUCGGCAGCCUUCUGCUUUCGCUAAUCGUGGACGGGGUCAUAAUAGUAAGCACAAUGGCAAUUAUUCCAGUCGUGGCCGAGCUGCCUCCCCGCCCAAGGAUCCAACAUGUUACAACUGCAAGGGACGUGGCCACACAAGUCGUCAGUGUCCUAGCCCAAGAUAUGCCGAGUCCUACCCCAAACCCUCAGCAAACUAUAGCUUGUCUCCUUAAACAAAUCCCAAGCCAUGGAUCGUUGAUACCGGUGCCACUCAUCAUUUGACAUCUGAAUUGGGAAACCUGGGCAUUCAUUCUGAGUACACUAGUUCCGAUGAAGUCACUUUCACCAAUGGUAAAACCUUACCUAUCUCUCAUGUUGGCUCGUCUGUCUUAACUCUUAAUUCUCAUCCUUUCAAAUUGUCUAAUAUUCUUUAUGUUCCUGAGGCUAACCUAAAUUUAUUGUCUGCUCCUCAGUUUACACUCACUAAUGAUGUCUCUGUUGAAUUUUUCCAUGAUUAUUUUGUGGUUAAGGAUCGACGGACGAAGCAAAAUCUGCAUAGAGGGUACAUCGAGAAUGGUUUAUAUCGCCUAGCCACUGAUCCAGUAUCUCCUGCUUGUCAUUCAGUUUCGUUGUCUACAUGGCAUGCUAGACUAAGCCAUGCUUGCUCAAACACUGUCAAUAAAGUUCUUAGUUUCAAUAAAUUGUCUGCUUCUAAUAAGCAUGAUUCAUCUCUUUGUGAAACUUGCUGUGUUAGUAAAUCACACAAAUUGUCUUUUUCGGAUUCUACUUAUGAAGCAAAGCAACCGUUAGAGUUAGUUUGUUCAAAUUUGUGGGGUCCUUCUCCAAUUGCUUCUAGUGAUGGUUUUCUAUAUUAUGUGGUGUUUUUUUAUCAUUAUAACAAAUAUACUUGGAUCUAUUUUCUUCUUCGUAAAUCGGAUGUUUAUAAUUGUUUCAUUCAAUUUCAUGCUAUUGUUGAGAAAUACUUUGGUUUACCUAUUAAGCAGUUCCAAUCCGAUUGGGGUGAGGAAUUCCAAGCCCUUGAAAAAUAUUUGGCCUCUGAAGCUAUAAUCCAACGCAGCUCUUGUCCCCAUACCCUUGAACAAAAUGGCUGCGCUGAAAGAAAACACCGUCAUAUAACCGAAACUGGUCGCGCCUUGUUACAUCAUGCCUCUGUCCCUCCCAAAUUUUGGGAUCAUGCCUUUGUUGUUGCUGUAUACACUAUCAACCGUCUCCCAACUCCAAAAUUACACCAUAAAUCACCCUACCAAGCCCUUUUUCAUCGUGACCCUGAUUACAAGUCAUUGAGAAUUUUCGGUUGUUGUUGCUAUCCCUGGUUGCGUCCAUACACCAAAAAUAAGCUUGAGCCUAGGUCUGCCAAAUGUGUUUUUCUUGGUUACAGUGUUCUUCACAAAGGUUAUAAAUGUUUAUCUUUGUCCACCAAUAAAGUGUUUUACUCACGCCAUGUUAUUUUUGAUGAACAGGUUUUUUCAUUCAAGUCAAGUGAUGGGCACGUAUCGGUUCUCGGUCCUCCACCUUCCCCGACAACCAUUUUUUCUCUUGGCCAUCGCUCCGAUUCUAAUCCAUUACCUGCCGUCCCACUACCUACAGCCCUAUGCCCCAACCAGCAGCUCCCUACUGUCCCAAGUACCCCCCACCGACUGCCGAUCAAUCUCUUGCCAUCACUACCGUGUCCUCCCAACCUGCUCCCAUUGUUCCCAAUGACCCUAUCACAUUCCCGAUAGGUUCUAGCAGUCCCAAUGCUUCUCCUACCACUGCUCAGGCACCUACCGUGCGUCAUUCAAUGACUUUACGCUCCCAUACUGGCUCACUUAAAUCAAAGGUUUUUCAUGCUGCUGCGUCCACUACACUGUCAGCCCCUUCGUCAUACAUUGAAGCAGCAAAACAGUAAGUAUGGCGUGCUGCAAUGGGAGAAGAAAUUGAUGCUCUUCUAUCAAACAGCACAUGGGAUCUUGUUCCUCGUUCUCGAGUUUCGAAUAUCAUUGGUUACAAGUGGGUAUACCGUGUAAAAACAAAAGCGGAUGGUUCCUUCGAUAGAUGUCGUGCGCGGUUGGUUGCAAAAGGGCUUCAUCAAAGACCAGGCCUUGAUUACGUUGAGACUUUCAGCUCUGUAAUAAAGCCGGCCACCAUAAGGUUAAUUCUUUCCAUUGCCGUCAAUCGUCAUUAGCCCAUUCGGCAACUUGAUGUUUCGAAUGCCUUUCUUCACGGGAUUCUUGAUGAAACUGUUUUUAUGGAACAACCACAGGGAUUUGUUGAUCAUUCUAAACUUGAUUUUGUAUGUGCUCUAAAGAAAUCGUUAUAUGGUUUAAAGUAGGCGCCACGAGCUUGGUAUUUUUGCCUUUCGAAUGCACUACAACAGCUUGGUUUUCACAGUUCCAAGGCUGACAGUUCGCUGUUUAUAUAUUCAGGUAAUGACGAGUAUGCAUAUUGCUUGGUCUAUGUUGAUGAUUUGGUGUUGACAGGAUCAUCCUUUUCGUUGUUACAACGGUUUAUUGCUCAACUUGGGAAGGUUGUUGCGCUCAAGGAUUUAGGACCGCUAUCCUAUUUCUUGGGUGUUGAAGUUGCGUGGUUCUCGAGUGGCUUGCAGCUCACUCAAUCCAAAUAUAUCAAAGAUUUACUCCAUCGUGCGAAUAUACAAGAUGCAUCGUCGGUUUCGACUCCUUCAACGCCGCAAGCCGACCUCACCGGCACUACUUCUUCUACCUUUGAUGAUCCUAAGCUUUAUCGACAGCUUGUUGGGUCUCUUCAAUAUUUGGCACUCACUCGCCCCGACAUAACCAUGGCAGUAAACAAAGCUCUGCACAAUUUAUGCAUUCUCCUUGCCUCCAUCAUUGGCAAGCCGUGAAACGGAUCCUACGUUACCUUCGCGGCACAAUUGAUCAUGGUCUCAUGCUUCGCUCUUCUCGCCAAGCUUCACUUGUUGCUUUUUCGGAUGCUGAUUGGGGUGGCGACAAGCUUGAUCGAAAGAGCACUUCUGCAUAUGUUGUCUUUCUUGGCUCCAAUCCGAUCUCUUGGAUUUCUCGUAAGCAAAAGACUAUCGCUCGUUCAAGCACGGAUUCGAAAUAUCGAGCUUUAGCAUCAGCUGCUUCGGAGGUUUAUUGGCUUCAGUGCCUUCUUCGGGAACUCAAUUACAAGCUUCCAACAACGCUGGAAGUAUGGUGCGAUAACGUUUCCGCUACCUAUCUAGCUGCGAAUCCCGUUUUUCAUUCUCGUAGUAAGUACCUUGAGUUGGACUUUCAUUUUGUCCGAGACCAAGUACGCUAGAAAAAUCUUCUCGUCUCCUAUGUUCCGACCAUUGAUCAAAUAGCCGAUGUCUUGACGAAACCUUUAUCGACAACUCGGUUUCUUACACUUCGAGACAAACUGAUGGUGACUUCCCCCAUCCGUUUGUGGGGGGCUGUUGAGAGUUAACCAAGUCAAACUAGACUUGUUAUCACUCCUAUUCUUUAGGAUCUUAUUCUACUUAAAAUUCAAAUUCAAAUUGUGAAUAGCUGUAGAUAAAUUGAUUUUAUUAUUAUGAGAGUUAACCCGGUUUGUGUAAGGGUCAGGUUAGAAAAUUGAUUUUAAGGGUUGAAGUUAAAUUAUGUAUCUAUAUAGUACUUAGAAGUGUUAAAUCAAAAUUUUAUUAUUCUUUUUUGAAAUAAAUUGUAAUUAUACAAUGUUUAACAUAUAAUUUAAUAGAUUUGUCUAAAUAGUAAUUUUUUAUUUUAGACGGUAUAAAGAGUAAUUUUUAUUUGAAGGGGCUACGAUUAGACCUGAUUAUGGGUUGGGUUAUUCUUUCAAACUCGAAGACCUGCCCAAAAAGCGGGAUUGUUUAAGCAAAAAUAUAGAUUUGAAAAAUAGGCUUGGACAAAAAAUAAUGUUUGUUUUCCAAACAGGUUGGGUCUCAGUUAAUAUUUUUUGCUCAGACCCGACCCUGCUCGAAUUUGCUUAAAAAAAAUUUCCUGCUGCUUUGCUACAAUUUUGCUAUUAUAUUGCUACUAUUUUAUUGUUAAUGUUUGAAAAUCGUAUAAGUUUGUUUUACUAUUAAUUUUGCUAUUAUUUUAGAGGCAUUUUCUUGCUAAGUUGCAACUAUCUUAUUGUUAUUCAAGUAUAAUUUUUUUAAAUGUAUUUUCAAUUUGUUGAAAAAUAUUUAUUUUUAUUUUUGUAGUGUAUUUGAUAUAUUAUAUUUUUUAAAUAAAAAUAAUAUAAAAAAAAGUUUAAUACGGGUGGGCUGAACCAGGCAUAGGUUUGGCAUUUUCUUAUCUGGACUGGGCUUGAUCAAAAUUUUAAGCUCCUUUUUCAAGUCAAGUUAGGCCCAAGCCUAGAAAAUGGGCCUAAAUUCCCAACUCGACUUAGCCCAUGAUCAAUUCUAGCCACGUCCCUAUUUGCUCUGGUCACUACUAGCGAUGAGAUUAAUUUCAAUGAUAUUAAAAAUAGCGGUGACGAUGACAUUAAAUACUAUAAUGGUGAGAUUAGUUACUAUAGUGAUAAGAUUAAAAUCAGUAGUGAAAUGAUUUUGGGAUUCAAACACAACAAGGACAGUAAGAUAGAUUAUAGAUUUAUAGUAAAAAUGCAAAAUGACCAUUAUGGACAUUAAACUAAAGUAGCUUACACCCUUCCAUAUGCUUUUGUACAAGUAAUAUUUUAAUGAUAAAAACGUCAUAUUUAAUAUUUCAUUUAUAUAAAUCAUGCAUAUCUUUAACAUAAAUUAAAAUUUUCUAACUAUUUAUUUUAUGCAUGAAUACUUUUAAUUGUUUAAUAAAUGUUAAUAUAUACAAUAUUUUAGAUCGAUAUCAUAGAAGUAUAGAAUCAAUUUGAAAAUUUAAAUGCAUGAAAAGUGCAAUAAUAUCGAAAAAUAUAUGAAAGCGUAUAAAUUUAAUUUAGUUUCACACUGGUGUAAGCAGAUCCCUCCCCUUUUAAUGUGCAAAAUUAAUUAUAUCAUUUAAAUUUAUGCAUUUAAUAUUAUUUAUAAAUAUAUUUGUUUAUACACCUAACUAAUGUAAAUAAAAUAUUAAAUACGAUUUGAAGUAAUGAAAUAAAACAAAUUUUAUAAAUAAAAAUAUUAAAAUUGUUGAAAAAUAUGGAAAACGUUGAAUGGGAUUAAGUAAGCAUUUCCAAUCACUCUGUGAAUGCCUCGAGCUUCUGGAACCUGCACUCUAAAAUUCAGACUAAUACAAAAUGUUACAUGAAAGAAGUUAAAAUCAUGAAAUAAGUACUUUUCAAAAUUCAGUAUUUACACUUGCCCAAUAAUAUAAAUAUAUUCAGCAUUUAAUUUUCUGUGACAUACAUAAAAUUUUAAUAAUACAAAUUCAGUAUUUUUCUUGGGUUUAUCAAACGAAAACUGAUUAACAAGGAGAUGUUAAUUGAAGUAGAUAAAAUUCAUUCCUAACAUCACUUGAAGAAGGUUACAUGGCAUCUCAGAAAAUGAAGGGUAAGCAUUCUGAAAAGGUUAGUUUCUUCAGAUACUUUCAAAAUACAAAUUUCAGACCAUAUCAUUCUGUGUACACAUGAAAGGCAUCAAAGUAGCAGUUGAACUUACGGGGAUCUUUAGGGGAAAGAAAGGAGAGAGAAGACCACAGACAAUGAAAUCCAUACAAGUAAAAAAAUGCACAACAUACUCCAUGAUCCAUGAUUUUAUGAGAAGACUCUUUUGAGGAGAACUUCCUAGGUCGACUUAGAAUAUAUGAAUGACAGUCUUCUAUAGAACUUCCUAAAUACAGUCAGUUUUAAAAUUCAAAAAAAGAAAAAAAGAAAAACCUUGAUUAAUUGUCAGUUAUGUCCUUUUCAACUAGCUGGUUACAUACUGCAUAUGAAUGCUGACAAACAUUACUUGCGCCCAUCAGCUUAUGCGAGAUUCUCCAGUGUUGUAUGAAGAGGUUCCUUGAAAUGAUUCCCUAGCAAAAUGGCAAUACAGUGGCAAAGGUGAUAUUUCCGACAUCACCUAGGUUAUUUUUAUUUGAUUUAUCUGUGAAGUUAUGGUUCUUUCUUUCUAAUAGAUUAUCUAUCAAGUUGAUUCAAGUAAUUAAGCUUAUUGGCUAGAAAUAAACAAAGAAUCUUGGAUUUCUAAAUUCUUAAUAAGAUCAACUAUAUUUGUUGAAGGAUUCGGUGUAUGCUAAAGUUGCACCAAAAUCCACAGCCAAAUACUCAAAAACUCUGUUUGUAUAUACUAUAUUGUCAUUCAAAAACUGUCAGUCAAUUGCUCAAAAACAAACCUUCUGAAAGUAGUGUUUGAUAUCUUUCAGCAAGGUAUCAAUAGUCUCAGAAAUGGACAGACAUACUUCGGUGCCACUGAAAACAAAUAAAUAAGAUCAUAAUGUUUUGUAUAACCUAAGAUCAGAGAAAUGUUUAAGUAUGGCGCAUAUACCUGAACUUUGCAUCAUUCUUAGGAAUUGAAGGUAGCCUAGUCAGCCUUCUGGCAGAAACACUUCCUCUAAGAUUUAAGUGAUAAUGAUAUAUCUUACAGUCUACAGAUUUACCUUGCAUGACCUAAUCAUUUUUAAAAGCUUAUUUAUGCUUUUGAUGAACUCAUUUGAAAGAAAACCAGCCAAAACCAUACCGUUUCAACUUCAAAAUGACAUGAUUUCAAUGCAUAUUUUCCAAUUUAGAAAUAGCUUCCUAUUUUUCUGAAAGAUCGCGUCACAAAAAAUCACAGUUAAUAAUUCUAAUUAUAGUUACGCAAAAAUUAAAGGAAGAAUGAAAAGCAUUCACUUGAAACUCGAACGAUUGGAGGAGAGCUAUUGAGAACGACUGAUAGUCGGCAAAGAUUUUCGGAUAAACGGCAUCUUUGAAUAGCAAAAGAAAUUAACUGACAAUACGAAAAACGAAAGGAAAUUAAAGAAAAAAGGAGAUUAGAGUGGAUUAACAUAUUAAUAUUUAGUUUUUUCCAAACCUAAGAUUGCUUAAGGUAUCUAUUAUUUGGUCCGUAAAAAUAUAUUGUGAAAAUUUUAUGGACUAAACACCAUUGUAAAUCACAUAUUCCAGUUUCGGUAAGUAAAGUUAAAAAAAUUUUAAAAAAAUUCAGAAGAACUGAAACAUCAAUGAAACCCCAAUUUUCUAAUUACCCAACCAGCAUAAGCUAGAAUUCAGAAGAAAAGAGAAAAUAAAUUACAGCAGAUCUAGAAAUUAAAGAAAAACACAAAAAUAAAAAGCCAAUAAGAAAUUUUUUUUAAAAAAAAAAAAAAAAAGAAAUGAAGAAGAGCUGUCUUACCUGAGACAAUGUCGAUUGAGACUAAGAAAAGACUAAUAUUUUCUUCAAUGUGAGGAGCAGCAAAAAUAGAAAAACAAUGGACGAGAUUUUGGGGUUUUCAAGCAAUGAAAAGAUUGAGAAAAAAAGGGACGGGAUUUUGGGGUUUCAAUCAAAGAAAAGUCUUGAAAAGAAAAGGGAAAUGUUUUGGGGGGUUUCUAGCAAAGAAAAGAUUGAGAAAGAAAAUAAUUCGUCCUUGGAGAUAAGGCAUAACUUGUAUCCAUGCGCUUCAUAUUCGCCUGGAGUUCGCUCCUAGAAAUAUAGCCAUCUCUACCCCUCACGUCAAUCCCACAAGCCUCUUAUCCAUUCUUAUUUGAUCACGGAGGGGAAGGCAAAAUAGAAAAACUCACAUUGGGUUUAGGGAUAAUCAGGCUCGAACUGAUGACUUCACCGCGUCAAGGUGAUAUCACUGAAAAACGGUUUGCAGUGUUUUUACCACAAAUGCCGUUAUUUCUUACUUUUGUGGUGUUUUUAUCAUAACCGCUGCUAUACUUUACCUAUUGCGCUAUUGUUUUAUCUAUUGCAGUGUUUUUUUGUUAGCGCCACUAGUGUAUAAUAUUUGCGGCGUUUUUUGUCUAAGUGCACUAAAAAAACCUUAAUUUCCUAUAGUGGAACCCUAUGUGAUGGCAUGAUGGUUAAGAGUAUUCAUCAUCCUAGGUGAUGUGUGGGUUCAAAUCGUGCUAAUUACGUUUGUCGUUCGAGCUUUGCCCUGUUAUUGUAAUUCACCAAAAAAGAAAAAGUUAAUAUUUUGUUUUCAGGGUUUUUAUAUUUGUUAAGAAAUACCAGUGACUAAAUGGCUUAGGUACAAUUAAACAAAGUUUAUAAUUUAUUGGGAUAUAUUUUAAAAUUAUAUAUAAAUAUUUAUUCAAUGUGUAAUUUAAUACGUAAAUUUUAAUUUUAUACAAUUAUAUAUAUGAUUUUUUUAUAUCAAAUUCCAUAUUAAACUAUUAGAAUUUACGUAGAUUCAAAAAUAAUAUUAUUUUUUUUGGCUCACAUGCAAUUUAUUUAGAUACGUUACGCAUACCUCACUCAAAAUUUUUAAAAAAAAAAUUAUGAAGGCAAGUUAUGUUUUUAUGGAUGUAAUUUAGUAAUACAAAUAUUUUAUUCUUUAGCUGAAAAAGAUAGGUUUUUUUUAUAAUUUAAUUAAAAUUUACGAUUAUCAUUCAAUUUAGUGUAGCUUUUAGAGAUGACAAUGGAGCGGGGUGAGAGUAAAUAAUUGUUAAAUUUAUUAUCGCUCCAUCAUUUACAUUCAUUCUCGACGCAACCCAACCCACUUUGCUCUACUUCAAUUUAUUUUUUGAUAUUUGUCAUUGAUAUUUUCAAUCUUUUUAAAGUUAUAUAUUAGGGUUAUGGUUCUUAAAUUAUACAUAAAGUAACUUUUUUAAUAUCCCAUCUUUAGAAAAAAAAAAGAGCCACCUUCUCUAAAUUGCUUUUGUGCUAAUUUGGAAGAUCAAAACUUCAAUGUCCGUAUAUUUCAAGAAAUCAAUGAAUUAAGGUAUACUUUCGAAUCUAGUUUUGUUCUUGAUGAUUUGACAUGAUAGAUUCUGAUUUACAGUUUUAAGUUCAUAUCAUAUUUUGUUUUACGGUUCUAAUAAGUGGCAUUCGAGCCUCGUCAUGUAGAAUCAUUCUACUUCUAGCUAGAGCUUCUUCUCAUUGAUUUUCUUUUCUUUUAUUAUUUCUUUUUUACUUUGUUUAAAUUUUAAUUUUUUUUAAAUUUUAAACUCUUUAUAUAUUUAUUUUAAAAAUAAAAUUAUCACGGAUGUAUAUAAAUACAACAUUACCUAGUGCUAUCUACUCAUUUAUAUUUUUCAAUUAAAUUUUUGUUUUUAUAAAUCUCUACAUGCUUACAUUACUUCAAUACAACACCAAAGGAACCAAAUGUCAAACACCGACACCUAUAAAUAAAAUUCUUGCAAAAGAAGCCGUUUUAUUUAUCAUAAAAUUAUAUAAGAAAUAGCCAUACAUGGCGAUUACAUAAGCUUGAAUGCCUUAAAACACACAGACAUACGAUAGUAAUAAGCAAACACACACACAGAGGAUAGUAAUAAGCAAACAGACACACAGACGCAGUAAUGAAGGCUAACUUCAACUUCGUAGUAGUGCACAUCGAUCGAGCACAUUAUUAUUUAGUUUAGAGUUUCGACCUCUAGUGAUCGAAAACCCUGGUUCAAAGCCGGCAGCUUACGCACCCGUAGUGGUGUUGGAUUGGUGGCCAAGAAAAGCUGCAUCAGCAUUCUCAUCACUGCAAUAAAGGCAGGGGUGCUGCUGUCCAAUUCCUAGGUUUAUUAUUCAUUCCUGCCCAUCACCACAAGCUGUCUAUUGGUUAAUGCACCAUUGCUCUCCUUGAUGACCUUCAGAACUGUAUAGGUAAAGGCCCCAAACGCCUUUCCUCCAGUUUUGUCACUCGCUGGCAUAUCAAUUGAAAGCUCAUUGGCUUGGCACCCACUUAACAGAAUUCCCUCAUCCUCCGUCAGCGACCUCAAAUUCAAAAUAUCACGUUCAUAAUGGGGUAGGAAUUUGAGACUCACAUUGUUCCCAAAGAUUGUGGUCAAAAGAGAGCCAAUACCCGUCAUAUUGUCUGUUCCAGUGUUGAUGGCAUUGGCAACUGCUGUUGUGUCCAAGAAGCUUUGUGUCGCGCUCACGACGUUGGCUGCUGUUUGUAGGCACUGGUAUAAGGUUUCAAUGGAAAUGCUCCUAGUCUUGUAAUCAACAGGUGGUGCUAUACCCCUUAAGAGUACUAUGGGGUCCAAUUUGUUCUUUACUUUUAUCAAUCAGACCACCACUGUGGCAGGAAUCCGAAAUCAUUGUGAAGCUUGAUCCACUUGGUAGUUGCUGAAUCAAUUGCCCCAAGUCCACGUCUGCACAACCAUGGCAACCACCAUAUGAUAUAAAUAAUAGUUUGCUUAGAUUGAGAGUAUUUUAAAAUUUUAAUUUACCGAGUUGAUUACGUACCAAAAAUGGGAUUGAGAUCACAAGGCACAAUUGCUUCACCCUCGUUGGGAGGCUGGUGGGGGUCAAUGCGGUGCACAAUUCCAUGUCCACUAAAGUGGAAAAGCAGGACAUCUCCUUCUUUAGCGGCGACCACCAUCUUCUUGAGUUCAGCCAUAAUGUUUGCACGCGUAGGCUUAUACGUGGACUCUGGUUCAUCAGUUAGGAGCUCAACAUUUUCGGAAUCAAAGCCAAACCUGCUCACGAUCAUUUCUCUCAUGGCUUUCACAUCAUUUACGCAUCCGCUCAACUCGUUGAUGGUGUUGGGGUAGUUGCAUCCAACCAGAACGGCUCUCUUCUUACAUUCGGUGGCCAUCUUGCUUCUAUUUUGGGUCGCUUGUCUUGUCUUGUGCUUCGGACGUUGCACUAAACACCUAUAUAUAUACACACAUACACACUGUAGUUUACACUAUGCUCACUGACCAUACUCUAAUAAAUAAGACAUCAUGUUGGUAGGUACAACUGUUUUAUUUUAUUUUUUUGUUUAUAAAAAUGCAUGGCAAAUCCAUAUACAUGCAAUCAGAUGUCUGUAUAAAAGUACCACUGUUAGAGUGUAUUUGGACUAAAAAAUUUAGAAUUAAUUUAAAAUAUUAAAAUUUGUAAUUGUUUUAUUUAGAUAAAUAAUUGAUUUAGGACAAAUUAAGUUAUUAGAAUUUUACAAAUUAAAAAUAAUUGUAAAAUAAAAAAUUAUAUUACAAAAAAAUAAAAAUAAAAAUAAAAAUAAAAAUAAAAAUAAAAUAAUUAUAAAAUAAUUUAUACACAAAAAUGAAUAAUUUGAAAAGCUUUCCAUAUUAUUAAGUCCAAAUUUGAUACGAUACUUUUCCAAUUAAGCAAUUUUGAUAUAUUUGGCCUCUAAUAAGAAAUCAACAUAUGGAAUGGGUGAUUAAUCCGACUUGGGAGGAGGACAGGUGUUGUGAUGGACAAAGAGGAAGAUAAGGUAGGUAUUCCCUUUUUCAGACAAAUAAGAUAGAAGAUAGAAGAUAGAAAAUAUAGAGUGGUGGUCGAAGAUAGAGGAUUAUAACAACACUGAUAUGAUCUGCUUCACCUUCGUCCACCACCUCAUCUUUAAUUAUGUUUUUAUCUUGGUUGUGACUCACGUUGGCCUUCGUCUGCAAGUGCCGUCGGUCCUACUAUCCUGAUUUCUAUGGCCUUAUUUGGCAAUUGGCUCAUAAUGGACAAAUAAUAAUUGUAUAAUGUUUAAGUUAUAAUUUUAUAGAUUUAAGAGAGAUCAAAAUAAUAAUUUUUCAUUUUAUGGGGUAUAAAGUGUAAUUUUCAUUUUUAGGGGGUCAUGGUUAGAUGUGAUUAUGCCACAUGAAGGUAUGCCGGAAAAGUGGGAGAGCUUAAGUAAAAAUAUAGGCAUGAAAAAUGGGUUUAGAUAAAAAAAAUGCCCGUUUUCGAAACGGGUCAAGCCUUGUGUAAGAAUUUUUUGUCCGGGCCCGGCCCAGCCUGACUCAAAUUUGAUUAAAAAAAAUUCUUGGUGUUGUUUAAUGUUGUUUUGCUACCAUUUUACUAUUAUAUUGCUGCUAUUUUGUUAUUAUUGAUUGGAUAUUUUAUAACUUUGUUUUAUUAUUAAUUUUGCUACUAUUUUAGAAGCAUUUGCUUGUUAAGUUGCAACUAUCUUAGUGUUAUUUAAAUAAAAAGACUUUUUUUAAUGUAUUUUCAAUUUGUUGGGAAAUAUUUAUUUUAAUGUUUUUAGUUUAUUUGAUGUAUUAUAUAUUUAAAUAAAAAAGUUUAAUACGGGUAGACUGGGUCAAGCUCAGGUUUUGCAUUUUUUUUAUUUGGUUCAGGCUUGGACAAAAUUUUAGACCUAUUUUUCGGGUCGAUUUAGCCCAUGAUCAAGUUUAGCCACGACCCUUGCCUGCUCUGGUCACUGCCUCUGGCAAUAAGAUUAAUUCCAGUGAGAUUGAAAAUAGCAAUGGUGGUGAGAUUAGUUACUAUAGUGAUGAGAUUAAAAUCAAUAGUGAGAUGUGUGUUAGAAUUCAAACACAACUGUGGUUUAUAGAUUUAUAGUAAGAAAGUAGAAUGACCAUUAUGGACAUUAAACUAAAGUAGUUUACACUCUUCAAUAUAUUUUUGUACAAUUAAUAUUUUAAUAAUAAAAAUUCAUAUUUCAUUUAUAUAACUCAUGCGUAUUGUGAAAAAUAUAAUGUCGGUAAUGACAAUAUAUCGCAAAGAAAAAUAAAAAAAGAAAAAUAAAGAACACACAGAUUUUACGUGGAAACCCAUUCGGGAAAAAAAACCACAGGCAGAGGAGAAGAAAAUUCACUAUGUCGAAUUCGAACUAAUUACAAGAGGAGUAGACUAUACCUAUUUAUAGGCUUGUAAAACCAUAUUCUAAUAGGAGUAAAACACCUUAUUCUAAUCAAUAUCAAAUAGAUAGAGUUUAAUAAGGUUUAAAAAACCUUAUUCUAAAAUAAAAUAAAAGAAGUAUAAUUCUAUAGGGAUUUUACUUUUAUUUUAUUUUACCACAGUAUUUUAUUAAAUAAUGAUUCGGGUCACUUAAUUCUAACAAUCUCCACCUUGAAACGAAUUCUUAAUGAACAAGUUCUUCAUCGCGAACUUUCAACGAACAAGUUUUUCAUCGCGAACUUUCAACUUAAGGGUUUAUCUUCAACAAUGAACACCAACCAAGUCUAUGCAAUGCUCAAACUUGGUUAUAGGAAGUGACUUAGUCAUCAUAUCUGCAGGAUUUUCAUGAGUACUAAUUUUGCUCACAACAAAAUCACCACGAGCAAUAAUAUCACGAACAAAAUGAUACCGAACAUCAAUAUGUUUUGUUCUCUCAUGAAACAUUUGAUCUUUUGUAAGGAAGAUGUCACUUUGACUGUCACAAAAUACUGUAUUGAUUUGAAGGUCUUCAUUGAGUUCAUUAAAGAGUCCCUUCAACAAAAUAGCUUCUUUACAAGCCUCAGUAAUCACCAUGUACUCAGCUUCAGUGGUGGACAAAGCGACUGUAGUUUGCAAAGUGGCUUUCCAACUGAUUGCACAACCUCCGAUUGUAAAGACAUAACCUGUGAGAGAUCUUCUUCUAUCGAGGUAUCUAGCAAAAUCAGCAUUAACAUACCCAAUGACUCCAUCUCUAGUUCUUCCAAACUGUAAGCAAACAUCGGUAGUACCUCGUAAGUAUCUUAAAACCCACUGAACUGCUUUCCAAUGUUCUUUACCGGGAUUCACCAUGUAUCUGCUAACUGCAUUAACUGCAUAUGAUAAAUCUGGACGUGAACAAACCAUAGCAUACAUGAGAGAUCCCACUGCACUAGAGUAUAGAACAUGUGACAUAUACUCAAUCUCAUCAUCUGAUUGUGGAGACAAAGCCGAUGAAAGUCUUAAAUGGGCUGCUAAAGGAGUACUGACAGACUUAGCAUUCUGCAUAUUGAAUCUACAAAGAACUUUCUCAAUGUACCCCUUUUGACUUAGGUACAAUUUACUUGCUUUUCUAUCUCUGAGAAUCUCCAUACCAAGUAUCUUCUUCGCUGGUCCCAAAUCUUUCAUCUCAAAUUCUUUACUUAGUUGGGCUUUGACCUUUCUUAUCUCUCCUUUAUCUUUUGCUGCUAUCAACAUGUCAUCAACAUAAAAGAGUAGAUACACAAAAGAACCAUCACUGUUUUUCUUAAAGUAAACACAACUGUCAAAGCUACUUCUUUUAAAAUUAUGAGAAGUCAUAAAGGAAUCAAACCUCUUAUACCACUGUAUUGGUGACUGUUUCAAACCGUAAAGGGACUUUUUCAGCAAGCAAACAUAGUCCUCUUUUUCUGAGAUUGUAAAACACUCUGGUUGUUGCAUGUAAAUAUCCUCCUCAAGUUCUCCAUGCAAAAAUACAGUUUUUACAUCUAACUGCUCAAGCUCCAAAUCAUGCAUGGCUACAAUACCAAGCAAAGCUUGAAUCAAACUAUGCUUCAGAACUGGAGAGAACAUAUCUGUGAAGUCCACUCUUGGAAUUUGACUGUAACCCUUUCCAACAAGCCUUGCUUUAUAUCUGGGUUCUUCAACUCUUGAAGUCCCCUCUUUCUUCUUAAACACCAAUUUACAACGAACAACCUUUUUACCUUUAGGAAGUUUCACAAGAUCCCAUGUUUUAUUUUUGUGUAGUGAUUCCAUCUCCUCUUGCAUAGCAAACAUCCACUUUUCUAAGUCUUCACAACUAACCGCCUCAGAAUAAUUAGAUGGCUCUUGGUUUGCAUCUAUAUCUUCAGCCACAUUUAAAGCAUAAGACACUAGAUCAGCCUCGGCAUACUUCUUUGGAGGUUUAAUUUCUUUUCUAGUUCUAUUUUUGCCGAUAGAGUAUUAUGGUGAAGAAGCAACUCUAUUUUGAAUUUUUGUACUGGCUUCAGUAGUCGACUCUGUUGUAGAUUCUGAAUUAAUCUAAUGCUCCACCUUCUUUUGAUUUUCUUUAUCGGAAGAGUCUUUAAGAGAUAAGUUAGGUAGCAUAGCAGUUUCAUUAAAAACAACAUCUCUGCUAAUCACCACUUUUCUAUUUUCAGGACACCAUAACUUAUACUCUUUUACACCAGCUUUAUAACCAAGAAAAACACAUUUAAUAGAUCUCGGUUCCAAUUUUCCAUUAUCAACAUGAGCAUACGCAGGACAACCAAAAAUCUUUAAAUUAGAAUAGUCAGCAGGAUUACCAGACCAUACCUCUUGUGGAGUCUUUUUCUCAAUGGCAACAGAUGGAGAUCGGUUGAUCAAAAAAAUACAGUAGAGGCUACUUUGGCCCAAAAUGACUUUGGUAAGCUGGCAUUUGACAACAUACAUCGAACCUUCUCCAUAAUCGUUCUAUUCAUUCGUUCUGCAACACCGUUUUACUGUGGAGUAUGACGAACUAUCAAGUGUCUCACGAUCCCUUCUGACUUGCAUAGUUUAUUGAAUUCAUCAGAAUAGAACUCUAAGCCAUUAUCUGUGCGAAGGUGUUUUAUUUGCAUUCCCGUCUGUUUUUCAAUCAUGGUUUUCCAAGACUUAAAUGCGGAAAACACAUCGCUUUUCUGCUUCAGAAAGAACGCCCACACUUUUCUACAAAAAUCAUCAAUAAAAGUUAGCAUAUAAUUAGCUCCACCUCUCGAAGAUACUCUGGAUGGACCCCACAGAUCAUAAUGAAUAUACUCUAAUGUUCCCUUCGUGUUAUAGAUUCCUCUGGUGAAUCGAACUCUUUUUUGCUUCCCAAAAACGCAGUGCUCACAGAACUGUAGUUUGCAAAUUCCUUGCCCAUCAAGAAGUCCUCUUUUGCUCAAUUCUGCCAUGCCAAUCUCACUCAUAUGCCCUAGGCGCAUAUGCCAAUGUUUAGUAAUAUCAUCAUUUGACAAGGAAGAGGAUGUGACAGUUGCAUCACCAGUAACAGUAGAACCCUGCAAAACAUAUAACUUGGCAGUCUUUCUCUGCCCUUUCAUUACAAUGAGGGAACCUUUAGAAAUCUUCAAAACCCCACUUUCAGCUGUGUAUUUGUACCUUUUUGAAUCAAGAGUACUCAAUAAAAUUAAAUUUCUCUUCAAUUCUGGAACAUGUCGUACGUCGCUAAGUGUUCUGACAACUCUAUCAAACAUCUUAACUUUAAUUGUUCCAACACCUGUAAUUCUACAUGAAGCAUUAUUUCCCAUCAAAACAACACCUUCAGACACUGUUUCGUAAGUUGUAAACCAAUCCCGAUUGGGACUCAUGUGGAAGGUGCAGCCCGAAUCAAGAAUCCACUCCUCGCUCACUUUAAAAUUGUUGACAGAAGCGACUAGAAGUUCACCAUCGCUAUAGUCUUCUACAACAUCAGCCUUACCAAAAUUUUCUGGUUGCUUUCCAUUUUGAUUCACAGCUUCCCUUUUGAUCUUAUUCUGCAGUUUAUAGCACUCAGAUUUAGCGUGCCCAUUCUUGUUGACGCCAUUUUCUGGAUGAAAAAAGGGUCAACUUGGAUUUUGAAAAUGAAAACGGGAGUCGCCACCAAUCCUUUUUUGUGAGGUGUGAUUGGAUCACCUCCAAAAGUGGUUGUUUUUAAUAAACGGUUUGAUUUUAUUAAAACAACAAGUUUGGUCCACGAAAUUCAGAAAAAUGGGUUCGGGAGUCGGUUACGCACGAGGAAGGAUUAGCACCGUCGAUACGCCCAAAAUUGGUACCUAGUUGAUUAGUUAAUGUCUUAAUGUCGAAAAUUGAAAACUUUGAAGAAUUUUAAAAAUACGAUCCUUAUAUUAUAAUGUUGAAAAUUUUCGGGAAAAUGAGGCAUAUUUCACGUUAAUCGAGGAAAAGAAUCAUAUCCAGUAAGUUAGGACACAAUUUCUCGAAUUUUCGAUGCGCGAAUGAAUGCCGAAAAUUUAAAAGAUGUCUGACUAUCUCGAAUUUAAAAAAGGGAUCAAGUCCAGUAAGUUAGGACUCGAUCUUUUCUUAAUUUCCGAGAUCAUUUAAAACUUCGGUUAAAAAACUCUCGUAUUUAGAUUUAUCGUGAAAAUCGAAACCUAGUAAGUUAGGGUACGACUUUCUCGAGUCUAAACAUGAAAUUUUAUUUAUUCAAAAGUCAUAAUUUAUACAUUGAAUGAAAAAUAAUUUAACGCGUAAUAGUAGAAAUAAAACAUGAUGUUAAUGCUUGUAACAAAACAAUAAUGAAUUCGAUAAUGUAAUUAUGAAUAAUACGAGUAACAACAAAUAAAAGAUAAAUAAAUAAAAAACGAAUUAAACAUGCAAAAGAAUAAGCAAAUAAACUACUCGAAUGAAAGUGGGCAUAAAUAAAUAAAAGAAAAUAAACACCGCGCUAAAUAACGAAACCAUAAAAGAAAUAAAAAUAUAUAAAUACAUGUAUAUAUAUAUUUUAGAAUUAUGAAAAUAUAGAAAAUAUUUAAAAAUAUGUAUACGUAUAUCUAUGUGUAAUAAAAUACGUAGAAAUAGAUAUAGGUAUGUGUAAGUAUGAAAAAUGAAAUAUAAAAAUAUAUUUAUAAUAACUUUAAAAUGUAUGUGUAUAUGGAUUAGGAAAAUGUAUAUAUUUACACACAAUAAAAUAAAAUAAAAUAAAAUAUGUACAUAUAUAUUAUAAAAAGUAUGCGUUUGUAUAUGUAAAAUAUAUAACAAGAAUUUUAAAAUUAAAAGAGUAUAAACAUAAUAAUAAUAAUAAUAAUAAUAAUAAUAAUAAUUUGAAAACAUGAAAAGCUAGAAGUAAAUAAUAAAUAAUAAAAGAUACAGUAAGAUAAAUAUAUAUAUAUAAAAACUAAAAAACUAAAAAAGAAAUAUAUAAUAUAUAAUAUAAUAUAAUAUAUAAAAAGGUAAUGCAAAACUAUUUUAUAUAAUAAUGAUGAAUAAAUAAAUAAAUAUAAGGGAAAAUAAAAACUAAUAAUAAAUAACAAUAAUAAUAAUAACAUCUCAUUUAUUGAUUUAAUAAUAAAACAAACAAAAUAACACAAAAAAAGGCUAAAUUAGAUAUUAAAACAAAAUUCGGGGCCAAAUCUAUAAAUAAAUAAAAGAGGAAGGACAAAGUUGAACGCGCGAACAACAAGAAGGGAUCAAGAGAGCAAUUUUUCCUUCUUUCCCAAAACGCACAGCAUCAUAAGACCAAAUUGUAAAGAAAAAUAAACUAAUGUGCGAAUUUUAAAAAAAACAAAAGGGCCUUGAUUGUAAAAUUAUUUAAAAGCGGAAGGGCUGAAAACGCAAUUAGCCCUUCCGCUCAAAAACACGCGGAUCUUGGCUUGGAGCGGGUCGGGCGAAUUGGGUUAAAGCCAAAACGACGCCGUUUUGGCGUUUUAGAGGGCUGAGCAAAACGACGCCGUUUUGCUUCCCUAUUUAAACCAAUUUUUUUCCAGAAACUUUCAUUUUUCUUUCUUCUUCAAACAAAACUCCCUCAUUCUCUCUCAACCCCCUUUCUUCUCCCCCAAAAUCCGGCCAAGCUUCCGGCGAGCCACCGCCGUAGCCCACCGCGCCGGCCACCGUACACGGUGGCUGAAAAAAUAAAAAAAAAGGUAAUUUUUUUAUUUUGCUAAUAUAAACUGUUUUUAUAUGUAUAUAUAUGUUUGAAAAUAGGAAAUGAACGGAUAUAUAAAAAAAAGAAAAAAAGAAUCCGAAAUGAAAAAGGAGAGAUCACCUUUUAGUGUAUCUUUUUUUUUCUAUUGAUCUUUCUUCCCUUUUUUGUUACAAAAGUCCCUCAAAAAACCCCCGUUACAUUUUUUGAAUGGCCUUUAAAUAGCCAUUUUUUACAUCUUUUUAAUCUGUUCUUGCGCUCUUGUCACUUCUUUCUUUCUGUUUGCAGGCGCAAGUGGGUGAGCAAGUGGGCUGCGGCGUCAGAAGCAAGUGGCGACCAGGAGCAGGUGGUGGCAGUUGGGGUUGGUGGCUGUGGCGGCUGAAGCUAGGGUUAGGGGCUAGGGUUUCUUUUCUUUUGUUUUUUUUGUUAUUGUUUUCUGAUUUGGGCUGAAAAGUUUUUUUAUUGGGUUUAGGUUGGUUAUUUGUUAUUGGGCUAAUUGUUUUGGUUUAAUUGUUUUGGUUCCUUGGGCCCGGGUCAAAAAUUGGGCUUGUAUUGCUUGUUGGAGGGAUCCAAUCGCGAUAUGAUUAGUUGGCCCUAGGAAAAUGGUUAAAAGCUAUUCAUCAGGGUCGGAUGUACCAUAAAUAAAUGAUAUGAGCCCAUAAUAAAUAGGCUCGUCUCAGAGAAUUCCACGAGAAGGCUGGAUGUUGAAAAGAUUCUUCCUUAACGAAAGGAUUCUAAAGGGAAAUGAAUGCCAAACCAGGAAUGUCCCUAUGUUGUAAAGAAGAUCAUUUUCAGAGGAGCACUGAUCCUGAGUGAGAUUGCCAAUCCUAUAAACUCGGAUCCAGUUAAGAAACAUUUCGUUUAAAGAAAAAGGAAGGACCAAGGUGAAAACUUGCAAAGGGCACUUUGAGUCAAGAAAAAAAUGUAAAAAAAAAAAUGAAUGAAAAUGAAAAAAAAUUGAAAAAUGAAAAAAUGAAAAGUAAAAAUGGAGAGGCUAAGGGGAAAACCCGCAAAGGGCAUCUUAGGCCAAAGGGGAUUUGAGUUGAAAACCCGAAGGAGGGAUCAAAUAUUGAUCAGAAUGGGGCAUGAAGUGAUCAGAUUGGGGCAUGCGGUGAUCUUGCUAUACCUGAAAGGGUAAGGCGACAUCUUGGGGCAUCGACGGAGUCCUGUAGAUCUUCUAAACACCUGUCAAACUCAGGAAGGUCUUCAGAAAGUUUGUACAGAGAAGUUCAAGUUGCGAUAUCUAGGGCACCUGCCAUUCGUAUUAUUUGAAGUUGUUAUUCUUGGAAUACUUCUUUCUUUUUCAAGAUACAUGUUCCAAUCAAUUCCUUUUUUUGCUAUCCUUGAUAAUUUAUUCAUUUCGAGCUAUGCUCUCAAAUCAAUUCUAUUUUAUCCAUCGUUAUAUUCUUCUUGCAAGCAUGUUGCAUUGGAAUGAUGAUACUUUCACAAUGGAAGUUUUACAUAUUACUCUAGAAGUUUCUAAAUAAUAUAGGAACCUGAAACAGGACUAUUGUUUAGAAAACACCAAGUUUAAAGGGUGAAAUAUCUAAGAAGGAAAAGUCUAAGUUAAGGCUAUCCCUUCGGAUUUUGUUGUCCAAACAUUGACUGAACAAAAUGACAAGAUGCCGUGUUGGUGACAAAGCUUCAAUGAACAAACAAGCAAUGAUCACUGAGUGAUAAGAAAAGGUUUUCUCAGAGAAGAAAAUUUUGCAAUUGUGCAUGAGCAUUUGGUAUGACACCUGGGGAAUGGGGUAAAAAAAACCAAAAAGCUUCACAUUCUGUAUCCUUGAAUUACGAUAGAAGAAGAUUGAGAAAAGCCAUAUCUUUCUACCCUUGGGUUACAGUGGGAGAAUGAUGGUACAUUUUUACGUCCCAAUGGAUUGAACUUUGACGUUCACAGUGGGGGGCAAUCAGAUUAAGUGUUUCUUUGGAUAUGCCAGACGAGCAAGAAGGCGUUGUAGUACGUCAGUGAUAAAACCUUAAUAAGCUUUUGCGUGAUGAUAACCUAAGCAUUAAGGAACCAUUUUCAUGACAUUUUGCAUUCAUUCAAAUGUCAUUCAUACACAUCUAGUUAGGAGCAUUUGAUUUGUUCUGAUCAUGUCAUCCUAAUCACUAGGCACAAUUAGGUUCAUAAAAUAGAACAUACAGGUCAGGUUCCCCAAAGAACAGAUCAACGAAGAUAGCAGAUCUUGUCUUCCUGUAUUUGGCAGCGGAGGAAAUCGAAGAUAGUAGAUCUUGUCUUCCUGUAUUUGGCAACGAAGGAGAUCGAAGAUAGCAGAUCUUAUCUUCCUGUAUUCGGCAGCGGAGGAGAUCAAAGAUAUAGCAGAUCUUGUCUUCCUGUAUUAGGCAGCGGAGUAGAUCGAAGAAAGCAGAUCUUGUCUUCCUGUAUUAGGCAGUGGAGUAGAUCAAAGAAAGCAGAUCUUUUCUUCCUGUAUUAGGCAGUGGAGUAGAUCAAAGAAAGCAGAUCUUGUCUUCCUGUAUUAGGCAGCAGAGUAGAUCGAAGAAAGCAGAUCUUGUCUUCCUAUAUUAGGCAGCGAAGUAGAUCGAAGAAAGCAGAUCUUGUCUUCUUGUAUUAGGCAGCGGAGUAGAUCGAAGAAAGCAGAUCUUGUCUUCCUGUAUUAGGUAGCGGAGUAGAUCGAAGAAAGCAGAUCUUGUCUUCCUGUAUUAGGCAUCAGAGUAGAUCGAAGGAAGCAGAUCUUGUCUUCUUGUAUUAGGCAGUGGAGUAGAUCGAAGAUAUAACAGAUCUUGUCUUCCUGUAUUAGAGCGGAGUAGAUCGAAGAAAGCAGAUCUUGUCUUCCUAUAUUAGGCAGCGGAGUAGAUCGAAGAAAGUAGAUCUUGUCUUCCUGUAUUAGGUAGUGAAGUAGAUCGAAGAUAGUAGAUCUUGCCUUCCUGCCUUGACAGCGAAGCAGAUCGAAGACACAAACCUUGCCUCUCUCGGUUGUAGUGGAGCUGGUUGAAGACAACAGAUCUUGCCUUCCUGCAUUGACAGCGAAGCAGAUCGAAGACACAAACCUUGCCUCUCUCGGUUGUAGUGGAGCUGGUUGAAGACAACAGAUCUUGCCUUCAUGCAUUGACAGCGAAGCAGAUCAAAGACACAAACCUUGCCUCUCUCGGUAGUAACGGAGCUAGUUGAAGAUAACAAAUCUUGCCUUCCUGCAUUGACAGCGAAGCAUAUCGAAGACACAAACCUUAUCUCCCUAACGUUGUAGUGGAGCAGACUAAAACCACAAAUCUCGUCCCCCUAAAGUUAUAACAGAGUGGAUUGAAGCUACAAGUCUUGUCUUUUUGAAGUUGCAGCGGAAUGGAUCGAAGCAACAAGACAUACUGGACUGGAAUGAAACUACUUGGAAAGAGAGGUGUUAGAGAAGUCAAGACUCAGUGAGACCGGGCAAAAAUUGGUCUUUCUUAGUCUUUGCUCUGUUAUCGUUACAUGACAACAAGCAAAGAGGGGCAGCUGUACAAGCCCAAUUUUUGACCCGGGCCCAAGGAACCAAAACAAUUAAACCAAAACAAUUAGCCCAAUAACAAAUAACAACCCAAACCCAAUAAAAAACUUUUCAACCCAAAUCAGAAAACAAUAACAAAAAAAAAAACAAAAGAAAAGAAACCCUAGCCCCUAACCCUAGCUUCAGCUGCCGCAGCCACCAACCCCAACUGCCACCACCUGCUCCUAGCCGCCACUUGCUUCUGACGCCACAGCCCACUUGCUCACCCGUUUGCGCCUGCAAACAGAAAGAAAGAAGUGACAAGAGCGCAAGAACAGAUUAAAAAGAUGUAAAAAAUGGCUAUUUAAAGGCCAUUCAAAAAAUGUAACGGGGGUUUUUUGAGGGACUUUUGUAACAAAAAAGGGAAGAAAGAUCAAUAGAAAAAAAAGAGACACUAAAAGGUGAUCUCUCCUUUUUCAUUUCGGAUUCUUUUUUUUCUUUUUUUUAUAUAUCCGUUCAUUUCCUAUUUUCAAACAUAUAUAUAUACAUAUAAAAAUAGUUUAUAUUAGCAAAAUAAAAAAAUUACCUUUUUUUUAUUUUUCCGGCCACCGUACACUGUGGCCGGCGCGGUGGCGCUACGGCGGUGGCUCGCCGGAAGCUUGGCCAGAUUUUGAGGGAGAAGAAAGGGGGUUGAGAGAGAAUGAGGGAGUUUUUUUGAAGAAGAAAGAAAAAUGAAAGUUUCUGGAAAAAAGUUUGUUUAAAUAGGGAAGCAAAACGGCGUCGUUUUGCUCAGCCCUCUAAAACGCCAAAACGGCGUCAUUUUGGCUUUGACCCGAUCCACCCGACCCGCUCCAGGCCAAGAUCCGCGUAUUUUUGAGCGGAAGGGCUAAUUGCGUUUUCAGCCUUUCCGCUUUUAAAUAAUUUUACAAUCAAGGCCCUUUUGUUUUUUUUAAAUUCGCACAUUAGUUUAUUUUUCUUUACAAUUUGGUCCUAUGAUGCUGUGCGUUUUGGGAAAGAAGGAAAAAUUGCUCUCUUGAUCCCUUCUUGUUGUUCGCGCGUUCAACUUUGUCCUUCCUCUUUUAUUUAUUUAUAGAUUUGGCCCCGAAUUUUGCUUUAAUAUCUAGUUUAGCCUUUUUUUGUGUUAUUUUGUUUGUUUUAUUAUUAAAUCAAUAAAUGAGAUGUUAUUAUUAUUAUUGUUAUUUAUUAUUAGUUUUUAUUUUCCCUUAUAUUUAUUUAUUUAUUCAUCAUUAUUAUAUAAAUUAGUUUUGCAUUACCUUUUUAUAUAUUAUAUUAUAUUAUAUAUUAUAUAUUUCUUUUUUAGUUUUUUAGUUUUUAUAUAUAUAUUUUUAUCUUACUGUAUCUUUUAUUAUUUAUUAUUUACUUCUAGCUUUUCAUGAUUUCAAAUUAUUAUUAUUAUUAUUAUUAUUAUUAUUAUUAUUAUUAUUAUUAUGUUUAUACUCUUUUAAUUUUAAAAUUCUUGUUAUAUAUUUUACAUAUACAAACGCAUACUUUUUAUAAUAUAUAUGUACAUAUUUUAUUUUAUUUUAUUUUAUUGUGUGUAAAUAUAUACAUUUUCCUAAUCCAUAUACACAUACAUUUUAAAGUUAUUAUAAAUAUAUUUUUAUAUUUCAUUUUUCAUACUUACACAUACCUAUAUCUAUUUCUACGUAUUUUAUUACACAUAGAUAUACGUAUACAUAUUUUUAAAUAUUUUCUAUAUUUUCAUAAUUCUAAAAUAUAUAUAAACAUGUAUUUAUAUAUUUUUAUUUCUUUUAUGGUUUCGUUAUUUAGCGCGGUGUUUAUUUUCUUUUAUUUAUUUAUGCCCACUUUCAUUCGAGUAGUUUAUUUGCUUAUUCUUUUGCAUGUUUAAUUCGUUUUUUAUUUAUUUAUCUUUUAUUUGUUGUUACUCGUAUUAUUCAUACUUACAUUAUCGAAUUCAUUAUUGUUUUGUUACAAGCAUUAACAUCAUGUUUUAUUUCUACUAUUAGGCGUUAAAUUAUUUUUCAUUCAAUGUAUAAAUUAUGACUUUUGAAUAAAUAAAAUUUCAUGUUUAGACUCGAGAAAGUCGUACCCUAACUUACUGGGUUUCGAUUUUCACGAUAAAUCUAAAUACGCGAGUUUUUUAACCGAAUUUUUAAAUGAUCUUGGAAAUUAAGAAAAGAUCGAGUCCAAACUUACUGGACUUGAUCCCUUUUUUAAAUUCGAGAUAGUCAGACAUCUUUUAAAUUUUCGGCAUUCAUUCGCGCAUCGAAAAUUCGAGAAAUUGUGUCCUAACUUACUGGAUAUGAUUCUUUUCCUCGAUUAACGUGAAAUAUGCCUCAUUUUCCCAAAAAUUUUCAACAUUAUAAUAUAAGGAUCGUAUUUUUAAAAUUCUUCAAAGUUUUCAAUUUUCGACAUUAAGACAUUAACUAAUCAACUAGGUACCAAUUUUGGGCGUAUCGAGGGUGCUAAUCCUUCCUCGUGCGUAACCGACUCCCGAACCCGUUUUUCUGAAUUUCGUGGACCGAACUUGUUGUUUUAAUAAAAUCAAACCGUUUAUUCAAAACAACCACUUUUCGAGGUGAUCCAAUCACACCUCACAAAAAAGGAUUGGUGGCGACUCCCGUUUUCAUUUUCAAAAUCCAAGUUGACCCUUUUUUCAUCCAAAAAAUGGUGUCAACAAUUCUUCUUGCAGAAGUUACAAGUUUUACCUCUGUUUGAAGACUUCGAUCUACCUUUAGAUUUACAGCGAGGAUUCCGUUCCUGUGUCCUUCCACGAUCAUCAUCAAAAUUCCGAUCUUGUCUCCCACGAACAAUGAGACCCUUUCCUUGAGAGUCAAUUUUAACCACAAGAUACUUCAUCUUAUCAUACGAGGUUAAAGAAUCAUAAACCUCAUCAACUGUGAGAGACUCGCGGCUAUAUAAAAUUGUAUCUCUAAAGGUUGAAUAAGACGGGGGCAACGAACAAAGUAGAAUCAACCCUAGAUCUUCCUUAUCAUACUCAACCUCCAUGGCCUCUAAAUUUGAGAGAAUUUUUUUAAACAUUGUCAAGUGUUCGUGCACAGACGCACCUUCCUCUAAACGAUGAUCAUAAAGACGCUGCUUCAUAUGCAGUUUACUAGUUAGAGUUUUCGACAUACAUAUUUGUUCCAACCUUUUCCAUAAUCCAGCGGCGGUCUUCUCCUUCAUCACAUCCUGCAAAAUUUCGUUAGACAAAUGCAGAUGUAACUGUGUUAACGCCUUUCGAUCCUUGCGCUUCUUCUCUUCCUCCGUCAAUGUUGAAGGCACCUUAUCUACCCCUAGUAGGGCUUCCUCUAAGUCUAUCUAUGCAAGAACUACUUGCAUCUUUAUUUGCCGCAAUGCGAAUCUGGUGUUGCGAUCCAACAGCGAAAUUUCAUACUUCAAAGACGUCAUUAUCGUGAUUGAGAUGAAUAACCCGAAAGCUCUGAUACCAAUUUGUGAAAAAUAUAAUGUCGGUAAUGACAAUAUAUCGCAAAGAAAAAUAAAAAAUAAAAAUAAAAAUAAAAAACACACAGAUUUUACGUGGAAACCCUUUUGGGAAAAAAAACCACGGGCAAAGGAGAAGAAAAUUCACUAUGUCGAAUUCGAAUUAAUUACAAGAGGAGUAGACUAUACCUAUUUAUAGGCUUGUAAAACCAUAAUCUAAUAGGAGUAAAACACCUUAUUCUAAUCAAUAUCAAAUAGAUAGAGUUUAAUAAGGUUUAAAAAACCUUAUUCUAAAAUAAAAUAAAAGAAGUAUAAUUCUAUAGGGAUUUUACUUUUAUUUUAUUUUACCACAGUAUUUUAUUUAAAUAAUGAUUUGGGUCACUUAAUUCUAACAAUCUCCACCUAUUUAAUGUAAAUUAAAAAUGUUCAAACUAAUUGUUUUAUGUAAGAUAUGAAUGACAGUCUUCUAUAGAACUUCCUAAAUAUAGUCAGUUUUAAAAUUCAAAACUAAUCAUUUUUAAAAGCUUAUUUUUAUGGAGAUAUUUGGCUUGGAUGAUGAGAGAAAUCAAGAGAAUUAAGGUUGAAGAUCAAAAAGUGGAAGAAAAGCAUGAAGAUGGAGAAGACUAACGUGAAACUUAUAGGUGGGGAUGAUUUUAGGUUGAUUUUUAAAAUUUGUUUUAAUUGCCUCUUAAAAACUCACAAUUUUAAUUUUUUUACAAAUCAAUACUACCUUCAAAAUUAAAGGUAUUUAAAACUCAUUUUCAGAAAUUGAUUUAAUUUUAAUCAUAGUAAAAAAUAUUAUCGAUAAACCAUUUCGUAAAAUUUCGAACACUCUAAGGCUAAAAUUCCUAAAUUACCUCUAAAACUCCUAGGUCCUAUUUUGGGAUGUUACAAUAAAUUGGUGUAAAUACACAUUUGGUCCCUAUCGAUUUUAAAAUUGAGCAAAUAGAUCUUUCUCUCAAAAAAAAUUACAAAAAAAUUUCAAAAUAUUUAUAAAAAUUUAAGAAUUUAAAUAUUUUAAAAAUAUAUAUUAAAAACUCAAAAGAAUAUAUAUAAAAAUUAGAAAACUCUAAAAUUAUCAUUUUUGGGACCUAAAUAAGUUAAUUAAUAAUUCAAUUUUAUAAUACUAUUUUUACUCUUUUUUUUAAUGAAUUAAAAAAAAUAAAUGAUUUCAAAGUUAUGUGUUUUAAUAUAGAAUUAGUUAAAUUGUAAAAAUAUUUUAAUUUUUUCACUCGAUCCGAUCGAACGCUCACUCCUAGUGGUCGAUGUUCAUCCGCAUAUAUCUUUUGUCUCUAACCAGAAAAGAUCUCUUCCAAAAUGAAACUCUUAAAUUGGAGCGUGUCAUAUUUACUACAGGCCGUUUAUGAUAGAAUCGGACCAUUUAACUUUGAAAUCACUCACGUAAUGCAUGUUAUUCGGAAGGUUAUCGAUAAAUAUCGUUGCAACACCUUGAAGUUCGCCACUCCAUUUUUCUAUUGUGCGCUCUCCUUUGAUUAUAACAAUCCAGAACCUUCCUUACUCUAACUUAUAAAAUUAAAAAGACUCUGUAGGACAAAAUAAGACUUUAUUUAUUUAUUUAUUAUUACACUAGAAUUUCACACAUAGCAAACGCACACUAUAUAGGAGAUGCAUAAGAAAACAGCGGUAGGUAGAUAUAAGUCAACAGGCUGUCAAAUUUAUUCUAGUAGUAGUGCAAAACAUAAGCACAUUACUGACAGCCUGAGCACCAGCAUUUUGAUCAGAAAUUUAAGCAAAGCCACCCAAGAAAAGUGUGUUUGUAUUCUCAUCACUGCAAUAAAGGCAAGGGUUCUGCUCGAAUCCAUUGUUCUUCAAAAUCUUGGCAGCCUCAGCCACGAGGUGUCUGUUGCUUAUUCCAACACCCAAGUUCUGAUUGAUUACGUUAACCACAGCAUCGGUGAACGCCCCAAAGGCUUUAUUUUCCAAGACCAGGUCAUAUGAUGUCUCAUUGGCUUCACAUCCACUUAAUAAAAUCCCUUCAUCCUCCUCCAGUGGAUCCAACACCAUUAACCCCUCUACGUAGUGAGGAUGGAAUUUGAGACUCACAUCUUUCCCGAAGAUUCCGAAAAUCUUUUGGCCAACAUUUGCUGCGUCGUGUAGGAUGCCUGCUGCUGUAUCUAUCGCACUAUGUAUGAUAUCAAAAGUAAGACUCUUAGCCUUAGCCUUAGACGGUUUAGGCUUGUCGGUAUUUACUGUUGUCGUCAUAUGCUGACCACCAAAUUGUUCUUUCUCUUUUUCAAUGAGACCCCCACUGUGGCACGAAUCUGAUAGGAUUGUGAAGCUUGCUCCUUCUGGUAGCCGAUUAACUAAACGUCUGAAGUCCACAUCUGCAGAAACCAAGUAUAUAUAGGGUAUGAAUAUAUGUUGCUAAAAUAAAUAUAUAAAUUCAAACAAAAACCUACCGGUGACAAGAUUUAAAUCACAAGCCACGAUUGCUUCAUCUUGCUUGAAAGGCUGGCCAGGUUGAAAGAUUGGAACGCGUGUUCCAUGUCCACUGAAGUAGAAAAAUAGAAUAUCUCCUGCUUUAGCCUUGUUCACCAUUCUAUUGAGUGCAUCCUUAAUGUUUACACCCGUAGGCAGAACCGGCGACCCUGGCGCAUCGGUGAGGACAUUAACAUCGCUUUCCUUAAACCCAAUGUCCAGGAUCACACCUCUUAUGGCUUUCACAUCAUUGAUGCAUCCAUGCAAGCUGAAUUGGGUCUUGGGGUAGUUGCAUCCCACCAGAACUGCUCUCUUCGUACCCUUACUCAUCUUGCUCGCUAAUUUGACUAUUUUGUGUUGCUUGUACUGUUGGAAUAAUGUGCUUCCACUGCCUCACUAAGAACAUAUAUAUAUAUACACACUAAUUUACAGCAUGUGUACUGACCAUAAAGAUGACGACAUGUAGGUAGGUAGAUAGGUAGGUAGGCUGUAAUAGAAACUCUCACAUGAAACGAAUGAAUGAAUGAAUUAUUAUUCAUGAAAAAGAUGAUCAGCUGAACCAUCAGCUUCCUGUAUUUAAAGAGUUUUACAAGUCUAACUAACACUUGUAAAUGCUAACUGCUAAAUGCUAAUUGCUAACAACAACCUGCACUGCUAUUUACUAUUUUAACUACUAUUUUACAACUGAAUAGGCAGGUACUGUAGAAGUUUGAUUAAUAUUUGGAGAAAUAAAACAAAGAAAGUGAUAAAAAAUAUAAUGGAGAAGAGAAAUAAAUUUUGUAUGGAAGAGAAAAAAAAUUCUUUCUAAUAAACUUUUUAUUUCACUCACACUAUAUAUUCUUCAUCACAUACAACUCUUUAUAUAGGAGUUGUAAGUGACUAUUCAUCUAUAUCACUAAAUCACUAAAUGCUAGGAGUUGUGACUAUUCAUUUACAUAACUUAAAUACUAUAGGAGUUGUGACUAUUCAUGCAUGUGUGUAACUUUUCAUCUUCAAGUCUCUUCGCAUUUUUAACUCUUCAUAUUCAAGUCUUUUCGCAUUCAUAACUUUUCAUAAUUUAAUUUAUGCAAGAUUAAUUUAAUUAUGUGCCAACAAUGCCUCCCUUAAAUUAAACUUGCUUCGAACUCCCAACCUUUCAACAUUUUUCUUGAAGACUUGUCCACUAAGCGGCUUUGUGAAGAUAUCAGCCAUCUGAUAUUCUAUCUUUCAAUAUUCAACUUGAACAUCACCAUUAUUCACUAGUUCCCUCAAGAAGUGAUACUGAAUGCGAAUGUAUUUUGUUCUUCUAUGAAGAACUGGAUCUUUUGUGACUGAAAUAGUAGAACUAUUGUCACAAAACAAAAUCGUUGACUUGCUCUGCUUCUGCUUAAGACUCUCCAAAAUUCCACGUAACCAAAUCAAUUGACAUCCUACAUAAGAUGCAGCGAUAUAUUCAGCUUCUGUAGUCGAAAGCGCCACAACUGAUUGUUUCUUUGAGCUCCAUGAAACUGCACCACUACCAAGGUGGAAAACAUAACCAGAAGUGCUUCUACUAUCAUCAAUGUUAUCCGUAAAACCAAUGAAAUCAACUAAUGUCUUGGCUUUAUAGAAAAUUCCAUAAUCAAUACUUCCCUUCACAUAUCUCAAUAUUCUCUUGGCAGCCUCCCAGUGAUUGGAGUAAGGUUUCUCCACGAAUCUACUCACCAAGCUAACAGCAUACACGAUGUCAGGCCUUGUCGAAGUCAGAUACAUCAACUUUCCAACCAAACUUCUGAAUAUGGUGGAAUUGACAAGCUUUCCUUCAUCCUCUUUAGAUAACUUCAGACCUGUAAUGCAUGGAGUAGAGACUGGAUUCGCAUUGUCCAUCUUGAAUCUUUUUAGAACUUCCUUUGCAUAGCUCUCUUGUGAAAUAAAAAUUCAUUUCUCGGAUUGAUGAACUUCAAUGCCAAGAAAAUGAUGAAGUUCUCCCAAAUCUGUCAUAUGCCAUCAUUGAGUGCUGAAAUUCUUUCAACAUCUUCACAUCAUUUCCUGUGAAAAUAAGAUCAUCAACGUAGAGACUUACAACCAUGAAUCUUCCUUGAGAAUUGCCUUUGAUGUAGAGAGUAUGCUCAUAUGGACAUUUCUGGAAUCCACACUUCUAAAAAUAAGAAUCGAUGAGGCUGUACCAAGCUCGGGGUGAUUGCUUCAACCCGUGCAAAGCUUUCUUCAACUUGUAAACAUUUUCUUCUUCUCCUUUUUUGACAAACCCUGGUGGUUGAUCAACAUAGACUUCUUCUUUGAGAACACCAUUUAAAAACGCAGAUUUUAUGUCCAUUUGGAACAUUUUCCAAUUGUUUUAGGCAGCAAGAGAAAUAAGUAACCGAAAUAUUUCAAGUCUUGAAACUGGAGCAAAUACCUCUGUAAAAUCUUCUCCUUCCUUUUGCUUGUAUCCUUUUGCAACCAGUAUUGCCUUGUACUUGUUGAUAGAUCCAUUUGGAUUCAUCUUUGUCUUGUACACCCAUUUGACUCCAAUUGAAUUCUUGUGUGGUGACAAAUCUGUAAGGUCCCAUGUAUCAUUAUUUUCAAUUGAGAAAAUCUCUUCUGUCAUGGCUUUCCUCCAUAUUUCUUCUUGAUAUGCAUCAUCAAAAGAAAUUGGAUCUUCUCCUACAAAAAACGACAAAUAAUACAACAUCAUUUUGCACAACUUCAUCAGUUACAUUAUAUAACUCUUGGAUGCUUCUCGUUUUUCGAAUCGGGCUGGAUGAAGAAGAAUUUGAUGAAGAACAUGAGGAAGUAGGAGGAUUUUCUGCUUCAGCAUAAUCUUCAGCAUUCUCAAUUACUGCCUCUUCUUCUUCUUCAAGUUCAAAAGGAAAAAUUGGCAAAUUUUUUUUUCAACUUCCAUAUAUUCAAACAUAGAAUUUUCAUCAAACCGAACAUCUCGGCUUAUCACAAUCUUUUUUGUCACCGGAUUGUACAACUUGUAUGCCAUACUUCUUUCACUAUAGCCAAUGAAAAUGCAUUUCUCUGACUUGUUAUCCAACUUGCUUCUCAUUGCAUCUGGAAUAUGAGAGUAAGCAACACUCCCAAAUACUCUAAGAUGACGAACACUAGGCUUUGUACCAUACCACGCCUCAUGUGGUGUGCAAUUCUCCAAGCUUCUUGUUGGUGAUCUAUUGAUAAGAUAAACUGCACAAGAAACAACUUCAACCCAAAAUCUUCUUGAUAACCUCUUCUUCUUAAGAAGACAUCUAGCCAUUUCCAUAAUUGUUCUAUUCUUUCUUUCACACACACCAUUUUGCUGAGGUGUAUGGCGGACUGUCAUUUCAUGCCGGAUGCCACUAUCUCGACAGUAUUUCUCAAAUUCUUUUGAAAAAUAUUCACUUCCAUGAUCUGUCCGCAAGGUGUUAAUUUUCAACCCAGUAAUUAAAUUUCAUCCCAGUAAAGCUUUCCACUUCUGCCUUGAAAUCUUUGAAUCUCUGAAAAGCCUCUGAUUUUUCUUUGACACAAUAUACCCAUAACUUUCUUGAUUAAUCAUCAAUGAAAGAGAUAAAGUAACGAUUACCUCCCAAAGAUGAAACUGUCAUAGGACCAAAAAGAUCCGAGUGAAUAAGUUGCAAUGGUCUUCUUGCUUUCCACGAGGAUUGAGAAGGAAAAGCAAUUUAGUGUUGAUUUCCAAGUUGACAUGCUUCACAAAUGUAACAGCCUGAAUUUGGGUCUAGUCGGAAUAGUGGUUUCGGGACCACAAAUGUAAUAUUUUAAAAAUUUCUACAGUAAGAUAUUAUCCUUGGUACAGUAAAAUAAGGAAAUGAAGUGAUAAAAUAAUAAAAAAAUAAAAAGGGAGAAUUUUGAGUUAUGGCAACAUUGGGAAAUAUAUUAUAACAUGAUAAUUCAAGAAAGGAUUAAAUUGCAAAAGUGCGAAAAGUUUUGUUGCCCAAGAGUAAAUACUUAAAAUUUGAGGGGUUAAAGUGUAAAUACAAAAAAGUUGAAGGACCAAAGGUGUAAGUAUUUUAAGGGUGGAAUGAUCUAGAAACUAAGAAAAAUGGAUGGAUUAGGAUCAAAUUAAAAAAUGUGAAGAAUUUUGAGGGACUAAAUACAAUUUUACCAAAUUGAGUGAUGACUCAAGAAUGGAAUUUUAAAAGAUCAUAAAGAGCAAAAUGGUCAAUUAAUAAGAGAGAGAAAUCUAGAAGAUAAUGAUGAUGUUGGAGAUAUUUUAGAUUAAUUAAAUAAAUAUUAGUUUAUUAAUAUUUUAAUUUAAUUUUUAAAUGUUAUUUUAUUAUUUUAUUAUUAUUUUAUUUAGUAUAUAUAUAUAUAUAUAAUAAAAGGAAGAUGAAGAAUCAUCAUCUUCCCCCAUGCAUUCCAACGUAUGAAGAGAAAAGAAAGAAAGAAACUUUCUUUUCUUUACAAUUUGGUCCUCUAACCAAAAAUCCUCCAUUUUCACUUUGAAAUCAAACAAAUUUCCAUAACCACCAAGAAAGAAAAUUCAUAAAGAGAAUAUGGGGAGCUAGAAUAUCAAGUUAGAUUCAAGAAAUAGAAGCUGGAGGAGAGAGAAAAUCAAGUUAAAGAUUGAAAUCAAUAGCACAAGGUAAGAACAUCAAGAUGUCAAUUUAUUUUUAAGUUUAAUAUUAUUGAAAAAAGCAUGGAAAUAAUGUUAUAGUAGAGUUUUCUUAUAUAUGGUCUUAUGUUCUUGAUAUAUUAGUGAAGAAAAAUAAGUGAAAGUGAUGGGAAAUAUUAUAGAGAAAUGGAGUUAUACACCUAGUAAUCAACAUUUUGAACUAAAAUAGUUUUGGACAGCAACAGUAGGUUAACUUUGAAAAAUCACCAUAAAUUGUGGAAAUCGAAUUAGAAUAUGAACAAGAUGUGUAAUUAAAUAUUAAUGAGUCUACUUUCAUAUAAAAGAAACAUAGAAAGCAAAAGAAUUGUGUAUUUUGAGAUAUUUAAAUUUUAGUGAGAAAGGGUCGGAAUGAUUUUGGAAUCCCCUGUUCUGACUUUGGAAAAUCAUCAAAACUUUGAGAAAAAUAAUUAGAGGCUUAAAUUUAUAUUUUUAAAUCCUUAAUGAGUAUAUUUUCAAUAAAAACAAACGGUAACAUCAUUUGAAUUCUGUAUGAGGAGAUAAUUAAGUUUUAGUGAAGAAGGGUCGGAACUGUCAGACAGCAGAACAGAGAUGAAUUUAGAGAAUAAACUGUACAUAUUGGCUAAACCAAAAAUUCUAAAAAUUUUAUGGUAAGAGGAUAUGUGAGUCUAGUUUCAGAUAAAAUUAACUGAUCUCAAUUUGGAGUUCUUUAGCUCAAGAUAUAAAUAAUUUAGUGACUAUGACUCAAGUGGACAGCUUUAAAAGAAUAUAAAUAAAUAUGAAAUUAUAGAUAAUGUUACAUAUAAGUAUGUUAUAUAUAUAUUAAGGAUGCGGAAUGGAGAGGAGGAGGAGGAAAAUAUGUGAUUAUUCAACUAGCAUGAGUUUUUAUUAAAAAUGAUCAAUUUAUAUGUUUCAGGGACUAAAUUGAACAAAUAUGAAAAUUUAAGAGUAAAUUUGUAAAAAUGUCAAAAAGUGACCAAAUUGCAUGAAAUGAAUUGUUUUAUCAUUUAAAUUAGUAAAUUGAAUGAAAUAUUAAUUUAGAUCAAGAUUGGGUGGAAAUUCGAGAAAAAUAGAAAAUUUCCAAAAUGUCCCUAUAUUUUGGUAUUUCUGCAAUUUAGCCUGGUAAGUUCGUAUGAACUAUAUUUUGUUUAAUUUCAAUUGAAGUGAAUGCUAUUCGGUAAUGAAUAUUAUACAUAUAUGUGUGUUUUAUAUUGGAACUGAAUUAUUAUUGGUAAUAUACAUAAUUAUUAGAUGCUUUGAAAUGAUUAUCGGAAGCUUGUUGGAGAUAUAUCACAUUACCUAUUGGUUUUAUCGGUAGUUUUGGAUGACUUGAUUCUGGUUAUAAAUGUAUAAGUUAAAUUGGUUAACGUUAGCUCAUAAAUGUUUUGAUUUUGAUCGGUUAUAAAUAUGAAUGUUAGAUAAAAAUGAAAUGCUUGAAAAUUAAUGAGUAAACUCCGGUAAUACCUCGUACCCUAUUUCGGUGUCGAAUACGGGUAAGGGGUGUUACAACAAUCAUCAUCAAGCCGAUCGAUUUUUGGUAAACCUUUGACCAUCAUCUUUCUUGAAAGCAUCUCGAAAUUUUCAUAGUUCAGAUGUCCAUAUCUAUCAUGCCAUAACUUUGAAACUCCUUUAUGAGCACCAAUAAAGCAAGACAUAUUCUGAUUUUGAAGGGUGAGAGAGAAAAAAUUAUUUGAUGCCACUACAACUCUAGCAACAACUUGAUUUUUCCUUGACAAAUAGCAAGCCAUGUCACGGAAAUAAAUAUCAUAUCCCUUCUUCAAAAGAUGCCCAACGCUAAGCAGGUUAUUUUUAAGACCAGGAACAAAAUAAACUUCAGACAUUUUCUCUACCCUUCAUUGCUUUGGUUUGAACUCCAACUCACCAACACCGCUAACUUUGUAAGCUUUGCCAUCUCCUACUUUUACUUCUCCACAAUUAGAUUCAAAGAACUUCGAAAAUAAAUUUUUGUUACUUGUCAUAUGCUUGCUAGCACCACUGUCUAUGUACCAGACAUCACCAAUCUCUCCACUAUGAGACACGAGCAACAAAGUUUCUUGCUUUUGUUCUUGAUUAUUUUGUACUGUAUUAGCUUUAUUUUUCUCUUCUUUCUUGUACCAGCAUUCACUUGCCAAAUGACGAGGUUUGCGACAAUGAUAACAUUCAAAAUAGCCACGACCUCUUCCUCUUUAAUUUCCACGUCCACGUCCUCUUUGUGAUCCUCUAAAAUUCUGACUUUGGUUGGCUUAUUUCCAUCCAUUUUCCAUGCUUGCAUCUUCACCUCUUUCACGAGCAUUUGAGCCUCUUCCCCUAAAAAUUAUUCCUCUUCCACGAGCACGAUCUCUCCCUCUUUGAUUUUUAAAAUCUCCCUUCUUCUCAUUUAGAGACAACUUUGACUGGAGUGCUUGAUCUAGAUCUACUUUCUUCUUGUUGUUGUUUAAUCUUUCUUCAUGGGCUUGCAACGAACCUGUGAGUUCAUCAAUAGUCAUUGUACUCAAAUCCUUUGAUUCUUCAAUGGCUACUACAAUGUGGUCAAAUCUGGAAUCUAAAGAACGGAGGAUUUUCUCAACACCACGAAUAUCAUCCAUAGUUUCACCAUUUCUUUUUAAUUGGUUGACUAUGGACAAAACCCGUGAACAGUAAUCAGAAAUUGAUUCCGACUCUAUUUUUUGCAAUCUUUCAAACUCCCCUCGAAGAGUUUGCAACUGAACUCUUUUCACCUUUUCAUCUCAUUUGAAUGAAUUUUGUAAAAACUCCCAUGCUUGUUUUGCCGUAGUGGCACAAGCAAUUUUUUCCCAAGCCGCUUCAUAUGAUUGAACUCCUUGAUAUAUCCAAAAUAAGGCUUGCUGAUUUUUUUUCUUUGAUUUUCUUAGACUCUCUUUUUGAACUUGUAUUAAUCAUUCUUCCUCUUCAGCCUCAACUUCAUUAUAACAUUUUUCAACAAUCUCCCAAACUUCUAGAGAUCCAAGAAGAGCCUUCAUUUGGAUACUCCAUUUGCCAUAAUUUUCUGUGGUUAAUUGGGGAACAGAAGAAAGAGGAAUAAAAUUAUUCAUUUCAAUGAACAAGGCUCUGAUACCAAUUUGUAGAAGUUUGAUUAAUAUUUGGAGAAAUAAAACAAAGAAAGUGAUAAAGAAUAUAAUGGAGAAGAGAAACAAAUUUUGUAUGGAAGAGAAGAAAAAUUUUUUCUAAUAAACUUUUUAUUUCACUCACACUAUGUAUUCUUCAUCACAUAUAACUCUUUAUAUAGGAGUUGUAAGUGACUAUUCAUCUAUAUCACUAAAUGCUAAGAGUUGUAACUAUUCAUUUACAUAACUUAAAUACUAUAGAAGUUAUGACUAUUCAUGCAUGUGUGUAACUUUUCAUCUUCAAGUCUCUUCGCAUUAUUAACUCUUCAUAUUCAAGUCUUUUCACAUUCAUAACUUCUCAUAAUUUAAUUUAUGCAAGAUUAAUUUAAUUAUUUGCCAACAGGUACAAUACUUUUGUUUGUCUUUUGUGUUUUGGAAAAUGCAUGCGAAAUCCAUGCAUAUGCAAACAUUUUGUACAAGAAAUUUGCAUAUCAGUACUGCAUAAAAGAGUGACUCUGGAGUUAUGGAAUUAUUUGAUAAUAUUGAAUACGAAAUAAAUAAAAAAUAAAAGAGUGGGUGAUUAAUCCGAAUUGGGAGGAGGACAGGUGUUGUGAUGGACAAGGGCAGCUAGGUAUUCCUUUUCAAACGAAGAAGAUAAAAGAUAAAACAUAUAGUGUGGUGGUCGAAGAUAAAUGAUUACAAUAACACUAAUAUGAUCUGCUUUGCCUUCGUCCACCACCUCAUCUUUAUGUUUUUAUCUUGGUUGUGACUCACGUUGGCCUUAGUCUGAAAGUGCUGUCAGUCCUACUAUCGUGGUUCUGUUGCCUACCUUUUGAUUUCUAUAUCUCAGGGUCUAUUUGAAUGUGCCGUGGGGAUAAAGUUAGAAAAUUGCUUUUAAGGGUUGAAGUUAAAUUAUGUAUCUUUAUAGUUUUUAGAGGUGUUGAAUCAAAAUUUUAUUAUUUUUUGAAUAAACUGUAAAUUUACAAUGUUUAACUUAUAAUUUUAUUGAUUUAGAGAGAUUUAAAUAAUAGUUUUCCAUUUUAGGGGUGUAAGGAGUAAUAUUCAUUUUAAGGGUCUAAAGAGUAAUUUUCAUUUUAAGGGGACUACGAUUAGAUUUGAUUAUGAGUUAGGUCACCUGUCCAAGCUCGAUGGCCCUAUUGAAAAGUGAGGGAGUUUGGAAAAUAACAUAGGCCUGAAAAAUAAGCUUGGACAAAAAAUAAUACCCAUUUUCUAAAUGGGCCGAGCCUCGAGUAAGAUAUUUUUGCUUGGGCCCAACUCGACCAAAUUUGCUUAAAAUUUUUUCCUUACUACUGUUAACUGUUUUUUUGCUAUUAUAUUAUUACUAUUUUAUUGUUAUGUUUGGAUAUUGUAUAAUUAUUGUUUAUUGUUAAUUUUGCUACUAUUUUAGAUGCAUUUGCUUGCUAAGUUGCAACUAUCUUAAUGUUAUAUAAGUAUAAAGACUUUUUUUUAAUGUAUUUUCAAUUUGUUGGGAAAUAUUUAUUUUAAUAUUUUUAAUAUAUUUGAUGUAUUAUAUUUUUUAAAAUAAAAAAUAAUAAAAAUAAUUUAAUAGAGGCGGGCCGGGCCAAGCUUAGGUUUGGCAUUGUUUUAUUUGAGUCAGGCUUGAACAAAAAUUUAGGCCUAUUUUCGGGUCAGGUAGGGCCAGAACCUAGAAAACGAGCCUAAAAUUCAAUCCAAUUGAGCUCAUGAUCAAGUCUAGCCACAACCCCUACUGCUCUGGUCAAUGCCUUUGGAGACAAUAUUAAUUCUUUUAAGAUUGAAAAUAGCGAUGGCGAUGAAAUUAAUUACUAUAGCAAUGAGAUUAGUUAUUAUAGCGAUGAUAUUAAAAAUAGUGAUGAGAUGUGUGUUAGGAUUCAAACACGACAAUAAUAGAAAAAUAGAUAAUAAAUUUGUAAUAAGAAAGCAAAAUAACCGUUAUAGACAUUAAACUAAAGUAGUUUUCAGCUUCUUCUCAUUGCACUCUUCUUCUCAAUUCUUUUCCAUUUUUUUGGUCUUUCUUAGUUUUGUUUAAUUUGUUGCUACCAAGGUAAUGCUCUGACAUCUUUUGUUUUUCUUAAUUUUUCGUUAUUCUUUCCUCUUGUUCUCUGGAAACCAAUUUGCUCUCAUCUGUUGGGUGUUGUUUAUCUAUUAUUUUAUUUUAUCUAUUUGUCGCUCCUAACGACUUUUUUGUCACGGUUCUGGUCCGUGUCGCUUCUAGUCUUUAAUUCGGUUGUUGGUCUUCGCGAUUUGGAGUUUUGGGAUUGUGGUAAGGUUGCAUGGGAGGUCUGUGAAGCGCGUAAUUCUUUGUCGAUGAACAGUGUCGUAGGAAUUGUUUCUUCUUUAGGUGCUGAAAUGGCUGUUGUGGGUCGACAUCGGAAAGCAGUAAGUUGUGUAACGAAAAAAUUGAAAAAUUCGAAAAACAGCGAUCGAAGAAAGUUGAAAAAGUGCACUAUCGAUGCCACAUGACCGUGUGGUAGGCCGUGUGUGACACACGAUCAUGUGACAGGCCGUGUGCAAGUUCGUUUGGCCACACGGUCUGGGCCAAUUGGGCUGUGUGGGCCACACGGGUAUAAACGAGGCCGUGUGGGCCCAUUUUUUGGAAAUUCCAUCUUGGCCCAAUUUGAUCGGUAGAAGGUAAUUAGCCUCUCCGUAGGGUCCGUACCGCUUAAAUAGGACUUGAAAACAAGGUAUCUAUAAAUAUGGUUCUAUGUUGUGUUAAAUGUAUAUGUAUUAUAAAUUUGUAUGAGCUAAUACUAUUAGUUCUGAAGGUAUGUCUUGAUUCGUUAUGUCUGUAUAAGCGUCUAUAUUGUACGAUCAUGUUAAUUUGUAUUUUUGAAUUUGAUAUAACCAUGCAUGUGAUUUCAUGGUAAAACUUAUGUGUUUCUAUAAGAUUAAAUAAAUCUAUUCUGUAAAGCUUGGACUUUCAUGUCUUUUGUUUCUGUUAUUGUACGUCAGCAUGUUCUACAUGCUCACCAUUUUGAUUCUGUACAUACAUGCCUUGACACAUUGCAUGGAAUUUUGAUAAUGUUAAAGGAGAAAGAUUCAGUAUUGGUAGUUUAAUGAUCUGCGUAAUUCAAUGGCUUGAUCACAUAUAUUUGAUCUGGCAAUUUAACUGCAUAUUGCUAAGACAUUGUUACCGGGCAACCCGGGGUGGCGGGUCAUUAUUGAUGGGCAACCCGUGAUGACUUAACUGGUGUGUUUUUGGAUGGAAGAGUUCUAGGGAACUCUAUUUUGGUGUGUAGCGGAGUUGGGUAGGACGUUUUCUAAAAAAAUCCGCAUUAUGAUUUUCUAAAAUAUCGAAUUGGCAUAAUCAUACAUAUUCAAUUAUGUUUGAUUAAUUGUUAUAAAAUUUGCUGUGAUUUUCUUAUUUGUUUAUUGUAUUGUAUGUGACCUUAGCUUGAGUUUUAGUUAGACACUAAACUUAAUAGCUCAACCAUUUGUUUUUUUUUUUGUACAUUUCAACACAUUUCAAGUAAUCGGUAAGUUAGAGUAGGACGGCGUGCAGGUGCUCGGAUGGUUUUAUCAGUUAUUUCUAAAAAAUUGGCAAUUUUCGUAAUUGUUUAUUUUGAACUUUGGGGCUGUAAUUUUUUUUUGGGUUUUUGUUUUGGUUUCUAUUUAAUUCAUCGAUGUUGAUAUUUGCGAACAUAAAAUUGCUAAAUCUUGCUGGGUUAACAAUUUAAAAUUUUGAUUUCCAAAAUUAAAUCUCUGAAAAUUUUCCAUUGUAAACUAACUCCUAAAGAGUUUUUCUAUAUAAAAAACAAAUGGUUUUAAUGAGUGUUUGCCUUAAACUAGAAAUGAUUUGUCAAAAUAGAUAUUAUCAAAACACACGAUUUGAAAUUCAAAAUUCUGGGUUUUAAGUGAGUUUUUUCCGAACUUAAGUUUUUCUAAACAUUCAUGAAAGUUUUGCCAAAGUGUAUAUUUUCGAAAUGCAUUUAGUUUGAUCGAAGCAAAGGCUUUUGAACAAGUUGAAUGUAAUUUCUCAACAUCCGGUCAUAACUUUUAGGCCAAGUUUAGGAUCUUACAGUUGGAUUGUUAAAUUAAUAAUUAUACAAAAAUAUAUUAAAGCGUAUAAAAUUACUUUGGUUUCAUACUAGUGUAAGCAGACCCCUCCCCUUUUAAUAUAUAAAAUUAAUUAUAUCUUUUAAAUUAAUGUAUUUAAUAUUAUUUAUAAAUAUAUUUCUUUAUACACCUAACUAAUGUAAAUAAAAUACUAAAUAUGAUUUGAAGUAAUGAAAUAAAAUAAACACUAUAAAUAAAAAUAUUAAAAUUUUGAAAAAUAUGGAAAAAAAAUUAAUGUAAAUAUCUCCAAUCACUCUGUGAAUGCCUCGAGCUUCUAGACCUGUGCACUCCAAACCUCCUCAUCUAAUGAAUCCACUAUGGACACCUUGUUCAUUGGUUCAAAGUGGUUGAUGUUGGUUUCCAUAUAUCCUUUGUCUCCGAUAAGAAAGGAUUUCUUCCAAAUUGAAAAUCUUGUAUUGAAGCAUGUCAUUUUACCAUAAGCCAUUCAUCGUAGAAUCGAACUCGUUUAACUUUGAAAUCACUCUCCUAAUGCAUGUUAUUUGGAAAGUUGUUGAUGAAGAUUGUUGAACACCCUUAGUUUUUCCACUCCAUUUUUCUAAUGUCCGCCCCCCUUGGUUAUAACAAUCCGGAACCUCCCUUAAUCUAACUUAUUAUAAAAUUAAAAAAAAAACUCUAAAUAAGACAAUAAAAGGUUUUAUUUAUUUAUUUAUACCACAUUAUAGCAUGAUGAACAUUACAAAUGGGCAUGAAUAAAUAGACAUAUACUAGUGGCAUAAGCUUGAAGACCUGACUUACCAAUACACUAGAAUUUCACACAUAACAAACGCACGCUAUAUACGGAGAUGCAUGGGAAAACAGCGGUAGGUAGAUAUAAGUCAACUGGCUGUCAAAUUUAUUCUAGUAGUAGUGCAAAACAUAUAUAGCACAUUAUUAUUGCUGACACUGACAACCUGAGCACCAGCAUUUUGAUCAGAAAUUUAAGCAAAGCCACCCAAGAAAGCUGCGUUUGUAUUACCAUCACUGCAAUAAAGGCAAGGGUUCUGCUCAAUCCAUUGUCCAUUAAAAUCUUGGCAGCCUCAGCCAUAAGUGUCUGUUGCUUAUUCCAGCACCCAUGUGCUGAUCGAUUAUGCUAAUUACCACUGCAAGGGUGAACGCCCCAAUGGCUAUAUUCUCCAAAACUAGGUCAUAUGAUGUCUCAUUGGCUUCACACCCACUUAAUAAAAUCCCUUCAUCCUCCUCCAGUGGAUCCAACACCAUUAACCCAUCUACGUAGUGAGGAAUGAGGAUGGAAUUUGAGAUUCACAUCUUUCCCGAAGAUUCCAAAAAUCUUUUGACCAACAUUUGCUGCGUCGUGUAGGAUUCCUGCUGCUGUAUCUAUCGCACUAUGCAUAAUAUCAAAAGGAAAACUCUUAGCCUGAGCCUUAGAAGGUUUAGGCUUGUCGGUAUUUACUGUUGUCGUCAUAUGCUCACCACCAAAUUGUUCUUUCUCUUUUUGAAUGAGACCACCACUGUGGCACGAAUCUGAUAGGAUUGUGAAGCUUGCUCCUUCUGGUAGCCGGUUAACUAAACGCCUGAAGUCCACGUCUGCAGAAACCAUGUAUAUAUAUAGGGUAUGAAUAUAUGUUGCUAAAAUAAAUAUAUAAAUUCAAACAAAAACCUUCCAGUGACAAGAUAUAAAUCACAAGCCACGAUUGCUUCAUCAUGCUUGAAAGGCUAGCCAGCUUGAAAGAUUGGAAUGCGAGUUCCAUGUCCACUGAAGUAGAAAGAAAGGACAUCUCCUGGUUUAGCCUUGUUCACCAUCUUAUUAAGUGCAUCCUUAAUGUUUGCACCAGUAUGCGGAACCGGCGACCCUGGCACAUCGAUGAGCACAUUAACAUCGCUUACCUUAAACCCAAAGUUUCAGGAUCACAUCUGUUAUGGCUUUCACAUCAUUGAUGCAUCCAUGCAAGCUGAACUGGGUCUUGGGGUAGUUGCAUCCCACCAGAACAGCUCUCUUCGUACCCUUACCCAUCUUGCUUUGGUAAUUUGACUAUUUUGUGUUGCUUGUACUGUUGUAUUAAUGUGCUUCCACUUUCUCACUAAGAACCUAUAUAUAUAGACACUAAUUUACAGCAUGAGUACUGACCAUAAAGUUGACGACAUGUAGGUAGGUAGGUAGGUACAACACUUUUGUUUGUCUUUUGUGUUUUUGGAAAUGCAUGCGAAAUCCAUGCAUAUGCAAACAUUUUGAGCAAGGAAUUUGCAUAUCAGUACUGCAUAAAAGAGUGACUCUGUUGUUAUGCAAUUAUUUGAUAAUAUUGAAUGUGAAAUAAAUUCAAAAUAAAAGAGUGGGUCGUUAAUCCGAAUUGGGAGGAGGACAGGUGUUGUGAUGGACAAAGAGGAAGACAAGGUGGUUUCCGAUUGAAGCAAGAAAGCUCUAGCAAAAGGCAGCUAGGUAUUCCUUUUUCAGACAAAGACGAUAAAAGAUAGAAAAUAUAGGGUGGUGGUCGAAGAUAAAUUAUUAUAACAGCACUGAUAUGAUCUGCUUCGCCUUCGUCCACCACCUCAUCUUUAUGUUUUUAUCUUGGUCGUGACUCACGUUGGUCUUCGUCUGCAAGUGCUGUCGGUCCUACUAUCGUGAUUGUGUUGCCUAGCUUCUGAUUUCUAUGUCUUAGGGUAUAUUUGAAUGUGCGGUUUGUAUGAGGGUGAGGUUAGAAAAUUGAUUUUAAGGGUUGAAGUUAAAUUAUGCAUCUCUAGAAGUGUUAAAUUAAAAUUUUAUUAUUUUUUGGAAUAAAUUGUAGUUAUAUAAUGUUUAACAUAUAAUUUAAUAGAUUUUAGAGAGGUUCAAAUAGUAAUUUUUUAUUUUAGAGGAUAUAAAGAGUAAUUUUUAUUUGAAGGGGGCUACAAUUAGAUCUGAUUAUGAGUUGGGCUAUUCUUUCAAACUCGAAGGGCUGCCCAAAAAAUGGGAUUGUUUAAGCAAAAAUAUAGGCUCAAAAAAUAGGCUUGGACAAAAAAUAAGGCUUGUUUCCCAAAUAAGUUGGGUCUUAGGUAAGAUUUUUUGCGUAGACCUAACCUUACUCGAAUUUGGUUAAAAAAAAUCCUAUUGCUGUUAACUACUAUUUUGCUACAAUUUUACUAUUAUAUUGUUGCUAUUUUUUUAUUAAUGUUUGAAUAUCAUGUAAGUUUGUUUUACUAUUAAUUUUGCUACUAUUUUAGAGGCAUUUUCUUGCUAAAUUGCAACUAUCUUAGUGUUAUUCAAGUAUAUUUUUUUAAAAUAUAUUUUUAAUUUGUUGGGAAAUAUUUAUUUUAAUGUUUGUAGUGUAUUUGAUAUAUUAUAUUUUUUAAAAUAAAAAAAUAAUAUAAAAAAGUUUUAAUAUGGGUGGUCUGAGCCAAGCACAAGUUUGGCAUUUUCUUAUCUGGACUAGGCUUGAUCAAAAUUUUAAGUUUAUUUUUCAUAUCAAGUUAGGCCCAAGCCUAGAAAAUGGGUCUAAAAUCCCAGCUCAACUUAGCCCAUGAUCAAUUCUAGCCACGUCCCUAUUUGCUGUGGUCACUACUAGCGAUGAGAUUAAUUUCAAUGAUAUUAAAAAUAGUGGUGAGAUUAGUUACUAUAGUGAUAAGAUUAAAGUCAAUAGUGAAAUGGUGUUAGGAUUCAAACACAACAAUGACAGCAACAUAGAUUAUAGAUUUAUAGUAAGAAUGCAAAAUGACCAUUAUGGACAUUAAAUUAAAGUAGCUUACACCCUUCCAUAUGCUUUUGUACAAGUAAUAUUUUAAUGAUAAAAAUGUCAUAUUUAAUAUUUCAUUGAUAUAAAUCAUAUGCAUAUCUUUAACAUAAAUUAAAAUUUUCUAACGAUUUGUUUUAUGUAUGAAUACUUUUAAUUGUUUAAUAAAUGUUAAUAUAUAUAAUAUUUUAGAUCGAUAUGAUAGAAAUAUCGAAUCAAUUUGAAAAUUUAAAUGCAUGAAAAGUGCAAUAAUAUCAAAAAAUAUAUGAAAGCGUAUAAAAUUACUUUAGUUUCACACUGGCGUAAGCAGAUCCCUCCCCUUUUAAUGUGUAAAAUUAAUUAUAUCAUUUAAAUUAUGCAUUUAAUAGUAUUUAUAAAUAUAUUUCUUUAUACACCUAACUAAUGUAAAUAAAAUAUUAAAUACGAUUUGAAGUAAUGAAAUAAAACAAAUUUUAUAAAUAAAAAUAUUAAAAUUGUUGAAAAAUAUGGAAAAUGUUGAAUGGGAUUAAUGUAAGCAUUUCCAAUCACUCUGUGAAUGCCUCGAGCAUCUGGAACCUGCACUCCAAAAUUCAGACUAAUAUAAAUGUUACAUGAAAGAAGUUAAAAUCAUGAAAUAAGUACUUUUCAAAAUUCGGUAUUUACACUUGCCCAAUAAUAUAAAUAUAUUCAGCAUUUAAUUUUGUGACAUACAUAAAAUUUUAAUAAUACAAAUUCAGUAUUUUUCUUGGGUUUAUCAAACGAAAACUUGGUAAAUAUAUGAUUAACAAGGAGAUGUUAAUUGAAGUAGAUAAAAUUCAUUCCCAACAUGACUUGAAGAAGGUUACAUGGCAUCUCAGAAAAUGAAGGGAAAGCAUUCUGAAAAGGUUAGUUUCUUCAGAUAUUCAAAAUACAAAUUUCAGACCAUAUCGUUCUGUGUACAGAUGAAAGGCAUCAAAGUAGCAGUUGAACUUACGGGGAUCUUUAGGGGAAAGAAAGGAGAGAGAAGACCACAGACAAUGAAAUCCAUACAAGCAAAAAAUGAUAUUGUCAGUCUUAGAAAUCCAUACUUUCAAAAAACAUACUUCAUGAUCCAUGAUUUUAUGAGAAGACUCUUUGGAGGAGAACUUCCUAGGUCGACUUAGAAGAUAUGAAUGACAGUCUUCUAGAAAACUUCCUAAAUACAGUCAGUUUUAAAAUUCAAAAAAUGAAAAACCUUGAUUAAUUGUCAGUUAUGUCCUUUUCAACUAGCUGGUUGCAUACUGCAUAUGAAUGCUGACAAACAUUUCUUGCGUCCAUCAGCUUAUGCGAGAUUCCUCCAGUGUUGUAUGAAGAGGUUUCUUGAAAUGAUUCCCUAGCAAAAUGGUAAUACAGUGGCAAAGGUGAUAUUUCUGACAUCACCUAAGUUUUUUUAUUUGAUUUAUCUGUGAAGUUAUGGUUCUUUCUUUCUAAUAGAUUAUCUAUCAAGUUGAUUCAAGUAAUUAAGCUUAUUGGCUAGAAAUAAACAAAGAAUCUUGGAUUUCUAAAUUCUUAAUAGGUUCAGCUAUAUUUGUUGAAGGAUUCGGUGUAUGCUAAAGUUGCACCAAAAUCCACAGCCAAAUACUCAAAAACUCUGUUUGCAUAUACUAUAUUGUCAUUCAAAAACUGUCAGUCAAAUACUCAAAAACAAACCUUCUGAAAGUAGUGUUUGAUAUCUCUCAGCAAGGCAUCUAUAGUCUCAGAAAUGGACAGACAUACUUCGGUGCCACAGAAAACAAAUAAAUAAGAUCAUAAUGUUUUGUAUAACCUAAGAACAGAGAAAUGUUUAAGUAUGGCGCAUACCUGAACUUUGCAUCAUUCUUAGGAAUUGAAGGUAUCCUAGUCAGCCUUCUCGCAGAAACACUUCCUCUAAGAUUUAAGUGAUAAUGAUAUAUCUUAUUAUCACUAAUGCCUGCAGCCAGACACAAAAUUGACUUUAUUAAAUACAUAACGAAGAAUUUAACAGAAGAGACACACACACACACAUAUGCAUGUAUAUAUAUAUUGUUUAAUAUGCUCUAACUAACGGAAUAAAUGGACAAAUUUUAAUAUUAAAAGGAAAAAAAGAAGCAUGCCUCUUGACAACAUUUCAGGCACUAUAAGCAGCGUAGUAAACUUAAAGCAAAAUUGAGUCAUUGACAACCCUGUAUUAUCGCCCACACCUUAAGCAGCUAACAACUGACAGGCAAUACGCAUAGCCUAGUGGUAACCAUGUUAAUCUUCCAAAAAGGAGAUCUCUGGUUCUAAUUCCCUGUUCCCCUAACUGUUGUCAAAAUCUAAGCUAUUCAACCAUGGAUAUUUGACUAGCAAGAAAAGAAUACUGAGACACUAAACUUACUGGUAGUUUUGAUGGAAAACAACCCAUCUGCGGCAGACGGAAGUCAAAUAAUCAUGAAACAUAAAUAUUUAUCGAGAUCUUUGUAUCUAGAAUCAAAUGAGCUCAUCAUCAUCAUCAGCCACUUACCCCACUUUUCCGUUGCACUUAAGGUCUUGAAACUCCUCCAAGCAACUACCGGUGCCCGUAUCUGAUACUGCUCAUUAAGAUACAAAAUAAAUAGAUUUUUCUAGAAACGGUAUCUAUCAUUUACAGUCUACAGAUUUACCUUGCAUGACCUAAUCAUUUUUAAAAGCUUAUUUAUGCUUUUGAUGAACUCAUUUGAAAGAAAACCAGCCAAGACCAUACCGUUUCAACUUCAAAAUGACAUGAUUUCAAUGCAUAUUUUCCAAUUUAGAUAUAACUUCCUAUUUUUCUGAAAGAUCGCGUCACAAAAAAUCAAAGUAAAUAAUUCUAAUUAUAGUGAGGCAAAAAUUAAAGGAAGAAUGAAAAGUAUUCACUUGAAUGAUUGGAGGAGAGCUCUUGAGAACGACUGAUAGUCGGCAAAGAUCUUCGGAUAAACGACAUCUUUGAACAGCAAAAGAAAUUAAUUGACAAUAAGAAAAACGAAAGGAAAUUAAAGAAGAAAAGGAGAUUAGAGUGGAUUAACAUAUUAUUAUUUGUUUUUUUUCCAAACCUAAGAUUGCUUAAGGUAUCUAUUAUUUGGUUCGUAAAAGUAUAUUGUGGAAAUUUUAUGGACUAAACACCAUUGUAAAUCACAUAUUCUAGUUUUGUUAAGUAAAAAUUAAAAAAAUAUAUAGAAGAAUUGAAAUAUCAAUCAAAACCCCAAUUUUCUAAUCACCCAACCAGCAUAACCCAUAAUUCAGAAGAAAAGAGAAAAUAAAUUACAAUAGAUCUAGAAAUUAAAAAAAAACACAAAAAUAAAAAGCCAAUAAGAAAAUUUAAAAAAAAGGAAGAAAUGAAGAAGAAUUGUCUUACCUGAGAUAAUGUCACCUUUUGCGGCGUUUUUACCACAAAGGCUGCUAUUUCUUACAUUAUUUUGUGGUGUUUUUAUCAUAUAUGCUACUAUUGCUUUACCUAUUGCAGCAUUUUUUCGUUAGCACUACUAGUGUAUAACAUUUGCGAUGUUUUUCGUCCAAACACCGCUAAAACCUUAAUUUCCUGUAGUGGACCCCUAUGUGAUGGCCUGAUGGUUAAAAGUGUUCAUCGUCCUAGGUGUUGUCUGGGUUCAAAUCGUGUUAGUUGCAUUUGUCGUUCGGGCUUUUCCCUGUUAUUGUAAUUCACCAAAAAAGAAAAAAGUUAAUAUUUUGUUUUUAGGUUUGUUAUAUUUGUUAAAAAAUACCAGUGACUAAAUGGCUUAGGGACAAUUAAACAAAGUUUAUAAUUUAUCGAGAUAUAUUCUAAAAUAAAAUAUAAAUAUUUAUUCAAUGUGUAAUUUAAUACGUAAAUUUUAAUUUUAUACAAUUAUAUAUAUGAUUUUUUUAAAGUGAGAUGAAUUUAUGAAUUUAUAGUAUUAAUUCCAUAUUAAACUAUUAUAAUUUACGUACAUUCAAAAAUAAUAAUAUUACUUUUGGCUCACAUGCAAUUUAGUUAGAUACGUUACGUUUACCUAACUCAAAAUUUUAAAAAGAAAAAUUAUAAAGGCAGAUUAUGUUUUUAUAGAUGUGAUUUAGUAAUACAAAUGUUUUAUUCUUUAUCUGAAAAAGAUGAGUUUUUUUUUAUAAUUUAAUUAAAAUUUACAAUUAUGAUUUAAUUUGGUGUAGCUUUUAGAGAUGACAAUGGAGUGGGGUGAGAGUAAAUAUUGUUAAAUUUAUUAUCGAUCAUCGCUCCAUCAUUUGCAUGUUGUAUACAUUCAUCCUCGACACACCCCAACCCACUUUGCUCCACUUCAAUUUAUUUUUUGAUAUUUGUUUUUGAUAUUUUCAAUCUUUUUAAAGUCAAGUAAAUAUUUAAAUGUAAUUCUUCAAAAAAUAUUUAAACAUAAAAUAUUUAAUUUUUUUUCUAUAUUACAUUUUUAUAUUUUUACCCUUAAAAUAGUUUAUAUAUACAAGGAUAAAAUAGUAAUUUUAUACAGUAGAGUGGGUCGGGGAAGGACAAACAAUUAUCGUAAUUACCGAAAAAAAUUCACCCUGUCCUGUCCUGCAUCCACUCUUUAAAAAAAAAAAAACAAAUGUUUCAUUCGAAGAGAAACAAUUCAAAAUCUAUUUGAUGGAUUGAGUUUUGCCAUACCUAAUAACUUCAAUCCGAGUUCAUAAUUGAAUGCUGAUGAGUUUAGAUGGUAAUUUGUUUUCCAAACUUUUUGAUGUCGUCUUCCUUCAACAUGCCUAUCAACUAUUUAAUCAUUUACCUCUUAGAAAACUACAAAUUGUUUUGGUGUAACACCCUUAACCCAUAUCCGUCUCCAAAUUAGGGUUACAAGGCAUUACUGAACAAAACACAACUCAGAACAGACGUUUAUUUGAAUUCAAAAAUUUUAACAUCUAUAUGAAAAUUUGUUUAACUCAAAUUGUACCUGAACUUAUCUACUUACUCUUUAUAACCUAUUAACAUUCAAUCUAAAUGACAUUCUACCUUAUGAAUAUUCGGCUAUUUGACUAAUUUCAAAUCUAAAUUAACUAUUUUAAAACAAAACAUAAACAUUGCAACGAUCUAAACCAUAAGGAAAUAAGGCAUUUUCACAUGGCUAAUAUUUACAUAAACAGUAUCUCAAAAUACAACAUACAAAAAUAAUGUCCAGCCUAUACAUGCCAUAAGUUAAGUUCUAACAUUUAAAUACCAAGAUAGUAGAUAGAGUUAUGAACUUUGCUAACGAUCCCCGAGCUUGAAGCUUGAAUUUUUAAGUCUAUAAAACAGAGAGACGUAAACGAACAAAGUAAGCUUAUAUAGCUUAGUAAGUCUAUAGCAUAACUAAAAUAUAUAUAAAAGUCAUAUAAUUUCCAAAUUAAAUUCACUGAAAUUGUAAAUAACACAAACAAUUAUAAUAUUAGCAUUUGUUGUCCUUAAACCAUUUUAUAUAUAACCAAAUAUAUGUACCUGUCGAAUGCAUACAUCUGAAUAUAUGUAUACAUAUACAUCAUGUGUAUAUAACCGAUCAUAUAUAUAUACUAAAUAAACAUUAUAACCGAAUGCAUAUAACCGAACAUGUAUAUAUAUACUAAACACAUAUUAUAUCUGAUUGUAUAUAUAUACUCGUCUUAAACUUAAAACCCAGUACAUAUCUAAAGCAUAUAACCGAAUGCAAAUAUAUUCAUCAAAUACUUAUAAACAAAUGUAUAUACACCUCAAAUACAUAUAUAGAUACUUAUCGAAUACAUUUGCCGAAUGUAUAUAUAUUUAUCAACUGCUUAGCAAAUGCAUAUACCUAAUGCAUAUAUAUUUAAUAUAUGCAUAUACCGAAUGCACAUAUAUAUAUUUAACAAAUGCUUAGACCGAAUAUAUAUAUGCUCAUCAAUUAAAUAUAACCAAAAUCAUAUAACUGAACAUUUGUAUACUCAUCAAAUACUUGUAACUGAAAUCAUAUACAUAUCCAAUGCAUGUAAUCACAUACUUUAAAUAGAUUCACCGACACUUAGCCUGCUAAGCUUGAAGCCUGAUUCUGUACACCGGCACUUAGCCUGCUAGACAUAUAGUCUGAAAUGUUUCACCGGCAUCAAGCCUGCUAGACGUAAAGUCUAAAUUAUUUCACUGACAAUAAACCUGAUAGGCACUGAGCCUGAAAAUCUCAAUUCACAGAAGUUGUAACUCUUAUUCGAACUAUAUUUGUAUAUAAUAUCCAUACAUAAAAAUUCAGCUCAAUAAUUUAUUAACUAUAUCUUUAAACCACAUAGAUAUAUAAAGAUCAAAUACCAAAUUCAGCUAAAUGACUUAAUUAUACAUCCGAACACUCACAUAUAUAUAAUUUAAUAAAUUAAAUUCUACUACUAAAAUCUUAUCAUUUAACUUAUAUCAUACCUUAAGUAACAUACAUUUACUAAUCGAAUCACUUAAAUACAUAUAUAUUUCAUAACAUUAAAAAUCAAUUCAAAGAAAAUAUAUCAUACAUUCGAACACCUUAUAAAUAAUGUAAGCUAACAAUUUCAUACCUUUAAAUAUAUUCAAGACUUAUUCAUAUACAUACAUAUAUGUUCCAACUCACAUAUACAUAUAUAUAACAUUCAUACUUUUAACCAAGUCCAAGGGUUUAUACAUGUAUAUACUUAUAUAUAUUCGGACCUUAUGUAUACAUAUAUAUUAUAUAUAUACCUUUGAUUAAAAACAAGAAUUUAUACAUAUAUAUAUAUAUAUUUUCGAACAUGAUACAUAUAUAUAUAUAUCAUUCAUACUUAAACCAAAUUCAAUCUAUAUACUUUCAAUUUCAGCACAUCAAAAUAUAAUAUAUAUACAUACAUAUAUACUGAUUUAAUAACAUCAAAUUGCUAAUAGACUUACCUCGGACAGUGUAAAAUCGAAACUGGACGAUUAGUCGACUACUUUAGCUUUUCCCCGAUUCAACUCCAAUUUCUUUAUUUCUUGAUCUAAAUAUAUUCAAAAUAAACUAGUUUAAAUAUUAUUACAUUCAAUUUAGUCCAAAAACACAUAAAUGAGAAAAUUACCAUUUUGCCCCUGACAUUUUACACUUUUUGCAAUUUAGUCCCUAUUGCAUAAAACACAAAAUACGCAAAAUUGCCCAACCUAUGCUAGGGCCGAAUGUUCAUAGGCUUCAUAAAAGUCCACACAUUUCAUUUAUUUCACAUUUUAGUCCCUCAAUAAAUUUAAUUUCACAAGUUAGCCCUAAUUACUCAAUUUCACCAAAAAUUCAAAGACAAAACAUAUUAAUCUUUCACCCAUCUUUCAUAUUUCAUCAUCAACUAUCAAAAAGCUCAAACAUUCAUCAAUGGCAUAUCUCAAAAUCACCAUCAAAUUCUAAAAUUAAAGCAUGGGUCUUGUAGUAUACACAAAGCAACGAUCUCAAAACGUAAAAAUUAUCAAAAAAUCGAAACAAAACUAACCUCAAUCAAGCUAUGAAAGUGCCAAACUUUAGAAAGCCAUAGUUGGGUUCUUCAUGCUUAACAUUCGGCUAAGAAAAGAUGAAAACAUUCAUCUUUUCAUCAUUUAUUUUUAAUUAUAAUGUUUAAUUUAACAAUUGACUAAAUUAACCUUAUUAUAAUAAAUAUAUAAAACAUAUAUAUUAAGGUUAAUUAUAUCAUAUGCCACCCACUAUCUACUAUAUGGUCUUAUUGCAUCAUAAAUCCUCCCAUUUAAAAAGAAAACAAAAAAUAGGUGCUUUUAUAUUUAACCUCUAAAUUUUUAUUUUACGCGAUUAAGCCCUUUUAUUAAAUCGGAUACUUAAACGACGAAAUUAAAACACGAAAAUUUCACACAAUAAAAUUCACACAUAAUAAACACACAAAAUAAUAUUAAAAUAUUUUUCUGACUCGAAUUUGUGGUCCCAAAACCAUUAUGUCCGAUUAGGGUCAAUAUUGGGCUGUUACAAAUGGUGCGUGUAUAACUAUGUUUUACAUUGCAUUUUAAAUUUUCCUUUUUUAAUAUCGGUUGGAAAAUAUGGACAUCACAUAUAUAUAAUAAGGGUAAUUACAUGUUUUUAUCUAUUAUCAUAAAAGGUUAGCCCAAAUUAAAAGUGAUCGAAUUUGGUUAAAUUUUAUUGGGCUUUAAUUAUUAAAUAAAGUAUAGGUUAAAUAUGUGUAGAUACUCUAGUAAUUAAUUUCUAAUCAAUAAUGGGUUAAUUAGAUAUUAGGUUAACGUGUAAAAGUUAUAUAUUAGGGUUAUGGUUAUCAAAUUACACAUAAAGUAACUUUUCUAAUAUUCCAUAUUUAGAAAAGAAAGAGUCACCUUCUCUGAAUUUCUUUUGUGCUAAUUUGGAAGAUCAAAACUCCAAUAUCCGUAGAUUUCAAGAAAUCAAUGAAUUAAGGUAUGCUUUCGCAUCUAGUUUUGUUCUUGAUGAUUUGAUACAUGAUAGAUCCUAGUUUACAGUUUUAAGUUUGUAUCCUAUUUUAUUUUACGGUUCUAACAAGUGGCAUCCGAGCCUCGUCAUGUUGAAUCAUUCUACUUCUAGCUAGAGCUUAUUCUCGUUGAUUUUCUUUUCUUUUAUUAUUUCUUUUUACUUUGUUUUAAUUUUUAUUUUAAUUUUUAAAUUUUAAACUCUUUAUAUUUUUAUUUUAAAAAUAAAAUUGUCACGGAUGUAUAUAAAUACAACAUUACCUAUUGCUAUCUACUCAUUUAUAUUUUUCAAUUAAAUUUUUGUUUUUAUAAAUCUCUACAUGCUUACAUUACUUCAAUACAACACCAAAAGAACCAAAUGUCAAACACCGACGCUUAUAAAUAAAAUUCUUGCAAAAGAAGCCGUUUUAUUUAUCAUAAAAUUAUACAUGGAAUAGCCAUACAUGGCGAUUACAUAAGCUUGAAUGCCUUAAAAAACACAGACAUUAUAUGAUAGUAAUAAGCAAACACACACACACAGACGAUAGUAAUAAGCAAACACACACACAGACGCAGUAAUGAAGGCUAACUUCAACUUCGUAGUAGUGCACAUCGAUCGAGCGCAUUAUUAUUUAGUUUAGAGUUUCGACCUCUAGUGAUCGAAAACCCUGGUUCAAAGCCGGCAGCUUACGCACCCGUAGUGGUGUUGGGUUGGUGGCCAAGAAAAGCUGCAUCAGCAUUCUCAUCACUGCAAUAAAGGCAAGGGUGCUGCUGCCCAAAUCCUAGGUUUAUUAUUUCAUUCCUGGCCUUCACCACAAGCUGUCUAUUGGUUAAUGCACCAUUGCUCUCCUUGAUGACCUUCAGAACUGUAUAGGUAAAGGCCCCAAACGCCUUUCCUCCAGUUUUGUCACUCGCUCGCAUAUCAAAUGAAAACUCAUUGGCUUGGCACCCACUUAACAGAAUUCCCUCAUCCUCCGUCAAUGACCUCAAAUUCAAAAUAUCACGUUCAUAAUGGGGUAGGAAUUUGAGACUCACAUUGUUCCCAAAGAGUGUGGUCAAAAGAGAGCCAAUACCCGUCAUAUUGUCUGUUCCAGUGUUGAUGGCAUUGGCAACUGCUGUUGUGUCCAAGAAGCUUUGUGUCGCGCUCACGACGUUGGCUGCUGUUUGUAGGCACUGGUAUAAGGUUUCAAUGGAAAUGCCCCUAGUCUUGUAAUCAACAGGUGGUGCUAUACCCCUUAGAGUACUAUGGGGUCCAAUUUGUUCUUUACUUUUAUCAAUCAGACCACCACUGUGGCAGGAAUCCGAAACCAUUGUGAAGCUUGAUCCACUUGGUAGUUGCUGAAUCAAUUGCCCCAAGUCCACGUCUGCACAACCAUGGCAACCACCAUAUGAUAUAAAUAAUAGUUUGCUUAGAUUGAGAGUAUUUUAAAAUUUUAAUUUACCAAGUUGAUUUCGUACCAAAAAUGGGAUUGAGAUCACAAGGCACAAUUGCUUCACCCCCGUUGGAAGGCUGGUAGGGGUCAAUGCAGUGCACAAGUCCAUGUCCACUAAAAUGGAAAAGCAGGACAUCUCCUUCUUUAGCCGCGACCACCAUCUUCUUGAGUUCAGCCAUAAUGUUUGCACGUGUAGGCUUAUACGUGGACUCUGGUUCAUCAGUUAGGAGCUCAACAUUUUCGGAAUCAAAGCCAAACCUGCUCACGAUCAUUUCUCUCAUGGCUUUCACAUCGUUUACGCAUCCGCUCAACUCGUUGAUGGUGUUGGGGUAGUUGCAUCCGACCAGAACGGCUCUCUUCUUACAUUCGGUGGCCAUCUUGCUUCUAUUUUGGGUCGCUUGUCUUGUCUUGUGCUUCGGACGUUGCACUAAACACCUAUAUAUAUACACCCAUACACACUGUAGUUUACACUAUGCUCACUGACCAUACUCUAAUAAAUAAGACAUCAUGUUGGUAGGUACAACUGUUUUAUUUUAUUAUUGUUUAUAAAAAUGCAUGGCAAAUCCAUAUACAUGCAAUUAGUUGUCUGUAUAAAAGUACCACUGUUAGAGUGUAUUUGGACUAAAAAUUUUAGAAUUAAUUUAAAAUAUUAAAAUUUGUAAUUGUUUUAUUUGGAUAAAUAAUUGAUUUAGGACAAAUUAAGUUAUUAGAAUUUUACAAAUUAAAAAUAGUUAUAAAAUAAAAAUUUUAUAUUACAAAAAAAAUUAAAAUUAACAUUAAAAUAAUUAUAAAAUAUUUUAUACACAAAAAUGAAUAAUUUGAAAAGCUUUCCAUAUUAUUAAGUCCAAAUUUGAUACCACACUUUUCCAAUUAAGCAAUUUUGAUAUAUUUGGCCUCUAAUAAGAAAUCAAGAAAUGGAAUGGGUGAUUAAUCCGAAUUGGGAGGAGGACAGGUGUUGUGAUGGACAAAGAGGAAGAUAAGGUAGGUAUUCCUUUUUGCAGACAAAUAAGAUAAAAGAUAGAAAAUAUACAGUGGUGGUCGAAGCUAGAGGAUUAUAACAGCACUGAUAUGAUCUGCUUCGCCUUCGUCCACCACCUCAUCUUUAUGUUUUUAUCUUGGUCGUGACUCACGUUGGCCUUCGUCUGCAAGUGCUGUCGGUCCUACUAUCGAGAUUCUGCUGCCUAGCUUUCGAUUUCUAUGGCCUUAUUUGGCAAUUGGCUCAUAAUGGGCAAAUUAUAAUUGUAUAAUGUUUAAGUUAUAAUUUUAUAGAUUUAAGAGAGAUCAAAAUAACAAUUUUUUAUUUUAUGGGUAUAAAGAGUAUUUUUCAUUUUAAGGGGGUCAUGGUUAGAUGUGAUUAUGGGUGGCGGUGUGCUCGAAAAGUGGGAGGGUUUAGGUAAAAAUAUAGGCAUGAAAAAUAGGUUUAGAUAAAAAAAAUACCCGUUUUCGAAACAGGUCGAGCCUUGAGUAAGAUUUUCUUUGUCCGGGCCCGGCCCGACCCAAAUUUGAUUAAAAAAAAAUUCUUGGUGUUGUUUAAUGUUGUUUUGCUACCAUUUUACUAUUAUAUUGCUACUAUUUUGUUGUUAUUAUUUGGAUGUUUUAUAACUUUGUUUUAUUAUUAAUUUUGCUACUAUUUUAGAAACAUUUGCUUGCUAAGUUGCUACUAUCUUAGUGUUAUUUAAAUAUAAAGAUUUUUUUUAAUGUAUUUUCAAUUUGUUGGGAAGUAUUUAUUUUAAUGUUUUUAGUUUAUUUGAUGCAUUAUAUAUUUACAUAAAAAAUUUUAAUACGGGUAGACCGGGUCAAGCUCAAGUUUAGCAUUUUUUAUCUGGUUUAAUCUUGGACAAAAUUUAGACCCAUUUUUCGGGUCGAUUUAGCCCAUGAUCAAGUCUAGCCACGACCCUUACCUGCUCUGGUCACUGCCUUUGGCAAUGAGAUUAAUUCCAGUGAGAUUGAAAAUAGCGAUGGCGGUGAGAUUAGUUACUAUAGUGAUGAGACUAAAAUUAAUACUAAAAUGUGUGUUAGGAUUCAAACACAACAGUGGUUUAUAGAUUUAUAGUAAGAAAGUAGAAUGACCAUUAUGGACAUUAAACUAAAGCAGUUUACACUCUUCAGUAUAUUUUUGUACAAUUAAUAUUUUAAUGAUAAUAACGUCAUAUUUCAUUUAUAUAACUCAUGUGUAUAAAAUUUAAUGUAAAUUUAAAAUGUUCAAACUAAUUGUUUUAUGUAAGAAUACUUUUAAUCGUUGAAUGAAUGUUAAUAUGUACAAUAUUUUAGAUUGUUAUGGUAGAAGUAUCGACUCAAUUUGAAAAUUUUUAUAUGCAUGAAAAGUACAAUAAUAUCAAUAAAUUCAAUGGUUGGAUUGUUAAAUUAAUAAUGAUACAAAUAUAUAUAUAUAUGAAAGCGUGUAAAAUUACUUUAGUUUCACUCUAGUGUAAGCAGAUCUCUCUCCUUUUAAUAUAUAAAAUUAAUUAUACAAUUUAAAUUUAUGUAUUGAAAUUAUUUAUAAAUAUAAGUAUAAAUAUAUUUCUUUAUACACCUAACUAAUGUAAAUAAAAUAUUAAAUGUUAUUUGCAAGUAAUGAAAUAAAACAAAUAUUAUAAAUAAACAACUCUCCGAAGGUUAAAUGGAAUUAAUGUAAACAUUUCCAAACACUUUGUGAAUGCCUCGAGCUUCUUGAAUCUGCACUCUAAACCUCCUCACCUAAUAAAUACACUAUGGACACUUUGUUGAUUGGCUCAGAGUGAUAGAUAGGAGUGAAUAAAACUCGAUUUGAUUUUUUAAAAAAAAUCAAAUUUUGAGUUAAUUGAAUUGAGUUAUUUAAGUUAUUUUUAUUUUUUUGGUCAACUCGAAUAAGUAAUUUGAGUUUCAAGUCGAGAUCGGGUUAAAUUUUACAAUUCGAAUAACUCAAAUAAUAAAUGUAACACCCUAUACCCAGCCUGGUCGUCGAGCCCGAAUAUCAGGAUGCCACACCAUCGUCUCAUGUCAUACACAACGAAUAAAAGCCCAUUUUAAAUGAAGACGUCUUCCACAAUAUCAUUCGUAAAGGUUUUAAGUCGAUCUUACUCUUUAGUUAUCAUCGUUACGUGCUAAUCAUACAUCAAAUAGUCUUACACUAAUAAUUAAACUUGCAUAGGGUUCAUUUAGCAAAAUUUUCCAAGCAAGUACGUAGGUAUCGAUAGUAGGACAAGGGUAUCAAUAUUUUCCUGGUACGGUAUUGAUGUCCUUUGUAAAAUUAGAACCAAAUCAGUAUUCUGUUUCUCAUCUAAAAUCAAAGUCUCAUAAAGUAUCAGUAACUUUGCAAAAGUAUAGAUGAAAUUACUUCGAGUAUCGAUACUCGUGAUAUGAUAUUGAUACCAAUCUACGAUUUUGACUUCCUACACAUUUCAAAAUCAUAGAUGUAUCAUUUUAAAAACAUGAAUAUCGAUACCUCUACUCCAAGCCAGAAAAAUACAACAUACUUGAGCACAAAAAAAUCAUUCUAACUUGUACUAAUUCAUCAUGCUAUCAUAUCACCAUCAAAUAAACAUCAAAAGGACAAUAUGAUAGUCUCAAACAUCGAAAGUAAGUCCGAGCAAUAAUCAACGUAAUACGAAAUGAAUCUCAUAAACUUAGGAACAAAUAAUCUAUGGAAGCAUCUAAAACAUCAUGGUAAAUACCAAUAGAAGUCUACCACAUUGCCUUUUUUCCAAAACAUAAACAAAUAACAAUAACACCUACUAAAUCACGGAAAUGAACUUACUUGGAUCACCCCUUGGAACCACACCGCUCACACCGGCACUUUAAGAAAGAAGUGGGUGAGCUUAACAAGCUCAGUGAAUGCCUAGAAUAACUACCAUGCAAACAAUUCAUCAAGCAUCAACGAAACAACCAUAUAGCACAACCUCAACAAUUCCAACACUAGUGUCAUAAUAUACUUACUCGUGCAUUAUUUUCUAUUUCUUUUACAUUGUAAACAUAUUCACUUUUAAACAUAUAUCUUGUUACACAUAUAAUCACCUAACAUCCAAACAUAUAUCACAAUACUCAUAUAAUCACAUAACAUUUAAGCAUAUAUCAAAAUAUUCAUAUAAUCACAUAACAUUUAAGCAUAUAUCACAAUACUCAUAUAAUCACAUAACAUUCAAGCAUAUAUCACAAUAUAUAUACAUAUAAUCACAUAACAUUCAAGCAUAUAUCACAAUAUACAUAUAAUCUCAUAACAUUUAAGCAUAUAUCACAAUACUCAAAACAUCUUUAUAGAUAAGUUAUGAAACGUAAAAGUGGGCACUAUCACCACUCAUCGGAUACACGGAUAUCCAGUACACCACAUAGACUCGUAGAGUCAAACAUGUCUCAAAAGUGAAGCAUAAAGCUAACACUCUCAUUAUUUCCCCUCACAUGCCCCAUUGAAUAGAGGCUAGCUCACAUUCCCUUAUCACUCCAACAUGUCCCAAGGCCUCAACGCCCAAAUCACUAUACAUAUAGAUGAGUACUCACAAUCCUAUGGCAUGCCUACUAUAUCCAACGGGUUCAAGAUCACAAGUCCAAAAUAUCCAAAAUUAAACACAUAUCACUUACCAACUAUCCGUGCACUAUCAUUGUAUAUUUGCUAUUUUUAGAAAAACAUUGUCACUAACAUUUAACAUAUACAUAACAUGUACACAUUUGCACUUUCACAACAGUUAUGAUAACCAUAUAUCACAUGUUAUAGCAUAUCAUCUCUGUUCACAUAUUCACAAACACAUAAGCACAUAGUUCACAAGAUAACAUAGGUAUGAGAAAGCUUACACUCGAAAUUUAGAGUAGGGGUUUAGGUCACAACUAAAUUCCAAAAUAACGCAUUGAAUCAUGUUCGCAAGUAAUUAUUCCAAGUCACCAAUUACACUUUCGUCGAAAAGCCAAACGCUCAAACUAGUUUUUCAUUGUCUUUAUAUCUACUCAAACUAGCUCAAACACUAAUCAAUUACUCAAUCUUUUUCCCUAAAAUCAGUUUCGUUCAUCUUAUAAUUUACCUACGACUAAUUCCCAACCUUUAAACUAGAAUAAAAUACUAAAUUCAUGGUAUUGACUUUUUCUACAUGUUUUAUGACUAUUUUCUGAAAAUUCAUUAAAACUCAAGAAUUUUUUAACGAAACUUCAAAGUAAGUUUAGAAACCUUCUAAUAAUGUUAAAACUAAUUGAAAAACACUUUAAAAUAUCGUUUUUAUGCAAAAUCUCAAAUUUCACCAUUAACGACCCAAUUUUCGAUUUUUAUUCAAAACAUGUGAUUUAAUGGCUAAAAACUUAGUUUUAAAGACUAAAUAACAUUUAAACAAAAAAAUCGAGCGUUUGAUGAAAAUCCCAAAAAAACCCACAAACUUGACAAUAGAGAAAUCUGUGGUGUUUUUGAGUGUUUUUCUUAGAUUUUAUGGAGAUAUUUGGCUUGGGUGAUGAUAGAAAUCAAGAGAAUUAAGGUUGAAGAUCAAAUAGUGGAAGAGAGGAGCUUUGAGAGCAAGGGGCGGCUAAAGCAUGAAAAUGGAGAAGACUAAGGUAAAAAUUAUAGGUGGGGAUGAUUUUAGGUUGAUUUUUAAAAUUUGUUUUAAUUGCCUCUUAAAAACUCACAAUUUUAACUCUUUUACAAAUCAAUCCUACUUUCAAAAUUAAAGAUAUUUAAAACUCAUUUUCAGAAAUUGAUUUAAUUUUAACCAUAGUAAAAAAAAUAUAUCGAUAAACCAAUUCAUAAAAUUCCGAACACUCUAAGGCUAAAAUUCCUAAAUUACCUCUAAACCCCUAGGUCCUAUUUUGGGAUGUUACAAUAAAUUGGUGUAAAUACACAUUUGGUCCCUGUCAAUUUUGAACAUGAGCAAAUUGAUCUUUCUCUCAACAAAAAUUACAAAAAAAAUUCAAAAUAUUUAUAAGAAUUUUAGAAUUUAAAACUUUUUUAAAUAUAUAUUAAAAAAUCUAAAGAAAUAUAAAAAAAUUAGAAAAAUCUAAUUAUCAUUUUUGGGACCUAAAUAAGUUAAUUAAUUAUUCAAGUUUAUCAUACUAUUUUUACUCUUUUUUUAAUGAAUUUUAAAAAAUAUAUGAUUUCAAAGAUAUGUGUUUUAGUAUAGAGUUAGUUAAAUUGUAAAAAUAUUUUAAUUUUUUCACUCGAUCCGAUCGAACGCUCACCUCUAGUGGUCGAUGUUCAUCGACAUAUAUCCUUUGUCUCCAACCGGAAAGGAUCUCUUCCAAAAUGAGAAUCUUAAAUUAGAGUGUGUCAUAUUUACCACAAGCCGUUUAUGAUAGAAUCAGACCCGUUUAAGCUUGAAAUCACUCACCUAAUGCAUGUUAUUUGGAAGGUUAUCGAUGAAGAUCGUUGCAACAACUAGAAGUUCGCCACUCCAUUUUUCUAUUGUCCGCCCUCCCUUGAUUAUAACAAUCCAGAACCUCCCUUACUCUAACUUAUAAAAUUAAAAAAACUCUAUAGGACAAAAUAAGACAAUAAAAGCUUUUAUUUAUUUAUUAAUACACUAGAAUUUCACACAUAGCAAAAGCACACUAUAUAAGGAGAUGCAUAGGAAAACAGCGGUAGGUAGAUAUAAGUCAACAGGCUGUCAAAUUUAUUCUAGUAAUAGUGUAAACAUAAGCACAUUAUUAUAGACGACACUGACAGCCUGAGCACCAGCAUUUUGAUCAGAAAUUUAAGCAAAGCCACCCAAGAAAAGUGUGUUUGUAUUCUCAUCACUGCAAUAAAGGCAAGGGUUCUGCUCAAAUCCAUUGUUCUUCAAAAUCUUGGCAGCCUCAACCAUAAGUUGUCUGUUGCUUAUUCCACCACCCAUGCACUGAUCGAGUACGCUAACCACUGCAUCGGUGAACGCCCCAAAGGCUCUAUUCCCCAAAACCAGGUCAUAUGAUGUCUCAUUGGCUUCACACCCACUUAAUAAUAUCCCUUCAUCCUCCUCCGGUGGAUCCAACACCAUUAACCCAUUUACGUAGUGAGGAUGGAAUUUGAGACUCACAUCUUUCCCGAAGAUUCCGAAAAUCUUUUGGCCAACAUUUGCUGCAUCGUGUAGGAUGCCUGCUGCUGUAUCUAUCGCACUGUGUAUGAUAUCAAAAGUAAGACUCUUAGCCUUAGCCUUAGACGGUUUAGGCUUGUUGGGAUUUACUGGAGUCAUCAUUUGCUGAGCACCAAAUUAUUCUUUCUCUUUUUCAAUGAGACCACCACUGUGGCACGAAUCUGAUAGGAUUGUGAAGCUUGCUCCUUCUGGUAGCCGGUUAACUAAAUGCCUGAAGUCCACAUCUGUAGAAACCAUGUAUAUAUAGGGUAUGAAUAUAUGUUGCUAAAAAAAUAUAUAAAUUCAAAUAAAAACCUACCGGUGACAAGAUUUAAAUCACAAGCCACGAUUGCUUUAUCUUGCUUGAAAGGCUGGCCAGGUUGAAAGAUUGGAAUGCGUGUUCCAUGUCCACUGAAGUAGAAAAAUAGGAUAUCUCCUGCUUUAGCCUUGUUCACCAUUCUAUUAAGUGCAUCCUUAAUGUUUGCACCCAUAGCCAGAACCGGCGACCCUGGUGCAUCGGUGAGAACAUUAACAUCGCUUUCCUUAAACCCAAAGUUCAGGAUCACACCUCUUAUGGCUUUCACAUCAUUGAUGCAUCCAUGCAAGUUGAAUUGGGUCUUGGGGUAGUUGCAUCCCACCAGAACUGCUCUCUUCGUACCCUUACUCAUCUUGCUUCGCUAAUUUGACUAUUUUGUGUUGCUUGUACCAUUGUAUUAAUGUGCUUCCACUAUCUCACUUAGAACCUAUAUAUAUACACACUAAUUUACAGCAUGUGUACUGACCAUAAAGAUGACGACAUGUAGGUAGGUAGGUAGGCAGGUACAACACUUUUGUUUGUCUUUCGUGUUUUGGAAAAUGCAUGCGAAAUCCCCUUUGGAGGGGUUUUUCCACGUUAAAUUUGUGUGUUCAUCUUCUCAAUUUCUUCUACUAGUUUUUACUUGUUCGUUGCUUAAUCGGGACAAUCCUAACAAAUGGUAUCAGAGCUAGUUCAAUUUUUAUAGAUCAGCCCGUUCAGAGAUGGCAACAACAAAGUUUGAAAUUGAGAAGUACGAUGGUGAGACAAAUUUCAAUCUAUGGCAAGUUCGGAUGAUGGCAAUUCUAGUUCAAAACGGCUUGAAAAGGUUGUUAUAGGGAAAAAGCCUGAGAAUCUAAAUCAAACAAAAUGGGAAGAGCUUGAUGAAAAGGCAUUGUCUGCAAUCCAUUUGUGCCUCGCGAAUACUGUAUUGUAGGAGGUAUUGAUGGAGAAGACCUCAUCUGUCUUAUGGAAAAGGUUAGAAACUCUUUAUGCGACUAAGUUUUUGGCUAACCGUUUAGUGUUGAAACAACGUCUAUUUACGUUUCGCAUGAAUGAAAGUAAGCUUCUUAGAGAUCACAUCAAUUAAUUCAUUACUCUUUUAAAUGAUUUAAGGAACGUUGAUAUUCAUAUUGACGAUGAAGAUCAAGCUAUGCUAUUAUUGUGCUCUUUACUACCUUCAUACAAGUCUUUCAGGGAGACCCUGAUUUAUGGUAGAGACAAACUCUCGUUCAAAGAUGUGAAGGGUCAUUUGUUGAGUAGAGACAAACUCGACAAUGAGUUUGGUUUGAAUAGCAAAGCAAAUAGGAAAGCUUCCGUUUUGGUAGUAUCAAAGAAACGAGACAAAAGGUGUCGCUAUUGUAAAAAGUUAGGUCAUGUCAAAGCAGAUUGUUAUAAACUGCGAAAUAAAAUAGUUGCUGAGAGUAACGAGGAAUAUGUAGCUGGUGCUAAUUUGGUCGAUGAAGGCGGUGAUGAUUUCUUGUUAGUGUCAACGAGAGAUAACUCUAAGCUUACGUCUGAGUGAAUCCUAGAUUCAGGAUGUUCUUUCCACAUGUGUCCCAAUAGAGAAUGGUUCUCCACAUACAGUUCAGUUGAAGGUGCAGUUGUGCACAUGGGAAACUAUUCAUCUAGUAAGAUAAUUGGUAUUGGUACUGUUAAAAUUAGGAUAGACGAUGGGACGAUUAGGACACUCUCAGAUGUCAGUUAUGUACGUAAUUUACGAAAAAAUCUCAUCUCCUCGAGUAUUUUAGACUUGAAAGGAUGUAGAAUCAACAUCGAGUCGAGUGACAUUAAAGUAUCUCGUGGAGCUCUCGUUUUGUUAAAAGGUAAAAGAACUGACAGUCUUUAUAUUUUGGAAGGUUCUACAGUGAUCGGUGAAAUCGGACAUCCCUCGUCCGUUACGGAGUCAAAGUUAACUCGUUUGGAGCGAAGGCAACCUGGUCAUAGGAGGGAAAAAGGUAUGACCGUUUCGUUGAAUAGAGGUUCUCUUUUGGAUGUAGGUUUUGAAAAGUUAGGGCACUAUGUUUGUGAAAAUCAGACUUGGGUUAGUUUUGAUUUGGCAGUGCACAAGUCGGAGGCUAGAAGUCUUCCAGCUUCUAAGUAUAGAUUUGACUCAGUUAAUUUCCUGCAUAGUUCAAGAUAGACCCGUGGCGGGUUUUGGCAAAGAUGGCGUUGAAAGAAUUCGUGUCAAGGUGGAGAUUGUUAAAGUUGUGUGACCCAAAUUCUAAGAGAUUGCUUGCAAGUCAAGUUAAACAAAAAUAAUUUUUUCUUUCUAGAAGAUUUAGUAUUUAUUUGUAUAAUAUAUUUAGCAUUUAUUAGCAUAGUUUAUUUUACUUACUAAUUUAGCCUAUAAAUAGGCUCUUUUACAAUCUUAGAAAAACACACCCAUUAGAUUAGAACUCAUAACAUAUUUAGAGAAUUUUGUGUUUAAGUUUUGAGAGUUCUUUAUUUUUCGAGUUUUCGGGGUUUAGUUUUUAUCUCCAUCUUUUAUACUCUUCGUUCUUUUGCCAUUAUAGUAAAAUUAUAUUUGCCCGUGGUUUUUUAUCCCCUUUGGAGGGGUUUUUCAACGUUAAAUUUGUGUGUUCAUCUUCUCAAUUUCUUCUACUAGUUUUUACUUGUUCGUUGCUUAAUCGGGACGAUCCUAACAGUUUAUUACGUACCAGCUUUGAAAAGCAACAUCAUCAGCCUUGGACAGCUUCUAGAAAAAUGAUAUAAAGUACAUAUGAAGGAUUGUAUGCUCGCCCUAAAAAAUAAGAGUGGUGAAUUAAUUAUCCAAGUUGAUAUUACGCCUAACCGUUUGCUUACUAUUGACAUUGAAUCUGGAGAGGUGAAAUGUAUGAAGAACGUAAUUAAAAAUGAUUCAUGGUUAUGGCAUUUAAGGUUCGGGCAUCUUGGAUUUUCUGGUCUGAAGCUAUUGUUAAAAGAAAAUAUGGUGAAUGGGCUGCCAUAAAUUAAUCUUUCUGAUCAACUGUGUGAAGCCUGCAUUAAAGGAAAACAACAUAGACAGAGUUUUGAAGUUGGAAAAACUCGACGAGCCAAGAGACCAUUGGAGAUCGUGCACUCUGACAUAGCAGGUCCUUUUAAUAUACCAUCACUUGGUGGAAACAAGUACUAUGUUACUUUUAUUAAUGAUUUUAGCAGAAAAAGUUGGAUAUAUCUUCUUAAAACAAAAUCAAAAGCAUUUGACAAGUUUAUCAAGUUCAAAGCCCUGGUAGAAAAACAGAGUGGACAUUUCAUUAAGAUACUUAGAAUUGAUAGAGACGGUUAGUAUACUUCAAAGCUAAUUGAAAGCUUCUGCAAGGAGCACGAAAUUAUUCACCAGUUGACAACUGCAUACACGCCACAACAAAAUGGAGUCAUUGAAAGAAAGAACCGCACUAUUCUUGAUAUGGCAAAAAGCAUGGUUAAAUGUAAGCAUUUACUAAGAGCUUUCUAGGCUGAAGCUGUUCAAUGUGCUGUUUAUUUGUUGAACCAGCAUCCAACAAAAAGUGUGAAAUACAAGAUGCCAAACGAAGCUUGGAACAAUUAGAAGCUAGGAGUCGAACAUUUCAAGAUUUUUGGAUGCAUCGUAUAUGCUUAUGUUACUGACCAGAUGAGAAAGAAGCUUGACGAUAAAUGAGUAAAAUGUAUUUUCAUUGGUUAUGAAAAGAGAAGCAAGACAUACAGGUUAUACAACACUCUCACCAAGAAAGUUAUUAUUUCAAGAGAUGUUGAAUUCGAUGAAGCUGAUUACUGGAGAUGGAACGAAAAAGAGAGGAAAAUUGAUGGAUUAUUUUUCAGUGAUCACAAAGACGACGACUUUAUUAAUCAAGAACAAGGCGACGAUGAAAGCCCUCCUGUAACACCCCUUACCCGAGACCAUCGUCGGAAUCGAGUACGAGAUGUUAUCCAAUUUAACCUACCAAUUUAGAGCAUAAAAAUUUGCUUUUAAAAUUAAAUUCACUGUUCACAACAAAACUGUCCACCUGCGCGACUGUCACUAAUUUACUUAUAACUCAAGUUACAAAACUCAAAAUUUAAAUCUGUAAAUUUUCCCUGAAACUAGACUCAUAUUCCUAAUUACCAUAUAAUUUUCAGAAUUUUUGACUUAGCCAAUUAGUACAUUUUAUUCAUUAAAGUAUCCCCUAUUUCACAGCUCGACAGAUCUGACCUCUUGCCACUAAAAAUCAAUUAUCUCAUUGUACAGAAUUCAUAUAAGGUUACCGUUUAUUUAUUUUGAAAAUAUACUCACUAAGGAAUCUAGAAAUAUAAAUUAUGACCCAUAAUUAUUCCUGUACAAUUUAUAAUGAUUUUCCAAAGUCAGAACAGGGGACUUCAAAAACCAUUCUGACCCUGUCUCACUAAAAUUCAAAUAUCUCAAAAUACAGAAUUCCUUUGCCUACACUGUUUCUUUCAUAUAAAAAUAGACUUGAUAAGCUUUAAUUCCAUAUAUAAUUAACUCUCUAAUUCCAUUUAUACUAUUUAUGGUGAUUUUUCACAUUCACGUCACUGCUGCUGUCAAAGAAACUGCUUCUUUGAAUUAGUUAACAUUUAACAUACAUAACACCCAAAACAUAAUUUUUACUAACCAUUUCAAUAGCUAAUCUUAGCCAUAUCAUAUGAACAUACUCAAAAUGAUUAACACUCUAUACAUGCCAUAGUUUUAAACAUUCUGAAAAGCACAUAAUACCGAGAUGAUUAUAAUAGUGUGAUACGAGCUCCGACGAUCCCCAAUUCGACCAAGUUCAAAUCACUAUAAAACAAAGGAAAAGAAGAAAGGUGUAAACUACUAAUAGCUUAGUAAGUUACAUGUAAAUAAUAAUUACUCAUUUAAUAAUUAACACUUUUAACAUAUAACUAAUCAAAACAUUUCUUAGCAAUUUCUAUCACUUAUACAUACACAAUCUUACCAAUUCACUUGCAUAUACAUUUUCACACUUAAUCUUUAUCACUAUGCUCAUUCUUUUCAAAUGUACCUGCAUACACACUUCAUUUCAUAUUCACUUUAACUCAUUAUUAAUCCCGUUGAACACUCGGAAUAUACACAGAUACGUAGAGAUUUAGCACAUAAGUGCAACACUGAUAUGUAGCCGAAGCUACCACUAUUAUAUAGCCAAAGCUACCACUGAAAUGUAGCCGAAGCUACCACUGUUAUGUAGCCGAAGCUACCACUGAAACGUAGCCGAAGCUACCACUGAUCAAUAACACUGGAAAUGUCCACAGGCCUGCUCACACAAGCUGUCAGGUGUCUGCAACACAUGCUAGAUCACCCAGCACCCGGGACUCACUGUAACACUGUAACACUGAUCUCUAGUGACAUGUCACUUGUAUCCACUUCUAUUCCUAAGUUCAACCGGGAAUUUACACUUAACACUUUAUUUUUAACACUUUAUUUUCAACACUUUAACACUUGAAUAAUUCAUGAAUAAUUUUCCUUCCACAUUGAAUAUUAAUUCACAUAUCAAAUAUAAUUCACAAUUUAUAAAAAUAUAACUAUUAUUUACACAUAACUUACCUCGGAUGCAAAACGACUAUUUUUGUAAUUUAGUCGAUAACUUUCUCUUUUCCCCGAUCACUUCCACUAUUUCUUCUUUCUUGAUCUAUAUUAACACAAUUUAAUACAUUUUAUCAACAUUUCAUUCAAAUAAAAUUCAUACACAACAUUUUGACAAAUUUACAUUUUUCCCCAAAACUUUUCAAAAAUUCCACUUUUGUCCCUAAGCUCGUAAAAAUAAAAUUCACUAAAUUUUUAAAUUUCAAACUUCACUAAAUCAUAUUUCAUGCUUAUAACAGCCCUCAAUUUCACCAAAUCACAACUUUAUGCACACUUUACCAUCUUUCACAAUUUAGCCCUUUUUCAAUAUUUUCAUCAAAAUUCAUCUAGUAAAACUUGUAAUUAACACUUCAAACAUUCAUUAUCUAACAUCACUAAUCAAUUUACAAUUAUAUCAUGAAUGGGUCAAUUUUUAAACUUUAAUUUCAUUUAAAUUAAAUAGUAGAAACAUGAAAUUCAAGCAUCAAUAAGCAUAAAAAUAUGAAAAUAGUUAAAAAUGGGGCAAGAAAUCACUUACAAUUGAGCUUAGAAAAAUCAAGAACCUUAGCUAUGGUAACAUGAAACUUUCGGCAGCAAGCUUCUGAUUUUGAAGAAGAUGGACACUUAUUUUCUCUUUAUUUUGUCUUUUUCUCAAUUUGGACAAAAAUGCCCUUGACCCAUUACUUAGAUAUUUUUCUAGAAUUACCCUUUUGUGUCCAUAACACUAAUUUAUGGUCUAAUUGUCACAUAAACACUUCCAAUUUCAUGCAAUAAUUCAAUUAAGUCAUUUAAUCACUAAUUAGACACACUUUGCAUUUUUUUCAAUUUAGUCCUAAAAAUUCAAUUAAGCACUAAAUCAUUAAAAUUUCCAAUCCAUAUUUUCACACAAUAUUUCAAUCAAUCAGUAACUUAUAAAAAUUUAUAAAAUAAAACUAUUUCACUUCGGAUUUGUGGUUACGAAACCACUAUUCCGAUUAGGCCCUAUUUCGGGCUAUCACACCUCCUUCAAGUCCUGUUGCAACAACUCUUACAGCAUCAUCAUCACCAACCAACAACAGUACCAGCAACUCAGAGGAAGCACCUGCAAUAAUGCGUAGUUUACGCGAUAUUUAUAAUGUUACAGAACCAUAGAAAUAACACUCGAUUAUUCAUUAUUCUAUAUAAUGACAGAAUGUGAUUCAAUAACAUAUAAAGAUGCAAUUGAAGAUGUUAGAUGGAAAAAGGCAAUGGAUGAAGAAAUUACAACAAUAAUAAGAAAUGACAUAUGAGAGCUAACAAGUCUACUAGAAGGACAUACUCCAAUUGGAAUCAAAUGGGUGUACAAGACGAAGACCAACAAAGAAGGAAAAAUAGAGAAAUCCAAAGCAAGACUAGUUGCAAAAGGCUACAAGCAAAGAUACGGUGUGGACUAUGAUGAAAUAUUUACUUCGGUCGCCAGAAUUGAUACUAUAAGACUUCUCAUGGCAAUUGCAGCACAAAAUAAAUGGAAAAUUUAUUAGAUGAACGUGAAGUCAGCAUUCCUUAAUGACUACCUGGAAGAAGAAGUCUAAAUUGAACAACCACCUGGAUAUAGGAAACAAGGACAAGAAGACAAAGUUUAUCACUUGAAGAAAGCUUUAAAUAGACUGAAGCAAGCCCUGAGAGCAUAGAACACAAGAAUAGAUGAAUACUUUUAGAAGAACGGGUUCAUGAAAAUCCCAUACGAGCAUGCUCUAUAUACAAAGAAAAAUAAAGUUGGUGACAUCAUGAUCGUGUGCUUAUAUGUGGAUGAUAUGAUUUUCAUGGGAAACAAUCCAGGUAUGUUCAAUGAAUUUAAGAAAGCUAUGACUAAAGAUUUUGAAGUGACAAAUAUUGGUGAAAUGUCAUACUUUCUUUGAGUCGAAGUGAACCAAAUGAAAGAUGGAAAAUUUGUGUCUCAAAAAAAAUAUGCAGAACAGAUUUUAAGAAAAUUCAGAAUGAAAGAUUGCAAGCAAGUAGCCACGCCCGUAGAACCAGGCAUGAAAUUAAGUGUUGGUUCAUCCGGAGAGUCGGUAAAUCCAAUGUUGAAUAAAAGUAUUGUUGGAAGUUUAAGGUACUUGACUAUCACAUGGCCAUACAUCAUGUACGUAGUGGGAACAGUUAGCAAAUACAUGGAGAAGCCAAAACAAGAUCACCUGAUUGCAGCAAAGAGAAUUUUGAGAUACAUCACAGGUACGAUGGAUCAUGGUUUAUUUUAUACACACUCACAGAGUUCAAAAUUGGUUGGUUAUUUAGAUAGUGAUUAUGGUAGUGGCUUUGAUGAUCGCAAAAACACAUCCAGAUAUUUAUUCCAUAUUGGCUUCGCGGCAUUUUCUUGGUCAUCGAAAAGUAACAAACAGUAGCUAUCUCAACAUGUGAGGCAAAAUUCAUGGAUGUUGCAACAUGCACGUCUCAAGCAAUUUGGUUGAAGAAUAUUUUAGGUGAAUUAACUAUUAUACAAGAAGGUCCAAUUAUAAUUUAUGUUGACAAGUCCACAAUAUCUCUUGUAAAGAAUUCAGUGUCUCAUAGUCGAAGCAAGCAUAUGGAUACAAUGUAUCAUUUUAUUCGAGAGCAAGUGAAAAAUAAAAAUGUAGAGUUAGUUUACUCCAAAUUAGAAGAUUAAUUGGCGAAUAUUUUUACGAAACCAUUGAAAACGGACAUAUUCUAUAAACUCAAAGAAAAGCUUGGAAUGAAAAGUUCAAGGGGAAGUGUUAAAAAACAAACCAACUUUCAAAGUCGGCAUAAAAAUUGCAGCCAAAGAAUUUCUAUCCAAAUUGGCUUGAAAUUGAAUUGCAAAAGUAGCUGCAACUUUGUAAAUUGGCCUGCACAAAUGAUAAAGGAUAAUGAUGACAGCAGCUUGAAUAGUCUUAGACGGCAAGGCUUGAUAAAGUUUAAGUCGGUUUACUAUGCUUAUAAAUAUGUAAGUAGAGUCUUAUGAAAUUAAAAUUAAAUGAGUGUGUGUGAAAACGUUAGUGAGCUUGAGAGGAAAAAAAGAAAGAAAGGUGUUGUGAGUUGUAUAAAAAGGAAAAACUAGCAGCAGCUAGUAGAGAGAGAAAAAAGAGUUUAUAUUUGUAUUGUGUUUAUUUGUGUGUAAUAAAAAAUUAGUACUUGAGUUAUUUUUAUUACCCUUCCAACAUAUUAUAUGUUCCAGUGUUGAUGGCAUUGGCAACUGAUGUUGUGUCCAAGAAGCUUGACGUCGUGCUCAUGACGUUGGCUGCUGUUUGCAGGCUCUAAUAUAAUGUUUCAAUGGAAAUGCCCCUAGUCCUGUAAUCAACAGAUGGUGCUAUACCACUUAGAGUACUAUGGGGUCCAAUUUGAGUAAACUCGAUUAAGUAAUUCUAGUUUCAGAUUGAAGUCGGGUUAAAUUUUACAAUUCGAAUAACUCAAAUAAUAGAUUGGUGUAAAUACACGUUUGGCCCCGGUCAAUUUUAAAAAUGAGCAGAUUGAUCUUUCUCUCAACAAAAAUUACAAAAAAAUUCUAAAUAUUUAUAAAAAUAAAAAAAAUCUAAAGAAUAUAUAAAAAAUUAAAAAAGAUUCUUAAAUAAUCAUUUUUGAGACCUAAAUAAGUAAAUUAAUUAUUCAAAAUUUUCAUACUAAAAUAUCUUUAUUUUCUCUUAUUUUUCUUUGAAUAAAUUUUCAAGAAUAUAUAAUUUUAAAUUUAUGUAAUCUAACAUAGAAUUGAUUAUAUUGUAAAAAAAAAUUUAAUGUUUUAGUCGAUUGGAACGGAUGCACAUCUCUACUGAUCAAAAUUGAUCCGCAUAUAUUUUUUUUCUCUAACUGAAAAGGAUCUCUUCCAAAUUAAUGAUCUUGGAUUGAAACAUGUCAAAUUUACCACAAAUCGUUUAUGAUAGAAUCGGACCCGUGUGACCUUGAAAUCACUCUCCUAAUACAUGUUAUUGAUGAAGAUUGUCGGACACCUUGAAUUUCUCCGCACCAUUUAAUGUUCGGCCCACUUGGCUAUAACAAUCCGAAACCUCCCUUAACCUAACUUAUAAGAUUAAAAAAACUCUAAAUAAGAGAAUAAAAACUUUUAUUUAUUUAUUUAUUUAUACACUAGAAUUUCACACUAUAUAAGAAGAUGCAUAAGAAAACAGCGGUAGGUAGAUAUAAGUCAACAGGCUGUCAAAUUUAUUCUAGUAGUAGUGCAAAACAUAAGCACAUUACUGACAGCCUGAGCACCAGCAUUUUGAUCAGAAAUUUAAGCAAAGCCACCCAAGAAAAGUGUGUUUGUAUUCUCAUCACUGCAAUAAAGGCAAGGGUUCUGCUCGAAUCCAUUGUUCUUCAAAAUCUUGGCAGCCUCAGCCACAAAGGCUUUAUUCUCCAAGACCAGGUCAUAUGAUGUCUCAUUGGCGGGUUUUUUACUAAAAUAUUAUAACAAAAAUAAAAAAUUAUCAAAAUGUUAUAACUUUUUUUUUAUUUACCAAAAUAUAUAUUUUUUUAUUUACUAAAAUAUAUAAAAAAACAAAAAAAACCUAAAAAAAAAUCUGACCGAUGUGACGGGUGUACCUUGGUCACGCCAAUGGGAUUGGCGGCACCGAAGGGGCCAAAGCCAUUGGCGGCACCAAUGGUGCCAAUACCAUUGGCGGCACCAAUGGUGCCGUAUUGAUUGGCGGCACUACUCGUAUUAUAAAAACGACCUUUGUCCAGCUGAAGAGAGAAAAAUCAAAAGAAAAAAAAAGAAGAAGAAGAGUUACUGCGUAAAAGAAGAGAAAAAGAGGAGAAAAAGAAUGUAUUUUUUAAAAAAUAAUUGAUUAUAUUGUUGUUAUUAUUUUGUAUAUUUUGUAAUAUUUUUUGUUUUACUUUAGUUAUUAAGAUUAAUAAAACUCAAAAUAAUAGUAUUAGUUAGUAUUAUUAUUAUUAUUAUUAUUAUUGUUGUUGUUGUUGUUGUUGUUGUUGUUGUUGUUGUUGUUGUUGUUAGUAUUAAGAUGUUAUUAAUGUAUUAAGAUGUAACUUAGUAAUAUUAUAGUUAGCAAAAAACUAGUAUUAUUAUUAUGGUUACUUAUUAUUUUUAUUUACGAAAAUAAACUAGUUAGUAAAAAACUAGUAUUAUUAUUAUAGUUAGUUAGUUAGUUAUUAUUUUUAGUAAAAUUAAUAAUUUUAGUGUGUAUCAUUUUGUAUAUUAUUUUGAGUAUAAAAUUUUUUUUAAGUAAUUUAGUUACCGUUCGAGAAUUUUUAUGAGAUUUUGUUUUUUUUGACAGAUUAAAUAUUGAAGAUGGAUGCUAAGUUUCUUGUAUGCGUUUAUUUCGAUUGAGUCAUCUUGACAACAAGUGUUGGAUGUGUAUUUGAAUGUCGGCAACAAAUAGCAAUGAGAUUUAAUAGAAAUGUAUCGUUCGAUGAAAUGAAGGUAAGGAUUAGUGCAAAAAUUCAUAGACGUUGUGGGAGAAGGAUAGCAAAAAUUUUCUACAAGUUUCCGGUUUCGACAAAUCCGGUCAAAUUCGUCGAGAUGGAACUUGUAGACGACGAAGACGUGGAGACAAUGGUCGAUCUCUACUGUGGGAAUGGGAGUGAGAAGAAUGCACCGAUUCACUUAUUUGCUGAGUUAGUCGGUAUGGAGCAAAAUGAAGAUGUUAAUGCAUCUGAUGAAGAAGACGGGGCUGAAGAACCGUGGAUGGUGACUCCAAUAUCAUACGUUGAUAGUGAAUCAACUAUGGGAGGGAUCGGUAUCAACCUGAAUAUUACACCCGAUGUUGACAUGGUUGGUGGUGAAGAAGAAGGUGCUGGCGAAGAAGAAGGUGGUGGCGAUCAUUGGGAUGAAGAGGUCGAUAGUGACGGUGAUCCCGAUGUUGACGAUGUACCUGAUGAUAUUGACGAUGAAGAUGUCAACAACGAUGAAGGCAUUAACGCUUCUUCGGUUGGGGAGCAGAUGCGGCGUAUUGUGAUACACAAUAAUCCUAAGCCACAUAUGUCGCUCAUAGACCCCGACGCAACGUAUGUAGCUGAGUUUCUGGAGUACCCUGAAAUAGUUCAUUCUCACGGGCUGCCCGUAACAUCUGAUGAUGAUGAGAUAUUCAUAGGCCAGAGAUUCAGCUGUAAAGAAGAGUGCGUAUAUGCCAUUAAACGGUACAGCAUGAAGAUAUCGGUGGAUUAUAAAGUAUCCGUGUCUACUCCGACAAUAUAUGUUGAGGCGUGUUGGAAGGCAGCGGAAGGCUGCAAUUGGCGGGUACGAGCUGCAUUCAUUAGAAGUUCUCAGCUGUGGGAGAUACGAAAAUUUGUUGGUCCUCAUACAUGCACAUCAACACGUAUGAUAGAAGAUCAUGGAAAACUUGAUUCAAAAACUAUUUGUGCGUGUAUCAUGCCAAUGGUGAAGGACAUGCCGACCAUUAAAGUUUCGAUACUCAUUGCGAAAAUCCAAGCACGAUUCCAGUAUCGAGUCUCAUAUCGGAAGGCAUGGAUAGCUAAACAGAUGGCGAUGGAGCAACUGUAUGGGGAUUACGAUUCGUCGUAUAACGAGCUUCAAGGUUCGAUAGCUGCUAUGUGGAAGUACGUACCGGGGACUGUGAUUGACUUGCAGAUAAGUCCAUAUUACGGCCCGGAUGACCAGUUACAGCCGGCAAAAAGGAUUUUCCAUCAGAUGUUCUAGACCUUCGAUCCAUGUGUGCGAGCAUUUUCCCACUGCAAGCCACUUGUGCAGGUGGAUGGGACAUGGCUAUUUGGAAAAUAUACACAGAUCCUACUUCUUGCAGUUGCUCAAGACGGUAACAGAAAUGUGCUCCCGAUAGCAUUUGCUAUCGUAGAUAAAGAGAACAUAGAGUCUUGGGAAUUCUUCCUCACAAAUCUGCGAAGGUAUGUUAUUAGGAACGAUAACAUUUGCAUCAUCUCCGAUAGAGGGAAGGGUUUAAUUGCAGCUAUUAGGCAUUCUGGUUUACCGUGGAGAUCCGUUUACUGCAUUCGUCACAUUGCGUCUAACUUCCAUAAAAAUUAUAAAAAUGCAGACUGGAAGAGACAAGUCGUGGCAAUGGGUAAAUGAUAACCUUAUCUUUUCACUAUAAGUUGUAAUGUUUGAUGUUAUCGACUUACUAGAACUUAUUUUUCGUUAAUAUGUAUGCAGCGUACGAGUUAAAGCCACAUAUUUUCCGGCAAAGAAUGAUCCGACUUGAGAGUGACAUGGAGGGGCAGACAAACACAUCUUUCCGAAAAUGGUUGCGCACAAUGGAGCCGUGGCAGUGGGCUCAAAGUUUUGACGAGGGCUUUCGUUACGGCCACAUGACCACAAACUUAGUCGAGUGGAUCAAUGCUGUCUUGUUGAAAACACGUCAUCUUCCGAUUGCAUCGGUAUUUCCUGCUACUUUCUACAGGCUGGCUACUUUGAUGCCAAGAAUGGGCUAGCAUUAAGUCGGCCAAAUUCAGGCGGGACAUGUGUUUGUCGAACAUGUAAGGGAUGCAAUGGUCGUAAACCGUCGGUUGGCGAGGUCAAUGAACAUGGAAAUAUAUUCACGACGACUGGAAACGUUUCGAGUUACUGAGAACAUCGGUCGUCGACCUAGGUCCUACGGAGUUGAUCUCCGGAACAGACAGUGCGAGUGCAGGAAGUUUGAAACAAUUCAUUAUCCCUGUGCACAUAUCGUGGCGGCGUGUGCUAAAGUCAACCUUGAUGUUGAACAAUAUGUCGAUGAUGUGUACACGCUGGAGCGCACAUUGCGUGUCUGGGAGAAUGAGUUCCCCGUCCUGCCGGACCUAUCUAUGUGGGAGGUGUCGCCGAUGACUUUCGAGCUGAUCCCAGACAGAGGGCUAAGGAGGAAUCCAAGGGGUCGUCUGCAGUCAAGCAGAAUCCGUAAUGAGAUGGACAUUAGGGAAAAAUUUGAUGGAAAGCGUUGUGGAAUAUACCGGUUAAGUGGUCAUAGCCGGAAUAAAUGUCUUAACCGAAACUUUCAUUUUGGUCAGUCGUCCGGAUCGGGGUGAAAUUGAUAUGCUUUGUAUUUUGUUAUAAACAUUAAUUUUAUUCAGCUUUGUACCAUGUGCGCACUUGGAAUUAUUAAGAUUAUAUCGAAAAUAGAGGCAUUCAUAAUUCGAUUGAGCUUUAAUAUAAUGAAAAAUAAUAAUAAUGGAUAUUUAUACAAAAAAAUCAGAAGUAAGGUCAAUUAAAAUACAAAUAUGGCUUUUUAUACAAAAAGUGCAUCAAAUCCCUAAAAUCAAUGUUUCGAUGGUGUUGUCCGGGGGGUAUACCUCUGCGGAGGUCGACGCUCACGGUCUGGGAGACGACCAACAUCCUCAUCGUCCGCAGGUGGGGGCGUGGAAAACAUAGAGGAAAGGUCCUGUGCCUCGUUCGCCGCCGACGAACUUGAACCAUAAUGCUGCGAAUACGUGUCGGACGGGCCGGGCAUGCCGUACUGCAGCCGGGGGAUCCAAACAGUUCAAACUCGUAGGCGUAUUCGCCGUCUGCGAAGCUCGGAUAAUAUUUAUCGCCCACCAAAUCCGGACGAUAGCCAUGUGAAUCCACAUUUGACUGUGAAUGUCCAGGAUCUGGCUGGGGGUCCUGCUCCGGCUCUGUCAGUUGCGGAGAACAAUAUGCCGUCGGAUCUGGAUCCAUCGGGCUCGGUUCGUCCGAUGCCCCAACUUGCUGUACGUACGGGGGGAUUAUAGUUCGAUUGUACUUCAAGUAAAUAUGGCUUCCUGCAACUAUGGUACCAUUGUGUAUACUCCAAUGAUGGUUGCAGGUCCGUAGCCAUAACCAUUUGAGGAAUUCGGCGAAAUCGAUCGUUCCACAGUGCGACGUAUUUUCGGUGCUUGAUUCCCAAGCCCAAUUGAACUCUUCCUCUCUUUGUCAAGCCGUGAUCAUCCUCCAACUGGGCCGGCGGAUCCGGGAUAGGUUGGAUGCACCCAAACUGUCGAAGCACGCGAUCGACGUGAUACCACUUGACGACGUUGAAAUUAAUAAUUGGUGUGUUAAUGCACCAUAUGUGGGAAUCAACGAGUGCGGACGAGGGUACGACAUUUGCAAUUUCCCGCCUCCGGUAUGGCAUCCAUAUAAACUGCAUGAGUAAUACCAUUGUAACGAGUUAGACCGAUAACAUGUGAUUAAGAUAUAGAAAUAGAAUAGAUGUCAUGAAUAUUAGAAUAGCAGCUUACCCCUUCCCGGGCAUGCUGUUCAAUCCUCAUGCGGUAUAUUGGGACAUCAGACGACUUCCUGAUGCCAGGACGGGUCAUCCACCUAUAAAAAAUAGUAUAGGGUAUAGGGUUGGUAACAUUACUCAAUAUAUUAUGACUACAAAUAAUGACAAUUUAGCGUCUUAUCACCUGAGUGGCAGUGGAUACAGAUAGGGUUGGUGACUAACGAGUGCCAAAAACGACAUCCGAUAAAGCGCCCACGACUGCAGCAGUAUGAGGCAUCCGCCGAUGUCUUUAACCUGCGGCUUUGUCGCCUGACAAAGCUCCCGGUAGAGCGUUGCUAGAACGGCGGAACCCUAGCUAUACCGCCUAGCAGUGGAGAAAUAAGCUAGCAGGGGCAGGUACGACAAAUGCACACUGUCGCCGUUUGCAUCAGGCAUGAGUACUGCCCCUAUCAUAUGCAUGAUGUACGCUCGGGCAACGCACAUCAACUCACCUUCAGUGGCGGUCACUGAUAAUUGUCUAAUUUUGGCUUUUAGCCAUGUAAAUUUGAUGCCGGAAAAAUAUUUGUCGCCGUCCUCUGGCGACUCUCCUAGGAGUUGAUAGCAAACUGCAACCGGAUCGGUGAAUGAUGAUACUCCCGUUACGGGAUUCCAGUCAAUUGGGAGCCCCAGCUGCACUGCAACAUCCUCCAAGGUCACUGUGCACUCCCCGCACGGAAAAUGGAAAGUAUGGGUCUCCGGACGCCACCGCUCCACUAGCGCAGAUAAUAAAUCAAAGCGCAAGUCGGACGACCGGAUGAAUGCUACUGACCCAAAUCUGGCUAGCUCCAGGUAUGGCAGCAAUCGAUCAUCCGGAGCUUUCUUUAAAACACUCACGCGGCCCCUUAAUACUCAGAACGAGUCCUGAUAGUGUUAAAUUACAGAAAAAUAUUACGAUAACAUAAUUUCUUUGUAUAUACUGCAUAUAUCCUUUUAAAAUAAAUAGAACUUCUGAUUAACAAAUAAUAAAUCAUACCGCGUUAUUAGUCGCAUCAGAUAUGUGUCUAAUAUUGCUUUGAAUCAAUCCAGCCAUUGCGAUGCCUGCAAGUUAGAAAAAAAAGUUAGAAAAAAAUUCUUACUUCAGCCAUUUAUUCGUAUUUUUUUUCUCCGCAUUUUAUUCCUUUAAAAAAUAUCAUAAUUUCUAAAUUUAUAAUUUUACAUUAUUCCAGUGCAUAAUGUUUGAAAUUUAUUAAUCUAGUGUGUUAUUUAAAUUAAUUUUCUGUAAAAAAUAACCCUUACCCCUGCCCUUUGCUCGUAUUAAUUUUCUGUAAAAAAAUAACCAUCACCCUUUUUUUUGCAGUUUUUUUUAUAUAUUUUGGUAAAUAAAUAUAUAUAUAUAUUUUGGUAAAUAAAAAAAACUUAUAACAUUUUGGUUAUUUUUAAUUUUUUUAAUAUAUUUGUAAAAACCCAUUAUUCUGGUAAAUAAAAAAAUUUUAUAAUAUUUUCGUAUUUUUUUCUAAUAUUUUGGUAAAAAACCCGAAAUAAACCCUUUCCCCUGCCCUUUGGUCGUAUUAUUAUUUUCCCGAUUUUUAUUACUUUCAAGAAAAAUAUAUUAUUUUCGUAUUUUAUUAUUUUAUAUUAUUUCAGUACAUUUUGUUUCAAUUAUUUGUAUAACUUAUUUCUGAAUUUUUAAAAAAAUUUACUAAUACACUCUUACUUCGGCCAUUUGUUCGUAUUUUUUUUCAGUAUUUUAUUAUUUUUAACAAUAUCGUAAUUUUUUAUUUUAUAAUUUUAUAUUAUUUCAAUUUAUUAUGUUUGAAAUUUAUUACAUGUACACUUUUUGCAUUUUUAUUCCCAUUUUAUUAUUUUCGAUAAAUAUACAAUUCCCAUUUUUUCUUUUCGUAUUUUAUGUUUUCUUAAACAUACUUCUUUGUCAUUUUUCUUUUAAUGCUAUUUUCCUAAAAUUUAAAUUUCAAAUUCCUAAAUAAAUUUCGUAAAAAAAAUCCUUAUUCAACAUACAAUGUACAUACCAUUAUUUUUUCAUUCUAAAUAUAUUUCAUAAAAUAUAUAUGCUAAACAAAAUAAUAAAAUAACUAUAAUGUACGUAACAUAAAUAUUAAAAAAAUUAAAUUUAUAAAAAAAAUACCUUUUCUUUUCUUUUCUUUUCUUUUUCCUUCCUUCCCUCUUCUUCUUCUUCUUUUUUUCUCUUCUCCUUUCUUUUUCUUUACUUCUUUCUUUCUUUUUUCUUAUCCUUUCCUUUUCUUCUUCUUUCUUUCUUUCUUUUUUUCUCUUCUCCUUUCCUUUUCUUUCCUUCUUUUUCUUUCUUUCAUCUCCUUUCUUUCUUUUUUUCUUUCUUUCUUUCUUUCCCUCUCCUUCUGGUCCCCCCACCACCGACCCCCCCCAUAAACAUUGGUGCCGCCAAUGGUAUUGGCACCAUUGGUGCCGCCAAUGGCUAUGGCACCUUUGGUGCCGCCAAUCCCAUUGGCGUGACCAAGGUACACCCGUCACAUCGGUUAGAUUUUUUUUUUCAUUGUUUUUUUUUUUGGUUUUUUAUAUAUUUUGGUAAAUAAAAAAUAUAUAAUUUGGUAAAUAAAAAAAAGUUAUAACAUUUUGGUAAUUUUUUAUUUUUGUUAUAAUAUUUUAGUAAAUAUCCCCUCAUUGGCUUCACACCCACUUAAUAAAAUCCCUUCAUCCUCCUCCGGUGGAUCCAACACCAUUAACCCAUCUACGUAGUGAGGUUGGAAUUUGAGACUCACAUCUUUCCCGAAGAUUCCGAAAAUCUUUUGGCCAACAUUUGCUGCGUCGUGUAGGAUGCCUGCUAAUGUAUCUAUCGCACUGUGUAUGAUAUCAAAAGUAAGACUCUUAGCCUUAGCCUUAGCCUUAGAUGGUUUAGGCUUGUUGGGUUUUACUGGAGUCAUCAUAUGCUCAGGACCAAAUUGUUCUUUCUCUUUUUCAAUGAGACCACCACUGUGGCACGAAUCUGAUAGGAUUGUGAAGCUUGCUCCUUCUGGUAGCCGGUUAACUAAACGGCUGAAGUCCACAUCUGCAGAAACCAUGUAUAUAUAGGGUAUGAAUAUAUGUUGCUAAAAAAAAUAUAUAAACUCAAACAAAAACCUACCGGUGACAAGAUUUAAAUCACAAGCCACGAUUGCUUCAUCUUGCUUGAAAGGCUGGCCAGGUUGAAAGAUUGGAAUGCGCGUUCCAUGUCUACUGAAGUAGAAAAAUAGGAUAUCUCCUGCUUUAGCCUUGUUCACCAUUCUAUUAAGUGCAUCCUUAAUGUUUGCACCCGUAGGCAGAACCGGCGACCCUGGCGCAUCGGUGAGGACAUUAACAUCGCUUUCCUUAAACCCAAUGUCCAGGAUCACACCUCUUAUGGCUUUCACAUCAUUGACGCAUCCAUGCACGCUGAAUUGGGUCUUGGGGUAGUUGCAUCCCACCAGAACUGCUCUCUUCGUACCCUUACUCAUCUUGCUUCGCUAAUUUGACUAUUUUGUGUAGCUUGUACCGUUGUAUUAAUGUGCUUCCACUGUCUCACUAAGAACCUAUAUAUAUACACAUUAAUUUACAGCAUGUGUACUGACCAUAAAGAUGACGGCAUGUAGGUAGGUAGGUAGGUAGGUAGGUAGGCAGGUACAACACUUUUGUUUGUCUUUUGUGUUUUUGAAAAUGCAUGCGAAAUCCAUGCAUAUGCAAACAUUUUGUGCAAGGAAUUUGCAUAUCAGUACUGCAUAAAAGAGUGACUCUGGAGUUAUGGAAUUAUUUGAUAAUAUCAAAUACGAAAUAAAUUAAAAAUAAAAGAGUGGGUGAUUAAUCCGAAUUGGGAGGAGGACAGGUGUUGUGAUGGACAAAGCGUAAGACAAGUUGGUUUCCGACUGAAGCAGGAAAGCUCUAGCAAAAGGCAGCUAGGUAUUCCUUUUUCAGACAAAAGACGAUAAAGGAUAGAAAAAUAUAGGGUGGUGGUCGAAGAUAAAUGAUUAGAUCUGCUUCGCCUUCGUCCAUCACCUCAUCUUUAGGUUUUUUUCUUGGUCGUGACUCACGUUGGCCGUCGUCUGCAAGUGCUGUCGGUCCUACUAUCGUCGUUGUGUUGUCUAGCUUCUGAUUUCUAUGUAUUAGGGUCUAUUUGAAUGUGAGGUUGGUGUAGGGGUGAGGUUACAAAAUGGAUUUUAAGGGUUAAAAGUUAAAUUAUGUAUCUAUAUAGAUUAAAGAAUUGUUAAAUCAAAAUUUUAUAUUUUUUUUGGGAAUAAAUUGUAAUUAUAUAAAGUUUAACUUAUAAUUUUAUUGAUUUGAGCGAGAUUUAAAUAAUAGCUUUCUAUUUCUAUAAAGAGUAAUUUUUAUUGUAAGGGGCACGAUUAGACUUGAUUAUGAGUUUGGUCACCCUCCAAGUCCGAUAGCCCUCCUGAAAAGUGAGAGUUUAGGCAAAAUAUAAGCUUGAAAAAUAGGCUUGGACAAAAAAUAAUGCCCAUUUUCUAAUACUAGUGACAAACUACAUAAUUCGUUUAUGUCGCAGUUUAUGUUUAUGUGGUGUGAAUGUGUGAUAUAGCUAAAAUGAAUCUCGCUAGGAUGAGUUUGUUAGUUAGAAUUUGGACUCCCUCGUUCUUAAUACUGCCGAUAAGUUAAAUCUAGGGCGUUGAGUUACAGGGUUAUUUAUCGAUUAGGAAAUAAUUUCAAACGAGUUUUCUCUUGGCUAUCGAACAAUGAGAGAUGGGUUGCCUUACACUGAGUCAACAACUAGAACUAAUUUAUUAAAGGUAUUGAAGUUAUUUUUGCAUUGAUGAUCGAAUCUUUGAAUCAAACAAAGAUUUUACUUCUAGCUAGAGUUUCUUCUCAUUAAUUUUCUUUUAUAAUUUAUUUUUACUUUGUUUUAAUUUUAAUUUUUAAUUUUAAAAUCUUUUUAUAUUUUUCAUGUAAGUUUUUGUUUUUAUAAAUCUCUACAUCCUUGCAUUACUUCAAUACAACACCAAAAGAACCAAAUGGCAAACACUAUAACUAAAAAUCUUGCAAAAGAGGCCGUUUUAUUUUAUCAUAAAAUUAUACAUGAAAUAGCCAUACAUGGCGAUUACAUAAGCUUGAAGGCCUUAAAACACAGACAUACGAUAGUAAUUAAUAAGCAAACACACACACAGACGCAGUAAUGAAGGCUAACUUCAACUUCGUAGUAGUGCACACCGAUGGAGCACAUUAUUAUUUAGUUUACAGUUUCGACCUCUAGUGAUCGAAAACCCUGGUUCAAAGCCGGCAGCUUAUGCACCCGUAGUGGUGUUGGGUUGGUGGCCAAGAAAAGCUGCAUCAGCAUUCUCAUCACUGCAAUAAAGGCAAGGGUGCUGCUGCCCAAUUCCUAGCUUUAUUAUUUCAUUCCUAGCCUUCACCACAAGCUGUCUAUUGGUUAAUGCACCUAAUUCGCUCUCCUUGAUGACCUUCAGAACUGAAUAGGUAAAGGCCCCAAACGCCUUUCCUCCGGUUUUCUCACUCGCUGGCAUAUCAAUUGAAAGCUCAUUGGCUUGGCACCCACUUAACAGAAUUCCCUCAUCCUCCGUCAGUGACCUCAAAUUCAAAAUAUCACGCUCAUAAUGGGGUAGGAAUUUGAGACUCACAUUGUUCCCAAAGAUUGUGGUCAAAAGAGAGCCAAUACCCGUCAUAUUAUCUGUUCCAGUGUUGAUGGCAUUCCCAAGUGCUCUUGUGGGAAAUAAGUCUUGUGUCGCGAUAAUGACGUUGGCCGCUGUUUGUAGGCACUGGAAUAAGGUUGCUAAGGAAAUGCCCCUAGUCUUGUAAUCAACAGGUGGUGCUAUACCCCUUAGAGUACUAUGGGGUCCAAUUUGUUCUUUACUUUUAUCAAUCAGACCACCACUGUGGCAGGAAUCCGAAACGAUUGUGAAGCUUGAUCCACUUGGUAGUAGCUGAAUCAAUUGCCCCAAGUCCACGUCUGCACACCCAUCGCAACCACAAUAUGAUAUAAAUAACAGUUUGCUUAGAUUGAGAGUAUUUUAAUAAUUUAAUUUACCGAGUUGAUUACGUACCAAAAAUGGGAUUGAGAUCACAAGGCACAAUUGCUUCACCCUCGUUGGGAGGCUGGUGGGGGUCAAUGCGGUGCACAAGUCCAUGUCCACUAAAGUGGAAAAGCAGGACAUCUCCUUCUUUAGCCGCGACCACCAUCUUCUUGAGUGCAGCCAUAAUGUUUGCACGUGUAGGCUUACACGUGGACUCUGGUUCAUCAGUUAGGAGCUCAACAUUUUCGGAAUCAAAGCCAAACCUGCUCACGAUCAUUUCUCUCAUGGCUUUCGCAUCGUUUACGCAUCCGCUCAACUUGUUGAUGGUGUUGGGGUAGUUGCAUCCGACCAGAACGGCUCUCUUCUUACAUUCGGUGGCCAUCUUGCUUCUGUUUUGGGUCGCUUGUCUUGUCUUGUGCUUCGGACGUUGCACUAAACACCUAUAUAUAUGCACACAUACACACUGUAGUUUACACUAUGCUCACUGACCAUACUCUAAUAAAUAAUACAUCAUGUUGGUAGGUACAACUGUUUUAUUUUAUUUUUUGUUUAGAAAAAAAAAGGGCUUUUUUUAUAAAAACAACCCAAAAAUAAUUAAUUACUUAAAUGACUUAUUUUUUUGAUAAAAUACGAAAAUAACCUGAAAUCUAUGGAAAAAGUUGGUGGAGCUAAAGUGUGCCACCAACAUGCCACGUCAGCAAUUUAUAUUAAAAAAUUAAUUUUUUAGUAGAGCCGCCACUUGUAUAAAUACUACGGAAAUAUUAUGAUUUUUUUCUUUUUAAGUUUUUUUUAUUUGUCCCUUAUAUAUUUUAUUUAUUUGUUUAUUAUUGAUUUUAUAAAAUCUCAAAUGUAUAUUUUAAAUGUUUUAUAAUAUUAUUUUUUAAAUAUUUUAAAUAUUUUUCUAAAUUUAAAUAUUAUUUUUUAAUUUUUAAAUAUUAUUUUUUAAUAUUAUAAAAUAUUUAAAAUAUAUUAUUUUUAGAAUUAUGAGCUUUCAAAUUUAUUAUUUGUUUUAUAAUAUUUUAAAUAUAUAUUUAAAAAUUUUUAAAUAUAUAUUUUUUAAAUUAUUUUUAAAGAUAUUCAAACAUUUUUUUUAAUUCUAUUUAAAAUUUAAAAAAUAAUAUGUGUUUUUAGAAUGGCUUCACCACUUUAUUACAAGUGUCAUUUUUUAAAAAUAUGUUUUUUAAAUAUAAAUAUUUAAUAUUUAAUAUUUUAUUUUGGUGGAGCCAUUCUUUAUGGCUCCACCUCUUGGUUCUCUAGCAUAUAUAGAAUGGUGAAAUUGUUGUGUUUAGUAGGAGAGUUCAAAAAUUCUGUUAAAGAUGAAUAAUGAGGUGUUUUGGUUUACGUUCUCUUUUAUGGCGAAAUUGUAGAAGGUGAUGUUGGUUGUAUAUUUCAAUGUCGGCAAAGAGUAGGGUUGCGAUUCAAAAAACUGUAAAGCUGGCAGAAAUGAAAAGGAAGAUUAGUGCAAAAAUAGCUAUUUGUUGUGGAAGGGCAAUGUCCAGAUUAUUUUACAAGUUUCCAAUCUCUACAGAUCUGUUCAAAUUUUGUGAGAUGCAACUGUUAGAUGAUGAUGACUUGGGCACUAUGAUGGAAAUAUGGUGGUCGACUGGAAGUGAGAAUCCCCAACCAGUUGAGUUAUUUACUGAGUUAGCAAACUCAGAGCCUGUUGAAAAUGUUAGUCCAAUAAGUCAACAUCGCGAAUUUGACUUUGGUCGUAAUGCCAGAUGGACAGACUAGUUAGAAUGCGGUGGGACAUUGCAGAUACCCGAAAAUCCAAAUUAUGGUGGGAGUUCGUAUAACAACCCUACCCCCGGUCCCCGUCUACAAAUACAUUCGGAGGUGAUAAUAAGCACAGAGGCAGAUAUCAAAGAAAUGACCAAUAAUGAUGAAGAUUCUGAUCAGGACGUUUACGAUUUUAGCGACCUCGAUGUUGAUAAGGUUCCGGACGAUAUCGUUGAUGAAGGCCCGGAGGAGGUGGAAGACGUUCACUGGCCUUCAUUCAAUAACCCGAGUCGUGGCAUUAUUUUACGAAAUGAACCUGGAGGUGACCUGUUGAAUCUAGAUCCAGAUGCAGUGCAUGCAUCCGAGUUCCCUGAGUACACUGAUAUAGUACAUGCUCAUAGAUUGACGUCAAUUUCGUAGUUGGAGGAGUUGUUCAUUGGGUAAUGGUUCGAGAACAAGGCGGGCUGUGUGUUUGCCAUCAAACAUUAAUUAUAGCAUGAAGUUAUCGAUUGAUUACAAGGUUGCCAAGUCUACACCGACAUUAUAUGUUAAGAAAUGCUGGAGAGCCGACGAUGGGUGUGCUUGACGGGUUCGGGUUGCAUUUAUACAGAAGACUCAAUAGUGGCAAAUACGAAAAUUAGAAUGGUGUCAUACAUGCACUGUCGUGCGUAUUCUCAAGAUCCCCAAAAAUUGGAUGCCAAAAUUAUUUGCAACUGCAUCAUGUCACUAAUGAAAGAUAGUCCAAUCAUUCUUGUGUCGACAUAUCAAAUGGAUCGGCACAUCAGGAGGAUCAGCAGCUGGAUCAAACAUGGAAUGAGGCGGAGUGUAUAAAUGUUAUUACCAAACAUAUCAAAUGAUAUCAGUGGUUGCUCUGGGUAAUAUGAACUCGAACCGCCCAUGUCCAGGUGAUAUGAACUGCUCUGUGACUCUUCACAAAAAGCAUCAACCUAUUGGUACGAUAUGUUUAAAGGUUGGUCCUCCGAGUCGGGCUCCGCCAUAUGUUGAUCCUCUAGCUCCCCCAUAGGUUGACUUACAUAUCUAUAGCUGUGUCCGGUACUAUUAUAUGUUGCCCACCAUAUAACUAAAUACGCCAUCGAGUCAUGUACCACUACAUGUAUUCAGUCAAAGGACUGAAGUCAAACAUGCAAAAGUGCAUCUCAGGCCGCUUGUUGUAUCGGGCAUUCCAUAGUACUACAUGUAUCUAUUCUGCUUAUCUGAUUAUGAUAAUUGCAUCUAAUAUGGACUUAGGUCUGAAUCUAUAUUUGACUGUAUAUGAGAUUUUGUGUAUGUACUGCAUGUCUAUUUAUGUUGGGUUAAACACUAAGUUUGCGAAAAUUCAGUUCUGCUUGUCUGUUAUGUUCAGGUAAUCCACAGUCUUAGGCAAAUCGGUGCGGCAGAGUUUCACGGUAACCACAAGUUUGUGAACUAAUUUUAAUUGGUGGUUUUUGUUUAGUUAUGGAUUAUUUCUGGGAGUUUUGUAAUUAAGGGACUCUCCGGACUGUUUGGUUUUAUUUUAGAUUUGGAUUUUCGAAUUAACUCUUCAUUUGCGACGGUUGGCUAAAACCGUGGUUUUUACUAAACAAAGGUUUUUUUGAAAAUGCAAACGGGAUUUUCAAAUAUAACGAUUUCUAAUAUUUCUGCUCAAAAUUAUGUUUUGGAAUAUGAAUUAAUUAAAUAAUGUUUUCAGUAUUAUUUAUAAAACUUGGUUGAUUUAUCGAAAUGGUUCUGAUUUCAAAACCCUUCAUCGCAGCAUUACCAAAUUUGGCGAUAAUGUCUAUGCUGGGUUUGAGGUGUUACACAAAUUGUCACAUAACUCGAUCGGUAUUAUACCACACAAUGGUUGAGAAGUUGAGCACUGGCAUGUUAAUACACCACACAUGGGCUUCUACGUGAACCCACUAAGGAAUAAGGGUUGCAAUGUUCGGUGCUGAAUACAACAUCCACAAGAACUGCACAAUAUAACAUAAUGAGUCAAGUCACAUCACAUACUGCAAGUGGAUAAGUUAAAUCAACGUUACUUAAACCAUGUUAAUAUGUAUUACUUUCUUUCCGACGGAUGCCUCUAUCAUUUGUUGGUAAAUGAUUAAUGUUUAGGUCGCACCAAUUCGCGGAGACGUGGCCCAUCUAAAACCGAAACAAACAUGUUAGCAAUUAAAUGUUAAGUAUAAUUUUGUUUUUACCUAUUUACAAGUGGCGACGAAUAUGGUUGGUGCCUAACAACCACUAGAAAUGGCAUCCUGUAUAGAGCCCAAGAUUGCAGCAGAUUUAGUCAACCAGCCAUGUUACUAACCCCAUGUUUUGUUGCUCGGCAAAGCUCAUGGUACAAUUUGGCCAACACUGCCGAUCCCCAGCUGUAAUUAUCGACACGAGAGAAGUCCUCACAUAGAGGCAAGUACUUUAAGUGGACCCUAUUAGACGUGUUGUUCGACAUAAGUACCCCCGAUUAGCUGCAUAAUAUAUGCUCAAGUGGCACACAUCACCUCGUGCUCAGUGGCAAUGCUUGAUAACUACUUAAAAUUUAGUUUCAACCAUGCCAAUGUCAAGCAUGUGAAAUUAUGUUCCCCACCACUAGGGGACCGUCCAAGCAAUCUGUGGCAUAGUAUUGAAGGUUCCAACACUUUUCUUUGGCCCGUGACCACAACAAUAUCAACUUAUAACCCAAGUUACAUAGCAACAUCUUCCAAUGUGAUAGUACACUCCCCGCACGGCAUAAUGAAGGUGUGGGUCUUCAUACACCACUGCUCAACCAAGACGGAUAUUAAGUUCACCCUCAGGCCAAACCUUCAGAUCAAUGCAACGUCCCCAAAUCCCGCCAAUUGUAAGUAUGGCAUGACUCGCUCGUCCGGAUUGUGCUUGGGAAAAUGAAACCGCAACCUCAGAACCCGAUACCCAUCCUGUAUGGUAAAUUUUUUAUAAAAAUAUGAUAACUCAAUUAUCUAAAGAGUUUUUCAUUUUAGAUUUUAGAGAGGCUUAAAUAAUAGUUUUUCAUUUUAGGAGGUCUAAAAAGUACUUUUCUUUUUAAAGGAGCCACGACCCCUGCCUAGUUUGGUCACCUUCUGUGGUGACGAGAUUCAUUCCAAUGAGAUUAAAAACAGCAGUGAUGAUGAGAUUAAUUACUAUAAUAAUGAGAUUAUUAAAAUCAGUGGUGAGAUGUGUUUUAGAAUUCGAACACAACAAUGGCAGUGAGAUAGAUUAUAGAUUUAUAGUAAAAAGGAAAAAUGACCAUUAUAGACACUAAACUAAAAUUAAACUAAGGAAGUUUACACCAUUCCGUAUAUUUUUGUACGAUUAAUAUUUUAGCGAUAAAAACACCAUAUUUCAUAUUUCAUGUUUUAUGUAAAAUACUUUUAAUCUUUGAAUGAAUGUUAAUACAUGCAAUAUUUUAGAUCGAUAGAUAAAAAUAUAGAAUCAAUUGAGAAUUUACAAUAAUAUCAACAAAUUCAAUGAUUGGAUUGUUAAGUUAAGAAUCAUGCAAAAAUAUAUGAAAUCGUGUAAAAUUACUUUAGUUUCGCACUAGUAUAAGCGAAUUCUUUUUUUUUUAAUAUAAAAAAUUAAUUAUAUAAUUUAAAUUUAUGUAUUUAACAUUAUUUAUAAAUAUAUUUCAUUAUUUAUAAAUAUAUUAUUUGAAAGUAAUGAAAUAAAAUAAAUAUUAUAAAUAAAAUUAUUGAAAUAUAGUAUCUAUUAUUGAAUUAAAUUAACCAUUCUUUAAAAAAAGAGUGAAAAUUAUUUUUUUAAAAUGCAUAGGGUUUUAUUUUUAAAAAAAUUUAAGAUUUAGGUGUAAAAGAUAAUCAAUCAUAAAGUGCAUAGGGCUUUAUUUUUUAUUUUUUAAAUAAUAUUGUUUUUGGCUCACAUGCAGUUUAUUGAGUUAGGUUAAGUAUACCUAACUCAAAAUUUAUAAAAAUGAUAAAAGGCAUGUGAUUUAGUAAUACAAAUAUUUUAUUCUUAAUUUUAAUUCAAUUUUUUUAUUUAAAACAGUAAAGGAUGUAGAUACCUUUAUAAAUUUGCACCUUUUAUUUUAUAGUUCAGUCAUUUCUUAAUUUCAUUUAGAGAUUUAUUGUAUACAGUGACGGAGCAUAGUGGAGAUCCAGGUAGCAUGGCAUCCCUUAAAAUGGUAAAUUUUUUAUUCAAGCCCUUUAUAAUUUAUAAAAUAUUAAAUUAGUAAUGGUAAAAUUGUAUUUUAACCCCCCUAAAGAUGAUAAAGUUUUGAUUUAACCCUUUAAAAAUUACAAAUUACAAUUUAAUUCCAACCCAAAAAAAUUUAGGCUCCGCCACUUAAAUAAUUAUAUCAAAUUCGAUAAAAAUUUUAAACUUCACAGGUAGAAUUGAAAAAAUAUGUGCUUUAUUUAAUAAUAAUACUUUUGAAUGGGUUGAAUUUGGUUGAAUUGGCAAGAGAUAAGGUGUGGAUAAAAUAAUAAAUUUAGUAGAUUAUAUGCAGAACUUGGUCAUAUCAGACUCAGUGCCAUGAACUUCACUAGCAAGCUUGCUAACACAGCUGCAGCAUAAGCUAUUAACUGCUUAAUCACUAUUUUUAUUACAACACUCAAAGAUGAAGAAGAAGAUUCUAUAUUUAAUUUCUUAAUGUUAACCUUGCAUUUGCAUUUCCUUGAUGGCGCUUCUAUACCAACUUUCAAGGAGAAUAAAACAAAAUAAUAAUAACUUUUUAGUUAAUUUGAUGGCAUAAUUGGUAAGGUUUUUUUUUAUUUUUUUAUUUGGGGUCGAUUUUGCAACGAUAUAGACAGGUAGGUAGGCACAUUUUAUUCUGUUGAAUAACUAGUUAUAUGGUAUAAGAGUGGUACCUAAUUGAUUAUUAAUGUCUUAAGGUCGAAUAUCGAAAAAAAAAACAAUUCCCCUUUAGAAAAAUAUUUAUUGGAAUUUAUUAUUUUGAAAACUAAAAAAUUUAAUCAUCUUGCUUCAAUGAAGAAAUCGAAACCCUGUAAGUUAGGGUAUGAUUCUUUGAAGUUCCGAUAACAACAUGAAUUUGCCUUUAUUAGAAAACUUCAUCUCGAGAUAAUAAAAUGUCAUAUCCAAUUAUUUAGGACCCAACGUUUUGAAUCCUCGAGAUAAGCUUUAAUUUUGGAAUUUUUACGUUCUUCGGAAAGAAGGAUACAGGGUUACCUAAAUUCAUCGAGGAAAAUUGAAACCCAGUAAGUUAGGGCACAAUCUUCUCGAGAAUCUUGGAUACCGAGUAUUGUGUUAUUUUGAAAACCUUUGAAUAAAACAAUUUAAUUACUUUAAUUAAGCAUAAUCCUUUAAGAAAAAAAACGAUGGAAUGAUAAUGUAUAACGGGAAAGGAUAGUUUGUAAACUAAAGUGCACACUAAUGAGCGACAAAUAAAUACAAAUAAGCAAUACAAUACACAUGAGAGCAAUCAUCUUUAUACAAAUACUAACUUUAAAAGCUAAUGAAUCAAAAGUCUAUUUUGAAAGAAAUACGAAGCAAAUUAACACAAAUAAAAUGUAACAAAUUUUAAAACAACUAAAAAAACAAAUGACAUGAAAGAAGGGGAAUUAUGUAAAUUUAAAAUAAUAUAUACAUAUAUCAAAGUUUGAAAUAAAUCAAAAACAUAGUUCGAAAUAAAUACUACAUAAAAUAAUAGUAUCCAAAUAAAUUUUAAAAUAAAUAUUAUAUAAGAAGAAAAUCAAAACACACAAAAUAAUAUACAUAUAUUAAUUUAAAAAAGUAAUACAUAUGGAAUGAAAAACUUCAUAAUAAUAUAUAAUAAAUUUAAAAAUAAUAAUAAUGCAUGAAAAGCUUAGAAAAAUAAUACAUAUAAAAUUAAAAUAAUAAUAUACAAUAAAUUUAAACAAUGUUAAUAAUAAAUUUAAAAUAAUAUUAAUUUUAAAAUUAAAUACAUUAAAAAUAAGGGAAUAAUAGAUGCUUAAAUAAAAUUUUAAAAAAAAAUCAAGCACAGUAAAUUAGUAGGGAUUAAAUUGAACUCAAAAUAGAAUUAAAAGGGAAAAAAGUAAAACAAAAUGAAGGGCCAGAGCAUAACGCGCGAAUAACAUGAGGGCCAAACAGGAAAUAUUGCCUUCUCUCAAAACGCUGCAUUUUGAUGUGGACCAAAAUGAUACAAAAAGAAAAUGUCAAGCAAAAUUUAAAAGCCAUUAAAGAAUUGAUUUGAAUACGUUAUAAACGUGGGGGACCAUUUGCACAAAUUCCCCAUGCGCUACAAAAUGCGCGGAUCUUUCCCCGGGUCGGGUCACUACGCGGGUAUACAUGGCGGUAUGGCGUCGUUUUGGAGUCAUUAAAACAGACCCCAAAUGGCGCCGUUUCUUUUAUCAUAUACAAACCAAUUUUAACCCUAAAAUUAGCAGCCAUUUAUGAUUUAAAAAUCAAUCCCUAAAAAAAACUUGUCUCACCCUCUCCGAGCGCCGUUCAACAAUUAGGCCGUUCAAAGGUCCUCCGCCCUUCGCCCGCCUCCGAUUGCGAUGUAGCGAACCAAGGUUCGACUACCAGGUAACCGACUCUUAACUGUUUCUUUUUUCUUCAUUCACGAUAAAUAAAUAAAAAGAUUCAAGAACAGAAAAAAAUUAUUGAGAGAGGAAAAAAAAUGAAAAUCACCUCUGGAUUUCUGUCUUUUAGCAAUUUUUAUUUCUUUUCGUAUCCCCCAUUUACAAAUUUUCAAUGGCUUUUUAUAGCCGAAAUGAAACAAGAAAAUAAAAUAAAAAGAAAUCUAUUCUGUCAUCUGAUGGUCUUGAUUUGCGAUUUUUUAUUUUCUUACUAUUUUUUCCUACCUCUGCUGUUUGUUCCCAUUUUUGUUGUGCAGGUACAACCUCGGAGGGGCGCACGUGCGCGGAGGAGCAACAUGCGCGGGGGGCCUAGGUUCGGCUGCAGCGCAAAGGCAGAAAGCUACUAUUGCUGCUAAGGUUUCUGUUUCGUGGUCUAGGGCUAGGCAUUGGGCCUCUGUAAUUGGGCCACUAUUUAUUUGGUUAAGGAUUUAGAUUGGGUCUUAGUGUAUUUUGUAAUCGAGUUUGGGUUUGGGUUGGCAAUUGGACUGUAUUUGGACUUUGAAUUUUUAUUUGGUAUUUGGUUUUAUUUAUUUACAUACGGGCCAGGCAAAUUGGGCCAAUUAUAGCUGCCCCUCUUUGCUCGUUCUCGUGUAACAGGAACGGAGCAAAGAAUUUAGCAAUGGCCAAUUUUUAUUUCUUUUCGUAUCCCCCAUUUACAAAUUUUCAAUGGCUUUUUAUAGCAAAAAUGAAACAAGAAAAUAACAUAAAAAGAAAUCUAUUAUGUUAUCUGACGGCCUUGAUUUGUGAUUUUUGAUUUUCUUACUAUUUUUUCCUACAUGUGCUGUUUGUUGCCAUUUUUGUUGUGCAAGUACAAGCUCGGAGGGGCGCACGCGUGGGGGGCCUGGGUUCGGCUGUAGCGCAAAGGCAAAAAGCAUCUAUUGCUACUAAGGUUUUUGUCUCGUGGUCUAGGGCUAGGCAUUGGGCCUCUGUAAUUGAGCCACUGUUUAUUGGGUUAGGGAUUUAGAUUGGGUCUUAGUGUAUUUUGAAAUCGGGUUUGGGUUUGGGCUAGCAAUUGGACUGUAUUUGGACUUUGAAUUUUUAUUUGGUAUUUGGUUUUAUUUAUUUACAUGCGGGCUGGGUAAAUUAGUCCAAUUAGAACGUGUUAAGAACUUUCUUAAUGAACAAAGUAAUGCUAUAUUGAUCAAGAAAAUAGGUGAUUUCCCUUCCUCUACCAUUUCACAAUAAUAGAGUACAUGAGUUAGCUAUUAUUUAUAAUUGCUGCUAACAAAUUAAUAGAUUGAUGAGAAUAAAAAAACUAAAUGUUGCCUAUCAAUACUAACAGCUAUUAUUUUAUAUUUUAACAUUAACUUAUCUUUCCGACGGGUAACACCUGAAGAAGACUUUGAAACCGAGCGAAAGAUGAAACAGAUAAAGGCUUAGUAAGAAUGUCAGAAAUUUGAUCGCACGCAAGUAUUUCACCCACAACUAAAGACCUAGCAGCAAAUCUUUCACAAAUAAAGAACAAAUCAAGCUCCACGUGUUUAAACUUAGAAUGUAAAACCGGAUUCACAGCAACUGCAACUGCACUUGAGUUGUCAUACCAUAUAGUAAGGAAAUCAUUAGACUGAAGUUCUAAUUCUUUUAAUAAUGAAGUCAGCAAAAGGACAUCACUCGUUACUGCAGUAAGACUCUGAUAUUUAGCUUCGACUGUGGAAUGAGACACAACUUGUUGUUUCUUUGAACACUAUGACACUAAGUUGUGACCAAAAUAUACACAAUAGCCAGUUGUGGAUCAACUAUCAUCAAGAUCCAGCCCCCAAUUUGCAUCGGCAUAACCAACUAAAGAGAGUUGAGUAGACGAACGAAACACAAUCCCAUAGUCUAGAGUACCACACAAAUACCGCAAUAUGCAUUUUAAAGCAACCAGAUGUAUAGUAGUGGGUGUAUCCAUAAAUUGGCAGAUGCGAUUUACUGCGUAGGCAAUAUCAGGUCGAGUUAGAACCACAUACUAUAGCGCCCCUGCAACACUUCUGUAUUCAGUGGGAUCAAAAAGUCAUUCCCCGCCAUCCUUAGACAAAGAUGAUGAGCUAAUCAUAGGAGUAUGAACACUCUUUGCAUGAGUCAUACAACACCUGUUAAGCAAAUCACGAACGUACUUUUGCUGGCAUUGAUGGAUACAUCCAUCAGAGGAACGAGUCACCUCAACUCCAAAAAAGUAAUAAAGAUCACCCAUAUCUUUAAGAGAAAACUCCUUAUGCAAUUUCUGAACAAAACUUUCAAUACAUGUAGGUACACUUCCAGUAACAAUAAUAUCAUCCAUACACAAGAACAUAUAGAGUGACAGAAGGUAUGACUUGAAUAAAUAAGGACGAACUCGACUUGGAUAUAUGAAAUCCAAUUGAAAGUAGGAAACACUUUAACUUUUUAAACCAAACACGUGGAGCCUGUCACAGUCCAUACAAUGCCUUCUUAAGACGACACACCAAAGGUUCACCAUUAGGACUAAACUGAACAUACCCUGGAGGUUACUGCAUAAACACUUAAUCAGUAAGAUUGCCAUUUAAAAAAAACAUUAUUAACGUCUUGAGACAGAGACUGAUAGUAUAACUCGAAUAGUAGCAUGCUUGACCCCCGGACUAAACGUUUCCUUAAAAUCACAUCCAAGUACCUGAGAACAUCCUUUAGCCACUAACCGAGCUAUCCGACUUGCAAUCGUUCCAUCCAAAUUUUUUUUACUUUGAAGAGCCAUUUACACCUGAUUACCUUUCGACCGCUUGGUGACAGAAUAAGUUUCUAGGUGGAAUUAUGUGUAUUUUGGAAAUACGCCCAUCUCGUGUUGUUCAAAAAGGCAACAAGUUAUUUCUCGAUCAACAGCAGAAGUAGAAUAUUGAACUCUUACUGCCGCCACCAGUGAUAUAAUAUGGUUAGUCUCUCUGCUAACGGAGUUACAACUUCAUUCUGCUGACUCUCCUACUAUUUGGUGUGACAAUUCUAGUGCAGUAGCGAUUGCUGGCAAUCUGGUUUUACACUUCAAGUUUAAACAUGUUGAACUUGACCUUUUCUUUGUCCGUGAAAAGGUUGCUAACAGUUCACUCGUUGUUGGUGAGGUACCAGCCUGUACCAAGUUGCUAACAUUUUAAGGAAACCAUUGUCUGUCUCUUUGUUUACUCAGUUUUGUAAUUUCCUUCGGAUCUUACCUAUUGAGAAGCUGGGUAAAUGUUAGAGUAUGUGAAUGUAUUAGGCUAUUAGUCUGUUAUCAAGACUGGUAUAUUGUUAGUAGGUUAGUUAGUAGUAGUUAGAUCAAGUCUCAUGCAUAUAAGUAUUAUCUCUAUACUGAUAGAAAAAGGUUAACAAUACAAACAAUUUAAUUAGUCUUUUCUUUCAAUAUUUUUCAGUAUUAUAGAGUUAGUAACAUGUUCAUAUUAUUUGUUCCAGUGUUGAUGGUAUUGGCAACUACUGUUUUGUCCAAAAAGCUUGACGUCAUGCUCAUGACGUUGGCUACUGUUUGUAGGCUCCGAUAUAAGGUUUCAAUGGAAAUUCCCCUAGUCCUGUAAUCAAUAGAUGGUGGUAUAGCCCUUAGAGUACUAUGGGGUCCAAUUUGUUCUUUAGUUUUAUCAAUCAGACCACCACUGUGGCAGGAAUCAGAAAUAAUUAUGAAGCUUAAUCCACUUGGUAGUCGUUGAAUCAAGUGCCCCAAGUCGACGUCUGCACAACCAUCGCAACCACCAUAUGACAUGAAUAAUAGUUCGCUUAGAUUGAGGGUGUUUCAAUAAUGUGAUAUAUUUGGCCUCUAAUAAGAAAUCAACAUAUAGAGUGGGUGAUUAAUCCGAAUUGGGAGGAGGACAGGUGUUGUGAUGGACAAAGCGUAAGACAAGGUGGUUUCCGACUGAAGCAAGAAAGCUCUAGCAAAAGGCAGCUAGGUAUUCCUUUUUCACACAAAGACGAAGAUAAAUGAUUAUAACAGCAUGAUAUGAUCUGCUUCGCCUUCGUCCACUACCUCAUCUUUAUGUUUUUGUUUUGGUCGUUACUCACGUCGGCUUUUGUCUGCAAGUGCUGCAUGUCGGUCCUACUAUCGUGAUUGUGUUGCCUAGCUUCUGAUUUCUAUGUAUUAAUAGGGUCUAUUUGAAUGUGCGGUUUGCAGAGGUAAAAUUAGAAAUUUGUUUUUAAGUGUUAAACUUUGUAUCUAUAUAGAUUUAAGAAGUGUUAAAUCAAAAUUUUAUAUUUUUUUACGAUAAAUUGUAUUUAUACAAUGUUUAACUUAUAAAUUUAUUGAUAUUACAGAGGUUUAAAUAAUAGUUUUCCAUUUUAGGGGUAUAAAGAGUAAUUUUCAUUUUAAGGGCGCUACGAUUAGACUUGAUUAUGAGUUGGGUCACCCGUCCAAGUCUAAUGGUUCUCUUGACAAGUGAGAGAGAUUGGGCUAAAAUAUAGCCCAAAAAAACAGACUUGGACAAAAAAUAAUAUCCAUAUUCCAAAGGGGCCGAGCCUCGGGUAAGAUUUUUUUGCUUGGGCCCAACCCGACCCAAAUUUGCUUAAAAAAUUUUCCUUGCUACUGUUAACUAUUGUUUGCUAUUAUAUUGUUACUAUAUUGUUGCUAUUAUUUGUAUAUUGUAUAAUUAUUGUUUUAUUGUUAAUUUUGCUACUAUUUUCAAUUAGUUGGGAAACAUUUAUUUCAACAUUUUUAGUGUAUUUGAUGUAUUAUAUUUUUUAAAAUAAAAAAGUAUAAAAUAUUUUAAUAUAGGCGGGCCGGGCAAGGCUCAGGUUUGGCAUUGUUUAUCUGGGUCAGGCUUGAUAAAAAAUUUAGGCCCAUUUUUUGGUCGGGUAGGGCUUGAGCCUAGAAAACGAGCCUAGAAUCCCAACCCGAUUGAGCCCAUGAUCAAGUCUAGCCACGACCCCUAUCCGCUAUGGUCACCGCCUUUGGAGACAAGAUUAAUUCUUGUGAGAUUGAGAAUAGGGAUGGCGAUGAGAUUAAUUACUAUAGCAGUGAGAUUAGUUACUACAGUGAUGAUGUUAAAAUUAGUGGUGAGAUGCGGAUUCAAACACAAGAAUGGCGGGAAGAUAGAUAAUAGAUUUAUAGUAAGAAAGGAAAAUGACCAUUAUAGACAUUAAAAUAAAUUAGUUUUCACCUUUCCGUAUAUUUUUCUAUGAUUAUUAUUUUAAUGAUAAAAAUGACAUAUUUAAUAUUUCAUUUAAACACAUCGUGCAUAUUUUUAACAUAAAUUAAAAAUUUCUAACUAUUUGUUUUAUUUAAGAAUAUUUUUAAUCGUUUAAUAAAUGUUAAUAUAUAUAAUAUUUUAGAUAGCUAUGACAGAAAUAUCGAAUCAAUUUAAAAUUUUACAUACAUGAAAAGUACAACAAUAUUGAUAAAUUCAAUGGUGGGUGUCACAUCACAAAAUCAGGGUUAAAAAAAUUAGAUUAGCGAAACCAAGUGUGGUCGUGUUCAGUUUUGAUUUGAAGUUGUGAAAAUUAAAAACCAAGAGUACGUUAACCACCGCAUCCCCAAAUAGUCAUAUGAUGUCUCAUAGGCUUCACACCCUCUUAAUAAAAUCCCAUCAUCCUCCUUCAGUGGAUCCAACACCAUUAACCCAUCUACGUAGCGAGUAUUGGGAAUUAUCCAUAUUUAUGGAAAAUCAAAGAUAUGGGUAUCAAAUAAUAGAAAGUCAAAGAUAUGGGUAUCAAAUAUUGGAAAGUCAAAGAUAUGGGUAUCAAAUAUUGGAAAGUCAAAGAUAUGGGUAUCGAGAUAUUGGCAUAAUAAAAUCUGAGAUAUUUGCAAUAUAUGGUCCCUAAUUGUAAAGUGACUUUGCAAGUUGAUCCCUGAACCUCAACUAUAAAUAGGUGCCAUCUCUCAUUCUGUAUCUCAAACUUGCCAUUCUCUACUUAAGGCAUUGUUUUUUCUCUCUCUCUCUUUGUAAAUUCUCACUUGUAUUUUGGAGUGAAAUAUAUUUGGUAGUGCCCGAGGACGUAGGCAAAAUUUGCUGAACCUCGUUAAAUUCUUGUGUUCUUUAUUGUAUUAUUCUGCAUGAAUUGUGUGUGUGAUUGUAGUAAUUUAUUGUGCUAUUAAAUUACGACUGAAGGAUAUUCUGGCUAGGAAAGACCUGGUACUUAAGCGAUCCUUGUGAUCCACCUCUCUUUCCUGGGAAUUGAACUUAGUGUGAUUUUUUAGUACAAUAAUUUUACUCUUUUACACGCUUCCGCACAACAAUUGGUAUCAGAGCUAGAUUCGUACUUGGGGAAUACGAUCGUUCACGGUACUGUUCACGUACUGUAGUUGGGAUUGAGGAGAAAAAAAUGGAAAAGUCAUCGUCAAAGACUACUGUGACCAAUGCGAAAUUUGAAGUAGAGAAAUUUGAUGGUACCAAUAAUUUUGGUAUGUGGCAAUGUGAGAUCCUGGAUGUCUUAUGUCAGCAAGAGUUGGAUAUAGCCCUUGAAGAAAAACCUGACAAGAUGGAUGACAAGGAGUGGGCCAAGAUCAAUAGACAGGCAUGUGGAACAAUUCGCCUAUGUUUGGCCAAAGAGCAGGAGUACUCUGUCAUGAGGGAGUCAUCAGCGAAGAAGUUGUGGGAUACACGGGAAGAAAAGUUUCUAACAAAAAGUCUUGAAAAUAGGCUUUAUAUGAAAAAGAAACUUUAUCGAUUCACGUAUGCACCCGGUAUGUCGAUGAAUGACCAUGUGAACUCAUUCAAUAAAAUUUUAGCAGACUUGCUAAAUUUGGAUGAGAAAUUUGAAGAUGAAGACAAGGCAUUACUGUUGUUGAAUUCUCUUCCUGAUGAAUAUGAUCAUCUUACCACCACAUUGCUUCAUGGGAAGGAUACAAUCACAUUUGAUGCAGUCUGUAGUGCGUUGUAUAGAUCUGAGACUCGAAAGAAAGAUAAAAAAGAUCACAGAGACUACAGAAGUCUUAACAGUAAGAAGUCGUUCGCACAGCAACAAAUCUGGUAGAAGGAGUAAGUCCAAAAAGAGACCUGCCAAAGAUGAAUGUGCUUUUUGUCGUGAGAAAGGGCAUUGGAAAAAGAAUUGUCCUAAGUUACAAAAGGGUAAAGCUAUUUCUGAUGCAUGUGUAGCGGAGCAUGAUGAGGAGUCAGACUUUAGCUUGGUUGGCAUGGCAAUGGCAUGUCAUACAGAUGAGUGGAUUUUUGAUUCGGGAUGUACUUACCAUAUGUGUCCUAAUAAGGACUGGUUUUCUAGUCUUAAAGAACUAGAAGGUGGAGUUGUUUUUAUGGGCAAUGAUAGCGCUUGUAAGACAAUGGGAGUAGGUACAAUCCAAUUGAAGAAUCACGACGGCUCAAUUCAAGUCUUGACAGAUGUUCGCUACAUACCUAUCUUGAAGAAAAAUCUUAUCUCAUUAGGGGUCCUAGAAUCUAAAGGGCUCACAAUCACUUUGAGAGAUGGAUUACUAAAGGUAGUAGCUGGGGUAUUGACGGUGAUGAAAGGCACAAGAAGGAAUAAUCUGUACUAUUUAAAUGGAAGUACAGUUAUUGGAUCAACAUCAACAGCUUUUACGAAAGAUGCAGAUUCAGAGGCUACCAGGUUAUGGCAUAUGCGAUUGGGACAUGCUGGUGAAAAAGCUUUGCAGAGUUUGGCGAAGCUAGGCUUGUUGAAAGGUGCAAAUUCUUGCAAAUUGGAAUUCUGUGAACAUUGUGUUCUGGGCAAGCAGACAAGGAUAAAAUUUGGUUCAGCAAUUCACAAUACAAAAGAAAUUCUGGACUACGUUCAGAGUGACGUGUGGGGACCUACUAAAGUGGCUUCUUUGGGAGGUAUGCACUAUUUUGUUACUUUUGUUGAUGAUUAUUCAAGAAAAGUAUGGGUGUAUCUAAUGAAAAGGAAAAAUAAAGUUUUGGAUGUAUUUCUUAAAUGAAAGAAGAUGGUGGAGACCCAGGCUGGUCGAAAAGUCAAACGACUUCGAUCAGACAAUGGUACUGAGUACAAGAAUGAUCCAUUUCUACAAGUAUGUCACGAUGAAGGUAUUGUACGACACUUCACUGUUCGAGAUACACCACAACAGAAUAGGGUGGCAGAACGUAUGAAUCGGACUAUACUGGAGAAAGUUCGAUGUAUGUUGUCCAAUGCUGGAUUGGGCAAAGAAUUUUGGGCUGAGGCAGUUACAUAUGCGUGCCAUCUAAUUAAUCGGUUGCCAUCAACUGCAAUAAAUGAAAAAACUCCUAUGGAGAGGUGGGCUGGUAAACCUGCUACUGAUUAUGAUUCUUUACAUAUUUUUGGUUCCACUGCAUAUUAUCAUGUAAAAGAAUCUAAGUUAGACCCAAGAGCAAAGAAAGCAUUAUUCAUGGGUAUAACUGGUGGAGUAAAAGGAUACCGUUUCUGGUGUCCUGAUACAAGGAAAAUAAUUUUCAGUAGAGAUGUGACUUUUGAUGAAUCAACCAUGAUGAAGAACAAUGAUUCACAAAAGGAUAACACAACCAGUGGCACUUUGCAGCAGGUGGAGCUUGAAAAGGUUAAUGAUGAUCCAGCUAAUAUUGAAGGAACAAAUGAUGAAGAAGUUUCGACCCAAGAACUUCUACAGCAACAUGAUUCAAUUGCAUAUAGAAGGCCAAGAAGAGAGAUUCGUAUGCCUGCUCGCUUUGAUGAUAUGGUGGCCUAUGCACUUCCAAUUGCAGAUGAUGAUGUUCCUUCUACUUACACAGAAGCAAGAAGUAACUCUGAUAGUGUAAAGUGGAAGCAAGCUAUGAAUGAAGAAAUGCAGUCUCUUCAUAAAAAUAGGACUUGGGAGUUGGUGACACUACCUAAAGGAAAGAAGGCAAUUGGAUGCAAAUGGGUAUAUGCAAAGAAGGAAGGAUUUCCUGAUAAAAAUGAAGUUCGAUACAAGGCUAGAUUGGUAGCAAAGGGUUACGCUCAGAAAGAAGGAAUAGACUACAAUGAAGUAUUUUCUCCAGUUGUGAAGCAUUCGUCUAUUCGGAUUUUGCUAGCCUUGGUUGCGCAAUAUGAUCUUAAACUAGUUCAGCUCGAUGUGAAGACCGCAUUUUUACAGGGUGAUUUGGAAGAGGAAAUCUAUAUGACUCAGCCAGAUGGAUUCAAGGUUGCUGAUAAAGAAAAUUGGGUUUGCAAACUGACAAAGUCGCUUUAUGGAUUGAAACAAUCUCCAAGGCAGUGGUACAAGCGAUUUGAUCAGUUCAUGAAAGGGCAAAGGUAUACAAGAAGUAAAUUUGAUCAUUGCGUGUAUUUUCAGAAGCUACAAGAAGGAUUUUUCGUAUACUUGCUAUUAUAUGUUGAUGAUAUGUUGAUAGCAUCUAAGAGUAAAGUUGAAAUUGAGAGAUUGAAGACUCAACUCAACCUUGAGUUUGAGAUGAAAGAUCUAGGUGAAGCUAAGAAGAUCCUUGGCAUGGAAAUAUGUAGGGAUAGAGCUCAUGGCAGAGUUAGUUUAUCUCAGAAGCAAUAUUUAAAGAAGAUACUACAGAAGUUUGGCAUGAACGAGUAGACUAAAGCUGUAAGUACCCCGUUGGCUUCUCAUUUCAAGCUUUCUGCACAACUAUCUCCUUCGACAAAUACGGAACAAGAAUACAUGUUACAAGUUCCGUAUUCUAAUGCAGUAGGUAGCUUGAUGUAUGCAAUGGUGUGUACAAGACCCGACAUUUCACAGGCAGUUAGUAUAGUGAGCAGGUAUAUGCAUAAUCCUGGAAAAGGACAUUGGCAAGCUGUGAAAUGGAUUCUACGGUAUAUUCAUAAGACCAUGGAUAUUGGAUUCCUGUUCAAGCAGGAUACUACACUUGGUAAAGGUGUUGUUGGGUACGUUGAUUCUGAUUAUGCCGGUGAUUUGGACAAACGAAGAUCAACCACUGGUUAUGUGUUUACUCUUGCUGGAGGACCAAUAAGUUGGAAGUCUACACUGCAGUCUACAGUUGCGUUGUCAACCACAGAAGCUGAAUACAUGGCUGUAACAGAGGCUGUAAAGGAAGCUAUUUGGUUACAAGGUAUGGUUAAAACCUUGGGAUUGAUCCAAGAGCAUAUUAAUGUGUAUUGUGAUAGUCAAAGUGCUAUUCAUUUAGCAAAGAAUCAAGUCUAUCAUGCACGUACAAAGCAUAUCGACGUACGUUUCCGCUUUGUGCGGGAAAUUAUUGAUGAGGGGAAAAUUCACCUUCAGAAGAUUAAGACUGCAGAUAAUCCCGCAGAUAUGAUGACCAAGGUGGUAACAACAAUCAAGUUCGAACAUUGUUUGAACUUGAUCAAUAUUCUGCAUGUUUAACAGUUGAAGAAGGCACUAUCAAGUGUUGUUGACAAAGGCAGAGAGAAUUGUGUGAAGAUAAGAUUACUCGAAUUAAAUCUUCAAGGUGGAGAUUAUUGAGAAUUAUCCAUAUUUAUGGAAAAUCAAAGAUAUGGGUAUCAAAUAAUAGAAAGUCAAAGAUAUGGGUAUCAAAUAUUGAAAAGUCAAAGAUAUGGGUAUCAAAUAUUGGAAAGUCAAAGAUAUGGGUAUCGAGAUAUUGGCAUAAUAAAAUCUGAGAUAUUUGCAAUAUAUGGUCCCUAAUUGUAAAGUGACUUUGCAAGUUGAUCCCUGAACCUCAACUAUAAAUAGGCAUAACCAUUUCUCAUUCUGUAUCUCAAACUUGCCAUUCUCUACUUAAGGCAUUGUUUUCUCUCUCUCUCUUUGUAAAUUCUCACUUGUAUUUUGGAGUGAAAUAUAUUUGGUAGUGCCCGAGGACGUAGGCAAAAUUUGCUGAACCUCGUUAAAUUCUUGUGUUCUUUAUUGUAUUAUUCUGCAUGAAUUGUGUGUGUGAUUGUAGUGAUUUAUUGUGCUAUUAAAUUACGAUUGAGGGAUAUUCUGACUAGGAAAGACCUGGUACUUAAGCGAUCCUUGUGAUCCACCUCUCUUUCCUGGGAAUUGAACUUAGUGUGAUUUUUUAGUACAAUAAUUUUACUCUUUUACACGCUUCCGCACAACAGUGAGGAUGGAAUUUGAGGCUCACAUCUUUCCCGAAGAUUCCGAAAAUCUUUUGGCCAAUAUUUACUGCGUCGUGUAGGAGGCCUGCUGCUGUAUCUAUCGCACCAUGUAUGAUAUCAAAAGGAAGACUCUUAACCUUGACCUUAGACGGUUUAGGCAUGUUGGGAUUUACUGGUGUCGUCAUAUGCUCAACACCAAAUUGUUCUUUCUCUUUUUCAAUGAGACCACCACUGUGGCACGAAUCUGAUAGGAUUGUGAAGCUUGCUCCUUCUGGUAGCCGGUUAACUAAACGGCUGAAGUCCAUAUCUGCAGAAACCAUGUAUAUAUAGGGUAUGAAUAUAUAUUGCUAAAAUAAAUAUUUAAAUUCAAACAAAAACCUACCCGUGACAAGAUUUAAAUCACAAGCCACGAUUGCUUCAUCUUGUUUGAAAGGCUGGCCAGGUUGAAAGAUUGGAAUGCGUGUUCCAUGUCCACUGAAGUAGAAAAAUAGGACAUCUCCUGCUUUAGCAUUGCACGCCAUUCUAUUAAGUGCAUCCCUAAUGUUUGCGCCGGUAGGCAGAACCGACGACCCUGGCGCACCGGUGAGGACAUUAAUAUCACUUUCCUUGAACCCAAAGUUCAGGAUCCCAUCUCCUAUGGUUUUCACAUCAUUGAUGCGUCCAUGCAAGCCGAAUUGGGUCUCGGGGUAGUUGCAUCCCACCAGAACUGCUCUCUCGUACCCUUACCCAUCUUGCUUUGCUAAUUUGACUAUUUUGUGUUGCUUGUACCCUUGUAUUAAUGUGCUUCCACCGUCUCACUAAGACCCUAUAUAUAUACACACUAAUUUACGGCCUGUGUACUGUCGAUUAAGAUGAUCAUAAAGUGGAUAGGGUUUUACUUGUUUUUUCUUUUUAACAAACUAAUAUUAUUUUUGGCUAACAUCCAAUUUAUUUAAAUACGUUAAGUAUACCUAACAUAAAUUUUUUAAAAAUGAUAAAGGCAGAUUAUGUUUUCAUAGAUGUAAUUUAGUCAUACAAAUAUUAAUAAUUAAUAAUAAUUAAUAAACACGUUCAUUUCAAUUAAUUGUAUACUCUACUAAAUGGUAAGAUGUGGCUUAUUAAAUUAAAAAAUUAAGUCUGACUUCCUCUCAACACUAUUCACACACCCUUGUUAUUUAUAUUUUUGCUCUAUAAAAAAUAAGGAUUUUGUGAUAUUUUUUCCUCUUAAAUGAUUUUAUUUAUAUUUUUAAUUAUAUUAAUUAUAUUUUAUAUUAGUUAUUAUUGAUUUAGAGAAUAAUUGGAGAAAAAAAAGAGCUUAAAGUUUAUUUUUGACACGUUUUGCGGGUUGGACUUUCAAUAUUUACAAUACAGUUUAAGUAUUUUGGUAAUAACUUAAGCUACAGGUUUUAGUUUUGGGCUCAUAAUAUACAGAUUUGAAGAAAAUUGACAUAACUAACUAAAUUUGUUUCGCGGAUGAAGCCCAAAAACAUCAAGAAGACAUCAAAAAAUGUCCUGGAAGUUUGUCCGAAAAAUUGCCAAAAUAUCUUGAAAACUUUUGCUUUAUAUAAUUAAUGGUACUUUUGUACUUUCUCUAUUAUAUUAUUUUUCUCUAUAAAUGGACAUUAUUAGGUUAAGACGAGGGGAGACCUAGACCUAGGCGUUCUUAGUUUUAUUUUGUUUUUUUAGUUUGUGGCUUUUUAAACUCUCCAUCUAGUCGAAGGUUUUAUCAGAUUUUGAUUUAAUAAAUUUGUGAGACUUAAUUUUUGCUUUAAUUUUUCUUUGUUCUUUGGUAUUCAUGCAUUUUUUGUUUUAAUUACAACUUUUCAAGUUUAUUGAAUGUUCAGUCGGUAUUUGAUAGCUUAGAAUGAUUGUUUUGUCAAUUAGAAUUCUUAAAUCCAUAAUUGUAUAAUUCAUUCUAAUACUAGUGACAAACUACAUAAUUCGUUUAUGUCGCAGUUUAUAUUUAUGUGGUGUGAAUGUGUGAUAUAGCUAAAAUGAAUCUCGCUAGGAUGAGUUUGUUAGUUAGAAUUUGGACUCUCUCGUUCUUAAUACUGCCGAUAAGUUAAAUCUAGGGCGUUGAGUUACAGGGUUAUUUAUCGAUUAGGAAAUAAUUUCAAACGAGUUUUCUCUUGGCUAUCGAACAAUGAGAGAUGGGUUGCCUUACACUGAGUCAACAACUAGAACUAAUUUAUUAAAGGUAUUGAAGUUAUUUUUGCAUUGAUGAUCGAAUCUUUGAAUCAAACAAAGAUUUUACUUCUAGCUAGAGUUUCUUCUCAUUAAUUUUCUUUUAUAAUUUAUUUUUACUUUGUUUUAAUUUUAAUUUUUAAUUUUAAAAUCUUUUUAUAUUUUUCAUGUAAGUUUUUGUUUUUAUAAAUCUCUACAUCCUUGCAUUACUUCAAUACAACACCAAAAGAACCAAAUGGCAAACACUAUAACUAAAAAUCUUGCAAAAGAGGCCGUUUUAUUUUAUCAUAAAAUUAUACAUGAAAUAGCCAUACAUGGCGAUUACAUAAGCUUGAAGGCCUUAAAACACAGACAUACGAUAGUAAUUAAUAAGCAAACACACACACAGACGCAGUAAUGAAGGCUAACUUCAACUUCGUAGUAGUGCACACCGAUGGAGCACAUUAUUAUUUAGUUUACAGUUUCGACCUCUAGUGAUCGAAAACCCUGGUUCAAAGCCGGCAGCUUAUGCACCCGUAGUGGUGUUGGGUUGGUGGCCAAGAAAAGCUGCAUCAGCAUUCUCAUCACUGCAAUAAAGGCAAGGGUGCUGCUGCCCAAUUCCUAGCUUUAUUAUUUCAUUCCUAGCCUUCACCACAAGCUGUCUAUUGGUUAAUGCACCUAAUUCGCUCUCCUUGAUGACCUUCAGAACUGAAUAGGUAAAGGCCCCAAACGCCUUUCCUCCGGUUUUCUCACUCGCUGGCAUAUCAAUUGAAAGCUCAUUGGCUUGGCACCCACUUAACAGAAUUCCCUCAUCCUCCGUCAGUGACCUCAAAUUCAAAAUAUCACGCUCAUAAUGGGGUAGGAAUUUGAGACUCACAUUGUUCCCAAAGAUUGUGGUCAAAAGAGAGCCAAUACCCGUCAUAUUAUCUGUUCCAGUGUUGAUGGCAUUCCCAAGUGCUCUUGUGGGAAAUAAGUCUUGUGUCGCGAUUAUGACGUUGGCCGCUGUUUGUAGGCACUGGAAUAAGGUUGCUAAGGAAAUGCCCCUAGUCUUGUAAUCAACAGGUGGUGCUAUACCCCUUAGAGUACUAUGGGGUCCAAUUUGUUCUUUACUUUUAUCAAUCAGACCACCACUGUGGCAGGAAUCCGAAACGAUUGUGAAGCUUGAUCCACUUGGUAGUAGCUGAAUCAAUUGCCCCAAGUCCACGUCUGCACACCCAUCGCAACCACAAUAUGAUAUAAAUAACAGUUUGCUUAGAUUGAGAGUAUUUUAAUAAUUUAGUUUACCGAGUUGAUUACGUACCAAAAAUGGGAUUGAGAUCACAAGGCACAAUUGCUUCACCCUCGUUGGGAGGCUGGUGGGGGUCAAUGCGGUGCACAAGUCCAUGUCCACUAAAGUGGAAAAGCAGGACAUCUCCUUCUUUAGCCGCGACCACCAUCUUCUUGAGUGCAGCCAUAAUGUUUGCACGUGUAGGCUUACACGUGGACUCUGGUUCAUCAGUUAGGAGCUCAACAUUUUCGGAAUCAAAGCCAAACCUGCUCACGAUCAUUUCUCUCAUGGCUUUCGCAUCGUUUACGCAUCCGCUCAACUUGUUGAUGGUGUUGGGGUAGUUGCAUCCGACCAGAACGGCUCUCUUCUUACAUUCGGUGGCCAUCUUGCUUCUGUUUUGGGUCGCUUGUCUUGUCUUGUGCUUCGGACGUUGCACUAAACACCUAUAUAUGCACACAUACACACUGUAGUUUACACUAUGCUCACUGACCAUACUCUAAUAAAUAAUACAUCAUGUUGGUAGGUACAACUGUUUUAUUUUAUUUUUUGUUUAGAAAAAAAAGGGCUUUUUUUUAUAAAAACAACCCAAAAAUAAUUAAUUACUUAAAUGACUUAUUUUUUUUGAUAAAAUACGAAAAUAACCUGAAAUCUAUGGAAAAAGUUGGUAGAGCCAAAGUGUGCCACCAACAUGCCAUGUCAGCAAUUUAUAUUAAAAAAUUAAUUUUUGAGUAGAGCUGCCACUUGUAUAAAUACUACGGAAAUAUUAUGAUUUUUUUUCUUUUUAAGUUUUUUUGAUUUGUCCCUUAUAUAUUUUAUUUAUUUGUUUAUUAUUGGUUUUAUAAAAUCUCAAAUGUAUAUUUUAAAUGUUUUAUAAUAUUAUUUUUUAAAAAUUUUAAAUAUAUUUUUCUAAAUUUAAAUAUUAUUUUUUAAUUUUUAAAUAUUAUUUUUUAAUAUUAUAAAAUAUUUAAAAUAUAUUAUUUUUAAAAAUAUGACCUUUCAAAUUUAUUAUUUGUUUUAUAAUAUUUUAAAUAUAUAUUUAAAAAUUUUUAAAUAUAUUUUUUAAAAUUUUAAAUAUAUAUUUUUUAAAUUAUUUUUAAAGAUAUUCAAACAUUUUUUUUAAUUCUAUUUAAAAUCUAAAAAAUAAUAUGUGUUUUUAGAAUGGCUUCACCACUUUAUUACAAGUGUCAUUUUUAAAAAAAUAUGUUUUUUAAAUAUAAAUAUUUAAUAUUUAAUAUUUUAUUUUGGUGGAGCCAUUCUUUAUGGCUCCACCUCUUGGUUCUCUAGCAUAUAUAGAAUGGUGAAAUUGUUGUGUUUAGUAGGAGAGUUCAAAAAUUCUGUUAAAGAUGAAUAAUGAGGUGUUUUGGUUUACGUUCUCUUUUAUGGCGAAAUUGUAGAAGGUGAUGUUGGUUGUGUAUUUCAAUGUCGGCAAAGAGUAGGGUUGCGAUUCAAAAAACUGUAAAGCUGGCAGAAAUGAAAAGGAAGAUUAGUACAAAAAUAGCUAUUUGUUGUGGAAGGGCAAUGUCCAGAUUAUUUUACAAGUUUCCAAUCUCUACAGAUCCGUUCAAAUCUGUUCCACUGCAACGUCAGUGAAAUAACAUCCGUUGGCUUCAGUCUUAACGCAAGGGUGAUAAGACUGGUGUCUUCAAUCCACUCCACUGUAACUUCAGGGAGAUAGGAUUUGUGGUUUCACCGAUCUGUUUUCUAGGGAACAUGACCUGUAGAAUCCUUUUUAUGGGCCUAUUUAUGCCUAGUGAUUAGGAUGUUAUGAUCGGAAUGAAUUAAAAUCUCCUAAUCAAAUAUGCAUGCAUGAAUACAAAAUGUCAUGAAAAUAAUCCCCUAAUGUUUGAGUUGUUAUUGUUCAUUGUUCAUUAAGGAUUUAUUACCAACACAUCAGAACGCCAUCUUGUUCGGCUAGUAAAACUCAUAUCUUACUUAACCAGAUUGCGUCCACUAUAAUCUUCAAGGUUCAAUCCAUUGUAAUCUUCAAGGUUCAAUCCACUGUGCUUUUAGGACAUAAAAUUUAAACUAUCUUCCUCCCACUAUAAUUUAGGAAUAUAAGAUCUGGCUCUUUCUCAAUCCUCUCAUCCUGCAAUUCAAGGAUACAAGACCUGAAUCUCUUUGGUCUAUUACACUUUCCUAGAGUGUCAUACCAAAUGUUUAUGCACAAUUGUAGAACUUUCUUCUCCAAGAAAACAUAUUCUUAUCACUGGGUGAUCAUUGCUUGUUUGUUCAUUGAAGCUUUGUCACCAACACGGCAUCUUGUCAUUUUGUUCAAUCAACAUUUUGACAACAAAAUUUGAAGGGAUAGUCUUAAUUUAGACUUUUCCUUCUUAGAUAUUUCAACCUUUAAACUUGGUGCGUUCUAAACAAUAGUCCUGUUUUAGGUUCUUGUAUUAUUUAGAAACUUCUAGAGUAAUAUGCAAAACUUCCUUUGAGAAAGUAUUAUUAGUCCAUUAAUCAUCAUUCCAAUGCCACAUGCUUGCAAAAGAUCAUACCAAUGGAUAAAAAUAGAAUUGAUUUGGGAGCACGGUUCGAAAUGAAUAAAUUAUCAAAGAUAGUAAAAUAAAAGAGGAAUUAAGUAGGAACAUGUAUCUUGAAAAAUAAUGAAGUAUUCUAAGAACAACAAAUUCAAUAUAAAUAGUAUGAAGACUAGAUGCCCCAAAUAUCGUAGCUUGAGUUUCUCUGUACAAACUUUCUAAAGACCAUUCCGAGUUUGACAUGUGUUUAGGAGAUCUAUAGUACUUUGUCGCUGCCCCAAUAUGUCGCCUACCCUUUCUUGUUGAUUCAGGUAUAAGAAGAUCACCACAUGCCCCAAUUUGAUCAAAAUUUCAGCUGUUCUGAUCACCUCAUGUCCCAUUCUAAUAAAAGAUUUGAGCUGCCCUUUUUGAGUUUUCAACUCAAAUCCCCUUGGGUCUCAAUGCGCCCUUUGCAGGUUUUUACCUUGGCCUCUCCUUUUUCUUUUUUCUUUAUUAUUAUUAUUAUUUUUUAUGACUCAAAGCACCCUUUGUGGGUUUUCACCUUGAUCUCUCUUUUUUUUUAGAACUUAAGGCGCCCUUUGUGGGUUUUCACCUUAGUCCUUUUUAGGACUCAAAGCGCCCUUUGCGAGUUUUUGCCUUUGUCCCUUCUCUUUUUUUCAAGUGAAGUGUGUCUUGAUUGAGUCUAAGUUUACAAGAUUUGACAAGUUUUUACCAUCCAUCUUACUCAAAAUCAAAGCUCCUCCGGAAAAGGCUUUCUUUACAACAUAAGGUCUUUCCCAAUUUGGCAUCCAUUUCCCUCUAAAAUCUUUUUGUAGAGGGAGAAUCCUCUUCAACAUUAGGUCGCCCUCAUUGUAACACCCCUAACCCGUGACCGUCGCUGGAUUGGGUUUAUGAGGCAUUACCGAACCAAAAGCUUAAUUCUAAUUUUAAUUAAUAAAUGGUAAAUCCAAAACAAAAUGAAUCAUGCACUAUGUUAUAUAUAUAUAUAUAGCAUAGCAUAGCAAAAUCAAAUAUAAAAUUCAAGUAAACCAAAUUUGCAUGCUUAACAAUCAAGUGGAAUACAUAGACUAUCCAUUCAAAUAUAGUAAAGGUGUACAUUUAUCAGAUUUGAAUAAAAUUGAUAUUUCACUAUAUUUAUUCAAAUAUAUAAUCUUACCAUUUCCAAGAAACAUUAUAUAUAUUCAUUAAGAUAAUAUAACACUCACUCAAAUUUCAUAGUCAACCACACUUUUUUGGAAUUAAACAUGAACCAAAUAAUCUAUCUGUAUAUACAAUAUUUCCUAUUACCUAUUUAAUAAAUCUCAAAAUCUUAUUCAAAUAUUACAUAAAUUAAUCAAAUACAAUUACAACUUGAAUAACAAAUUAGGUUCUUAUACUAAUAAAUAUAAUAAAUAACAUGAAUUUAACCUUUAACCGAAUAUACAUGGCUUAUAAUAAAAUCAUAUGAUCAAACUAAUUUGUCCUAUUUAAAACCGAAUGCAAACCCAUGCAUAGCAAAUUUUCUUUACUAAAUAAUUAAAUUGAAGUGGCCAAAGUAAUACCAAUUCGUCUAGCGCAUAAUAUGCCUAAAUUAAAUCUAACAUCAAUCUAACCAAAUUGAUCAUCCAAUACCAAAGCAUAUAAAUCAUAUCAUUUACCUGUUUAAAUACAUAUAAUUGAACUAUCUAUAUAAAUGCAUGCGCAUAAAUGCUCAUGCUUAAACCAUUUCCAAAAUAUAUAUUUCAUUACAUUACCUUACAAAACUAAGCAUUUCAUUACCAGUUAUAUAUAUAUAUAUAUAUAUAUAUAUUAUAUGCUAUAAAAUAAAUAUCAAAUUAUAACUAUCGGCAAUUACAUUAAUUAAUCAAACAUAUACACCUAUAAUAUCAUUUAACAUCAAUUCCCAUGAAUUAAACAUACCAUUUGCAAUUUCAUAUCCAAACAAAUCACACAUAACAUUCACAUAUAUAAUACCAUCCAUAAAAUGCUUAAUCAUAAUCAAAAUAUGCCUAAACCAUAAUUCACCCAAACCGAUCACAACAAUCUAAUUAAGCCAUUUUCGCAUGGCUUUAAUUUAUACAUUUAGCAUAUGUAAGUCGAAUAUUUUACUACUAGAAUACAAGUAUAUUCAUCAUCAUCAUCAUAUAUAUAUCACAAUUAUGAUAAUAAGCCAAAAUCACUCAUAAUUUCAAACAUAUUUACACAUUAUAGACUUACUAAAUAAUCUUGAAUCAUCAAUUCAAUAUAAAACUUACCUUAAUUUCUUAACAUGGUAAUAAUACAUACCUGAACUUUUAAAUUUGUUUUCACAUUUGUUCUUAAAUUAACGAUGCCCGUUGAGCCGUUCUGCAUUGAAAAGGAUAUGCAAAUAGUCGGAAAGCUCGUACAAUGCCAACGUCCUAGAUGUGGUCUUACAUGUAUUUACAAAUUGAUGCCACUGUGCAAGACAGGGUCAUACACAUAAACACAAGUCGAUGCCAACAUCCCAGACGUGGCCUUACACGUAAUCACAAGUCGAUGUCAACGUCCCAGACGUGGUCUUACACAAAAUCACAUAUUGGAAAUCCUAUCUAUUCCUAAGGCUCGUACGGGGCUUCUGAUUAUUGAACCUAAUCAAAUCAAACUCAAAAAUACAUAUUUCUAGCUUAAUCAUAUUCGGCCAUCAUCAAAUAAAAUUCAUAAAAUUGAAUUUAUUAUGUGACCUAUGUAUAUAAUUAAAUUUAACAACAUUUAUAUGCUUACAGACUUACCUCGGAUGUCGUCGAAUAAUAAAUCGGCUACUCGACCACUUUUGUCUUUCCCCGAUCCAAAUCCGAUUUCUUUAAUUCUUGAUCUAAACAUAUUUAAAUUAAGCUUAUUUAAACACGAUUCUAUUCAAUUUAGCCUAAAAACACAUGAAUGGACAAAUUACAAUUUUACCCCUAACAUUUCCCACUUUUUACAAUUUAACCCUUUUUGCUCAAAACACAAAAUACACAAAAUUUGACUACACUCUUUAAGGGUCGAAUAUUCCUAGUGUCCACACAACUCCAUAUUUUUCAUUUAUUUAGCAUUUGACCCCUCAAUUUACGCUUUUCUUAAUUUAGUCCUUAAUACACAUUUUUAUCAAAAAAAUUACUAAUUAAAACAUGAAAAUCUAACUACAUAUAUUUAUUUUCCAUCAUCUAAAAACAAAAACAACAAGUUCUCUUCAAUGGCAUCUUACAAAAUACACAACAAAUACAAAAUUUCAAGCAUGGGCUUUAUAGUACUCGAAACAACGAUAUUAAAAACAUAAAAAUUAUCAAAAAUCGAAACAAAAUCUAACCUUAAUUAAGACUUGUAAUUGCCGAAUGUUCAAAGCUUUUUCUUUCUUUAUUUCUUUUGUAGUUUCGGUGAAAACAAAGAUGAACAAUAGCAUGGUUUUCUUAUUUUAUGUUUUAUUUUAUUAACAUAUAAUAAUAACAAACUAUUAUGUUACCAAAAUAACCUUUAAUAAAGAAUAUACAAAACAUAUAAUAUAAGGUCAUUCUUGACCAUUGCCAUCCACUAACUUAUAUAAUGUGCUAAUUGCAUCAUAGUAUAAAGACAACAACAAUUAGACACUUUCAUAUUUAACCACUAAAUUUUCAUUUUACGCGAUUAAAUCCUUUUUCUCAAAUUAAGCACUCAAACAAUAAAAUUAAUUCACGAAACUUUCACACAUGUAAAUUCACACAUAAUAAACACAGAAUAAAAAUAUUAAAAUAUUUUUUAGACUCGGAUGUCUGGUCCCGAAACCACUGUUCCGAUUAGGGUCAAAAUCGGGUUGUUACAACUCUCUCCCUUUAGGGAUUUUCGUCCUCGAAAAUCUUACCGGUGAAUAGCUGUGGGUAACAUUCUUUCAUUGCAUCCUCUGGCUCCCAGGUUGCUUCCUCAACUCUGUGCUUAUGUCACAGUACUUUGACUAACGGAAUUUUCUUAUUUCGUAAUUCUUUAACCUCACGAGCCAGAAUAUUAAUCGAUUCUUUUUCAUAUGACAUAUCAGACUUAAUUUCAAUCUCGGUAGGACUAAUCACAUGCAAAGAACCGGAUCUAUACCUAUGAAGCAUCGAAACAUGGAAUACAUUGUGAAUCUUUUCUAACUCAGGUGGCAGCAGCAAUCAAUAAGCAACUGGCCCGACACGCUUUAUAAUCUCAUACGGUCCAAUGAAUCUCGGACUCAAUUUGACUUUACGACCGAAUCUGAGUAUUUUCUUCCACGAUGAUACUUUUAAAAAAACUUUAUCUCCAAUCUGAAACUCUAUAUAUUUUCUUUUCAAGUCUGCAUAUGAUUUCUGACGAUCCGAUGAUGUUUUCAGAUUAUCGCGAGUCACUUUCACUUUCUAUUCAGUUUCUUUAAUCAAAUCGACCCUGUGUAUCUUAUUUUCACUGAGUUCAGUCCAAUACAAUGGUGUACGACAUUUACGACCGUAUAAAGCCUCGUAAGGUUGCAUUUUGAUACUAGAUUGAAAGCUAUUAUUAUAUGACAAUUCAAUCAAAGGUAAGUAUUGUUCCCACGUACCUUCAAACUCAAGAAUGCAACUUCUCAACAUAUCCUCAAGUAUCUGAAUGAUUCGUUCGACUGUUUCUGGAUGGAAAGCUGUGCUAAAAUGUAGUUUCGUACCUAAAGCAUCUUGUAGUUUCUUUCAAAACCGCGAUGUGAACCUCGGGUCUCUGUCCGAAACAAUAGAAAUAGGCACACCAUGCAACCUCACAAUUUGAGAAAUGUAUAAUUCAGCAAGUUUAUCAAGUGAAUAAUCAGUAUGGACUGGAACAAAGUGAGCUAAUUUUGUCAAUCUAUCAAUAAUAACCCAGAUUGCAUCUUUCUUGCUCGGUGUCAACGAUAAACCAGAUACAAAAUCCAUCGUGACUCGGUCUCAUUUCCAUUCAGGUAUCAUGAUCAGCUGAAGCAACCCAAAAGGUAACUGAUGCUCGGCUUUUACUUGUUGACAUAUUAAACAUUGUGAAACAAAGUCAGAAAUAUCUCGCUUCAUACCGCGCAACCAAUAGUGCUAUUUUAGAUCAUUAUACAUUUUCGUGCUACCCGGAUGAAUAGAUAAUCGACUAUUAUGAGCUUCAUUCAAGAUCAUAUGAAUUAAGUCUGAAUUUUUCAGAACACAUAGUCGGUUUCUGAAUCUCAAACAAUCCUCAGCAUCAACUAGAAACUCUGAAUCAACAUUCAAAUCACACUGAGCCCGUUUUGCAAUUAAAUCAUUAUCAUCUUUCUGAGCUUCACAAAUAUAUUGAACAAAUAGCGGUUUUACUUUCAACUCAGCUACCAUUGCACCAUCAUCAGACAUAGCUAUAUGCGCGUUCAUUGCACGCAAAGCAAAUAAUGAUUUUUGACUUAAGGCAUUCACAACAACAUUAGCCUUUCCCGAAUGAUAAUCAAUCACAAGCUUAAAAUCUUUUAGCAACUCUAACCACCGUCGCUGUCUCAAAUUUAGGUCCUUCUGAGUCAUCAAAUAUUUCAAGAUUUUGUGAUCAAAAUAAGCAUGACAUUUUUCACCGAAUAAAUAGUGGCGCCACAUUUUCAAACCAAACACAAUAACGGCCAAUUUGAGAUCAUGCGUCGGAUAGUUCUUUUCAUGUGGCUUCAACUGUCUCGAGGCAUAAGCUACAACUUUGCCUUCCUGCAUCAAAAUAUAGCCCAAACCGUUCAAAGAUGCAUCACUAAAAAUAACAAAUUCUUUACCUGUCUCUAGCUGAACUAGUACUGGAGCUUCGGUCAAAAGGACUUUCAACUGAUCAAAUCUUUUCUGACACUUUUCUGACCACUCGAACUUAACAUCUUUUUGUAGCAACUUCGUCAUCAGGGUCGCAAUCAUAGAAAAACCUUUCACGAACUGUCUAUAAUAACCAACGAGUCCCAAAAGACUUCAAACUUCAGAGACAUUUCUCGGAGGUUUCCAAUCAAGUAUAGCUAAAAUUUUACUUACAUCAACCCGAAUACCCGAUGCUAAUACAAAAUGGCCCAAAAAACUGACUUCGCAUAACUAGAACUUACAUUUACUAAACUUUGCAUACAAUUGUUUAUCUCGCAAAGUUUGUAACACAAGUCUUAGAUGUUCAGCAUGUUUGAUUUCAUCACGAGAGUAGAUCAAAAUGUCAUCUAUGAAUACUACCACAAACUGAUCCAGAUACUAUCUAAAGAUUCGAUUCAUCAAAUCCAUGAAAACAGCAGGUGCAUUAGUAAGCCUGAAAGGCAUAACCAGGAAUUCGUAAUGUCCGUACCUCGUUCAGAAAGCUGUCUUUGGCACAUUAGAGUCUUUAACUCACAACUGAUAGUAACCCAAUCUCAAAUCUAUCUUCGAAAACAUUGAAGCCCUUUUUAGCUGAUCGAACAAAUCGUUAAUACGUUGCAAUGGAUAUUUAUUAUUUAUAGUCACCUUAUUGAGCUGCCGGUAAUCAAUACACAUUCUCAUCGUUCCAUCUUUCUUUCUCACAAAUAGUACUGGUGCACCUCAAGGAGAGAAACUCGGUCGUGCGAAACCUUUAUCUGUCAACUCUUACAACUAUUCUUUCAUCUCUUUUAAUUCAGUCGGUGCCAUACGGUACGGAGCUGUCAAAAUUGAAGUCGUCCCUGGUACUAAAUCAAUACCAAACUCUACCUCUCGAAUAGGUGGCAAACCCGACAAUUCUUUGGGAAACACAUAUGAAUAGUCACACACAAUCGGCAAGGAUUCAAUCUUUUUUCAGUCACUUUACUAUCAAGAAUAUAUGCAAGGUAAGCUUUACAACCUUUUCUCACAUACUUUUGAGCCAACAUCGAGGAUAUUACUGCUGGUAAACCAUUUAGAUCUUUAGAUUCAAUCUAAAUAAUCUCGUCGUUCUGGCAUCUUAAAUCGAUAGUCUUUCUUUUACAGUUAACCACAGCAUCGUGUAAAGUCAACCAGUCCAUACCCAAAAUAGUAUCGAACUCGUCAAAUGGCAACAACAUCAAAACAGCCGUAAAACGUAAAUCUCGAAUCAUCAACGGACAAUUCUUACACACUUUAUCAACCAAAACACACCGGCCCAAGGGAUUUGAUACUCUAAUCACAAACUCAGUAGACUCAACAAGCAAAGUCUUACUAGAUACUAAAGUCUCACACACAUAUGAAUGAGUCAAACCAAGAUCAAUCAGUCCAAUAACAUUAGUAUCAUAGAGAGUGAAAGCACAGUAAUAACGUUUGGGAAUGAAGCCUCUUUACGAGCGCGUAUAGCAUAUGCUCUGGCAGGUGCGUUAGCCUCAGAUCUAACAGUUGUAUCUUUGGUCCCCCUCUGACUGCCACUCAUAUUACCUGUGUUUCUGGGUGGUCUACCUCUAGCUGCAGUGUUACCCGAUCUCGUAUUUUGUACCGAAUUUUGAUCCACUAACUCUGGGCAUUCACGAAUGAAAUGAUCCCUCGAUCUACAUUUAAAAUAGGCUCGAUCAUGUAAUCUCUAACUACCAGAAUGUCGUUUACCACAAUGUUCACACUCGGAUUGAUUUGACCUGACAUUACCCACACUCGCUACUGAAGUAGCUCUCGAGCUCACAGGUGGUCUAUCCAAAUCCCAUCGUGAAUACCCCACAACAGUCUUUGAACGGCUAGUAUCAUCUCGAAACUUCUUUGAGGUCGACUGAAAUGGCUUACAAAAUAACCUUUUACAAAAAUCUCUGGCUUCAAAGUCAGCUUUUCUCUUCUCUUUCCCGAGUUAUUCGGCUUUGUAAGCUCGUUUAACAAGUACCACAAACUAUUUUAUCUCAAGUAUGCCAACUAACAGUUUAACAUCUUCAUUCAGCCCAUCUUCAAAUCUUUUACACAUAAUAGCUUCAGUCGAAACACACUCUCGGGCAUACCUACUGAGUCUCACAAAUUUCCGCUCAUAUUCUGUCACUGUCAUCCGACCCUGUUUCAAUUCAAGAAAUUCCUUGCGUUUCUGAUCAAUGAAUCUCUGGCUGAUGUAUUUCUUACGGAACUCAGACUGAAAGAAUUCGCAGGUCACUUGCUCUUUCGGACCCACUGAUACUAGUGUAUUCCACCAGUGAUAUGCAGUGUCCCGUAGCAAAGAUAUGACACAUUUUAAGCACUUGUCAGGGAUGCAAGAUAACUCGUCAAACACUCGAAUAGUAUUAUUUAGCCAGAAUUUAGCUCGCUGAGCAUCAUCAUCAUCAGUGGCUCUGAACUCUUUGGCCCCGUGUUUUCGGAUUUUAUCAACAGGAGGCUUUAGUAAUCUCAACGAAUCACUCACUUGAGGUAUAACAGGAAUCAAAGAUGGAUUAAUCGAGGGUGGAGGGCAAUCAUAUAACUACAAAAAAUACAUAAAACAAAAAAAAUAAUGUCCUAAAAAAACAUAGGUGGUAUAGGUAAUAUAAAUAAAAAAAAGACUUAUUUUUAUUGAAUCAAUAUCUAUAAUAAUAUAUAGAGUUUUACAUAUAAUAUAAACUAGGCAUAUUCAAACUCAAAAUUUUAUCUACAUAUGAGAACUUUUAUAAAAAAAAAUAUAUUCACUCAUUAAAGACAAAUGUAAAUUUUUUGUACCCCACAAAUGGAACUAAGCACAAUAACAAUGCAAAAUUAAGCAGAAAGGUCGUCAUAUUAACAAAAUUAAUAUAUAAAUUUAUGAAUGUGUCAUAAAUUUAAAAUAUAUAUAGCUAACAGGAAAAGAUCAAUUUCAUGCAAAAAAACAGUUAAAAAGGGAUAAUAACAACCAAAUAGAGAUCAGUUUCAUGCAAUCAAAAUGAUUUCUUAUUUAAUUUAUAAUUAAUUUAAAUGUUUCAUUGAUACUCGAUGAAGUGUAAUCCGUAUUUGCUCCAGAAAGCAUUUUGAUAUCUGCAUAAUUUAAAAAAAUUACAUAAAAUAAAUAUAAUUAAUUACUAUAUUACAAUAACUAUAAAAUAUAAAAUUACAAAAUAAAAACUAUAAAUAACUUACUUUUUUUUUCUCUUUUCUUCCUUCCUUUUACAAAAUAUUUGAAGGGGCGACCAAACCCCACCUUCUUAAAUAGAAUGUUCUUCUUCUUAAAUAAUGUUCUUCUUCUCUUUUUUUCUUUUUUAACUAACAAUUAAGCUAAUGACUAGUCACAUCGCUAAUGUCACUUAGAGGUGUGCAAAAUUUGGGUAAAAUCGAAAAAAUUCGAUUAAUCUAUCGAAUUCGGUUAAUCGGUCGGUUAACCGAAUUUUUUCGGUCGAGGCUCGAUUAAUUAUUUUUUAAUUUUUCAGUUAACGGUUAAUUCGGUUCAAAACCGGUCGGUUAACCAAAUUUUUUCAGUUUAACCGAAAAAAUUAAUAAAUAAAAUUAUAAUAUAUAAAUAAGCCCACUAUUCACCUAAAUCCAAUCCAAACCCAAGUAUCCAACCUAACCCAAUUACCCAAUCAUAAAAAUUACAAAUAAAUUAAUAAAUAAAAAUAAAAAAAUAUAAUUUUCGGGUAAUUCGGGUAAUUCGGUUAAUUCGGUUAAUUUUUAACCAAAAAUAAAAAUAUAUAUAAUUUCGGUUAACCGACCGAAUUAACCGAAAAAUUUUGGUUUGAUUUAUAUUUUUGAAUAAAUUUCGAUUCGGUUAAUGUUAUUUUAGGUCAGUUAACCGACUGAACACCCCUAAUGCCACUGACACGAUGUGACCAGUUAAAAUAUAUAUUUUUUUAUUUUCUAAUAUAUAAAAAAUUUCUAAUAUAUAUUUUUAAUCCUUUUUUAACCAAUAAAUUAUUUUUUUAUUUUUUCCAAUCAAUUCAAUUUUCACUUUUUUAAAUAAAAUAUUUUUUAAAAAAAUUUAAAUAGAAUUUUAGAAAAACGUUUGAAUAUCUUUAAAAAUAAUUUUAAAAAUCAUAAUUUUAAAAAAUAAUUUUAAAAAAUAUAUAUUUAAAAUUAAAAAUUAUAUUUAAAAUUUUUAAAAUAUGCAUUUAAAAUAUUAUAAAAUAAAUAAUAAAUUUGAAAGAUCAUAUCUUUAAAAAUAAUAUAUUUUAAAUAUUUUAUAAUAUUAAAAAAUAAUAUUUAAAAUUAAAAAUAAUAUAUAGUUUUAAAAAAAUAAUAUUAUAAAACAUUUCAAAUAUACAUUUCAAAUUUUAUAAAACCAAUAAUAAAUAAAACAAAUAAAAUAAAUAAAUAAAGGACAAAUAAAAAACUUAAAAAGUAAAUAAAUAAAAAGUUUAAAAAGAAAAAUGAAAAAGGACAAAGAAUCAGAGAAAAAGAAGUAACGAAUGAAAAAAAAAUAUUUAGGUUGUUUCAAUAGGACAAGGAACCCGCUAGUAUCUUAGAAUUUGGUAGCAUAAAUUUAUUUGGAUCACCAGAAAAGGAUAAAAUUGCUUAAAUAUUUUACUUUUAAAAAUUAUAAUAUUUCUCUAAUAUUUAUACAAGUUGUGUUAUUUUACAUGGCUCCACUAAAAAAAAUGAUUUAUUAAUGUAGAUUGCUGACGUGCAAAACACUUUGGCUCCUCUAACUUGUACCGUAAAUUUUUUAUUAUUUUCAAUUUUUAUGAAAAAAGGGUUAUUUAAGUAAUUAAUUAAAUUUUUGAGUUAUUUUUAUAAAAAAAGAGCAUAGUAAUUAAUUAAGCUAGGUAUUCCUUUUUCACACAAAGAAGAAAAAUGAUAGAAAAUAUAGGGUUGUGGUCGUAGAUAAAUGAUUAUAACGUGAUAUGAUCUGCUUCGCAUUAGUCCAUCACCUUAUCUUUAUGUUUUUGUCUUGGUCAUGAAUCACUUUGGCCUUUGUCUGCAAGUACUGUCUGUCCUACUAUCCUGCAUCUGAUUUUCUCUGUCUUUUGGGUCUAUUUGAAUCAUGCUGAAGUAAGAAAACUGUUUUUAAAGUAUAAAAGUUGAUAAUUAUAUUAGUUUAUUUCUUUAUAAUUUUUUAAAUUUUUAGAGAUAAUAAAUUAAAAUUUUAUAUUUUUGAGGAUAAACUAGAAUUUUAUAAUGGCUUAAAUAAUAGGUUUUCAUUUUAGGAGGUCUAAAGAGUAUUUUUCUUUUUAAAGGAGCCACAACCCUUGCUUACUUUGGUCACCUUCUAUGGUGACCAGAUUCAUUCCAGUGAGAUUAAAAACAAUAGUGGUGGUGAGAUUAAUUACUAUAAUAAUGAGAUUAUUAAAAUGAGAUAGAUUAUAGAUUUAUAGUAAAAAGGAAAAAUGACCAUUAUAGACAUUAAACUAAAAUUAAACUAAAGAAGUUUACACCAUUCCGUAUAUUUUUGUACGAUUAAUAUUUUAAAGAUAAAAACACCAUAUUUCAUAUUUCAUUUAUAUAAAUCAUGCAUGUGAAAUUUCACGUAAAUUAAAAAAAUUUAACUAGUUGUUUUAUGUAAAAUACUUUUAAUCUUUGAAUGAAUGUUAAUACAUACAAUAUUUUAGAUGGAUAGAUAAAAAUAUCGAAUCAAUUGAGAAUUUACAAUAAUAUCAACAAAUUCAAUGAUUGGAUUGUUAAGUUAAGAAUCAUGUAAAAAUAUAUGAAAGCGUGUAAAAUUACUUUAAUUUCGCAGUAGUAUAAGCAAAUUCUUUUUUUAAUAUAUAAAAUUAAUUAUAUAAUUUAAAUUUAUGUAUUUAACAUUAUUUAUAAAUAUAUUAUUUGAAAGUAAUGAAAUAAAAUAAAUAUUAUAAAUAAAAUUAUUAAAAAAUAGUAUCUAUUAUUGAAUUAAAUUAACCAUUCUUUAAAAAAGAGUGAAAAUUAUUUUUUUAAAUGCAUAGGGUUUUAUUUUUAAAAAAAUUUAAGAUUUAGGUAUAAAAGAUAAACAUAAAGUGCAUAGGGCUUUAUUUUUUAUUUUUUAAAUAAUAUUGUUUUCGGCUCACAUGCAGUUUAUUUAGUUAGGUGAAGUAUACCUAACUCAAAUUUUAUAAAAAUGAUAAAAGGCAUGUGAUUUAGUAACACAAAUAUUUUAUUCUCAAUUUUAAUUCGGUUUUUUUAUUUAAAAUAGUAAAGGAUGUAGAUACCUUUAUAAAUUUGCACCUUUUAUUUUAUACUUUAGUCCUUUCUUAAUUUCAUUUAGUGAUUUAUUGUAUACAGUGACGGAGCAUAGUGAAGAUUAGGUAGCAUGACAUCCUUUAAAAUGGUAAAUUUUUUUUAUUUAAGCUCUUUAUAAUUUAUAAAAUUUUAAAUUAGUAAUGGUAAAAUUGUACUUUAACCCUCCAAAGAUGAUAAAAAUUUGAUUUAACCCUUUAAAAAUUACAAAUAUAUAGACUAUUAAAAAUUACAAAUUACAAUUUAAUCCCAACCUCCAAAAACAGUUAGGCUCCGCCAGUUAAUUAAUUAUAUUAAAUUCGAUAAAAAUUUUAAGUAGAAUUGAAAAAAUAUGUGUUUUAUUUAAUAAUAAUACUUUUGAAUGGGUUGAAUUGGCAAGAGUUAAGGUGUGGACACUACACCAAAACAGGUCUUUAGCGGCAUAUUUUGUGGCGCUUGGACGAAAAACGCCGCUAAAAACCGAUCAUUAGCGGCGCAAAGACCUAAACGCCAUAAAAGAACAUCAUUAGCGGCGUUUACCACAAUGCGCCGCGAAAUCUCUUAACCAAAACGCUGUGUUUUCGUCUUGAUGUAUCUUAAAAUUAGUGGCGUUUACGCGAAACGCCAUUAAAGGACAGUAAUAGCGGCGCUUUCUGGAAACGCCGCAAAAUAGCUUAACCAAAACGCAGAGUUUGGUCUUGAGGUAUCUUAGAAUUAGUGGCGUUUAUAGGAAAACGCCGUUAAAGUACAGUAAUAGCGACGCUUUAUGGAAGCGCCGCAAACUAUCUUAAGCGAAACACAUCGUUUUGGUCUUGAUUUAUACUAGAACUAGUGGCGCAUAUGGUCAAACGCCGCUAAAGAAUAGUAUUAGCGGCGAUUUGUAGCUAGCGCCACAAAAUAUCUUAACAAAAACGCAGCGUUUUGAUCUUAAUGUAUAUAAAAUUAGUGGCGCUUACGGUAAACCGCCGCUAAAGAAUAUUAAUAGCGGCGCUUUGUGAGAAGCGCCGCAAAAUAUCUUAACCAAAACGCAUAAUUUUGGCCUCGAUGUAUAGUAGAAUUAGUGGCGCUUAGUGAAACGCCGUUAAAGCAUAGUAUUAGCGGCGAUUUGUAGCUAGCGCCGCAAAAUAUCUUAACAAAAACGCAGUGUUUUGAUCUUAAUGUAUAUAAAAUUAGUGGCGCUUACGGUAAACCGCCGCUAAAGAAUAUUAAUAGCAGCAAAAUAUCUUAACCAAAACGCAUAAUUUUGGCCUCGAUGUAUAGUAGAAUUAGUGGCGCUUAGUGAAACGCCGUUAAAGCAUAGUAUUAGCGGCGCUUGGAUAAAAGCGCCACCAAGUAUCUGAACCAAAACGCAUCGUUUUGGUCUUGAUGUAUACUUGAUUUAGUGGCGAUUUCGGUAAAACGCCGCUAAAGCAUAGUAUUAGCGGCGAUUUGUUGAUAGCGCCGCGACUUACCAUAAACAAAACGCAACGUUUUGGUCUUAAUUUAUACUAAAAUUAGUGUCGCUUUGUUGAAAGUGCCGCAAAAUAUCUUAACAGAUUUUUGGGUUUUAACCAUGCAUUAUGUAAUGUAGGUUACUAUAUAUUUAGUUUAUCAUAUUUGGUUUAGGUAUAGGGUAUUAGGGUUCAUUAUAUAAUGUUUAGUAUUUUUGGAUUACAGUGUAAAGUUUAAAGUUUAGGGUUUACGAUGUAGGUUUAAGGUUAGGGUAUUAGGGUGUUUAGGGUUUAAGGUUUAGGAGUCUGGGGUAUAAGGUUUAAAGUUUGGGGUUUAGGCUACUUUAGUCAUGUUAAUAGGUUAAUAUUGUUUCGGAUUUUGGGGUCUGGUUGUUGGUUUUAGAGUUUAGGGUUUAACGAUUUAGUAGCUUAAGAUUUUAGGGUUUAAAAGUUUAGAGGUUUAGGGUUAAAUCCUAAAAGCGUGCAUGAACAACAGUUUAAUGUUCAAUUGUAUACAUGAACUUUAAUUUGAUCUAAAUAUUGUAAAAUAUUAACACAAUUAUUGAUAUAAUUAACAUCAUUUUAAUUUACGUAUAUUGCAUACAUAAAUAUUUAUAUUUAUUCAAUAUAAAAAUAUAUUUUGAUGUAAAAUUUUUUAUAGAUCAUGAAAUAAAUUUUUAAAAAUGCAUUAUUCUCCCAUUUUUUAUUAAUUGAUAAUUUCAUUUUAUAAAUUUUGUUUUAAUUUUGGAUCAAUUUGGCUUGAAUCUUGGAUGAAGGCAUUAGCGGCGCUUGAGCAAAAGACGCCGCUAAAGGUGAUGUAUUACCGGCGUUUUAUGAAGAAACGCCGCCCAUUUCCUUAAGUGUAACAAAGACACGGUGCCGUUUUUUGUUUUCAUUUAGUGGCGCAUUUGGAAAACGCCACAAAAAUUUAUAACGAGUUGAGGAAACGGCGUCGUUUCCUAUUUUUAUUAGUGGCGCUUUUGCUAAUGCGCCGCAAAAAUGUUACGGUAUAUAAGUGAAAACGGCACUGUUUUAUUCUGAACUUGGAAUUUUAGUGUCGUUUUUAUUUAAAACGCCGCAAGUGUGGACUCAAUAACGGCGUUUGUUCUCAACGCGCCGCAAAUCUGACUUAAAAAUUUCUUAAACGGCGUCGUUUCUUAAGGGGACAUUUAACUUAAUACCCUUCUCUCGUCCUCCAAAAACAGAAAGAGUGAAUUUGCAGACCUCAAGUGUCGAAAGGGAACAAAUUUCAGACUUCUUACAAAGGAAAAAAGAAGGUUGGGGUCGGUCUUGAAAGAAGUUUGGCACAGCUGCGAGAUUUUUCGAUUAAAUAGGUAAGGCGUUUCUGUUAUUUUUGGAUUAAAUUUUUAGGGUUUUAGGUCAGUCAUAGUUAUUUGGGGUUUUAGGGUUUCGAUUAAACAACUUCAACAAUGUACUAUUCCGAUUAAAUAUGUAAGGCGUUUCUGUUAAAUAGGUAAGGCGUUUCUGUUAUUACAGCCACUUAUGGAUUUGAGUUUCAUAUUCUGAUUUCUGGUAUUGAUUUGUGGUAUUGAAAAAAUUUAUAUUACAGCCACAAUAUUGAUUUGUGGUAUCAAUUUACUAUUCUGAUUUAGAUUAUAGCACAUGAGAGGGUGGCAAAAUUUAUAUUCCGAUUUAGAUUAUAGCACAUGAAUUGGAAGGGAUGGAUAAAAAUAAAUAAAUGAAUUGCUAUGGAUUCUCUUGAGGAUGUAAAAUCCGAAUUGGUUGGUCAAUUAGAAUUAGAUUAUGUUGUUAUGUGCAGAAAUAAUUGAGUGGAUUUGAAAUAAUUUGUUUUUGAUUAUGUUGUUAUGUUCUGAAAUAUGCUUUGGAUUUGAAAUAAUUUCUGAGUCUGAAAUAAUUUGUUUUUGAUUAUGUUGUUAUGUUCUGAAAUAUGCUUUGGAUUUGAAAUAAUUUUUGAGUCUGAAAUAAUUUGUUUUUGAUUAUGUUGUUAUGUUCUGAAUUAUGCUUUGGUUCUGAAAUCUGGAUCUGGUUUUUGUCUGCGUUGCUUUCUUAGCUUGCUGGGUUGGAGCUCGUUUCAUUGCUGCCAAAUUUGGAUAUUCUUUGGCGUGGAGGUAAAUUUUGUAAAGGCAAAUUUUAUGUUGCAAAUAAAAGGUUUUUAGUUAAUCAUCUUUAGUUAAUCAUCUUGCUGUUCGUGGUAGUUAUAUACCCGUUGCAUUUUGGUCAGCCUGUCAUGUAUUAUGCAAAUCCCGAAAUGGUUUUAAGCAAGUGGACUUUGUUUAUUUAGUUAUGCACAUAAUACUUUCAUAUUUUAUUUGUUGUAGAAGUUGGUAUCUCACAGUUUCUCAUCAAAUGUAUGCGAGUAGUAUCGAAUGCAAAUUGUUUUAACAGCCAUUUGAUCAAUUGUUCUGUUUUUUUCUAAUAUUCCUUUAUAACAUAUUGGAAGAUAUGUUAUGUUUUAACUUAAUAUAUUUGAAACAUAAUAUCUUAUGCCUCACAAAAUCCAAUUUUUGAUGAUUGUCUUAUUUUAAAUAAUGCUUCCAAUCAAUGGUAUGUGUAUUAUUUAAACAAAAUCCACGAAAUAAAAAUUACUUACUAAAACUUGUAAUUCAAAAUUUAAUUUCAAGUCCAAAUUAAUAUUUUACUUAAAUAUAUUACUUACAAUUUAAUUUAACUUAUUAAAUAUAUAUAUUGUUAAGUAAUAAUUUUUUGAAAUUUAUAUCUUAGAUUACUUAAAUAUAUAUUUUUAAGUAUAUUUUACAUGACUUACAUUACUUACUAAAACAUAUUUUUUACUAAAAUUUACUUGAAUAUAUUAAUUAAAUAAAUUACUAAUAAAGAUUGCUUAUGUAAGCUAUAUUUAAAUUUUAAAUUUAAUAAAUUAUUUAUAACAAUUAUUUAAAUUUAAUAAAUAAUUUAAAAAUUAUUUAAAUUUUAUUAAUAAUAAAUUUAUAACUUAAAUAAGUAUUACUAUUUUUUUAAUAUUAUACAUAUAUUCAUUUAGGUAUGUAAGCUAUAUUUAAAUUUUAUUAAUAAUAUUUAAACAUAUUUUGUUGUCAAAUUAGUGACACAUAUACCUCUCCACGAAUUAUUCAGUGGAAGAUUAGUUUAAAAGCAAAGAUUGCUUAUAUAAGCUAUAUUUAAAUUUUAUUAAUAAUAAAUUUAUAACUUAAAUAAGUAUUACUAUAUUUUUAAUAUUAUACAUAUAUUCAUUUACAUAACACAUAACUUACAUAACUUUCAUAAUACACAACUUACGCAUCUUACAUAAGACAUAACUUACAUGUGUAAAUAAUACAAAAAUUACAUAACUAACAUAAGACAUAACUUACAUAAGUUUCAUAAUACACAUCUUACGCAACUUACACAACUUACAUAACUUACAUAAGUUUCAUAAUACACAUCUUACGCAACUUACACAACUUACAUAACUUACAUAAUGUAUAUCUUGUUGUCAAAUCCUAAACCCGUGCAAUUUAUUGUCAACGUCAGACUUCAAGAAUUAAAAAAUGGACCGGUCUUGGAUGAAUUUGUCAAGGGUAAGCGACGGUUAUCGAAAUGGGGUGCAGAGUUUUCUAAAUUUUGCAUUUCAAUAUGCAAGCCAAGAGAACAUGAUUCUUUGCCCGUGCAAGAAGUGUGUCAACAUAAAUUGGCAUUAUCGUGAGGUUGUAUACGAGCAUCUAAUUGUUGAUGGGUUUGUUCGGGGUUAUAAACAAUGGUUAUUUCAUGGUGAAUGCCCGCGUAGUACUUCCUCUUCAAGUAUGGAUGUAACUUAUCCUGAUACUGCUUACCAUCAGUCUGGUAGAGGGGAUGACAUGGAAGGUAUGUUGCGGGAUGCAUUUAAUAUGCACAAUCAUGGUGUUGAAUCAUUCCCAGCGGACUUUAUGGCCUCUGAUGAUUGUAAUAUUGGUGGAAAUACUUUUACCGAACCGGGAAGUAGUGUACGUCAUGAAGAGCCGAAUGGAGAAGCGGCGAAGUUCUACGCGCUACUUAAUGACAUGAACGAAGAACUGUAUGAGGGAUCAAAAUUUUCAAAGAUGUCCUUCUGUGUUCGUCUUUUUCAAUUAAAGUGUUUGGGAGGGUGGACGGGAAACUCGUUGACGAUGCUGUUAGAGUUUUUGAGAGAAAUGUUCCCGCUUGCAAAAAUCCCUCGGUCCUGCAAAGAUAUGAAGAAGAUGAUAAAAGAUUUAGGCCUUGGGUAUAACAAAAUCCAUAGUUGCCCAAAUGACUGCAUGUUGUAUUGGGGCGAUCGGAGAAACCAACAGUGCUGUCAUGUAUGCGGCCACUCUCGUUGGACAAGUAGAAACACAGAAGAUGGGAACGACGAUGAAAAUGAUGCACAGUCACGGAAGAAGCCAGCCAAGAUUUUACGGUAUUUUCCGUUGAUACCAAGGCUUCAAAGGCUUUUUUUAUUGUCGAAGACAGCGGAGUCAAUGACAUGGCACCAUGAUGGACGAACCGUUGAUGGAUUACUAAGUCAUCCGGCAGAUUCUUUAGCUUGGAAAUCAUUUGACAAUAAAUUUACAAGCUUCGCAAGCGAUCCUAGGAGUGUGAGGCUUGGGCUAGCAUCUGAUGGAUUUAAUCCUUUCAAGAUCAUGAGUACAAACAAAUAUUGAGAUCUCGUUUGCGCUCCCGAAGAACACAACAUCGAGAUAUCAAUAAGUUGUUUACAGAAUCAUUUUAUGAAUGGUUAAGCCAAAUGGUAUGCAGUUCGAGCUUCCGCUUACAAAUAAUAAUAUUUUCUCAUAACAAAUGAAUUACUCAGUUUACUUUCCAUUCAAUAGGUUUGGAGCGGGAAGAACAUAAACGACGAUGUUAAAUGGCUCUCCCAAGGUCCAAAUCGAGUGGUUAAAAGAUAUAGUGCGUUCCUCAUCAACGGAUUCAGAUUUCAUACAAAAUAUCGCGAGAGGUUGAGGAGAACGCAAAAUUGUGGAAUUGUUGUCAAUUCUGCAAUUACGAGUUAUGCUAGUGCUAGGGACAAUAAUCCUGUCGAGGGAAAUGUGGAAUAUUUCGGACAACUUACUGACAUAAUUGAGUUGGAUUACUACGGCAAAUGGAAAGUUGUCUUAUUUCGUGGUGAUUGGGCCGAUGUUAAUACAGCUCGUGGAAUUAAGCAAGAUCAAUUUGGUUUUACAAUGGUGAACUUUGACCGAUUGAUUCACACAGGACAACAACUGAUAGAUGAGCCGUAUGUAUUCUCAUCUCAAGUCAAACAAGUUUUUUACUCAAAAGAUCCAACUGAUGAGGGUUGGUACGUUGUACUCCGUAACAUCCCUAGAGACUUGUUUGAUAUGGGCAGUGGAAGUAGAGAUAACAUCGAAGAUAGAUCAGUAACUUUACCCUUUCCAGAACUAAACUUAAACGAUAAUAUCCCUAGUACUAGUGCACAAUUUGGAUGGGUUCGUCAGGAUACCGAUGAAGAUAUUUACGAAUAAUGAUGUAGACACAUUUUACGAUUGUUUAAUUAUAUAUAAUAUCAUAAUUUAAAUCUUCGUCUUAUUAUAUGUUUCAACUGUUUUAUAUGUGCUGUUAUUGUUGUAAUUAGCUAUUAAGUUAUUAACUAUUUUAUGUGUAUUGUAGAUAAAAUGCCUAGAAGAAAAAUUCUAAGGGGAAGCAUUGUUCAAAAUAAUCCAAACUCGACAGAAACUAAUAGUACUGAACAACAGACAGCAGUUGGAUCUUCAAAUGUUCCGAUUACAGCUGAGGAUCCUACAGAAGUUCAAAGUAAUUUUUCAUUUAAUUUACAUGCGUGUUUCUGUUAUAGUUGAUUUAUUUUUCAAAUUCUUAUAUUAUAAUAUACCAUUUGUAGCUGAAAAUGGUGGGACGCGCAGAGGUCGAGGACGUACGCUACUUAGAGAGUUGUACGAGUUAGAUUCAGUCGAGCGUGUCAAAGUUGGACGAAACAGUUUUGGUCAGCCUGUUGGAUCAGAAGCUCGACUUUUAGCUGGAUACAUGGGCAUUUUAGCACGAAAUCCGAAUAUGUUACCUAUAAACUACGAGUCAUGGCAUCAAAUGCCCGAUAGCAACAAAAACCAAGCCCUCGAUAAUAUUAAGGUAACAAAAUGUUAAUGUCAUCUAUAAUGCUUGGGAAAUAGUUUCAUUUAUAUUUAUUUUAUUAACUUGUGUUUUUUGUUUUUUGCAGGCGAGGUUUGCUUUAGAGGUCUCGGAUGCUUAUGUAAAGAAGGCAUUGGGAAAAAGAUGGAGAGACAACAAAAGUACUUUGAAGAAAAAUUAUUAUAAGACAAAAACAACCCUCGAUGAGAAAUUGCAAAAUGUCCCGCUGGGUAUGUUGAGGUACCAAUGGGAAGAUGCGGUUAGAUUUUGGCAUUCGAAUAAAGGCGAGGUCUUCUAAACUAUUGUAAUUAUUUUGGUUUAUAGUAUUUUCUAUUUACGUACUAAAAAAUUUCAUAAUGUAGGAUCGUGAUCAAGUUGGAAUAAGCAGCAGGCAGAAACAAAAAUUCACCCACACAGCCGGGUCGAGAAGUUUCGCAUGUGUAGCUGAGGCGGAGGUAUUUUUAAAUUUUUUAAUAUUGUCGAAUAUGUAUAACUUUCUAUUAAAUAAUAUUUAUACUACUAUAUUGUAGGAACGGUCGUCCGGUCAAAAAGUUGGACGCCUUCAACUUUUUGAAAUUACACAUAGGAAGAAAGAUGGAUCUCCCAUGACUCCUGAAGCUGCUGAAAUAAUGGUACGUUUACUUAAUACGAUUUGACUUAUUUUAGUUAUUUAUAGUGUUUAUUUUCUAAUGGUUUAAUUCAUUGCAGUUAAUGCGACUAUUGUUAUGUUGCAUAUGUUUUUCAAUAUAUAAUAUUGUGUUCCUAACUAUGUGAUAUAUUUAUUAGGAAAAACUAAAUGAUAAAAAGGCGGAGUACGAAGCAAUUGCUUCUAGUGAUAGUUCGGUUCAUCUUGAAGAUAUUGAUAAUCGGAUUAUUACUGAAGUUUUGGGUCCUGAAAGGUAUGGUCGGGUUCGAUUUCAAGGAUCUUUUGUUAGCCCAACCCAAUAUUUUGGAUCCAGCUCCCACAAAUACAUGGCUUCGGGGAGUCAGGCUCAAGCUGAAGUUCAGAGGUUAAAAGACCAAAUGGCUCAGAUGCAAGCGACUACAAUUGAGGUUCAAAGGAAAUAUGAAGAACUCCAGCUACAACUUAAAGCAGAGGCGGAAGCGAGGGAAGCAGCGACUGCAGCGAGGGAAGCAGAGGCUGCAGCAAGAGAAGCAGAGCAGAGCAAAAAGUACGACGAACUUCAGCAGCAGCUUCAGAUUAUGAUGAAGAUGUUUAAGUCGCAACUUCCACCUUCAUAGUGUAUGACAUAAAUAUUUUUAUCAUUUUAACAUUUAACAUUUAACAUUUUUUGCAAAAACAAUAUGAAUUCACUUUUAUUUAUUGAUAUUAAUAUUAUUUUAUUCCCUUAUGUUGAAAUAUUAUAUAAAUUUAUUGCUAUUGGUUGCUUUUGAAAUGUUGCUUUUGAAUUUUUGCUACAGGAGGGCAGAAAAAAUGAAAAAUUUAAUAAAAAAAAAUCCCCAAAAUAGUGGCGUUUUUGUAUAAAAGCGCCACUAAAGAACAUGUUCUUUUGCGGCGUUUUUAAAAAAUGCCACUAAAGAACAUGUUCUUUAGCGGCGAUUAGAAAAAAAACGCCGCUAAAGAACAUGAUCUUUAGCGGCGUUUUCCCUUAAGCGCCGCUAAAGAACAUGUUCUUUAGCGACGUUUUUUCCUAAGCGCCGCUAAAGAACAUGGUCUUUAGCGGCGUUUUUUCCUAAGCGCCGCUAAAGAACAUGGUCUUUAGCGGCGUUUUUUCUAAGCGCCGCUAAAGAACAUGAUCUUUAGCGGCAUUUUUUUCUAAGCGCCGCUAAAGAACAUGGUAUUUAACGGCGUUUUUGUUUGUAAACGCUGCAAACAUUUGCGACGUUUUCGUUAGCGGCAUUUUUUUCCGGCGCUUGAAGAAGCGCCGCAAAUAUCUUUAGUGGCGUUAAAAAGCACCGCUAAAGGCCUAAAAAAACGCCGCUAAAAACCUGUUUUGGUGUAGUGUCCUAAAAUAAUAAAUUUAGUAGAUUAUAUGCAGAACUCGGUUAUAUCAGACUCAGUGCCAUGAACUUCACUAGCAAGCUUGCUAUCACAGCUGCAGCAUAAGCUAUUAACUGCUUAAUCACCAUUUUUCUUACAACACUCAAAGAUGAAGAAGAAGAUUCUAUAUUCAAUUUCUUAAUGUUAACCUUGCAUUUGCAUUUCCUCGAUAGGGUUUUUAUACCAAAUUUCAAGGAGAAUAAAACAAAAUAAUAAUAACUUUUUAGUUAAUUUGAUGGCAUAAUUGGAUAAGGUUUUUUUUGGGGGGGGCGAUUUUGCAACGAUAUAUACAGGUAGGUAGGCACAUUUUGUUUUGUUGAAUAACUAGUUAUAUGGUAUAAAAUAUUUGGCUCGUGGUCGAUUUUUAAUUUAUUUAAAACUCAACAUGCAUGAUUUAUAAGAAUGGAAUAUUAAAUAUGAUGAUAGGAUUAUUAAAAUAUUAAUUAUAUAAAGAAUUACAGAAGUACAUAAAAACCACUUUAAUUUUGUAAGUAUUUUGGCAAGGCAACAAUGGAAAGGGCUCUUGCGAUGAAAGAAGUGAUUAAGGGCUACGAAAGCAUGUCUGGACAGAUGGUGAAUUUUAACGAAUCCCUGAUUUAUUUUAGCAUAAAUACAAGUGAGGAAGACAAUGUGCAAAUUGGGAGUUAGAAUGUCUAAUAAUCCAGAGAAGUAUCUUGGGUUACUAACGAUGGUCAGAAGAACAAAGAAGAACGCAUUCGUCAAUUUAAAGGAAAGGUUCAUUAAUAUAAUAAAAGCAUGGAGUGUACGCAAUCUAUCAAUAGGGGGAAGGAGGUAUUUAUCAAAUCCACUUUACAAGUCAUUCCAAUUUAUGCAAUGCAGUGUUUUUUUAUGCCAAUUUCUUUAUGUUGAGAAUUAAGAGAUUAUGAUGUGCAAAUUCUAGAUACGCAAUUCGAAAACAAAUAAAGGAAUUCAUUGGUGCAAUUGGCGUUCUAUAUAUAUGUACCCCAAAGGCACAAGGGGGAAUUGGUUUUAGAGAUCUUUCAAUUUUUAAUAAAACCCUUUUAGCGAAGUAGGGUUGGAAACUAAUUACCAAUUCUACCAGUUUACUUGCACGAGUAAUGAAAGGUAAGUAUUAUCCAAGGAGUGAGUUUAUGAAUGCAGGUUUAGGAUAUCACCCUUCUUUUACCUAGCGAAGCAUUUGGGGUGCUCGUAGCAUUUUGGAAGAUGGUACUGGCUGGAGAAUUGGGAAUGGCAUGACAAUGAAUAUAUAGAAGAUGCUUGGAUUCCAGGACCUGGAGACAGAAAGGUAAAAAUUAAGAAUAUUGACAUUAGAUGCUCGAAGGUUGCAGACGUCAUUAAUAGUGAAACUAAUACCUGGAAAAUGGAUCCAGUAGAAAGAUUGUUCAUGAAGAAGCAAGCCGAGUUGAUUUUAACCAUCCCACUGGUGAACAACUCUUAUCAAAUGCUUUAAUCUUAAAGGGUGAUAAUACGGGAGAAUACUCGGUCAAAAGCAAGUACAAGUGGUGCAUUUCUGGUGGCCAAGACGGGACAGAGGACGAUAAUAAUUUACAAGACAUUGCUACAAAAAAAACUAUUACACAAAGCUCUGGAACCUCAAAAUUCCAAACAAAAUCAUAAUACGCCUAUGGAAGGUUUCUAAAUAAUUUUCUUCCUUUGCUAAGUAAUCUAAAGUAUCGAAGACUAAGGGAGGAGGCCCUCUACUCGAUCUGUAAGAAGGAAGACGAAAUGGUGGACCAUCUCUUUCGAGACUAUGCUUUUAUGAAACAAGUGCUUCAGGAGAUAGGAAUGGUACCCUUGCACACAAACACAAAUCAAGGAUGGAAAAUUUGGUUUGUGUAUGUUUUCGGAAACUGUAACAUUUUGCAAAACAUAAACAUAACCAUUGCAUAUUAGGCCAUUUGGCAUAAUAGAAACAAGUUAUAUCAUGAAGGUAAAAGAGAAAGAGUAUGUGAAGUUGUCAGUUUCAUUAAGGCAUACAUUGUCGAGUUAAAACAGUUAAGAGGAAAUCUCACUGAUCCGAAAUAAUAUUGAAGAAAUACAGUGGAAACCUCCAAAGGGAGAUCAAAUGAAAGUUAAUUUUGAUGCCUCUUUCCAACAGCAGUGUUGGUGCAAGAGGCAGCAGCAAGCUUGUUUCUACUUUGCUUGGACAGCAAGUGUCGAGCCUUGCUGAAGAAACUAUCGAAGAAGAAAGGAAGAAAAAAAAGAAAUUUGCAAUGGAAAACAGAAAAGAAAGAGAUAAAUUUGAAUGAAAAUGAGUUGAAUUUUCAUUAACCACUUCACAAGGCAUAAUGCCAAUACAUAUAUGAGAUAACAACAGCAAAACAAACAAGUUACCACCUAAUAACAUACCUAACACCACUAAAUUGCCUAGUAACUUGGUAAACUUGUUUGAACAUAUAAGCAACUACCUAAACUUGUCAUUCAGGACCUAAUUACAUCAAAAUGCAGCUACCAACUAAGUUCAAAACAAACUAAAAUACAAAAUGUUCAUUUGAGUAACCAAAUGAAACAAUGCAGUUUCGGUUUGAUGUUGAAGCACGUUCCCUGCAUGCCCACCUUGCAUGGCCACCUUGGCUGCUGCAUGGGGGCUGACUUCAACACUCCUCCUCAGCUUCUAUGCAGUAGACUCCUAGUUGCUUCCUUAGGUUUAGAAAUCUCGAUGUACCAAGUGAUUUUGUGAAGAUAUCGGUAAUCUGAUUUUCUGAGCUGCAAUGAAUCAGCUCGAUCUCUCAAGCUUGUUCCAUUUCUCUUAUCACAUGCAGUUUAAUGUUGAAAUGUUUUGUCCUGCCAUGGAAGAUAGAAUUUUUAGCAAUAGCAACUGCUGACUUGUUGUCAUAAUGUAUCACAGCUGCUUCAUUCUGCUGUAGGUUCAAAUCGCUCAAAAUUUUUCUCAGCCACAUAGCUUGAUUAAGAGCAUUGGCAGCUGCUACAUACUCAGCUUCAGCUGUCGACUGAGCCACCAUUGUUUGUUUUCUUGAACUCCAACAAAUCAUAGCUGAGCCAAGUGUAAAAGAAUAACCAGAGGUGCUCUUCAUGUCAUCUUUUGAACCAGCCCAAUCGCUGUCAGUGUAGCCAAUCAGUUUCAAUUCUUUAGCCCUACUGAAAUGUAUUCCAUGGCUCAAAGUGCCUUUGAUAUAUCUCAGCACCCGUUUUCUAGCUUUGUAAUGCUGCUGGUUGCAGCAAUGCAUGAAUCUUGAUAGCAUGCUCAUAGCAAACAGAAUAUCAGGUCUUGUUGCUGUCAGAUACAGCAAACAACCAACAAGGCUUCUGUAAUCAGUUUCACAGACAGAUUCAUGGUCUUCUUGGCUCGAUAGCUUCAUGCCAACAGCCAUAGGUGUGCUGGUUGGUUUACAAUUCUCUAUUGAGAAUUUGGCUAGAACUUUCAAGGCAAAUGAUUUUUGUCUCAAGAAGAUUCCUCCUUCUACUUGAUUUACUUCCAUUCCUAGGAAAUAUGUCAUCAAUCCCAGGUCUGACAUCUCAAACAUUUCCUUCAUUUUUGUUUUGAAAUCAGCUAACAUGAACUUGUCUCCUCCAGUCACUAGAAGAUCAUCAACAUAGAGUGAGACAAUGAGCUAUGUUUCAGCUCGAUUUCUUUUAACAUAAAGUGUUGGCUCACUAGCACUCCUUUAAAAUCCCAAACUGACCAGGUAUGAGUCAAUCCGAGCAUACCAGGCUCGAGGGGCUUGUUUUAGGCCAUACAAGGCCUUUCUUAGCCUAUACACCAAAUGUUCCUUACCAGGCAUUAUGAAUCCUAGAGGUUGCUCGAUGUAUAUCUCUUCUUCCAAGAAUCCAUUGAGGAAUGCAGACUUGACAUCCAUUUGAUGGAUUGUCCACUGGUUCUGAGCAGCUACAGCAACCAGCAAUCUGAUUGUAUCGAGUCUGGCUACUGGAGCAAAUGUUUCCAUGUAGUCCAGACCAUAUCUCUGACUAAAGCCCUUCACAACUAGCAUGGCUUUCUACUUGUUUAAACCUCCAUCUACAUUAUGCUUCAUUCGAUAGACCCAUUUUACACCAAUGGUCUUUAUGUUAGUUGGCUUUUCAACCAACUCUCAUGUUUGGUUCUUCUCAAUCAUGUUGAUUUCAUCAACCAUAGCCUGUUUCCAACCCUCAUUUGCCUUAGCCUCUUCAAAAUAGGUAGGUUCAGCUAUAGCAACCUGUGCCCUUUCAUAAAUCUCACCUAGGGGCCUUGUGCCUCUCACAGGCACAUCAUCAACAUCCAUCUCAGGACCAAGCUGCUCGAGUUCAGCUUGAUCAGGCACCAGGUCUUUUGAAGCAGCUUCUGGUUCACUCUUUUCCCAAUUCUAGCAAGCUUUUUCAUAAAAAAUGACAUCUGUGCUCACCUGGACUGUGCUUGUCAAGGGAUCCAAAACCCUGUAGCCCUUCUUGACUGAGCUAUAACCCACUAGGACACCUGGUUGAGCCCUUUCAGAUAGCUUAUCCCUCUUUGCUGCUGGUAUUUGUGCAUAGCACAGGCAACCAAACACCUUCAGAUAUGCCAAGGAAGGCUUGAAUCUAAACCAAGCCUCGAAAGGUGUCUUGGAUGCAAGAGCUUUGGUAGGAAGCCUAUUCUGAAGGUAGACAGCAGUGUUUACUGCCUCAGCCCACAUGGUCUUGGGAAAUUUCUUCUCAAACAGGAGACAUCUGGCCAUAUCCAUCAGACUUCUGUUCUUUCUUUUAGCUACCCUAUUCUGCUGAGGUGUGUAGACAUUUGUAAGCUGGUGUUUGAUGCUAGCAUCAUUGCAAAUAGCUUGAAACUGAGCUGAAGUGUACUCAGUGCCAUUGUCUGACCUUAUCGAUUUCAGCUUGCAACCUGUUUCUGUCUCAACAGCCAUUUUAAACUUCACAAACACUUGAGCUACCUCAAACUUGUGUUUCAGAAAGAAAAUCUAGCAAAACCUUGUAAAAUCAUCAAUAAAGAGAAUGAAAUACCUAUUUUUGCUGAGUGAUUCAGUUCUCAUAGGUCCACAUACAUCAGAGUGCACCAGCUGCAGUCUUUCAGUGGCUCUCCAUACUGAGUUUGUAGGAAAUGGCAGCCUUGCCUGUUUUCCCAUUUGGCACACUUCACACACAUCAUCAUGCUCCAUUGAGCUGGUGAAGUUCUCUACCAAGCCUUCUUUGGCCAUUCGAGCCAUUGAUCUGAAGUUGGCAUGCCCGAACCUUUGAUGCCAAAGGUUAGAAUCAUCAACAGAGGCUGUGUAUGCUAACUUUAAGUCAUUUGGCCAAUGAACCUCAAAGCAUUUGUCAGUCAUUAUGACUGUCAUAAGGCUUGAUCCACUUGGAUCAGUAAUGUGGCACUGUUUUUCAUUGAACACAAUAGAGUAGCCUUUCUCGAGCAAUUGAGCUAUGCUGAGAAGGUUUCUAUCAAUCUCAGGCACCAAUAGCACAUUUGGAAUGAUCUUGUUGCCUGUAGGAGUACAUAUCAGCACCUCUCCUCUUCCUUCAGCCCUUAUGAAUUGACCAUUUCCAACCUUGGCCUUGGUUUUGCAACUUCUAUCCAAGGUUUUAAACAAGGAGGCAUCUGGUGACAUGUGGUUAGUGCAGCCACUGUCCAAUAACCAGUCUUUUGAACAUUUCUUCUCAGCAGCUAAGCAAGAAACAGCAAAGACCUGCUCUUCUUGGUCACUACUGUCCUCAGCUACUCGAGCUUCAACCUUUGGUUGUUGAAAUUGACUCUGCCUCGGCUUGGUUUUGUUUUUGCAAACCCUUUCAACAUGGCCUUUCUUCUUGCAGUGUUGACAUACUGCAUCUAGCCUGAACCAGCAUCUGUCUUCUUGAUGACCUGGCCUCUUGCAAGGUCUGCAGGGCUGGUCAUUGCUCCUUGCAGCAUCAGGCUUAGGCCUGCUUUUCUAAGGCUUUUUGCCUCUUUGAGCAUUGAUGCUCGACACUUCUCUGGCCUUGGCAUGAAAUGCACCUUCCUGGUGAUCUUCAGCUCUGCUAGCUCUUCUUUGUUCCUGAGCAUAAAAAGUGUUAAUAAGCUCGGUCAAAGAGAUGCUAGCUAGGUCUCUUGAAUCCUCUAGGGAGGAUAUCUUGGCCUCAUAUCUCUCAGGCAAACUGGAGAGGACUUUCUCCACUAUUCUUGCCUCAUCAAAGUGCUUACCAAAGAGCCUUAUAUUGUUAACCACUACCAUGAUUCUAUCUGCAUACUGCUUCACUGUUUCUUCUUCCUUCAUCUUCAGAUUCUCAAAAUCCCUUCUCAAAUUCAACAGCUGUUGUUGCCUUGUCCUCUCAGUGCCUUGAAACUCCUCCUUAAGCUUGUCUUAGGCCUGUUUUGGAGUCUCACAGGCCAUAAUUCUGGUAAAGAUGACAUCUGACACAUAGUUCUGAAUGUAGGACAUGGCUUUGUGCCUUUUGGUCCUCUCAUCAGCAUGUUGCCUGAUCUGAGCUACUGUGGGAUUGGCCCUCAGUGGUGCUGGCUCAACAUCUGUGUUGACAACUUCCCACAGAUCAAAGGCCUGUUGGUAAGUCUUCAUCUUUACCAGCCAUAUGUGAAAGCCUUCUCCAUUGAAGACUGGUGGGGUUGCUGGUGAAAAUCCUAAAGAAGCCAUCAGGUUCCUUGGUUUGAAGCAACAGGUCCACUAAGACAAGGGCUCUAGAUACCAAUUGUUGGUGCAAGAGGCAGCAACAAGCUUGUUUCUGCUUUUCUUGGACAGCAAGUGUCGAGCAUUGCUGAAGAAACUAUCGAAGAAGAAAGGAAGAAAAAAAAAGAAAUUUGUAUUGGAAAACAGAAAAGAAAGAGAUAAAUUUGAAUGAAAAUGAGUUGAAUUUUCAUUAACCACUUCACAAGGCGUAAUGCCAAUACAUAUAUGAGAUAACAACAGCAAAACAAACAAGUUACCACCUAAUAACAUACCUAACACCACUAAAUUGCCUAGUAACUUGGUAAACUUGUUUGAACACAUAAGCAACUACCUAAACUUGUCAUUCAGCACCUAAUUACAUCAAAAUGCAGCUACCAACUAAGUUUAAAACAAACUAAAAUACAAAAUGUUCAUUUGAGUAACCAAAUGAAACAAUGCAGUUUCGGUUUGAUGUUGAAGCACGUUCCCUGCAUGGCCACCUUGCAUAGCCACCUUGGCUGCUGCAUGAGGGCUGACUUCAACAAGCAGACUCACAAAUCUAUUUUAGGAUUGGUUAUGGGCUCAUGCAUUUACCCGAUUAAAAAUUUCUAAGACCCAACAACAGAAGAAGCACAUUCAUGUUUAGAAGCAGUUAUCUUUGCGGAAGAAAUGGGCUUUGGAGAUGUUUGUAUAGAAGGCAAUGCACUCACAGUCCUAAAAAGAAUCAAAAAAUCAGAGAUUGAUAGAUCAGUUAUAGGCAACAUUAUUAUUGAGAUUACGGAUAGAGUAACCAGGUUUUGAAUUUUUACCUCUCGAUACGUCCUGCGAGCGGCAAAUAGAGCAACACGCGGAAUGGCAGCUUGGGGAACACGGCAUGAAAGGCCGAUCUACUAGGUAGAAGACGUUCCACUGGACGUUGAAGCCAUAGUCACAAAGGAGCAACGAUAGUAAGAGAAGAUUUUUUUUCAUUCUGAGUCUGGAGUGUUUGUUUUCAGUUUUGAAAACUCCAAGGAGCUCAGAAAUCUGCGGAGUUGGGAUGAAAUAAGAGACAUUUGUGAAACGGGUGAGGGUUUCAACUCCCACAGAGGAAUUCCUCCAGUGUGUCGGGAGUGGAUGAUUUUGCAGGGAAGAUUUAGAGGUGCUCAUAGGCCGGGCCGAGCCGGGCCCAUAAAAAAUUUUGGCCCAGGCCCGGCCCGACCCGAAAUAUGGGCCUAAAAUUUUACCUAGGCUCGGCCCGGGAAAAAAUUAUAAGCCCGGGACCGGCCUGGUGUUGACACCAUUUUUUGGAUGAAAACGGGGUCGACUUGGAUUUUGGAAAAAAAAGAAUGAAAAUGGGAGUCGCCACCAAUCCUUUUUUGAAGAGGUGUGAUUGGGUCACCUCAAAAGGUGGUUGUUUUUAAUAAAUGAUUUAAUUUUAUUAAAACAACGAUUUUGGUCUACGAAAUUCAGAAAAAUGAGUUCGGGAGUCGGUUACGCACGAGGAAGGAUUAGCACCCUCGAUACGCCCAAAAUUGGUACCUAGUUGAUUAAUUAGUGUCUUAGUGUCGAAAAUUUGAAAACUUGAAAGAAUUUAAAAUACGAUCCCUCUUUGUAAAGAAAAUGCUCAAAUGUUAAGGACCUUCUCGUCUCACAAUAUAAAAUGUCACAUCCAGUAAGUUAGGACACGACAUCUUGAAUUUUCGAGAACGAGCUUGCCUUUUAUAUAAAAAUUCGUGUAUUUCAAAAGGUUAUUCAGUUAGUUAAGGUGAACGAGGAAAAUCGAAACCCAGUAAGUUAGGGCACGUUUCCUCGAAUUCCCAAACACCGAAUAUUGCCUUUACUUGCAAAAAUCUUAUUUCGAGGUAACGAAAUGCCAUACCCAGUAAGUUAGGGAACAACACCUCGUAUCUCCGAGAAUAAGCAUUUUUCAAAACUCAUGUCACGAUUUAAAAGAGUAUUCCGUUAUUUAGGUUAAAGGAGAAAAAUUGAAACCCAAUAAGUUAGGGCACGAUUGUCUCGAAUUACCAAAUACGGAAUAUUACUUUUAUGAAAGAAUUAUUAUUGGGUUGGAUAUAAUGAUAAUAAGAAUAAUAUUAAAGUAAAGUAAACAAUAAUACUAUAUAUAAAUGUAUAUAUAUGUAUAUAAUAGAAAUACACACUACUAUAUAAUAAUAAUAAAUAUAGAAAUACUAAAAGCAAAUAUAAUAAAAAUAUUAAAUUAAAGUAAUAAAAAAUAAUACUAUAUAUAAAAUAUAUAUACAUAAAAAUAUACACUAAUAUAUAAUAGUAAUAGUGAUAGCAAAAAUAAUAAAAAUAUAAGUAAUAUUAAUAAUAUAUUAGAAUACAAAAGUAAAGUAAUAACAAUAGGAGUGAUAAUAAUAAUAAUACAAACAAUAAUACAUAUAUAUAAUAAUAGUAGUUAGAAAUAAAAAAUAAUAAAAGUAACAAUAAUGAUAGUAAUAAUAUAAAUAAAUAUGGAGAGGGCAUAUAUAAUAUAAUAAUAUAAAAAAAAUAAUAUAUACAUGAGAAAUAAUAAUAAUAAUAUAAAUAAUAGUAAAAAUAAUAAAAUAAUAAAACAAAGCUCUCAACUCUCUUUCUCCCUCUUUUCUAAAUCCGGCCGUUGGUCCGGCUUUGCUUCGGUCAUGGACCCCCACGGGCCGCCAUCGGCGCCACCGUACACGGCGGCCGGACCUCAAAAAAACCUUUUUCGAUAAUGAAAAUAUAGGUAAGCUUCUUACUUUUAUUUUUACUUUCGUAUAAAAAAACAAAAUAAAAUUGAAAGGAAAACAAUAAACAAACAAAGAACUAAAGAUAAGAAUAGACAAAAGAAACCUCUUUUGCUUUGAUCUUUGAUUAAUCUCCAAAAACUAGCCUUUCCAAGAAACAAAAAUAACCUUUUUUACAAAAAAACACCUCCAAAAAACAAAAAAAACCUCCUCCAAAACAAAGAACAAUCCUUCUCCAAAAAACCAAAAACCCACCCCUAAAAACAAAGUCUUGAAUGGCUUUUAUAGCCAAAUUUUACAAGUGGAGUGGUUGGGGUGGUUUAGGUGGCCAAGGGUGGUGGAGUUGGUGGCUAAGGUGGGUGGCCAACAAAGGUGGUGGAGUAGGUGGCCAAGGUUUUUAUUUAUUUAUUUAUUUAUUUUUUGUGUUUGGGUUGGGAUUAGGUUGGGCCAAAUUGGGUUUGGUUAGGGUUGGUUUAAGUUGGGCCAAAAUUGAGCCUUUACAGCUGCCCCUCUUUGCUCAUUUUCGUGUAACGAGAAUAGAGCAAAGACAUCAAAAGGGCCAAUUUUGCCCGGUCUUGCCGAGUCUUGACUUUUUGGUGCUCAUCUUCUUCCAGUAGCCUUAUUCCAGUCUGCUACGUCUUGUUGCUUCGAUCCACUCUACUGCAACUUCAGAUACGCCUUGUAGCUUCAAUCUACUCUGCUACGACUCCAUGGGGAUGAGAUUUGUGUUUUUAGUCUGCUCCACUACUACUUAGGGAGAUAAGACUUGAUGCGAUCUGCUUCACUAUUUCUUAGGGAAAUAAGAUCUGUGGUUUUAUCUGCUCCACUACUGCUUAGGGAGAUAAGACUUAAUGCGAUCUACUCCACUACUGCUUAGGGAGAUAAGAUUGUAAUCUUCGAUCUAUUCCACUGUUGCCCAAGGAGAUAGAACUACUGGCUUUAAUGUACUCCACUGUAAUCGGAGAGGUAAAAUCCGCCAUCUUCGACCUGCAAUCUAUUCCACUGCUAAAUACAGGGAAAUAGAGUCUGUUUUCAAUCCACUUCCUACCAAUAUAGGAAGGCAGGAUCUACAAUCUUCAAUCUAUUCCACUGCCAGAUACAGGGAGAUAGAGUUAUCGGCUUCAAUGUACUCCACUGUAGUCACAGGGAGGUAAAAUCUGCCAUCUUCGAUCUGCUUCACUGCCUAAUACAGGAAGGCAAGAUCUGCAAUCUUCAAUCUAUUCCACUGCCAGAUACAGUGAGAUAGAGUUAUCGGCUUCAAUGUACUCCACUGUGGUCAGGGAGGUAAAAUCUGCCAUCUUUGAUCUGCUUCGCUGCCAAAUACAGGAAGGCAAGAUCUGCAAUCUUCAAUCUACUUCACCACCAGUAUGGGAAGACAAGAUCUGCAUCUUGGAUCCACUUCCUAUCAAUAUAGGAAGAUAGGACCUGCUAUCUUCGAUCUACUUCACGCCAAUACAUGAAGGCAAGAUCUGCUUUCUGCGAUCUACUUCGCCACCAAUAUGGGAAGACAAGAUCUGCAUAUUGGAUCCACUUCCUAUCAAUAUAGGAAGAUAGGACCUGCUAUCUUCGAUCUACUUCACACCAAUACAUGAAGACAAGAUCUGCUUUCUGCGAUCUACUUCGCCACCAAUAUGGGAAGACAAGAUCUGCAUCUUCGAUCCACUUCCUACCAAUAUAGAAAGAUAGGAUCUGCUACCUUCGAUCUACUUCACGCCAAUACAUGAAGACAAGAUCUGCUUUCUGCGAUCUACUUCGCCACCAAUAUGGGAAGACAAGCUCUGCAUCCUGGAUCCACUUCCUAUCAAUAUAGGAAGAUAGGACCUGCUAUCUUCGAUCUGCUUCACGCCAAUACAUGAAGACAAGAUCUACUUUAAUGACUUCAAUCCCUCCCAUUGCAACUUCAAGGGUAUAGGAUCUGUUUCUUUGAUCUGUUCUCUGGGGAAUAUGACCUGUAAAAUCCAUUUUAUGGACCUAUUUAUGCCUAGUGUUUAGGAUGGCAUGAUCAGAAUGAAUCAAAUGCUUCUAACUAGAUGUGUAUGAAUGAAUGCAGAAUGUCAUGAGAAUGAUCCAUUUUUAAUGUUUGAGUUGUCAUUGCUCAUGUUUUAUCACUGACGUGUUACAACGCCUUCUUGCUCGGCUGGCAUAUCCAAAGAAACACUUAGUCAGAUUGCCCCCACUGCGAACGUCAAAGUUUAAUCCACUGGGACAUAAAAUUUGUACCAUCAAUCUCCCACCGUAAACUAAGGGUAGAAGGAUAUGGCUUUUUCUCGAUCCUCUACUAUCACAAUUCAAGGAUACAGAAUGUGAAACUCUUUGAUCUCCUACACCAUUCCCAAGGUGUCAUACCAAAUGUUUAUGUACAAAUGCAAAAUUUCCUUCUCCGAGAAAACCUUUUCUUAUUACUUGGUGAACAUCGCUUGUUUGUUCAUUGAAGCUUUGCCACCAACACGACAUCUUGUCAAUGUUUGGACAACAAAAUUUGAAAGGAUAGUCCCGACUUGGACUCUUCCUUUUUGGACACUUUGAAUUUGGUGUGCUCUAAACAACAGUCCUGUUUCAGGCUCCUUCAUUAUUUAGAAAUUUCUAGAGUAAUAUGCAAAACUCCAAUUGCUUGAACAUUCAGUUUAUUAAUAGUUAUUCUAAAUGUUUUUCGAGAAGGUUACCACAACGAACAAACAAAUGUUAUUAAGAACAAAUCUCGAGAUGAAUGAGUUAAUCGAGAUAGCAAAUUUUGCUAAGGUAAAAAAUGAAAUAAGACAAUAGACAAGAAUGAAAUUUUAUUGGGGAGCAAAGCUUGAACUGAAUACAAUAAUCAAGACAACAAGUUUUGCCAAGAUUCAAAGUAUAAGAUGACAACAGGUGCCCCAGAUAUCACAGCACGAGCUUCCCUGCACAAGUUUUCUAAAGACCAUUUAAUAUGUGUUUGGAAUCUACAGUAUUUUGUCGAUACCCCAAGAUGUCACCUACUCCUUCUUGCGAUUCAGGUGUAGUAAGACCACCACAUGCCUCAGAUCCUGCUCAAAAAUUCGAGCCGUACCUCACGCUUCAAAAUUCGAGCCGCCUUUUUCAGGUUUUCAACUCAAAUCCCCUUUGGUCUCAAGGUGCCUUUUGCGGGUUUUCACCUUGGCCUCUCCCAUUUUUUUUUUUUUUAAGAAUGCCCCCUUUUUAAGUGAAAUACUUCUUGACUGAGUCUGAAUUUACAGGAUUUGACAGGCUUUUACCAUCCAUUUCGCUCAGGAUUAAAGCUCCUCUUGAAAAGGCCUUUUUUACCACAUAAGGACCUUCCCAAUUUGGCAUCCACUUUCCUCUAAAAUCCUUUUGUAGAGGAAGAAUCUUUUUCAGCACCAGGUCCCCCUCGUAAAAUUCUCUGGGACAAACUUUUUUGUUGUAAGCUCGCAUCAUUCGUUUCUGAUACAUCUGACCAUGACGAAUAUCUUUUAACCUCUUUUCUUCUACCAAGUUUAACUGGUCAUAUCUGGAUUGAAUCCAUUCAGCCUCAUCCAACUUUAGUUCAGUUAAUACUCGGAGAGAAGGAAUUUCAACUUCUAUGGGUAAAACUGCUUCCAUCCCAUAGACUAAAGAAAAUGGUGUUGCCCCGGUAGAGGUUCUAACAGAAGUACGAUAUGCCAGGAGAGCAAAAGGUAAUUUCUCGUGCCAAUCUUUGUAGGUUUCAGUCAUUUUUCCUAUAAUUUUCUUGAUGUUUUUGUUAGCUGCUUCCACGGCACCAUUCAUUUUUGGACGGUACGGUGACGAAUUGUGGUGUCUGAUCUUGAACUGACUACAAACUUCCGCUAUUGAGUUGUUGUUUAAGUUCAGCGCAUUAUCGGAUAUGAUCCUUUCAGGCAUCCCGUAUCGACAUAUGAUCUCUUUUUUCAGAAACUUGCUAACUGCCGACUUCGUGACAUUUGCAUAUGAAGCCGCCUCCACCCAUUUAGUGAAGUAAUCAAUAACCACAAAGAUAAAACGAUGCCCAUUGGAAGCUUUUGGAGAUAUUGGCCCGAUAACGUCCAUUCCCCACAUGGAGAAAGGCCAUGGAGAAACCAUAACAUGAAGGGGUGAAGGUGGUGCGUGCAUUUUGUCACCAUAAAUUUGACAUUUAUGGCACCUCUUGGCAUAAUUAAUGUAAUCCCCUUCCAUGGUGGACCAAUAGUACCCAAAUCUCAUAAUUUGUCUGGUCAUCGUGAAGCCAUUGGCAUGCGUUCCGCAGAUACCUUCAUGCACUUCUUCCAAAAUUUCCUUUGCCUCAACAGCAUCCACACACCUUAACAGUACUUGAUCUUUUCCUUUUUUAUACAAAAUUUCCCCAUCAAGGACAUAGUCAAUGGCUAAUCUCCUUAAUGUCUUCUUAUCAUUUUCUAUCGCAUGGUCAGGGUACUCGCGACUCUUCACAUAUCGCAAUAUGUCAUGGUACCAAGGGUGAUCAUCCUUUCCCUCUUCAUUGUCAAUGUGCAACAAUGGGCUGGAACCUCAUAGAUGCUGAUCUGGAUAGGCUUCAUAUAUUCUAAUUUGUUCACUUUAAACAUGGAGGCUAAAGUGGCCAAAGCAUCUGCCAUCUGAUUUUCAUCUCGUGGGAGGUAACUAAAGGUGACACUAUCAAAUUCCUCGAUCAAUUCCAUAACCAAUUUUCGAUAGCGAACCAACUUCGGGUCUCUUGUUUCCCAUUCCCCCUUGAGCUGGUAAAUUACUAAUGCAGAGUCCCCGUAUACCUCUAGCACCUUAAUUUUCCGCUUUAUGGCUGCCCGAAUGCCCAUAAUGCAAGCUUCAUACUCAGCCAUAUUAUUUGUGCAGUCAAAGUCCAAUUUGCUAGUGAAAGGAUAAUAAUCUCCACUAGGGGACACGAGUACUGCCCCAAUUCCGUUGCCUAUAGCAUUUGAAGCUCCGUCAAAACUCAACUUCCAAGGACCACCUUCUUGGAAAUCUUUCUUUACGGUUGCGGCAUACAUCAAAUCCUCAUUUGGGAAAUCGAAGUUCAAUGGCUCAUAAUCAUCGAGAGCCCUACUUGCUAGGAAUUCCGCUAUUGCACUCCCUUUGACCGCCUUCUGGUUCACAUAGACUACGUCAAAUUUAGAUAGAAGAAUUUUCCAUCGAGCCAUUCUUCCAUUCAGAGCGGCUGACUCCAUCAAGUAUUUCAGAGGGUCUAAUUUGGAGAUUAACCAGGUCGUAUAGUACAACAUGUACUGUCUCAGUCUCCGAGUUGUCCAAAUUAAAGCACAACAUAAUUUCUCGAUUGGCGAAUAUCUUAUUUCGCAUUCGGUGAACUUCUUACUGAGAUAGUAGAUCGCUCUUUCCUUUCGUCCUGAUUCGUCAUGUUGACCAAGCACGCAUCCCAUGGAAUUUUCAAAUACUGCCAAAUACAGUAUGAGCGGUUUGUCUGGGCAGGGUGGCAUCAGUACUGGGGCGUUGGAUAAGUAAUGUUUGACUUUUUCAAAAGUUUUUUGACAUUCCUCAUCCCAUACACCUGGAUUAUGUUUCUUGAGGAGGCGAAAUAUGGGGUCGCAUUUCUCAGUUAGCUGUGAGAUGAACCGAGCAAUAUAGUUCAGCCUUCCUAGAAAACCUCGAACCUCCUUUUGAGUACGCGGCGGGGGUAAUUCUUGUAUUGCUCUUACUUUGUCAGGAUCAAUCUCAAUUCCUCUUUCACUGACCACGAAUCCAAGUAAUUUUCCUGAUCUGACCCCGAAUGUGCAUUUUGCUGGAUUUAGCUUUAGCUGAAAUUUCCUCAAUCUCGUAAAUAAUUUCUUAAGGACCUGCACAUGUUCCUUUUCUGUUUUAGAUUUUGCAAUCAUGUCAUCAACAUAGACUUCUAACUCCUUAUGCAUCAUGUCAUGGAACAGUGUUCCAUGGCCCUCUGAUACGUUGCCCCUGCAUUUUUCAACCAAAAUGGCAUCACCUUAUAACAAAAAGUUCCCCAUAGGGUUAUGAACAUAGUUUUCCUCAUAUCCUCGGGAUGCAUCUUAAUUUGGUUAUAUCCCGAGAAGCCAUCCAUGAAAGAAAACAGUGAAUGUCCUGCUGUAUUGUCUACCAAGGCGUCGAUAUGCGGCAAGGGAAAGUUAUCUUUUGGGAUAGCCUUAUUUAGAUCUCUAUAAUCCACACACAUUCGUACCUUCCCAUCUUUCUUAGGGACAGGAACAAUGUUAGCUACCCACUCGGAGUAUUUGACCACCUUCAGGAACCCAGCGUCAAAUUGCUUUUGCACCUCUUCUUUUAUUUUUAACACGAUAUCAGGCCUUAUUCUUCGGAGUUUUUGCUGAACUGGUUUGCAAUCCUCCUUUAUAGGAAGUCGGUGAACCACGAUGUCAAUACUUAACCCCGGCAUAUCUUGGUAUGACCAUGCGAAGACAUCUUUGAACUCUCGCAGCAAUUCAAUGAGGUAUUGUUUUACUUCUUCAGCUAUGCGGAUACCAAUCUUUAACACCUUUCCCUCUUCCAAGAUCACUGUCUCUAUCGUCUCUUCGUGGGGUAGAAUCUGUUUCUCUUCCUGCUCUACCAUUCUCAACAAGUCCGGAGAUAGGUUGCAAUCUGUGUUAUCUUCAAAAUCUUGAGAUUCCUCUGGACACAUAUCUCGUUCAAAAAGAUUUUCUAAGUCCAUAGUAGAGUCACUCAUAUCAUUGAUAUCUUGGGACCUGUUAUAGGUAUCAAAGAAUGUACAGGGAAUGUAUGAAUUUAAGGAUUCUUAUUUAGUAUGACCAUGAAUGUAUGAAAAAAAGAAUUUGAAAAGAAUAUAUACUCAAAAUGCGAAGAUAUAUUUCAUUGAAAUCACAAUGUCCACAUAUAAGCCUAUUUCAGUUCACAAAAGUUUUCAUUUUCUCUAGGCUUAGAAUAAUUAAUGUUUUGAAUAUUACUCUGGAAAAGCUCUAAAAACUUCAGGCAUUUCUUCCGCAGUCCAAUUGUUUAAAACACUCCCAGGUUCAACGGGAUAGAUGCCUGACGUACUUCCUCCUUCAAAUUCUUCUUCACAUAUGGCAUUGAUGCUUAAGUUUCUUAACAUUUCCUCUGCGGUCUUCUUUCUUGGAGCCCUCAGUUCAGAAUACAUAGUUCCUCCCGACAUGAAUGUCCUGGAUAUGUGGGGGAAAGCCAUAGGUUCCCAGUCGACUUCUUUUCCGUUCAAACGCGCCUUCCUUCUAUCUUGUCUCUUUUCUAACUCUUUCCUUCUCUGUUUGGUAUUUGGUUUAAAUCCUAAACCAAAACGAUCUUGUUUGUAUUUCACUACUGGUGCCCCCAUCCUUCCCUGAAGGCAUCUUCCAAGUCCUCUUCCAGGCACAGCUCCUUUCCCAACUGUCGCUUGUAAUCCCAUCCUUGUGGCUUUAGACAUGCUGGGCGUCGGAAUCUUCUUUCCCCCUAUGACAAAGGUUGCAUUUACGAACUCCAAAGAUCGAAAAGAACAUUCAACUGCCUCGUCGUCUAUUCCCAAAUAUGGUGUAUCAUUGGUUACCAAUGCAAUGAUAUCUUCCUCGGCGUCAAUUGUAAUUAACCGGCCUUCUAUUACCAAUUUUAACUUCUGGUGCAAUGAUGAAGGCACCGCCCCUGCCGAAUGAAUCCAGGGUCUUCCUAAUAAGCAAUUAUAUGACGGCUUGAUAUCCAUCACUAGGAAGUCCACAUCGUAUGUAUUUGGGCCAAUUAAAAGAGGUACUUCUAUUCUUCCUAUCACCUUUCUUUCGGUACCAUCAAAUGCUCUCACUAUAUUUUGGCAUGAUCUCAUGUGAGAGUUAUCCACCGGUAACCUACUUAAGGUAGAUAGGGGUAAAACAUUCAAGGCUGAUCCAUUGUCAAUUAGCACUCCAGCUAACAUAUACUCCCCGCAACGAGCAGUGAUGUGUAAUGCUUUGGUAGAUCCUCUUCCCCCUGGCGGUAUUUCAUCAUCAUUAAAAAAGAUGAAAUUAUUGGCAUUGAUAUUAUUAACCAAGCGGUCUAACUUAUUCACCGAGAUAUCUUUAGUGACAUAAGUUUCAUUUAGCACCUUAAUCAACGCAUUACGAUGUAUCUCUGAACUUAUAAGCAACUCAAGUACGGAGAUACGAGCCGGUUGCUUAUGUAAUUGUUCUACCACGCUGUACUCGCUAUGUUUCAAGAAUUUUAGAAAUUCAUUGGCUUGAUUUUCAGUUACCGGCUGAUUGACACUCGAUUCAAUUUCGUCUGUUUUUGUUUUUCCUAGCUCAACUGCUAAAGCUUUUUCUUUUCCAGAUUCCACUAUCGCGUCUGCCGGAUCAUAGCGCUUUCCACUUCGUGUAUAGAAUCCUUCCUUCUUUUUUGAAGCAUUUACCGAGCUCUCUUUUCCUGGAAUCGUCACAUUGCAAUCGUAACUCCAAGGAACCUUUUUGUUACCCUUGUAAGGAAAGGAUACAGGUUUUUGGAUUAUAACUUUUGGCCCUAUUUGUAUUCCAGAUUCUUUGUUCAUUGGCUUUGAAAUGAUAACCACUGGAUGACAAAGCUCUUGGGUUCUCCUUGCAGAUCCUUCUCCUGUAGCACAAACUUCUUCCUCUUUUAACCCUUUGAUUUCUUCAUAAAACUCCAUUUCUUUGCUAUCCAUAAAGUUUUGCACCACGAUUCUGAACUCGGUGCAUUCCUGGAUGUCAUGAUCUUCUUCUGCGUGGAACUUACAAAAUCUCUUUGCUUGUUCAGGCCUUUCUAUCGAAUCUUGCUUGAUAAGACCUCUUUUUACCAUUUGUUUCCAAACCCAUCCAAGAGGGGUUUUUAUCUCUGCCACGUUGGCUUUGACUCUUCUUCCUUCAUUCUCACUUAUCGCGUUUACCCUAUUAUCGUCAUGAUUGGGCAACGGAUUUUCUGCUACAUUUGGCCCUGAUGAGUCGCCAAUCUUUACGAUCCCCAUAUUGAUAAGUUUCUCCACUAACUUCUUGAAUGCAGUGCAGUUCUCAAUCGAGUGCCCCUUAAUCCCCGCGUGGUACUCGCAUUGGGAGUUUAUGUCAUACCAUUUGGGGUACGGAGGUUGCAUGGGUUUUAGGUAAAAUGGAGAUACCACAUGUGCAUCAAAUAAAUUCUGAUACAAUUCUUUAUACGUCACCGGGAUGGGUGUGAAUUGAGGUCUUUCUAUAUUUGGCCUUGAAUUGGACUCCCGUCUCGAAGAACCUUGCUGAUUAGUGGUUGUUGCUCUGGCUUGUCCCACCGUGAUUGAUCUAGAAUGGUCCUUGUUAAACAUGUUUGUGUUGUUUAUCUCAUGCUCCUUCUUUCUCAGUGCUGACCUUUUAGCACUUUCUCCUGCUUCUAUCUUGCCACUCCUUAUGGCAUUUUCUAUCAUUUCUCCAGACAUCACUAUGUCUGAAAAGCUUUUGGUGGCACUACCCAGCAUGUGAUUGAGAAAUGGAGCUUUCAAAGUAUUGAUAAAAAGCAUGGUUAUCUCUUUUUCUAAAAGUGGUGGUUGAACUUGUGCUGCUACCUCCCUCCAUCUUCGAGCAUACUGGCGAAAGCUCUCAUUAGUUUUCUUUUCCAUAUUUUGCAAUACAAUUCGAUCGGGUGCUAUGUCCAUCACAUGUCUGUAGUGUUUUAUAAAGGCCUGCGCCAAAUCUUUCCAAGAGUGGAUUUCAGCUCGACUCAAUUGAUUGUACCAUCUAACAGCUGACCCGAUCAAACUAUCCUGAAAACAGUGAACCAACAGCUGCUCAUUGUUGAUGUACCCGGUCAUUCUUCGGCAAAACAUAGUGAUAUGAGCAUCGGGACAACUUGUCCCGUCAUAUUUUUCAAACUCCGGCAUUUUAAACUUAGGAGGGAGGAUUAAAUCAGGCACCAAGCUCAGAUCUUUAGCAUCCAUUCCUCGGUGGUAAUCAGCACUUUCCAUGGCCUUAAACUUUUCCUCCAGCCAUUUACAUCGGUCUUCCAAUUGCUUUGAUAGAUCCACUUUCGUAUUUUCCACUUCUGCCACGUCAUCGAGGUCAGGGACUAUGAGAUUGGUGGGAUUCUCUCCGGAAUUGUUACUUAUUCCGAUUGGAGGACUCGUUUGGAAUUGUUGGGGUCUAAUUGUAACAGAGGGUCUUUGUUGAUACAUUUCAGCUUGAGUAUGCGCGUGCAGAGGGGUAAAGCCUGGAGGGUAAAGGGGUUCAUCACUAUUUCCAUCUUCAACAUUAACAAUAGGGUCCUUUCCCUUGUCUUUUCCUCCUUUCAACAGUUGCGUUAACUUUGCCAUCAUGUCGUCUUGGGAUUCUCGCAUCUCUCGCUGAAUCUUUUCCAACCGCUCUUCUAUCUGAUCUUGCAUAUCUCUUUGGAGCUGCUCAAGUUUUUCUAGUCUUUGAUCCAUGUUUCUUGACUUCGCUCGAGUUCCGUAAGAGUGACGGUUUUCCAGGUUAACUGAAAUAAUUUUAUUUAGUUAGGGUCUUUUAAUGGUCAUUAAUGCAUAUAAUGCAAUGCAUGAAAUGAAUGCAAAAGGCGUUAAUUCUAGUUCAAUUUCAUUAUGAAAACUUUACUAGAAAAUAAACUUUUUUACAUAAGGUGGAUUACAUAUACGACUUAGCCCUAAAACUCAAAAUUCUAAUCCUCCUAAGCAACGAGUCUAGCUCCUGUCCUCGACUCGACUCUAAUUCGUACUUCACGCUUAACACAUCAGCUUGUACUGCUAACGUCUGCAAGUGAUCAGCCACCUCUCGGAUUUGAAGCACGGCUUCUCCCAUGAUUUGAUCUCUAUCUCUUACUUGGUUCUGAAAGUAGUGCAACUGCUCGGUUUGACGAUCUUCAUUAGAUCUCAUGUGCUCAAUCCGCAUCUCGCAACUUCCCAAUGCUGCUUCUAACUCUUCAAUUCUUCGUUUCAUCUCUUCAAUUCUACUUAGGCUUACUUUUAAUUCCAUCACAGAAUUUCGAUUUCGAUGCCGAUAGAGAGAUUCUUCUAACUCGGACACUCUAUUUUCUAGUUCCCCUUUUUCUUUCUGAUUCUCUGACAGACUCUUCUUUAAAGUCUCGUUCUGGGUUUGAACUUCUUGAAACCUUGUUUCCCAUCUAUCAGCUUUGUUCUUUUCUUCUUGAACUUCCUUGCGCCAUUGUUCAGAAGUCUUUCCCAACCCGGCGGUUCUCAUUGAUGAUCGCAACUUCUUGUAAUCUGUUUUCAGACUGUUCAGAUCUUCUUCAGCCCUAGCUUUUCCUUUUCUUAAUCGCUCCAUCUCGAGCUUCUGGACAUCUACAUCCAACCUUAAGUUUGUUUUUUCUUCCUCCAUUUGCUCUAUCUGUUUUUCCAACUCUGCAUUUCUUCUUUCAAAAUCUUGCUUCAAAAUUUCUAGUUCAGAAAGGAUGACCCGUAAGUGCUCCUCUAUCGAAUGACUGCCUUCGAGGCUUGAUUUGGGGACAUUGUCAUUGAUUCUUCUGACCCUCCAUUCUUUAUAUUCGGGGGUUGUCAUUGGUCCUACAGCUAAUCGCUUCAUUUGGCGAGUCUGAUUCCACGCAUUGGAUAUCUCUCGAAUCCUCUUUUUGUAGCCAUCACCCCCAUACGAGAAUUCACACUCGGCCAGCCCCUGGGUUGCGGGUAUAAACUGUCUUGAUCUGUACUGUCUGAGCACUAAUAACGGGGCAUAGCCAAUAGCUCCCCAGAUUCCAAGCAAAGGGACCCAAUCAAAACUACCACAUCGGUACAAAAUUUCGUCUGGAAGUAACCACGGAGCUCUCCAUUCAAUGUCUUCUUCAUGCAAGUUUUGAAGAAUUGCCAUCCAUUUUUCCAUUGAAAUGUCGUCCCUUCUCGGUGUAGCUAUCGUCUCCUUUAGCGGCGAAUAGUUUUCAGAGAAGACCCGAUAUGACACCUUAUCCACUUUCCAAAAAUGACUGUGGAACCACGCAAGUAGCAACUGUGCACAUCCAAUGAACCUGCCUUCGCCCGCUCGCCGACAGGUACUCAAUGAUCUGAAUGUCUCCGCUAAAAUUGCUGGAAUCAGGGUAACUCCUUUAUCAAGGCGGUCGAACAAAUCAGUAACCGCCUCAUCAAUAUGCCCCAAAGCUCUAGGAAAGAUAACUAAGCCAUAUAUGCUUAGGGCGAAGAUAUCUACCCUAUUUUUUAUAUCCGGGUGCACCAAAGCCACAUCUUUCAAACUCCUCCAAGAAAUGCACUUGUUAUCCCCUUUUUGUUUAAUUCGGGCCGUAACCCACUGCUCACUCAUGCCUGUUAUGUUCAUUAACCUUCUCAAAAAGGGUACAUUUGCGGCUCUUGAGUAGAUUCUGUCGACUUGACUCUUUGAACACCGAAGUAAAGCCAUAUAUUCUUCUAUCGUAGGCACCAAGUCAACUUUCCCGAACGAAAAACAACUAUAGGCGGGAUUCCAAAAUUGUGCGAGAGCCCGGAAUAGGUGCUUAUCUACCUUCAUAUCUAGCAGGUACGGCAAGUCCCCGUAAUGGGAAUAAAACAACUGUCUGGCCUCCUCGUCCCAAUGGUCCCAAAUUCCUUUCAACUCUUGUAAAUCGUUCUGGGUUAUGCUAAUGCGGGUAAAGUCCCAUAGCUCUGAUAUAUAUCCUUCAGCCAAACUAUCCCCUUUCUCUUGUUGUGUCGUUUCCGACCAAAUUCGGACUGCCGCAUUAUCUUCCACCUUAUCAAGAAACCUUCUUUCCAUGAUAAGCUUUCUUUCUAGAAACCGAAUAUGAACCAACGCCUUGAAAUAAUGAAAUGCCAUGCAGUUGAAAUGUCAUGCAUCCAAAGUAAAACAACAAAUAUCAGUACCAGAUAUAAACAUAUAAUCCAAGAUAAUUCAAAAAGAAUAAAAGCACAUCAGGGUAUUUACUAGGGUUUGGUGUAGUUCUACUUAAGGUGAGUUCCUAAGGUUUACUACAUGGGGUUUGGUUCUAAAGCAAAGGUACCCGAACCAGCAGAUUCCUCGAUCUUCACCCAUUAUAGUCUCAUAUAGACCGAGUUCGGUUUAGGGGAAUACAUUUCCCUAUGGCUGCACGGAGAUGAAAAUCUCACGAAGACAUAGGUACGGAUGUAUCCCGAAAGCGAUCCACUAUCCUGCACGGAGGUGAAAACCUCACGAAGGAGUAGCUUCUCACUCCCACUUAAAAGGUGUGACCAACGGUCAUGCAAUGCAAUGCAAAGAUAUAAAAGUUUAAAAUACGAAACAUGAUGAAAACUAUAGCUCAAAACAAAUGAAAUGCAAUGAGAAGAUCGUAUAUUUAAAUCAAAUUUUCAACUUUCGACAAAAAGACAAAAAAUAAUCAACUCGUGGCUUGACUCACUUAUUUUGAAAAAGUCCCCAGUGGAGUCGCCAAGCUGUUGACACCAUUUUUUGGAUGAAAACGGGGUCGACUUGGAUUUUGGAAAAAAAAGAAUAAAAACGGGAGUCGCCACCAAUCCUUUUUUGAUGAGGUGUGAUUGGGUCACCUCAAAAGGUGGUUGUUUUUAAUAAAUGAUUUAAUUUUAUUAAAACAACGAUUUUGGUCUACGAAAUUCAGAAAAAUGAGUUCGGGAGUCGGUUACGCACGAGGAAGGAUUAGCACCCUCGAUACGCCCAAAAUUGGUACCUAGUUGAUUAAUUAGUGUCUUAGUGUCGAAAAUUUGAAAACUUGAAAGAAUUUAAAAUACGAUCCCUCUUUGUAAAGAAAAUGCUCAAAUGUUAAGGACCUUCUCGUCUCACAAUAUAAAAUGUCACAUCCAGUAAGUUAGGACACGACAUCUUGAAUUUUCGAGAACGAGCUUGCCUUUUAUAUAAAAAUUCGUGUAUUUCAAAAGGUUAUUCAGUUAGUUAAGGUGAACGAGGAAAAUCGAAACCCAGUAAGUUAGGGCACGUUUCCUCGAAUUCCCAAACACCGAAUAUUGCCUUUACUUGCAAAAAUCUUAUUUCGAGGUAACGAAAUGCCAUACCCAGUAAGUUAGGGAACAACACCUCGUAUCUCCGAGAAUAAGCAUUUUUCAAAACUCAUGUCACGAUUUAAAAGAGUAUUCCGUUAUUUAGGUUAAAGGAGAAAAAUCGAAACCCAAUAAGUUAGGGCACGAUUGUCUCGAAUUACCAAAUACGGAAUAUUACUUUUAUGAAAGAAUUAUUAUUGGGUUGGAUAUAAUGAUAAUAAGAAUAAUAUUAAAGUAAAGUAAACAAUAAUACUAUAUAUAAAUGUAUAUAUAUAUAUGUAUAUAAUAGAAAUACACACUACUAUAUAAUAAUAAUAAAUAUAGAAAUACAAAAAGCAAAUAUAAUAAAAAUAUUAAAUUAAAGUAAUAAAAAAUAAUACUAUAUAUAAAAUAUAUAUAUACAUAAAAAUAUACACUAAUAUAUAAUAGUAAUAGUGAUAGCAAAAAUAAUAAAAAUAUAAGUAAUAUUAAUAAUAUAUUAGAAUACAAAAGUAAAGUAAUAACAAUAGGGGUGAUAAUAAUAAUAAUACAAACAAUAAUACAUAUAUAUAAUAAUAGUAGUUAGAAAUAAAAAAUAAUAAAAGUAACAAUAAUGAUAGUAAUAAUAUAAAUAAAUAUGGAGAGGGCAUAUAUAAUAUAAUAAUAUAAAAAAAAUAAUAUAUACAUGAGAAAUAAUAAUAAUAAUAUAAAUAAUAGUAAAAAUAAUAAAAUAAUAAAACAAAGCUCUCAACUCUCUUUCUCCCUCUUUUCUAAAUCCGGCCGUUGGUCCGGCUUUGCUUCGGUCAUGGACCCCCACGGGCCGCCAUCGGCGCCACCGUACACGGCGGCCGGACCUCAAAAAAACCUUUUUCGAUAAUGAAAAUAUAGGUAAGCUUCUUACUUUUAUUUUUACUUUCGUAUAAAAAAACAAAAUAAAAUUGAAAGGAAAACAAUAAACAAACAAAGAACUAAAGAUAAGAAUAGACAAAAGAAACCUCUUUUGCUUUGAUCUUUGAUUAAUCUCCAAAAACUAGCCUUUCCAAGAAACAAAAAUAACCUUUUUUACAAAAAAACACCUCCAAAAAACAAAAAAAAACCUCCUCCAAAACAAAGAAUAAUCCUUCUCCAAAAAACCAAAAACCCACCCCUAAAAACAAAGUCUUGAAUGGCUUUUAUAGCCAAAUUUUACAAGUGGAGUGGUUGGGGUGGUUUAGGUGGCCAAGGGUGGUGGAGUUGGUGGCUAAGGUGGGUGGCCAACAAAGGUGGUGGAGUAGGUGGCCAAGGUUUUUAUUUAUUUAUUUAUUUAUUUUUUGUGUUUGGGUUGGGAUUAGGUUGGGCCAAAUUGGGUUUGGUUAGGGUUGGUUUAAGUUGGGCCAAAAUUGGGCCUUUACACCUGGCCCGGCCCAUUUUUUUAAUAAAUACCAUAAAUUUAUUUUAAAAAUAAUAAAAAAGUAUUUUAAAAAUAUUUUAAAAUUAAAAAAUAAAUAUAUUUAUUAUAUCGGGCCAAGCCGGGCAGGACCCGGGCCAAAAAAGUGGUGCCCGAGGCCCGGCCCGUUUUUUAAACGGGCCUCGUUUUUUUAUCCAAGCCCAUAUUUCGAGCCUAUAUUUUUACCCAAACCCUCCCAUAUUUCGGGCGGGCCGGCCCGGCCCAUGAGCACCUCUAGGAAGAUUGAAGGACUUGGGUUUUUUUCUUUGCUUUUUGUUUAAAAGUUUUUUGUUUUUUAGGUUUUUCAUUUUAGUGCUUUAAGUUUUCUCAGCCUUUUUAGGGAUACCCGAGGCACCACCCAUUAGCAGCAAUAGGCUUCUGCCAGCUAGCUAGUGGGCUGAAACAUUGCAGGGUUUAGGAUUGUGUUCCAUCCUUUAAUCUUCAAUUUUAAUGAUUUUACUUCAAGUUUUUUUUAAGUAAAUCCCUUCCCAUAUAUAUAUUAUGCAUAUAUUAAAGUUAGUUUCUAAAGGGAAAGAGUUAAUAUUCCAUUUGGUAUGUAGGGUUUUUUUUUAAAAUUUAAUAUAUGAGUUUUACUUCAAUUUGGUAUCCAUACCAAACAAAUGUGCUUAAUGAAUACUUGGCACGUAUGUUCUAGUAAAAAAAUAUAAUUACCCACAAAACGAUCUGAUAAAAUUGUCACCCUGAAUUACCUGACAACGAUGACUCAAGUAUGAAAUUACCACCCAGAUUUCCGAGCAACGAUGGUUUCCAAAUAAUAACCUGACCCUAUGUACGCCAACUAACUCGGUCCGACAAAUAAUAGGGUAACCAAAUUUCAAUUUCAAUAUACAACCUGAUUCAUGUUUAUUCAUUUUGAUUUUCAUCAUCAGUUUACCAAUUCAAUACAUAACUUAUAUAUAUAUCAACCGAAUUUCACAUAUCAAGUAAGUCAUAAAAUUUUCUAUUCUAUUCAAUUUAGUCCUUGCUUCGAUAUUCAAUUCAAAUCAUAUCAAUUUAGCUCAAAAAAUUAUCAAUAACUAACCUCCAAUUCCAUAUAAUGUAGAAUGAUAUAAAUAUGCAACAACUAAAUGGUUCCCAAAUCAUAGAAUUACAAACCAAAAAUUUUGAUCUAAUUAAUAGCUUUGGAUUUUCCUUUUCCUCUCGAUGAAUCUAGGUCGACGUUAGUUAUGGAUUAACAUAAACACAUAACACUAUCAAUAAACAACCAAUUCACAAUCAAUUGUCAAUUUAUACAAAAAUUUCAAUUUAUUCAAUUUAGUCCCUAAAACUGAGACUAACAUAACUUUCAAUUUAAAACUCCAAAUUAAAAUUUGAUUUCACUAUGGUCCAUUAGAGACCUCCUAUUUCUUAUUUAUAUAAUCAAUUUUACAUUUAAUUCAGUUUAGUCCUUAUAAUCUUGUGUUUGCGAGUAAUUUUAGGGUUGCUUUUGUCGUUGUGCCCUCUAGUUUGGUGGAUGCUCAGUUCUUUUGUCGAUUUAUGCUCACUGUUUUGGACCAUCCGGGGUUGAUUUCCUUAUUGUAUUAAGUGCUUGCAAUCACUCCUUAUGUUGUGCUUAAGUUGUGACAGAGUCGAUUGUCAACGUGCCAUAAUGUUCUAUUGAUGUUGAAGCUAAAGCUUUUGUUAUGUUGAUGGAGCUUGUACUUUAGCGCGUUCAAUGGGUGUUUGUUACUUUUUUCCCCUGAAUUGUAUGGUCUUAUUUAUUGAAUGAAUUAAUAAAUUUCUCUUUAAAAAAAGAAAUAAUUUAUAAUAAAUAAUUAAAUGUAUUAUUUAAAACUAUUUAAUAAUAGCGCAUUAAAUAUGUAUGCUAUUAAAAUGAAAAAAAAAACAAAUUAAAUUGUUUAUCAUAAUAUUGACACUUUUCAUCAAUCUUGAGUCAAUAUCGAGUUAACUUGUGACACCAACUCAGCUAAAUAUAUUAUUAAUAUAUACAAUGAUGGGGCUAAUAAAGUGUGCACAAAAAAAUUAAAAUGUAUAAAAAUAUCAAAAUAAAACUUUAGUUGAGUAGUAAAUAUAAAUUUUAUUAAUGCAAUUAGCAAGAGUUCGAAUCUCACCAUAUACAUAUUUUAUUGGCUUUUUUUAAGUUAAAAGAUUAGAAUAUCCUUGAAUAAUAUUGUUUAGUUUAAUUACAAAAUGACAUUUUCUUAACUUUUUAAUCGAGUUGGUAACCCGAUUAAAGGUGACAUUAACUCAAUCAAGAACUUAGAUAAAUAUUAAUAUAAAAUAUAAGUUUUUGCUAUAAAAUAAAAGGACAGAAAGUAAAGAACAAAGAAAAUGAGAAAGCAAAGAGAGAGCGUAUUUUAUUGAUCAAUUGAAAUAUUUACAAAGUUUCUCCAAAAUUUCUAUUUAUAGACAUAAGAAGUAUAAAUGAAGUAUAGACCUACUUCUAAUGGCUAUAAGAAUUUAAAGUACAUCAAAAAUUAUCUUGAUCUUGAUGGACAUCCACUUAAUAAGAUAUUCAUAACACCCCCUUGGAUGUCCAUUGGUAGAUAAUGUGCCUCGUUAAAACUUUACUAAGAUAAAGAUCUUGUGGGAAAAAAUCCUAGUGAAGGAAAAAAGUAAACAUAUCUAAAUGCGUAUAUUAUGCUGCACCAUUAAAAACUUUACCAGAAAAACCCAAUGGGAUAAAACCUCGGUUAAGGGAAAAAUAGUACAAUGCAUAGUUACUCCCCUUCAUAAAAACAUCAUAUACUUUCUCAUAUUCUAUUGAAUUGAAUACUAGUUUUCAAAUGACUAUAUUAAUGAAUUUGCUAAGCAUUUAUAUCACCGUUCUUUUGGAAGUCAUGAGUGGGGAAAUUUUAGGGGAAAUAUAUUUUGAUCUCUUGAAGAGUCUCAACAAUUUUCAUAACAAACUUUAAUCAUAAUUCCUCUAUAAAAACACAAAUAGGUAUUUUGGAUCAUUUUAUAAUCCUCCUUCAACUACUAUUCGCUGAGUCAAAUUUACCACAUAUGUUCCAAUUAUUUCAAUUCAUAUAAAUGAACAAUUUCCCGACAAUUUCGAUAUGCUUCUAUCAUCCUAAAUCCUUCAAGGAUUUGAAUAUAAAUUUUACUAUAUAGUGGUUCAUAAAAAGGUUGUAACAACAACCAUUAGACAUAAGUUAAAUCUUCUAUGAAUUGUCAAAAUAAUAUAUCUAAAAAUUAUUGCAUCCACCACAAAAAAAAUAUUAUUUCUUUUCAUAAUAAAUGCCAGGACUUAGCAAAAAACUUCAUAUUAUAAUUUUGCUUUUGCAAAACUACUUCAUUUGCACCCUCACUGGCUUUAUACCUUGAGAUAUUUGGACUACUGGUCCAAAAACUCCACAAAUUUAAUUGUACUUGAAUUGCAUCUUUCUAUUUUGAUUAAUUUAUUCUAUAUCUAUAUUUCUCAAUAGAUUUAUUAAAGAUCCUCCUUUUGUUUCAUUAUAUCAAUAAUAACAUUGCAUGCAAAAUUAUUGUCAACCACUUUUAUUAUUUGGUUUCACAUUUUCUCGAAUUGGCAUAACUUAUUAAGAUCUAUUAUUUUAAUCUUCAAUUUCAGGUACCUGAAUCUCUUCUGGAGUUUUACUUAUUAGUUAUGUCUUGGGUCUCUUUUGGAGCACUUGUCUCCACUAUUUGACCAUCUAGAAGAAUUUUCAUCUUUGGAAUCGAUCAAUCUAUUAUUUAUUCUAACUGAUUGUCCUGCCGGGACUUUGAUUCAAAUUAAAAUAUUAGAUGUUAUAUAAUAUUUGGUUAUUCUUAUUAAGUUUUUAAAUACAUCUGACAGUUAACUUGUAAUGAGUUUUCCUCGUUGAGCUACUAGUUCAAAUUACGUUCCCCCUAACUCAUUACAAGUUGUUAUUUCUCUCCCCCUCAUGUUGGGAAAACUAUCGAAUCAAAAUAGUAAUCACAAAUCAUGUCAUAAUUGAAUCUCCAAUACAUACAAAGAGACUUGUAAUUAAUAUAUAUUCCCAACUCUAUUUGAGGAUUGACUCAUCUUUUUGCGUUGUGUCGGAGUAAUUGGAAUAUAUACACACAUACAAAAAUUCAAAGAUGAGAAAUAUUUAGCUCUUAAUAAAAAACUUAUCAUAAUGGGAAGUAUUUAUAACUUAUUGGUUUGAUGCGUACAACACGUAAAUCAACAUAAUCUCAUGUUGAAAUAGGAAGUUUAGUUUUCAUAAGUAAUGGUUUAGGCAUUAAUCAGAGGCAUUUAAAAAAUAAUUUCUCUAAACUAUUAUGUGCAUAAAUAACAAACUUUUACAAAAGUUUUUCAAACUUCAUCAAUAAAAUACUAAGAUAUAAAUUCAUCAGUAUUAGCAAGAUGAAUUAUCUUAAUUGCAUGAUCUGGAAUUAAUUAUUUAAAUAAACAAUCUUGCAAACGAUAGGUUGCAAGUUGAUAACACAUACGUGAUUAUUUUGUAGAUGCAUCUACCAAAAUCAUAUAAUAUCAAAAUCAUUCACAUAAUGGAUGAAUGGGCCCAUAUUCAUUUCAAAAAUGUAAGACAUUAAAUCUCAACUUUAGCUAGUGAGUUUCUAACAAUCAAUUUUCAUUGAGAACAAGCAUCAAAUGAGAAUUCUUUAAAUUAAAGAAUAUUAUGGUUCUUUAAUAAUAUCAUAUGAAUUCUCAAUUAAUUUUCACAUCAUAUUUGAUCUAGGAUGGUUUAACUAGUCACGCCAAGUAGUACUUGCAUUUGUAUUAGUAAACUUUUAGUUUACUUUAACAUACGUUUCAAUUGUACUAAAUUGUAACAAAUUGAUAAUUUUACUAUCAUUCAUUUUACUUUGUAUCUACAUAUAGGUACUAUCGUGACAUUUACUACUGUAAAUGUCUAAAUCAAUGUGAAGUCUAUAAUGUCACUAAGUCAAUAAAUAUAAUUUUCAAAUAAUUAUAUGCAAUAUUUGCUUCAGUGAAUAUGCCAAAAUCUUGAAAUGAAGGGCAUUUGGUCUAGUGGUAUGAUUCUCGCUUCAAAUGCUAAAAUUCUUGAGUUUGAUUCAAAAUACUUUUAAAACCCUUUUAACAAAAUUUUUGCAUAAUCAGUUAACUACCAAAAAUAACUACCCAGGUCAUGUAUAAAAACAAGUCUAUACUAAAUAUAUCAAUAAACAUCACAUCUCAAGCAUAAAAAUAUGACAUAAUGAAAAACUAGCAAUUUUUUUCAUAAUCAUCAUCAUAAACAUGCAUGGAAUUUAAAUCAAAAUCCAACCAUUCAAGCUCAUAGAACUUUUCAUUUACAAUUGCUCAUGUUAUUUCCCUAAAUAAUUAGCAAAUGAAAUAAUAUAAAACGUAUGAACUACUACCUUUAACAAUUCUUUGAACUAAACCAAAUCUGAAUAACCAUAAAAUUCAUUGGUUUGUUAACAUAAAUUUGCAUACUAGAUAUGUUUUAAUCAAAUAUAUUAUUUAAUUAUAAAACCUACUAUAACGAUAUAAAUAAAUCAAUUAAUUUUCAUUUUCAUAAACAAAUGAGAUGCUUAAAACAAUAUGUAACACAUUUAAUCAAAACUUAAAAAGAAUUACAGUUAUUAUUGUUUGUCCCCAUCCUCGUUGUUUGGUUUCCAAGUUGUGACCCAAAGUCGAGAUUGAUUUGGUUGUUUGGUUUCUAAGUUGUGACCCAAAAUCAAGAUUGCUUUUGAAUUUUUGGUCUGUCUCCAUUGUAAAGCACAUCAAACAAAGAUACAAAUUGAUACAACUAUUCUCAAGUUCAAAUAAAGCAUUAUCUUGUUAGGUAGAGUGAAUAAAAUCACUAAGUUAUUUUUUAUGUCAAUUAAAUUUAUGGUUUUUUUCAAUUAGUUGGAUUGAUUAAAUAUUAAUAAUUUAUAAACACAUUCAUUUAAAUUAAUUUUACACUGUAAUAAAAAGUAAGAUGUUGUUUAAUAAAUCAAAAAAAAUUAAGUGAAAAAUAAAAAAAGGUGUUAUUUAAUAAUUCAUAAAUUGUACGAGAGUGAAGUGUUAGAUAUUUUUGGAUAUGUUUAAUGUGCUUGGGUUAGGAUAGAAAUUUCAAAAUCCGAGAAAAUAUAAAUAGUCAAACAUAUAAAUCAAAUCCAACUAAAAAUGCUAGAAAUUUGAUUUAUCAUACUCCUAUUAGAAAAAGAUAGAAAUGACGUGAAAUCACAAUUUCAUACAACCCUUUCUCCUCACAGUGAUUAUUGUUUGUCCCCAUCCUCAUUGUUUAAUUUCCAAGUUGUGACCCAAAAUCAAGAUUGACUUUGAAUUUUUGGCCUUCUGUCUCCAUUGUAAAGCACAUCAAACAAAGAUACAAAUUAAUACAACUAUUCUCAAGUUCAAAUAAAGUAAUAUCUUAUUAGGUAGAGUGAAUAAAACCACUAAGUUAUUUUUUAAGUCAAUUAGAUUUAUGAUUUUUUAUUCAAUUAGUUGGAUUGAUUAAUUUGAUAAAAAAUAAAUAUAAUUUUAAUUUUAAAUAAGUAUUAAAAAUAUUAAUAAUUUAUAAACACAUUCAUUUAAAUUAAUUUUACACUGUAAUAAAAAGUAAGAUGUUGUUUAAUAAAUCAAAAAAAUUAAGUGAAAAAUUAAAAAAAAUGUUUAAUAAUUAAUAAAUUGUACGAGAGUGAAGCGUUAGAUUUUUUUGGAUAUGCUAAUAAUUAAAAAUAUUGUACGAUGCUUGAAAGUUAUCUGAUACACAUUGUACCAAAUUUCAAUACCACAUAUAUGUUAUAAAAUCUUAUGAUGCUCUAAUCAACUAUUUAUAAAUUCAAUUUAAAAGAUAUUAUACAAUAAUUUCAAGCAUAUUUAAUAACAAUAAUUUAAUCAUAAAAACUUUUAAUCAUCCAAAUAUCAUACAUACUAUAAUUUAAUAAAAGAAUCUUAGUUUAAAAGAAACUAUAAAUUAAUAAUAUUUUUUUACCAAAAAUCAAUCAACAAAGGAGAAAAACAUACCACUUAAGGAUUAUAUAAUUUUUUCUGUAUAAUAAUUACCCAUAAUGUGCAGGCCCCAAUUGAAGACUGAAAUAACAGUAGCUCUAGAAGGCAAUUGGCAACAGCUUGAGUAGCAAAUUUGAGUGACCGACUAUUGCAUUGGUUGUUGCUUGAAAGGGGUAAGGCUUUGUGAAAGGGAAAAAAAAUUGUGACUUAUGGAGAAAAACAAUUAAAAGAAAACUGUGCUAAUAAGGUGUUAUAAAAUAAAAGGACAGAAAGUAAAUAACAAAUAAAAUGAGAAAGCAAAGAGAGCAUAUUUUAUUGAUCAAUCGAAAUAUUUACAAAGUUUCUUUAAAGUCUCUAUUUAUAGGCAUAAGAAGUAUAAAUAAAGUAGAGAUCCACUUCUAAUGACUAUAAGAAUUUAAAGUACAUCAAAACUUAUCUUAAUCUUAAUGGACAUCCACUUAAUAAGAUAUUCAUAACAAAUUUAUUAUUUUAUUAUUUUAUAAACAAUAAUAUAAGCUUUUUGGACAAAUUGAGUCGAGUUUAAACUUAACCUAAAUUUUUAAAAAAAAAGAGUCUAGGCCCAAUUUAGCUCAUGAAUAUCUUUAAUGGUUAAUUAAUUAUUUAUUUUAAUGAGUUUAUCUAAAUGUAUUUUAGUUUAUUAAUUUGAGUUUAGUGAUUCAAUGUAAUUUUUUUUAUAACUUUUAAUACAACUAUAAGAUGUAACUUAAAAAAAAUAUUUAUAAUUAUAAAUAUAAUUAUCAUCAAUUAGUUACUAAUAUGUUAUUUUGUUGUUCAUUAUUUACCAUUAAUUUUUUCAUAAUUUAAUAGUGUUUUCUAUUUAAAUAUUUUUAAAAAAUAUUUAUUAUAAUAUGCUUUUUGGAAAGUUAUCUUAUAGAAUAUGUUUUUUUUACCUCAACACCUAUAGAUCGAGUUUAGUGAUGUUUAUUGUACCACCAAGUUUUUGUGUCAUUGAAAUUAGAAUAAUUAUUUUGAAAUUAUUACAACACAUUAACACCCAGAAUCUUAAACCGUAAUAAUAUGAUUUAAUUUUCUAAUAGCUUUGGAUAAUAUUUAAACAAAACUCGGACAUUUAUGGAUGUUGAAUUUUUUUGUAAAAUUAAAAAAAACAUAUAUAGUAAUUCGUAACCAUUAAUUAAAUUUUUUGUAAAAUUAAAAAAAACAUAUAUAGUAAUUCGUAACCAUUAAUUAAAAAGGAGACACAAAAAUUAAUUGAUCUCGCUGCCCACGAGAAUAUUUAAAAAAAUACUAAUAAAACUCUAAUUUUUAUAGGUUUUAAAAUGAUUUUAAUUUUCAUAAAAAAUAUAUAAUUUAAUUAUGACUUUUCAAAAAACAAAUUCUUACAUCACCCUCAUUCCAACUAAAAAAAUUACCCGAAUAUAAAAAAACAAAAAAGGAUAAUCAAAGGAGGAAAGUUGUAUAAAAUGUAUGUGGUAGCGGGGAAGAUAAUGGUGGUGACGUUGAGGGAUUAUAUAUUUAUAAUUUUAAUUUAUGUUUUACUAUUUAAUUUUUUAUUUUACAUUUCGUUAAUUAAAUGAAUUAAAUAAGAUCAUUUUUUCUAUUAAUUUUCAGUUUUUUUUUAAAUUCAAAUCUAAUUAAAAAUACUAAAAAUCUGAUUUAUCAUCCUCCUAUUAAAAAUAAAUAGUGAUGAUGUGAAAUCACAAUUUCAUACCAUCUUUUUUCCUUACAGUUAUUGUUGUUUGUCCCCAUCCUCGUUGUUUGGUUUCCAAGUUGUGACCCAAAGUCAAGAUUGAUUUGGUUGUUUGGUUUUCAAGUUGUGACCCAAAGUCAAGAUUGAUUUUAAAAUUUUGGUUUGUCUCCAUUGUAAAGCACAUCAAACAAAGAUAGAAAUUGAUACAACUAUUCUCAAGUUAAAAUAAAGCAUUAUCUUGUUAGGUAGAGUGAAUAAAAUCACUAAGUUAUUCGGUUAACUGAAUUAACCGAAAAUUAUAUGUUUUUUUAUUUUUGGUUAAAAAUUAAUCGAAUUAACCGAAUUAACCGAAUUACCCAAAUUAACCAAAUUAUCCGAAUUAUCCGAAUUAUCCGAAUUAAUCGAAUUAACCGAAUUGAAUCACUACAUAAUUAAAUUAUUUUUAGACUUUUAGACUUUAGUUUUAAUUUUAGUUUUAGAAUUUUAUUUUUAUUUAUUAAAUUAUUUGUAAUUUUUAUGAUUGGGUUGGGUUGGGUAAUUGUGUUGGGUUGAAUACUUGGGUUUGGAUUGGGUUUAGGUGAAUAGUGGGCCUAUUUAUAUAUUAUAAUUUUAUUUAUUAAUUUUUUCGGUUAAACCGAAAAAAUUUGGUUAACCGACUAGUUUUGAACCAAAUUAACCGUUAACCGAAAAAUCAAAAAAUAAUUAAUCGACCCCUGACCAAAAAAAUUCGGUUAACCGAUCGAUUAACCGAAUUCGAUCAGUUAACCGAAUUUUUUUGGUUUUAUCCAAAUUUUGCACACCCUUAGGUUAAUGUACUUGUGUUGUUGUUUCGACACCAUAAUCAAUUCAGUUUUGCUUCAUCCAUAAUAAUUGUGCACAACUCUCAAGUACAAAACUUAAACCGUGGAUUAUGAGAUAGAAUUUUAUCUUUGUUUUUUGUGGGCAAAUAACCAAUAAAAGCCCCUUUAUUUUUAAAUUUAUCGAAAUGGGCUAGGUUCUGAAUUAAUUACCGAAAUGGACCAUUUCUCCCAAAAACGCGUCCAUGUCAGCGCGUUGUCAGGGGAUCAAGCAAGAAAACGCUUCCUCAAGGAAAAAAAUUAGAUUUAGGGUUUUUGCAAUUAGAUUUAGGGUUUUACGGUUUUUGAGUUUUUAGAUUUUAGGGUUUUAAGGAAAAAAUUAAAUAAAUAAGGGUUUAGGGUUUCUUAAUUAAAUUAAUUAUAAAUUUAAAAAAAAUUAGAUUAGGGUUUAGUGUUUAUGGUUUUUAAGGAAAAAUUAAAUAAAUUAGGGUUUAGGGUUACUUGAGUAAAUUAAUUAUAAAUUUUAAAAAAAUUAGAUUAUGGUUUAGUGUUUAGGGUUUUUAAGGAAAAAAUCAAAUAAAUUAGGGUUUAGGAUUACUUGAGUAAAUUAAUUAUAAAUUUAAAAAAUUAGAUUGGGGUUUAGUAUUUAGGGUUUUUAAGGAAAAAUCAAAUAAAACUAGUUGUUAUUCGUUAUAUAUUUUAAACUCUGGCCCAUUUCGGAACCUGACCCAUUUCGGUAAUUUUAAAAAUAAAGGGGCUUUUAUUGGUUAUUUGCCCAAAAAAUAAACUAAUAAAAUUAAAUGUUUUUAGUAAAAAUUAAAUUUAUUAAAAGAAUUUUUUAAUAAUAAAUUAAAAAUAAAAUAUAUAAUGAAUUUUUGUAUUUUCAAAUUUUAAAAUAAAAAAGAGUUUUUUUUAUAAAAACAUAAAAAGAGUUAAAAGUUUAUAUAUAUAUUAAAUUUAUCUUUUGCUGUAAUUUUAAAUUUAUAAUAAAUUAAAAAUAUUAAUAUAAUAUAAUAUGCAAAAAAAUACUUGAAAUUUAAUAUAAUACAAUCAUAUUAAUAAUAGAAUAUUUUAGGGAUAAUAAUUCCUUAAUUAAGGUCUUAAGAUCAUGGGUAAAUAUUUUAUUGAUUGUUAGUGAAUGAUUUACAAAAAAGUAUUAUUAAUUUUAUUUAAUGGAAUUUAACAUAAAUUUUAAUAUUUUAAUAUUUAAUAUAUAUAUUAAAUUGUAGAAGUUUAAAUUUAAAAUUCGAGAAAAAAUAUAAUAAUUGUAAUUAAUAUUUAACUAUAUUUAAACAAAGUUAGACUUAAUAAAUAAUUUUUAAAUAAUUUUUAAUUUUUUUAAAAUUUAUAAUUAAUUUAAUUAAGAAACCCUAAACCUUAAAAUCUUAUUUAUUUAGUUUUUUUCCUUAAAACCCUAAAAUCUAAAAACUCAAAAAUCCCAAAACCCUAACUCUAAUUGCAAAAAACCCUAAAUCCUAAAAAACAAGGAAAGCGCUUCCUUGAGGAAGCGUUUUUUGUCCACGUGGACAAAGCGCUUCCUUGAGGAAGUGUUUUCCUGCUUUAUCCUCUGACAACGCGCUGACGUGGACGAGUUUUUGGGGAAAAUGGUCCAUUUUGGUAAUUAAUUCAGAACCUGGCCCAUUUCGGUAAUUUUAAAAAUAAAGGGGCUUUUAUUGGUUAUUUGCCCAUUUUUUGUAGUGCUAUGAAAUUUAGCUUAAUAGAUAAUAGCAAAUUUGUGGAAAUACAAAAACUUAGCUUAACAUAUUUAAUAACUAGUGAUUGGGUUAGGAUAGAAAUUUCAAAAUUUGAGAAAAUAUAAAUAAUCAAACAUAUAAAUCAAAUCAUGCAUUCUAAGGCAUAAAUAAUAAACAAGUUCUCGAUGAUGUGGUAUUUAAUAUCUAUCAAUUUUGUACGAGAGUAAAGCAAGUAUAAAGACUUAAAAAUGAUUAAAUUAAAGUAAAAAAAUAAUUCUACAACUUGUACCAACGGAAGAUUUUUUGAUUAGGUGAGGGAUACAGUUGGAUCCGUUAUCUAGUGGCUGUCCAUGGUGUGAUAGAGUUAUAGAAAAUGUUAAUCAUUUGUAUUUUCUAUGUCCUUUUAUUAAUAUAUAGUUUUUGGUCUCGCAUUUCUAAUUGGUAGAGUUUUGAUUGGAAGAAUGUGGUGAAUUUUGAAGAAUUCUUUACUUUGUACUGGAACAUGCCCCUGAUAGGUCUGCAAAAAAGCUUUCGAUUAGUGGCGAUUGCGGGAUCUUGUUGGAUAGAAGAUAUCAGAUCUUGUCUUCCUGUAUUGGCAGUGAAGUAGAUCGAAGAUAGCAGAUCUUGUCUUCCUGUAUUGGUAGCAAAGUAGAUCGAAUAUAGCAAAUCUUGUCUUCCUGUAUUGGCAGGGAAGUAGAUCGAAGAUAGCAGAUCUUGUCUUCCUAUAUUGGCAGGGAAGUAGAUCGAAGAUAGCAGAUCUUGUCUUCCUGUAUUGGUAGGGAAGUAGACCGAAGAUAGCAGAUCUUGUCUUCCUGUAUUAGCAGCGAAGUAGAUUGAAGAUAGCAGAUCUUGUCUUCCUGUAUUGGCAGCAAAGUAGAUUGAAGAUUAUAGAUCUUGUCUCCCUAAGCAGUAGUGGAGCAGAUCGAAGAUGAUAAAUAUUAUCUUCCCAAGGUAGUAGGGAACCAGAUUUAAGCCACCAGUCCUAUCUCCUUGAGUAGCGGUGGAGUAGGUUGAAGAUCGUAGAUCCUGUCUCCCUAAGCAGUAGUGGAGCAGAUCGAAGGCAGCAAAUCCUAUCUUCCCAAGGUAGUAGGGAAGCAGAUUUAAGUCACCAAUCCCUUCUCUCUGAGUAGCAGUGGAGUAGGUCGAAGAUUGUAGAUCAUGUAUCCUUAAGCAAUAGUAGAGCAGAUCGAAGGCAGCGAAUCUUAUCUCCUUGGCGUUACAGUAGAACAGAUUAAAGCUCAAGGUAGCGAAUCUUGUUUCCAUAGCAUUGCAGCGGAGCAGAUCAAGACUGAAGAUAACCAACCUUAUCUCCCUGAAGUUACAGUGGAGCCGGUUGAAGAUAUCAAUCUUAUCUCCCUGAAGUUGCAGUGGAGUAGGUUAAACGAAGUGAGCCUUAUCUCCCCGAAGCUACAGUGGGUCAGGAAGAGGCUACUUGAAGAAGAAGCAUACCAAUGUCCAACACAACCGGACAAAAUUGGCCUUCUAAUUUAGUCUUUGCUUCAUUUUCAUUACACGACAAUGAGCAAAGAGGGGCAGCUGUAAUAGGCCAAUUUAGCCCGGGCUCACAAAAAAAAUAAUAAACUCAAAAUAAUAAAACAAAGUCCAAGUCCAGUCCAAAAUUGUAUCAUUUGGCCCGAUCGGAAUGACCCAUUACUUGAAAAAGGAUAUGCAAUCUUAGAUAUAAUAUGCAAUCUUAGAAGAUAAGAUUUUGUAAUCUUAGAUAUUUAAUUUGUAGAUACCAUUUAAAUCUUAGCCGUUGAUGUAAUUGAUCUAUACCGUUGGAUUUAGGGAGGCUCAACUAUAAAUAGAGACCUCUCCCUUCAUUGUAAAACACUGGAGUUGGGAGCAAUAAUAAUUCUUAAGAGCAUUCACUCAAAUUUCUCCUUCUCUUGUGUUCUUAUUUUCUGUGGCCUGUUCUUAUUUUGUUUUUUGUUCAUCUUUGUUUCAUUUUAAGUUGCUUUCAUUUGAGUUGGAUUUUGGUGGAAGAAUUUCGUUGAAUCUUCAUAUUGUGGGAGUAAGGCUGACUUAAGUGUUUUUUUUAACCUUUUUUAUUUAUCCAUUUAAUUGUUUAAUUAUUAAUUAUUCUUUUACUUUUAUUCGUUUAUUUAUCCAUCAACUUUCUUAUUUACAUAUCGUUCAUUCAUUUAACCAUUCUUAUCAUUCUUUUAUUUUUUCCAUUAAUUAUAUACUUUAUUUGUUUUUAAUAUUAUGUCACACAUGUUAUUUAUUUUUUAAAAACUCGUGUUAUAAAUCAUCUAUUUUAAAUUAUUUGAUUAUUUGCUUUAAAUUUUUUUCCAUAUAUUAUCAAUUGCAAUUUAUUUUUUAUACUAUCUAUUUUUUCCAUAUUUUGGCCCUCAGUUUUGUUUUAUUCUCAUUUUUUCCUUUUAAUUCUGUUUUAAAAUCAAUUUAAUCCUCACUAGUUUGAUUUAAUUUGCUUGUGUUUUAUUUAUUUAAGUAUUGAUUAUUAUGAUUUUUAAAAUUUUAAAUAUGAUAUUAUUUGAAUGUUUAUACUUAUUAUUAUUAAAUUAAUCAUUAAUAUUAUCUAAGUGUAUUGUAUAUUAUUAUUUUAGAUUUAUCAUGUUUUGUUAUUUGUAAUUUAUCAAUAUUAUUAUUUUAAAUUCAUUGAUAACAUUACUUUAAAUUUAUCAUGUAUAUCUAUUUCAAAUUUAUCAUUAAUAUUUUUAAAUUUAUUAUAUACUAUUAUUUUGGAUUUAUCACGUAUGAUUAUCCUAGAAUUAUCAUCAAAAUUUUUAAAUUUUACAUGUAUUAUUAUUUCAAAUUUAUUAUAUAUUAUUUAUUGUAAAUUAUCCAAUUCAUUUCAAAUUGUAGAUAUUGUUUGUUUUAAUUCAUGUAUUGUUUUAAACUUCAUCCAUAUACAUACUAUUUAUUUUGGAUUAUACAUAUUACUUAUUUUCUAAAUUAUUUUUAUUAUUUUUCUAUAUAAUGUAUAUUCUAAUUUUUCUUCAUAUUUCAUUUGCUUAAAUAUUUUUGUAUAUUGUGUUUUAUUAGUUGUUUUAAACAAUUUAUUAAAUGAUUUAUUUCAAUUCAUUUCAUGUAUUCAUUUUAUCUUAAUUAAUUGAUUUACAUAAUAGAUUUUUUAGCAUAUUACUUACUUCAUGUUGUUUCAUUUAUGUACCAUUUCUUUGGAAUUAAGUUUGUUUUAUAUAUUAUUUCGAGUUCGAUAAUUAUUAUGUGUGUUUGGGGUUUAUACGCGCAUAUUAUUUAGUAUUCUGCCCAUGUAUAUUAUUCCAUGUUCAUACAUUUACUUUUCAGUUCCGAACAUUACAUCAUGGUUAAUUUGAUUAUUUCAUUUCUUUUCAUUUCGAAUAAAUCAAAUUUAUAUCAUUGUUAAUAUUGCAUUAAACCUUCGCUUUAAUCCAAUUUCGUAAAAAAAGGGAAAAAGAAGUUUGCAAUAUGUCGUCUUUGGAACGAUGAGAAAUCGUGCUCUAACUUACAGGGUUUCGAUCUUUCUCAUCGAACUAAAAUGGCUAAAUAUCUUAGUUGUCAAAUAUACAAAGUUUCAAUAAAGAUUUUUUAGCUUACGCUCGGGAAUUGAAAUGUUGCAUCCUAACUUACGGGAUACGAUAUUUUGUCGUCUCGGGAUGAGAAGGCUUUUUUACAUUCGUUUAAAUUUAUCCAAGUACUAUUUUAAGAUAUGUUAUUAAUAAAGGGGGAUUGUUUUUAAUCUUUUCAACUUUACGACAUUCGACUAUAAGACAUUAAUAAUCAAUUAGGUAGCAAUUUUGGGCGUUACGAGGGUGCUAACCCUUUCACGUGCGUAACCGACUCCCGAACCUAUUUUCUCAAAAUUCGUAGGCCUAAAAUCGUUUUCAAGGUGAUCCAAUCACACCUCAAUAAAAGAUCGGUGGCGACUCCAUUUUUUCGUUUUAAAAGUCGACCCCAUUUUUUCAAAAUAAAAAAUGGUUUCGACAAGUAGUAUUUUGAUUAUGUUUUUAUAGAUGUAAUUUAGUAUUACUUUAUUCUUUAGCCAAAAAAGAUUUUUUUUAUAAUUUAAUUAAAAUUUACUAUUAUGAUUCAAUUUGAUGUAGCUUCUAGAGAUGACAAUAAAGUCGGGUGAGAGCAGAUAUUGCUAAACCUAUUACCACUCCAUCAUUUGCAUGUUGUAUACAUCCAUCUAAUCCCAUCCCAUCCCAUCCCACCCUGCAUUAUCAUAACUGCUUCGUACCUAUUACCCAAAAGAAAAAAUCCACCCCGUUCAGCCCUGCAUCCACUUUUCAAAAAAAAAAUCUAUUUCAAGCGAAGCAAUUCAAAAUGUAUUGGACAAUUUGAGUUGUCAUACCUAAUAACUUUAAUCUGAGUUCAUAAUUGAAUACUGAGUUUAGAUGGUAAUUUGUUUUCCAAACUUUUUGAUGUCGUGUUCUUCGACAUGCCUAUGAACCGUUUCAUCAUUUGCCUCUUAGAAAAUUAAAAAUAAGUUGUUUAUACUAUGUGAUGUAGUUUUAAAACCGUUUCUUUUUUUUUUAUUUAUCCGUUAUUUAUUUGGUGUAGGCGAAAAAUAUUUUAUGGGUUUGUGUUUUUAAAAAAAGAGUCAAAUUUUAUUUUUUAAUCACCAUUAUCAAAUGUGUUUAUUAAUUUAGCGUAAAUAUUUUUCAUAUUUAUCAUUAAAUAUUAUUAUAAUUGUUUCAUGUUACUUUACUUAUUUUUCAUAUUUUUCAACUUAAUAUUAUAAUUUACUAUAGGUAACAAUAAUUAAAAAUACAUUAUUUAAAAUUAAUUAAAAAUUAAAUACGUAAAAUCAUAGGCAUGUGACAUUAGAAAUUACUUUAAAAAUAUAUAUCAAACAAAUUUUAUAAUUUAAAUUAAAUAUUUAAUUUUUUUAACACUUACUCUCUUUUUUUUUUAAUUUAUCAACCAAUUUUUAAGUCUAACCUAAUUCAAACCAAGGAAACUUACUUGGAUUUUAUGUUGGGAAUUAAAUAAAAAAGAGAAAUAUUUUUCACUUCAAACUUAUUCAGUUUAAUUACCAAAACUCCAAAAUAUUUUUUUGAAGACACCCAAAAAAACCCCUCUAUAAAAAAUAAGGAUAAUUUGUGAUAUUUUUCCUCUUAAAUGAUGUUAUUUAUAUUUUUAAUUAUAUUAUUUAUAUUUUAUUUUAUUUAUUAUUGAUUUAGAGAAUAAUUAGAGAUAAAAAAAAGCUUAAAGUUUAUUUUUGACAAGUUUUGCGGGUUGGACUUUCAACAUUUACAAUAUAGUUUCAGUAUUUUGGCAAUAACUUAAGCUACAAAUUUUAGUUUUGGGCUCAUAAUAUAUAGAUUUGAAGAAAAUUGACAUAACUAACUAAAGUUGUCUUGUAGAUGAAGCCCAAAAACAUCAAGAAGACAUCAAAAAAUGUCCUAGAAGUUUGACGGAAAAAUUGCCAAAAUAUCUUGAAAACUUUUGCUUUAUAUAAUUAAUGGCACUUUUGUACUUUCUCUAUUAUAUUAUUUUUCCCCUAUAGAUAGACAUUAUUAGGUUAAUACGAGGGGAGACCUAAACCUAGCCAUUCUUAGUUUUAUUUUGUUUUCUUUAUUUUGUGGCUUUUUAAACUCUCCAUCUAGUCAAAGGUUUUAUCAAAAUUUGAUUUAAUAAAUUUGCGAGACUUAAUUUUUGCUUUAAUUUUUCUUUGUUCUUUAGUAUUCAUGCAUUUUUUGUUUUAAUUACAACUUUUCAGGUUUAUUGAAUGUUCAGUCGGUAUUUGAUAGCCUAGAAUGAUUGUUUUGUCAAUUAGAAUUGUUAAACCCAUAAUUGUAUAAUUCAUUCUAAUACUAGUGACAAACUGCAUAAUUCGUUUAAGUGUAGUUCAUGUUUAUGUGGUGUGAAUGUGUGAUAUAGCUAAAAUGAAUCUCACUAGGAUGAGUUUGUUGGUUAGAAUUUGGACUCUCUCGUUCUUAAUACUGGCGGUAAGUUAAAUCUGGGGCGUUGAGUUACAGGGUUAUUUAUCGAUUAGGAAAUAAUUUCAAAUGAGUUUUCUCUUGGCUAUCGAACAAUGAGAGAUUGGUUGUCCGACACUGAGUCAAUAACUAGAACUAAUUUAUUAAAGGUAUUGAAGUUAUUUUUGCAUUGAUGAUCAAAUCUUUGAAUCAAACGAAGAUUUUAGUACUUCUAGAGUUUCUCCUCAUUAAUUUUCUUUUCUUUUGUUUUAUAAUUUAUUUUUACUUUGUUUUAAUUUUAAUUUUUAAUUUUAAACUCUUUUUAUAUUUUUCAUGUAAAUUUUUGUUUUUAUAAAUCGCUGCAUCCUUGCAUUACUUCAAUACAACACCAGAAGAACAAAAUGUCAAACACUGACGCUUAUAGAUAAAAAUCUUGCAAAAGAGGCCGUUUUAUUUUAUCAUAAAAUUAUUCAUGAAAUAGCCAUACAUGGCAAUUACAUAAGCUUGAAGGCCUUAAAACACAGAGACAUACGAUAGAAAUACGCAAACACACACACAAACGAUAGUAAUAAGCAAACACACACAGACGCAGUAAUGAAGGCUAACUUCAACUUCGUAGUAGUGCACACCGAUGGAGCACAUUAUUAUUUAGUUUACAGUUUCGACCUCUAGUGAUCGAAAACCCUGGCUCAAAGCCGGCAGCUUACGCACCCGUAGUGGUGUUGGGUUGGUUGCCAAGAAAAGCUGCAUCAGCAUUCUCAUCAGUGCAAUAAAGGCAAGGGUGCUGCUGUCCACAUCCUAGCUUUAUUAUUUCAUUCCUGACCUUCACCACAAGUUGUCUAUUGCUUAAUGCCCCAUUGCUCUCCCUGAUGACCUUCAGAACUGUAUAGGUAAAGGCCCCAAACCCCAUUCCUCCGGUUUUGUCACUCGCUCCCAUAUCACUCGAUUCCUCAUUGGCUUGGCACCCACUUAACAGAAUUCCCUCAUCCUCCGUCAGUGACCUCAAAUUCACAAUAUCACGUUCAUCAUGGGGUAGGAAUUUGAGACUCACAUUGUUCCCAAAGAUUGUGGUCAAAAUAGAGCCAAUACCCUCCAUAUUAUCUGUUCCAGUGUUGAUGGCAUUCCCAAGUGCUCUUGUGGGAAAUAAGCCUUGUGUCGCGAUUAUGACGUUGGCUACUGUUUGUAGGCACUGGUAUAAGGUUCCUAAGGAAAUGCCCCUAGUCUUGUAAUCAACAGGUAGUGCUAUACCCCUUAGAGUACUAUGGGGUCCAAUUUGUUCUUUACUUUUAUCAAUCAGACCACCACUGUGGCAGGAAUCCGAAACCAUUGUGAAGCUUGAUCCACUUGGUAGUUGCUUAAUCAAUUGCCCCAAGUCCACGUC
This 312357-nucleotide long non-coding RNA is filed under the name Gossypium barbadense (sea-island cotton). Its description in RNAcentral is "long non-coding RNA (GBAR_LNC017416)". Lineage: Eukaryota; Viridiplantae; Streptophyta; Magnoliopsida; Malvales; Malvaceae. The record is from RNAcentral.